Molecule: long non-coding RNA, 234349 nt
Filed under: Eucalyptus grandis
Lineage: Eukaryota; Viridiplantae; Streptophyta; Magnoliopsida; Myrtales; Myrtaceae
Description: long non-coding RNA (EGRA_LNC003200)
Rfam family: Bacterial large subunit ribosomal RNA (bases 206523-206902)
Source: RNAcentral
GACAACCAUUUUGGAGAUAAGGGUUCCCUUGAAAGCCCUCCAAGCAGUGGCACUGGUAGCCAUUUCCAUUCUCAGCAUCUGUACAAUUGGAGUUCUCUUGGCACAUGUAGGUCGUUGCAUUCUUCUUUGCAUGAUCGCAUGUUUGAUCUGGAAUUAACCAAUCGACAACUAGAGGGACCAUAUCAAAUGGCGGCUCGCGCAGAUUGUCCGUAGAGAAGUUAAAGAAGCCGUCUUGGGCAACGAAGGCGUAUCCGCACGGAUUGAAAUUCCAGAUGCCGACAUGAUUGUUGUAGCUAGUGACAGAGAUGUUGUAUUGGUAGGCGUCUCGAGGAAUGCUAGUCUCGCAGCAACCGAUGCCCGAGCACGACCCAUUAAUCACGUCCGAGAUACUGUCGCAUGACGACAAGCACCCCGUCGCAUACUUGCUUCCUUGUUGGCCGAUGAAGGUCGCGUACGUGUCGCAUCCCACGGCGAUAAAUUUGUUCUUGGCAGAAGAUAUGGGGAAUAUGGGAAGAGCGAACUCAGGAUCAUUAUUGUAUAUGGAUGUGCCGGACGAAUUAUAACAAUCUUUGGCUACAAACACCAUUACACUAAUCUCGUGACUCUCCAUAGAUAUAUUGAGUAGUCGGAAAUUAGAAUCUUUACUGUACAUACGAGGAGUGGGAGGAUCAGUCGAGUCGUUGCAAAAGAUGAGGAAAGACUCUGAUUCUUCUUUGAAGUAGCAGUCGUCGCCGGCAUCAUUCAUCCCGAAUGGGUACGCGAAGGUGAGGUUGCCACAUCUGUUCGCGCAUCCGGGCUUUGUUGUUUGGACUACAUCCGCAGUAACUACUGAGAAUAGAGCCACCAAUGAGCACAACAGCAGCACAACUCUCAAGGGAAGUCUAUGGAGCAGCAUGGAUCCACCCAUAUUCUUCCUGAAAUGAGAUGAUAUUUUGCAACGAGAUGAUGAGCUUCAUAGCCCGAUGACAACCUUUAUAAGCGAUGAUGGAGCUUCUCGAAAGCUAAAUAGUAUAUGCAUUAUUCAUAGUCCCCACUAUGUUGAUUGUCUUCGCGGUGAUUACAUCAUUACUAAUCAAUCAUACGGUUUUGUCCACUCUCUAUGGCUCUUCACUAAAGAAGCCUUGACAAGCCUGUCGUGAUUCACGUUGUGGCAUCGCAAUCAUUCGUAGGAAUUUCCAAACUGACUUGCAAAUAAUAAAAGUCGUGAUUAGAUAGAUAUUUUUUUCUUUUCAAUCUCAGAAUUAGUUUCAAUGGGUGGUGCUCAUAAACUAUUGCAUGCACAUCUCUAAUGUAUGAACUCCUUAAAUAUUUGUACAAAUAUAUCAACAUCAUAUUUAAAUCUUUAUGCGCAGAGUAAUAUUUUAAUUUAUGCUAUGUACAAUUAAAAAAAAAAAAUUAGGUACAUCGAUGGUAAGUACUAAAGAUUAGUUAGAUAAGGCAAGGAACUGUUGAUUCGGGUCGGUUCGAAUUUGAAUUUGAAAAUCAAAAUAGCACCAAACAACCCAAAUAUAGAAGAUGAAUUAGAACGGAAUUUGCGGUGUUUAGAUAUGAUUUGCUAAGUAAAAGGACUUCAAGAGUCCAAAAUUGAUUUUGAGAAUUUUCUCAGAUUCGCCUAUAAAGUUUCAAGUAAAUCCUAAGUCAAUGCGAUCAGUUUUCUUGGCAAUUUCUCACGCACGAGAGUAUGUCUCAUCAGGGUGCUUUCAUUAUCCUGCCAAGACUUGAAAGGUCAAGCAAGUAUGAAGCGUAUGCAAUGGGAGAUCACAACGCUAAAAUUCGUUAAAGGACUCAUUGCCCUCGAGGAAAAUUUAAGAGGUUUUAUAAUACAAAUUAUCAAGAAAAAAAUUCUAAACCAAUUAUACUUGUACAAAUUCAGUCAUAAAAUCUUCAAUUGUGCUAAUUAAAACUCAAACCUGUUGAAAGUUUACCAAUUUAAUUUUUUUGAUCAAAUUUGACCAAAAAUCGCUAUAGUAUAUAAUUUUUAUAAUUUUUGGGAAAUUGAUUUGGGACUUUGGGAGUCUAAAAUUGAUUUUCAGAAAUUUCUGAUGGUCGAACUAAAGUUCCAGGUAAAUGCCAAGUCAAUGGGGUCAGUUUCCUCGACAAUUUCUUAUGUAGCACAAUAGGUAACAUCAGAAUUUGUUACUGCCUGUCAACUUUGACUGCGUCAUUGAUAGAUGCAGGGUGCUUUCAUUACAUUGCCAAGACUUGAGAAGUCUAGCAAAUCAACGGUAAGCGUAUGCAAUGGGGGAGAGAUCACAACCCCAAAAAAGAGAAUGAGAAAGAAGAAAAAUCAAGUUGGGGAUUGUCUGCAUGAAAUGUGUUUCAAGUUGGAUGGAUUUUAUAAUCUGAAAAUUUGUAUUUUCCUAUUUCUAGUCUGUAUAUAUGCAUUCUAAAACGGAGUAACCGGUAGCUUCAAAAUAAUUAAUCAACUAGCUUCAAAGAGGUAAAAUAUCAACUUUUUUUAUUGUUGUGUUACAAAAUUAAGAUGUUGAAAUAAGAUUCCGUUAUGUACUUUUAAACUAAGAAAAGAUACGUCGCAUGUGGAUAUUUUUUUCCUUUUUCUAGGCUAACAUUUCCAACUAAUAUGGAUUGUGAAGGGAACAUUGUCCAAAUAGUCCUAAACCAAUUUAGUCCUAAACUUUUCAAUAUUGCCAAUUGAGUCAUAAACAUUUUCAUAUUUUGCCAAUUCAAUUCUAAACAUUUUUUCACUUCUUGCCAACUGAGUCCAUUCAACCAAUUUUGGCUAAAAAUUACUAACGUGGACGACCGGUGCUAACGUGGCACUUUUUAAAUAAAAUUUUUUGACAUUUUUUUUUAAUGGUUUUUCUACUUUUUUUUUUUUGGUUUUGAAUCUAGUCGGCAAAGGUUGUCGGCCAACCCUCGCCAGCCACAAGUGAGGGCCAACGAGCGAGAGCUGAUCAACCCCUACCAACUCUGGGCGAGGGCGCACAAGCCCUCGCCUAGAAAUAACGAGGCUUGUGACACCCUCACCAAAUCUAGCAAGGCGAGGGCUUGGCGACCCUCGCUGGCUCCAAGCAAGGGGGGUGACCUCGCUCAAGGCCUUUGCCUAGUUAGAUCUAGCGAGGGCAAUGACCCCGCUUGAGGCCUUUGCCUUGCAUGCCCUCACCUUUGCUGGCGAGGGCGUCGCGACCCUCAACCAAAGCUUGCGAAGGGCACAGUACCCUCACCCAAAGUUGGCGAGGGUCAACUGGCCCUCACCUAUGGCUAGUGAGGGUUGCCGACCCUCGCCUAUGACUGACACUAGCCCUCACCUAUGGCCAAGGCCGGCCAAAUUCGAACCCCCCCCAAAAAAAAAAAGCAAAAAAAAGUUAAAAAAGAAAAAUCAUAAAAAUUCAAAAUAUUAUUAAAAUAUGAUUUUAAAAGUGCCAUGUCAGCACCGGCCAUCCAUUUUAGCAAUUUCCAGUCAAAAUUGGCUAGAUAGAUUGAAUUGAUAAGAAGUGAAAAGGUUUAUGAUUGAAUUAGCAAAAUUGAAAUAUUUAUGACUGAAUUGAUAAAACUGUAAUAGGUUGAUAACCUUUUAGAUAAUUUUCCCAAUUGUGGUUGAUACGCAUUUGUGGAGAAUUAUCAGCAUCAAGAAUUUAAUUUUUCUUUUCCUUUUUCUGGUCUAGUGACUGUAGUUAUUAGCUUAUUUUAAGCUGUGGAGUUAACAACAGCAGGUCCUGGAGACUUUCAUGAGACGAUUCCACUACAAAUCCUUGUGUGACAAAGUCUUUGUGCGGUGCGAUGCGAGUUAAAAUUUUCCAAAUGCACGAUUUAUUUGACAUAUAUUUCUUCAAUCUUUCGUCGCUGCUCAUCCAAAAAAACAGGCCGUUGUGGGCCAAAGACUGGUGCACAAUUGUCACAGAAGAGCUGCUCUUACUUUCCAAAUAAUCCGUGGGAAACAAUAAGUCUUGGUCUUCUCCUUUCCCAAUUGAUUUUUAUAGUAUGGUACAUUGGGGAUGUUACUUCUGCGCAGGGCAAAUUUUUUCUUUUGAGGCGUUGAUUAAUGCAAAAAGUGAAAGUUGAUAGCGAAAGAAGAAGACCUAACCUCUCUCUUUCAUCAAGAAAGAGACUUCUUGUUUAACUCUAUAUUUGAACAAUUCCAAAACUUAAUAAUGCACCUUAACUCUCAGUCGUCGGGCAGCAAUUAUCAAUGAAAAAGGCACACUAGUUCGUAAAUUUCAUCAGUUAAUUUACAGUAGUAUAUAAUUAUCUUCGGCAAUGUCUCUCUACAAAUCCUUAGAAUUCUUUGGAGAGACUAAUUGAAAAUCCCAGCCGCCAACGUAAUUGGACGAUGCAUUGAGAGAUGAUGUGCAUCCAAACUCAAUAACUUAUUAAUGAGGGCUUUGACACUCUCCAUCAUAAGCAUCUACAAACUUUUCAAACGGGUUCUUUGCCAACUAAUAAACUAAGUACCAUUGUCAAAUUUCCAAUAGAAAUCUAGCCGUAGGAAAUUUUUUCAACACUCAAAAAUUGACGCAUGAUGCCUACAUGGGCAGGUCGAAUUACUUCGAUAAUCUAAAUCUAUCAGUAAGAAAAUCGACAUUAUUUGGAGUCUUUUCUUGGGUAAUAGUAAAAUUGUAUCAAUUGAUAACAGAGCCUAAAUCUGGCUGGUCCAACUGAUUUGAGAGGACAAGUGCAACAUCUCCAACAAGAAUUGGAGCAAUCUUGAUUGUUAAUGCCAUGCCCCGAACUCCAAGCGCACGCACAUCUCUCGGCGGUCGAUUAAAAAUUUGCGAUGUCCGAGGACGCGUCGCCGACCCAUUCUUUUUAUCUUUCAAUUAAGCAAAUGUGAGUGAAUUAAAUACACCACCCAGUCAAAUUUGACCAAAAAUCACUAUAGUAUAUAAUUUUUAUAAUUUUUGGGAAAAUGCUAAGUCAAGGCGGUCGGUUUCCUUGGCAAUUUCUCAUGUGCAACAAUGUAUCUCGUCUGGAGUUAUUGCCCACCAACUUUGGGUGCAUCAUUGAUAGAGAGUAUAAAUGAGACAGGAUGCUUACUGCACCAAGACUUGAAAAGUUAAGCAAGUACUAAGCGUAUGCAAUGGGAGAUCACAGCUUGCACCAAGACUUGAAAAGUUAAGCCAGUACUAAGCGUAUGCAAUGGGAGCUCACAGCUUGCACCAAGACUUGAAAAGUUAAGCAAGUACUAAGCGUAUGCAAUGGGAGAUCACAGCUUGCACCAAGACUUGAAAAGUUAAGCAAGUACUAAGCGUAUGCAAUGGGACAUCACAGCUUGCACCAAGACUUGAAAAGUUAAGCAAGUACUAAGCGUAUGCAAUGGGAGAUCACAACUAGAAGUGAUUGGUUCUUGGAUGAUUUGGUUCUCACCCUGAAAAUCAAGAAUUGGACCAAAAGGAUUCUAAAACCAUGAAUUGAACCAGUGCCCCUAAAACUAAACCAACCAAUCUAGUUCAGUUCCUACGUGGAUCAUGGAACUGGUGGCAUGUUCAAAUUUUUUUUUUUUACUGUUAUUUGUCAUUAAUGUUCAAGACGAAUUGAAGAUGUUCUUGAUAACCAAGACAUUUCUACAAUCAGCGAAUUACGUGUAGCAUUGUAGGUUUCACAUAAUUUUUUUUCCAAUUUGUGGCAAAACUUGGUUAGAAUGAGUAACUAUUGUUUAUGUUUUGAUUUGUUCUUGUCAUCUUACUCACAUGCAUGAGUGAAAUAGGAGUUGUGAGACUUGUGCUUGUCUGCAUGCGUGAGUGAAGUCCGAAAUAUGAGAUAGAUUAGGGGUUUUUUUACAAAUUAAAGGAAAUUAAAAAAAAAAAUUGGUCUAACCCAUGUGGGCAAUUCCAUGCCUGAAAUUGAGAAUCAUAUUGAAAUUCACUAGUUUCGAUUUUAUAGAAUUGAAAACUAGAUUAGUGCCCCCAGGAACCGCCCAAAACUAGCCGAUCUAGUCCCAUUUAAGUGGCUCCUUUUGCUUACCCCUAGUCAUAACUCUAAAAUAGAAGAAUGCCGAAGAAAAAUCAUGAAGAGCAAACUGCUUUGAGCUGGCGAUUGGUGAUGGGGUUUACACUCCUAGGAGUGAAAUUUCUAUUGCAUUCUGGAAAAGAAUAACGCAUAUUUCAGAGUGAUUAAUCAACUAGUUUUAAAGAGGUAAAAACUAAACAUUUGCCAUUGCCGUGCUACGAAAAAUAAGAUUCUUAGAUAACAUUUCAUUCUAUACUUUUACAUUAAGAUAAGAUACGUUGAAUGUAGGUUUGUUUGUUUUUUUUUUUUUUUUUUUAUCUUGGUUGUUGGCCUAGGAUUUCUAAUUAAAAAUAUGGACUGUGGUGAUACGUAUUUGUGGAGAAUCAUCAUUCCAAGGAAUUUAUUUUUCCUUCCAUCUGGUAUCCGUGUUGUAAAUCUUUUGUUGCAUUUCCAUAAUUUUGAGGAAAACACCAUCUUGCUGACAUCGUGGUAACGAAGAAAAACGCAAUCAUUAUUGCCAAAAGUCAUUUUGAAGAAACUAGGCUAAUCGAAUUAGGAGCAAAAUAGUGUCUCAUAUUGGACCUUAGUGUAAAUGUGACUUAAAUCGGAAAAAGUAAAAAAAAAAAAAAAGUAUUAAAUCUAUUGUCAUGAUACCAAUUCAGCUCUUAACCUUUUAAAUAAUCAAUUUAAUUCUAAACAUUUUCAUAUUGACACCAAUUUAGUCCAUCCAACCAAUUUAAGCCGAAAAUUGCCAAUGUGAACGCCAGCUGUCCUACGUAGCAUGACCGAUACUGGCGUGGAUAUUUUUAAUAAUAUUUUAAUAUUUUUUGAAUUUUUAAAAUCUUUUUUGCUUUUUCUUUUUGCCAGUGGCCAUUGCUAGCCACCGACCAUAGCCAUGGUCGGCGAGGGUUGGCCUUGGUCGGCCUCACCAACCAUAGCCAUGGUCGGUGUGGCUGGCCUUGGUCGACCUCACCGACCACAAGCAAUGGUUGGCCUCGUUGGGUCGCCCUUGAGCGAGGGCAAGCGCCAAUCGUCCUAGCGAGGCCCCGUCACCAGAUCUAACGACCAACCAUCACACGGGUGAGGGCGAGGCUAGUUGGGCCUCGCCAUCACCCACGUGGGGCUCACCAAGCCUCAUCCUCGCCCAAGCGAGCCUUGACGAGGCCGACCCUUACUUACACGAGGUGCAAUGAGGCCACCCUAGCCUAGGAGAUGGUCGGCCUCCUCAAAUCUAGUGAGGGGGCCUCACCUAGCCACACCUGGACGGCCGACACUCCCCCUUGACCACACCCUUGCCCAAAGAAAUUACCAUCGGAUAGUUGCAUAUAUGUCGCAUUGCUAUGUAUACAAAGAAAUUACCACUAUGCAAGGCGCCUAUCUAAGCAAAAACAUACGUUCUUCAUUCAAAUUAUUUGAUGGCAAAUUGAAUAUUAGUAUUGUGUUGCUGAUUGGAGAGCUUACCUUGUACUCUAACGAUUAUACCACACAUAAAUAGAUAAUGUUUCCUUUCGACAGAUUAGUUCUAGAAUAUAUAGAAUUAAUGAGUGUAAAAUCUUUUAACACACUGUCAUAAGAGCUAUGUGGCAGAACGUCAAUUAGAUAUAACGAAUGUGACUGUCCAUCAACAAAUUAACCUAGCCCGAACCAGUCAACCUACCCUAGCUAAAAACUAUUGAUUCAGGUAGGUUCCGUUUCGAUUUGAAAUCUGAAAAGAACAAAAUCUAACCAACCUAUAUAUAGCAGAAGAACAAAAUCUGCAAUGUCCAAAUCUACACAAUAGAAAACAUAAUCCUCAAAUCAAAUUACAUUUUCAGUUCAAAGUAAAACCACAGAUAUGGUCUGAGAUCUGAUCAUUGCUAACUAAAAGGACUUUGGGAGUCUGAAAUUGAUUUUCAGACAUUUCUGAUGGUCGACCGAAAGUUCCAAGUAAAUGCCAAGUCAAUGGGGUCGGUUUCCUCGACAAUUUCUUAUGUAGCACAGUAGGUCGUAUCAGAAUUUGUUAUUGCCCGCCAACUUUGACCGCGUCAUUGAUAGAUGCAGGGUGCUUUCAUUACAUUGCCAAGACUUGAGAAGUCUAGCAAAUCAACGGUAAGCGUAUGCAGUGGGGGAGAGAUCACAACCCCAAAACAAGAGAACGAGAAAGAAGAAAAAUCAACAAGAGCAGAGUGGUUUGAGCUGGGGAUUGUCUGCAUGAAAUGUGUUUCAAGGUGGAUGGAUUUUAUAAUUUGAAAAUUUGUAUUUUCCUGUUUCUGGAUUGUAUAUAUACAUUCUAAAAAGGAGUAACCGGUAGCUUCAAAAUAAUUAACCAACUAGCUUCAAAGAGGUAAAAUAUCAACUUUUUACAUUGUUGUGUUACAAAAUUAAGAUGUUGAAAUAAGAUUCCGUUAUAUACUUUUAAACUAAGAAACGAUACGUCGCAUGUGGAUUUUUUUUUCCUUUUUCUAGGCUAACAUUUCCAGCUAAUGUGGAUUGUGAAGGGAAAAUUGUCCAAAUAGUUCUAAACCUAUUGCACUUUUGUCAAUUUAGUUCUAAACUUUUCAAUUUUUCCAAAUUGAGUUCUAAACAUUUUCACAUUUUGCCAAUUUAGUCAAAAACAUUUAUACUUCUUGCCAAUGGAGUCCAUUCAACCAAUUUUGGCCAAAAAUUACUGAUGUGGAUAACCGGCGCUGAGAUGGCACUUUUUAAUAAUAUUUUUAAAUAUUUUUAUGGUUUUUUACUCUUUUUUUUUUUGAUCUAGUUGGCAAAGGUUGUUGGCCAACCCUCGCCAGCCACAAGUGUUCGUAAAAUUCUAAAUGCAAAUGAACAUGUCGAACAAGUAAUAUAAUGAUAAAAAAUAAGUAUCGUCCGACGAAGAUCGAUGAUUAAUAGACUAAUUAAAUACUAAAAUAAAUUAAUUCUAAAAUUUAUCUAACAUAUCAAAAUAUAAUUUAGAAUAAAUUAAAAACAAAAUUUGAAGACUAAAUGUAGUAAAUCUAUCAGAUAAAUAUGUUAGAGUAUCUAAUUUGACCAUAACCACUAGAUAUGAAUUUCAGAUUGUUGUGGGUUCAAGAACGAUAUCAAACAUGUGAUAGUGGAAUUUCCUAAUCUAUUUAGCAAACCUAAUCAGCUUAUUAAUCCACUAUAUCUCCAUGUAAAUUAAAAUAAACUUGAGUGCAUUAAAAAUUAUGAAUAUUCCUAGCUUACAGUGAGUCUUUUAGAUCACCUUAUCACUGAAAGUUACAUAAAUAAUGCGGUAUAUCUCUAUCCACAUUUCAUUCAUGGUUAUAUAUUAUAAUGAGCAAUUGUAUAUUAUCACUUCUCAGUCUCAAAUAUAUACAUCAGAUCAUUCAAGUGGUGGCCAGUCACUCAAAAGCAUUAAGCACAAUAAUAUAUAAUUCACAUGAAUGAAAUCAAUUGCAAAACAUAAAAAUCAUAAAAUUCACAUCAUCCUGGUUAGGCUACAACGUACGUCUAAAGGUUAGCACUGCUCUACUUUCAUAAAAGGUGAAUAAGAUAUAAGACAUGAAGAGUAUCUGAGGCAAGAUGGGUGAACAAAUCGUAGAGGUUCUUUAAGGCUUGGAUGGACUAGUAGAAGGUGAUUAGUUUUGUGGAACUAGAAGCCUGACAACAUGCUUGGAGGAAGUAGCAUGUAGAAGGUCAACAGUCAAUUCAACGUGAAGGGUGAAAAGACUUUUUUUUUGGGUUAUGCAUUAAAUAGUAAAGCAUAUAGAUUUUCUAAUCUCGGUAUUAAUCCUAUUUUUGAAGCAAUUGACGCUGAAUUUUUGAACGUUUAACAAUAAAAGAUACUAAGUCUCUCGAAAUUGACAAAAUAUUAGGAAGUUAAAGUUUCUCUUUAGAUAAAGGAAAACAAGUUAUAAUUGAACAAUAUCCUUCUUUUCUAAAGAAUCUUCCUCAAUCAAAGAAAAACAAGUCUAUAACGGAUGCACACAUAUGGAAGAUGGCAUUGGAUGAUGAGAUAAAAUCUAUCAAGCGAAAUAAUACAGGGUCAUCAACUAAUCUUCCUCCUAACAAUAGAACUAUACGUAAGGCAGGAUUCGUGGCUAAAAGGUAUUGUGAAAAAGGAGGACUUGACUACUUUGAUGUUUAUUCUCUGGUAACAAGGCUUACAACAAUUAGAAAAAUGAUGGCUUUAGGUUCAAAAGUAGUUUGGUAAUUGAUCGAAUGGACGUUCAAACUGCCUCUCAAAAUGGUGAUUUAGAUGGAGAAAUUUAUAUCCACAGGGCUAUAUAGAAAUUGGUCAAGAAGAUAUAGUUUGUAAAUUGAAUAAAUUUUUGUGUGGACUCAAACAAUCACCUAGACAAUAGUAUAAAAAGUUUAAUGGAGAAAUUGAAUAUUUUGAUUUUAAAGCCAGUAAAGCUGUGAAUUGUGCUUUCGCAAAAGUCACAAAUAACGGUUGUGUUGUUAUUACUCUUUAUAUUAAUGAGUUACUUAUUUUUGGAUCAAAUUCGGAAAUUGUUGAGAAGACUGCAUCUUACACAUAUAAUUAUUUUAGACUUCAAAAGAUUGGUAUUGUGGAUGUGAUUUUGGGAAUUAAGGUCAAAUCAGAACUGGGCCUUUUGCUUUUCAUCGCCAAUCAGAAAAUAUAAUAAAUAAAAUGUUUUUGACUCAAUCACAUUUUAAGAAAAAAGCGCUUAGUAGAUUAGGUUUUCCUAAUUGUGAAACAAGUGGUGUGCCUUUGGGUCCUAUUGAGUUAAUAUAAUGAUAAAUCAACUGAUCAAGAACACUAUGCUAAGAUAACCUGAUGUCUUAUGUAUGCUAGGAAUGCCACAAGACUUGAUAUUGCACAUGCGGUAGGAAAAAUAAGUUGAUUUACUUCUAAUUUUUUAUUUACUUAAUUUUCAGUGCAUCUCAUUUGAAGGUAUUUGACAAAUUAAUGCAAAAAUUUAAAAGAAGAAAUUAUUUGGGCUGAGUGAUUAUUAAGAAAUACUCUCUUUUCUGCAUACUCCUUUGCGUCCUAUAACGAUCUAUUGUGACAAUAAGGCAACGAUUUACAUCACCAUAUUGGGAAAACGGUGAAGGAAGGUAAAACUUGUAGUUGAGUACAUGCCAAUCGAGUCAAUGUUGGCUGAUCCUCUUACAAAGAGAUCAAUUUGUGCAAACCAAUCAAAAGCUUUGAAGGAGAUGCGACUAGCACCAAUCAUUUAAGGAUUCGCUGAUUGUAGCCUUCUCUUUGUUUGUAUUGCAUAUGAGUUGAGAGUUUAGUGGAAAUUUAAAGGUAAAUUGUCCAAUUAGUCCUAAAUCUAUUAUAUGGAUUAAAAUAGUCAUAUGAUCAAUUUUCGCCGAAAAAUCUCAGAAAUGGUGGUGUGAAUGUAGGAUGACUGGUGAUAAUUGAACUGUCCCGGCAACAAUCUUAGAUAAAAAUUGAUCAAAAGAAUUAUAUUGGAAGUUUGAGCAAUGGUUUAGAAUUAAAUUGGUAUAGUAAGACAAAUUAUGACAAAAUUGACAUUUAUAUAAUAAGUUUAGAAUUAAUUGGGUAAUUUUUCCAAAAUUUUAAUCAAUUGAUUGAUAUGUUGACGAUUACAUUUCUUGUGCAGAUUAGUGGCUAAUAAUAUUUCGCCAAUGAAUCCAUAGCACAAUGGAGCAAAAAUGGUGGUUCGAAUGCUUAUGAUGGAAUUUUCUUUUAUUAGUCUGGCCUAAUGUACAAAGUGGUCCGUGAACUUUUAAUGCAUGUUUAAUAUGGUCCUUGAAAUUUAUGAAAAUGUUCAAUGUUAUUUGUGGUCUAUUAAUGGAAGGGCAAUAUUGAAUAUUUUCAUAAAAUUCAAGGACCAUAUUAAACAUGCAUUAAAAGUUCAGGGGUUACAAAUAAAUUAAAAGUUCAAGAAACACAUUAGACUAAUUGAAUAAAUUAAAAUUUUAAGGAUUAUAUUGUAUAUUGGGCCAAAGUUUAUAGACCAUUUAUGUCAUUUUCCCUAUGAUCUAUAAUGCACUGCCUUUAAAAGUUUGCUCACCGCGUCAACGUACCUUUUUUUCCGAGAUAAAAAGAAGAAAAGGAAAAAUUGCUAGGACAAGGAAAAAGAAUUUUAAAGGAAAAUUAAUAUAAAUGGUCCAUAUACUUUGACUCAAUGUGCCAUGUGGUUCUCAACCUUUUAAUUUAUUUGAUGUGAUCCUUAAACAUUAAUCCAAUGUGCAAUGUUAUUUUUGAAUUUUUAAUUUUUUCAAUGUGGUCCAUAGACUUUUGGUACAUGCUCGAUUUAGUCAAUGGACUAUAUAAAAAUGUUUCUCUGAAGUUAAAUUAAUAAAAAUAUAACGUUGAACAUUUUCAUAUAGUUCAAGAAUUAUAUUGAACAUGUACCAAAAGUUCAAAGAUCACAUUGAACAAAUUAAAAUUUAUUGGACUAUAUUAAAUAAAUUAAAAAUUGAAAGAUCACAUUGCACAUUAGAAUAAAAUUCAUAGAAUAUUUGUGUUAUUAUUCUGAUUUUAAAAAGACUGCUAAUUCAGAAACAACUUUAUGGCCAAAAAGUAAGGCAUCUAAUUCUUGGGGACACUAAAAGUAUUCAUUUGAACCCGCGAACAUGGAGGUUGUGGCCUUGUGUGACAGCAAAUCUCCAUCGGAGUUAGCCAACUACGGUCGUGACCUCCAUGGCUGUGGCUCUCUCUCUCUCUCUCUCUAAAAAUCCAUCCAUCGGCUGGAGACGAGGCCCAUUUGUUUUUGAGAAAACAUUUUCAGUUCAUCAAAAAAAAAAAAAAACUGUUUUCGAUUUCCAUAUUUGUAUUUUCGCAAAAGCAUGUCUAGUAUGAAAUUUUUUUGGAUAAGUGCACUAAAAACCUUAAAACUAGCCAUGGAAGUGCAAUUGAAUUCUAAAAUUUACAAAAAGUGCAAUCAAGUUUUAAAGUUUGUGUAGAAAUGCUCUUAAAAUUUUUAUCCAGUUAGUAUAACGUAAUUUUCAUUCAGCAAAAUUGCUCUUAAAAUGUCAAUUCACUUAAUGGAAAUAUUACAAUAAAAUUAAAAGUCAUAAAAGGGGAAAAAUAAAUCCCAUUUUAUGCGAGAUUUAACUGUAGUUUAUGUAGCAUUAUUCCCACUUCAAAAAAUAAAAAAUGGUGACACGAAAUUGAAGAAUCUCUAAGAAAAUUAAAUUAAUGUAGCUUAUAGAAGUAUAAUAAAAUAUUCAUUUAAUUUGACAUUAAAGAGAAUUGAGAAAUCAAUCAGACUAUCAACAGAGAAAAGUUACACUAAAUCCACUUAAUAUAAAAAUAAAAACUAAAGCUUUUGCUAAGAUGCAAUGGUAAUUUUUCGUAAUCCAAGGGCACAACAGUAGUUAACCCGCUACUUUAUGGGUAACUAGUACGGCAACCCACCACCAAUAACCCCCGCUCAAGAUAUAAUGUGGUAAAUAAAGAAAAAUCACUAAUAAACUGUUUUCAGCCCCGAUCAAACCUUAGAUUCAAUGUUUUUCAGGGAGAAAUUUAAACAGCAAGCAUGCUCACCAAUAAUUAAAAUAAUCGUCAGGAAAAAGAAAUGCACUUUAGUAUGUGUAAAAAUUGCAUAUCAUAUCAUUUCCUAAAUUUAAUUUGUUUUAUCUUUGUCAUAUAAUCUUUGUUAUAUGUAAAUGCCUGUUUAUUUCUUCCAUAACGAAACACUUAACCAAUAAACUAUCAUCCUCUUGAACUGCCGUGUCCAUCUUCCGUCAUGUCUCUUUUGUUUACCAUUUCUAAUUUGCAUCAUAACCAAAUUGUUCUUGUGUUGUUUCCUAAGCAGAAUCUAUUUUAUUAAGGUCUCUUUUUAUGUACCAUGCUGUGAAAGUUAGGCGUGCAAUAAUUGCCCUUUCCACGACAUUCUCUAAAGGGAAGAUAAAGAUAGACUCGAAUUUAAGCAGAUCCUUAAAAGGUUCAAGAAUAAUAAACAUGUGAGAGAUUCGUCAUAAGGUGGGAGAUCCUACAAUGUCGUCCUUGAAUUCCCUCUUUAGAUAAGAUUUUAGAGGGGAUGGCGAAGGUCAAUAUCAUGUCGAGAUUUUGAACGCCGAUUAGGUAGACAUAAUAACCUUGUGGGCUUGAGAUGAGAGGGGACAGGUGAAAUGCCUACCGCUGGGUUGGCACGGCCUUACGGCCAAGUCAUCUUAAAUAGGCGUGCUGCCAGCCCCAGUACCUCCAGUUAAGUAGUCAAGUGUGCUGGAUGUCACGCACCUCCCCCAUAAAUGUUGUGAAAUUUAGGCGUGCAAUAAUUGCCCUUUUCCGCACAGCAUGCAUCCAGCGGUUCCAAUUAUAGCACGACGGGUCUUGGACCCGUAGAUGGCAAGAACUCAGACAGACAUUGUUCCAAGCAGAGAAAUUAUUGGGUACGUCUCACACUCCAACUUGGCAAACAAGAAGGCGAUGAGAGCGCAACACGUGCCCUCAUGGGACCCAAAUUCUGGAGAGAAAAAGAGGCACCAAUUUGAAAAUAUUUUCAGUCCUGGUUUUCUUUCUUCACGCCUCUCUCUCUACCCUCGCUCUCUUUGCCCAACAAACUCCCUCUCUCUCUCUACACCCUCCCUCUUUCUGACCGGCGAACCACCGCGAGCAACUGACGAACCAGGAGGAUCCUAGUGAGACAACCGGGAGCAACCGACUGACAUGCGACCUCCCUCUCUCUCUCUCUCUGCCCUCCCUCUUUUCGACCGGUGAACCACCACGAGCAACCGACGAACCAGGAGGAUACCAGUGAGACGACUCUCUUUCUCUCUGCCCUCUGGCGUGCGACCUCCCUCUCUCUCUCUCUCUCUCUGCCCUCCCUCUUUCCGACCUAUGCAAAACAAGCGUUGAAAGAUGGUUUUUGGGCCAAAACAAGCGUUGAAAGAUGCAAAUGAUCAAUGUGUCCUCCUUUUCAAUGAAGUUCAGAAGGCAUGGAAGGUCUCCUAUACUCUGCAGUCAGAUUACUUGUGCCAUUCCAUGUGGGAUAAGUACAUUGAAUUUGAACUAUCCCAGCAACAGUGGAGCUAUCUCACUCAGAUUUAUGUGCAGACUCUGAGAUUUCCUACCAAAAAGUUACAACAUUACUAUGACAGGUAUUUCUCUGAGCUUCAUCCUUACAAAUAGAUUUUAUACAAAAGGAGUGAUAUGAUGUUAAUUUUAGGCCUUUUUCUGUUGACCCAUUAUCUUUUCCAUUUCAUGUCAAGUUGCAUUGUCUCUAAACCUUCUUGAUUUGAAGUCUUUGUUGGAGAAACGUUUGCUAGUAAUGCACUGUUCAUUCUACUCCAUGGUCUGAUAGCAAACACAGCAUAUUGGUACCUUAUUUCUUAAUUUUUGGUGAAAGAAGCCUAUUUUGUGAGAGUUUGAACUGUGAAGUCUAGGUAAAGCACCUAUUCUGCAUAGUAAUGGGAAAGUGUCAAACUUGUAAUAAGUGAUAAUGCUUAGGUGGAACCCUUUGUGUUGUUUAUAUGGCCAAUAUUCAUAUAUUUGGCCAUAGAUCACAAUUUGCAGCAAUUUCAUUCAGAUUCCUAUAUACAUGAUUGAACAGGAGGUCUGAAUCCUAGCUUUUCAUGCUUUGCUUAGUGCAAAUGACGUGCUGCAUCUUUUGGGGACACACUUCACCAUAAGGAAUGUAAUUGAUAUGAACACUAGUUUGAUUACAUAACAGCCAAGUCAGAGCAUAGAUAAGUUGUAUUUAUGACUAUAAUUUGUAGAUUUGGCCAUAGAUAGCAAGUUGUAGCAACUUCUUUCAGAUUGCAAUAUAUGGUUCAACAGGCGGUUUGGAUCCUAGCUAAUGCUUUGCUUAGUGGAAGUCAUAUCCUUGCUGCAACUUGAGGAACUCAAGUUGGGACAACGAAUGUAAUUGAUACAAGCAAAAAGCUAUAUUACAUAAUAGCCAUGUCUGAGCAUGUGAAUUUCCUGCCAUUUUUCUUAGCACCUAACAAACCUUCAUAUAAACCAUUAACACGUGAUUGAGAGCUCUAAAAUGAUCAUUGACUUUCUCAGGGAGAAAAAUAGCACCUCUUUUGGUUGAAUUAUAAGAGGACACUGAAUCAUUAUUUGCCUGCCUUAUUAUGUUCAUUAAUAAUAAUUGAAGGAUAAUUGAGUGACUGCAAAAUAUUGAAAAAUUUGAUCUGCAUAUUCAUGUACGAUACUAUCAAUUCUGUGUUUGGUAAGAUCAUGGCAUGAUGCAAUGGAAAGUUAUGACUUGUACUUCAAUUAUCUUGAUGGCUACAUCUAAAUAAGAAUUUGCAUGUUCUGUCUUUUAAUAUUGUACGGCUACGCCUGUUCCUUAAAGAUGAACAAGACACCCCAAUUCCGAUGGAUGCUCUCUCAUAAGUUGCCUCACCAGGUCACCUCCUUUUUGGAGGUGGCAAUUCAUAGUCGAUUUUAUGUUCCAUUUACUGUGUUAUGGCAUUGUCUCUAUGUUGAUCUCAGGAAAUAUAGAAAGGACAAGAGAAUACUUUUCACAUGUACCUGCUAUGCUUUUGGAUAUUUAUUUUGUUCUAUGUUGUUAACUUCCUUUAUCUUUCUUCUUUUACCUUUUCAGCUUUAAGAAGUUAGUUACUGUUGGGAUUGUCAGAUUCCCAAAAACCGGAUUCGACACUAAAUUGAACCCCUAAAACGAAUGCGGAAGACGACCCGGGAAAAACACAUGCAUCACCAAUCCUAAGACACAUCACAGAAUUGAACGUACCUUAUUAGCCACAGAUUAAACACCGACGCCGAUAUGAAGAAGAGAAACUGAUCCCGUUCGAUUCGAUGACGCGAAUUUGCCUUGAAGGGAAGAGAGCGUCGCCUUUUGCUUACUGUUUUUCUUUUGGAGGUGUUUCAAGGGAGAGAGGGAAGGAGGAACGUACGUUAUGCCAAAAGGUACGUUCCUCCCUCUUUAUUUCUCCUUUAUAUACAUCCCCUCCAAAAAGAAACGUGUCCCUUCAUCAUAUCCCUUCAUCCAUGGGCCCUAAUCUUGUGGGCCAGACUUUUAAACCCAACAUGGGCGGACGGGCCAACUUAGGCCCAUCACAAUAAUUAAUAAAACCAUUAUUUCCCACUCGCACAUGGUGGGCUGAACAGGAUUCUCUUUAUCUCUCUUCAACAUUCAUACUGGUGAAUAAUCCGUGCGACCAGCAUACUUUGAGAGCUCGUUGUUAUACAUCUAUCAUGAAUAUAUAACAGCUCAUAAUGAGCAUCACACUCUGAGUAGAUUUAGUAUGCAGUACCCUAGAUCGAUCAAUCACAUUUAUAUCUCUCUUGAUCUCUUUUAAACAAUGAUAUAUAUAUAUAUAUAUAUAUAUAUAUAUAUUGUAUUCACAAUUAUGAUUAUCUCAAAGACAGUCAUAAUUGGUCGAUCAGUGAAUACAAAACUAUAAUGUGAUUCUCCAAAUUCGAUCUUCCUCUUUCCUUCAAACUCUUAAUCUCAGUUCAGUUUGCUUUUCUAGAAAUGUCCCAUUAGAUUGAAUCAACUCAUGACCAUUGGCAACAUCCUAAGAUAGCAAACACUAAAUAGAAAUCUUGAGAAUAAGUAAAAGUCAUGAGGGUACUAAAAUUGAGGAACUCUUUUCCUCAAGAGUCUCACACGGCAUAAGAGUUGAGAUCAAACUUUUGCCACUCUUAUUGGUCGUCUCAUGCAUACAUAGUAUGAAAUACGUAUUACGGUAUUAGCUCAUUUCCCAUUGAGCGUAUGUCUACAUCUUCAAUACCGUACAGAUGAUAGUUCAAACAUAUCUAAUAUCUAACUUGAGUUCACAUAUCUAUUCAUUCACAAAAUUCAUCAGAACUCACAUCUAACAUCAUAGACAAAUAAAGUAAAAUAUGUGGGUUAUAUUACUUUCGGACAUAGUAAAUAUUAUGUCAUCAUCUUCACACUUAGCUAAGGCGACAAAUAUAUUUUAAGCUUGAGCUCUCGAUUAUCACCUAGAUAAUAAACUUAAAAAACGUCUCAUCUCUAUUUAUCACAUAGUAUAUAAAGGCAAUUACCCGUGUGAGUUGGCCAAUCUUAUAUCUGUCCGACAUACUUUCUUAACUUAAAGUAAUGCACUGAGCAUUAAGAUGCAUAAAGAUCAAACAAAGAUUCAUAGACAUUAAUAAUGAAAAAACACUAGUUACUAAAUGUGAACAACUUAGGGAAAUUACAAUCUAGUACAUCAGACUCUAUGCAAUCCUAGAGAUUUUACAUGACCACAAAACACAUAUUUAGGUAUUGGCUUUGUCAUUGGAUCUGCUAUCAUUUUAUGUGUAGAUAUGUAUUGUAAGUUCACAUUCUUUCGUGCAAUCAUAUCUUUGACAAAGUUAUACUUAGUAUCUAUAUGUUUGGUCUUGCCAUGAUAUUUUGGAUCUUUUGUGUAUACUAUAGCUGCUUGGCUAUCACAGUUAACCAAUAAUGGAUUUGUAGCUUUCUCAAUAACACCUAAAUGAUCCAAAAAUCUCUUAAGCCAAACUCCUUCUUGUACCGCUACUGAUAAUGCCACAAACUCAGCUUCCAUCAUGGACAAGGCUAUAGACGUUUGCUUCUUACUGCUCCAUGAUAUGGCGCCAUUGUUCAAUAAGAAAGCAAAUCCAAAGGUAGAUUUUCUUUCAUCUAAAUCUCCUCCCCAAUCAGCAUCUGAAUAGCCUUCAAGUCGCAGAUCCUUUCCUUGGUAAUUCAACUUGUAAUCAGCAGUUCUCUUCAGAUACCUCGGUAUUCUUUUAACGGCCUUCCAAUGUGCUUGACCUGGGUUGGAUUGGUAUCUACUCACCAUUCCAACUGCAAAACAUAUGUCAAGUCUUGAUUGAUCUUUGGAUCUUUUGAUAUGAUCACAAAUUGAUCUUUGGAUCUUUUGAUAUAUACACAAUGAUCCUCAUCUAUCAUUGUAAAAUCAUAUGCCAUUAUGGCAUUAUGAAAACGUAUAUACGAUUGUCUCGAUGACUGCUUAAGACCGUAUAUCAAUCUCAAAAGUCAACAUACCUUUCCAUCUUGGCCUUCUUUAGUGAAACCAACAGGUUGUUCCAUAAAUAUUUCUUCCUCUAAUUCUCCAUUGAGAAAAGUGGUCUUUACAUCCAUUUGAUGUAACUCAAGAUCCAUACUAGCCACUAUUGCCAGAAUAAUGCGAAUCGAAGUAAAUCUCACUACAAGAGAAAAUGUUUUUUCAUAAUCAAUUCUUUCAUGUUGAUUAUACCCCUUCACCAUAAGGCAAGUCUUAUGCCUUUCUAUCGAGCCAUCAGUUUUUCACUUUAUUUUGAAAACCUAUUUAUUCCCAAUAGCUUUGCGUCCUUUUUGGAAGAUCAAUCAGUUCCUUGGUUUGACUUCAUUGACUCAAUCUCCUCUUCCAUUACAUGAAUCAAUUUUUCCUUACUAGGGCAACUUAAAGUCUCAUUAAUAUUUCUUGACUCAUCCUCAUCUUGCGGAGCAAUCAUAAAAGUUUCCCCUUCAAUGUCAAAACGUCGACGGUGAAUACUUUUGCGACUUGUUCGCCGUAUGGGAGAUUGUGCAUUUUGCACAUUGUUCCCCAUUAUGCUCCCACUAGGAUUAGAUAAUGUUAAUGUCGUCUCAUCAUGUGGUUGUAAUUGAGAAUGAGUUGAAUUCGAUUUAUCAUUUCUCAUAUUACUCCCACUUGGACGAAUUCCAUUAAUAUCAUUAUCUUGAUCCAAGGUUUUAAAUAGGGAAUAAUCUUCCCCUAUUUCCCCAUUCUUGGGAAAUUCAUCCUCUAAGAAUGUGACAUCCCGUGAUUCAAAUUUAGUCAUACUCCCACUUUCCUACUCACCUAUGAACACAUAUCCUUUCGAGUGUUCGGAGUAUCUUAUGAAAAUACUAUUCUUUCCUUUGGGACCUAAUUCCCAAACUUGUGGGAGGACUCAUGAGUAUAGGCAGCACAACCCCAUGGCUUAAGAAAACUUAAGUCUGGUUUUCUACUUAUUCAUAACUCAUAUGAAAUGGAAGUAACUGAUUUGGAAGGCACUCGGUUAAGUAUAUAGGCAGCAGUUAACAAUGCAUCACUCCAAAAUGUGAUAGGUAAGUUAGCAUGUGCCAUCAUGGACUUAACUACUUUCAGUAGGGUUCUGUUUCUUCUCUCUGCAACACCAUUUUGUUGAGGAGUAUAUGGAAUAGACAACUGUUUUUCUAUUCCUUUCUCAUCACAUAAUUUUCUGAACUCAUUAGAUAAAUAUUCUCGACCUCGAUCGGAUCUCAAUGCUUUUAUUUUCUUGUCUAAUUGAUUUUCUACCAAAUUCAUAAAUUUUUUUAAACAACUCAAUGCUUCAGAUUUAUGAGAAAUCAAAUAGACAUAUCUGAAUCGAAUAUAAUCAUCUAUAAAAGUGAUGAAAUAAACAGCCCCAUGCCUUCCUCUCAUAUUCAUUGGACCACAUACGUCAGAAUGGAUUAAAUGCAGAGGAAAUUAAGCUCUUUUACCUUUUUCAAAUGGUUUCCUUAUCGUUUUCCCUACUAGGCAAUGCUCAUAUAUUGGCAAAUCGACUUUUUCAAUGUUGCCCAACAAGCCCUCUUUGGCUAGUCUAUUCAUACGUUGUUGGCUAAUAUGACCAAGUCUAGCAUGCCACACAUUCACAUUAUUAUCAUAUGAAUUAGGAGACAUGAGAAGGGAAUAACAAACAUUUGCAUUAACAUAGUCAAUAUCUAAUACAAUGAAACCAUCCAGAAAAUAACCACAAUCAUAGAAAUUUGUAUCCAAAAACAAAUCCACAUCUCUAUUAUGGAAGUUAAUAUUAAAACCUAGUUUAACCAACACUAAAAUAGACACUAAAUUCCAACGAAUCUCCGGAGCAUACAAUACAUCAUGUAGGAAGAAAGUGCAUCCAUCACGCAUGUUCAUUUGGCAAGUGCCAAUUCCUUUUUAUUUAACUCUGGAGUUGUUUCCCACAUAGAUCCACUUAGUUCCAGUUGGUACUCAUCGGAAUUCUACGAAUGAUUCUCUAUCCUUCGCUACAUGGUCUAUCGCUCCUAAAUCCACAGUCCAUAAAGGAUUAGACUCAGUUAAGAAUACAGAAUUCGACACAUAAGCAAAGUUCUGAAAAGUACAAGGGGUGUAUACCUUCUUUGGCUCACGACAGUCAUGAGCAUAGUGACCAUUCUUGUCACAAUUGUAAAGCUUCACCAUUGUAAGCUUAGGUUUCUUCCCUGAAGGACCUGCUUCAGGGAAGAAACAAGGGAUGUAUACCUUCUUUGGCUCAUGACAGUCGCGAGCAUAGUGACUAUUCUUGUCACAAUUGUAACACUUCACCCUUGUAAGCUUAGGUUUCCCUUUAUCGAACCAGUUAGGACGUUUGCACUUGGAGCUCGAAGCUCCAUGUGAGCUAGAACCAACAUGAUAGAUUUUAACUUCCGGCUUAGCCGCCAAGAGGCGGUCCUCUUCCAGCUCAAGAUGAUGCACUGCAUCCUCAAAGAUUUUGAUAUUUUCAUUAUAAGUCAUGUGCACCUUCAUAUGCUCCCAACUCUGAGGCAAGGAACGAAUCACUGCUUGCACUUGCUGCUCAUCAGUCAGGAAAUGGCCAGCAUUUUUCAGCUCAUUAAUCAUGUUUGACAUCUUUCUAAGAUGUUGCUUCAUGGUCUGACCAUGAGGCUUCUUAUAAGAGUUAAACCUAAUAGUGAGUUGUCUCAGUCUAGUCACCGAAGUAUGACCAAAUCUUGCUGCCAAUGCUUCCCACAUUUCCUUGGCAUUCUCAAAACGCCUAAACUCUCGCAUGACGACAUUUUCCAUGCUACUCAACAACGUAGUGCGAGCAAGAGAGUUCUUUCUUUUCCAUGCAACAAAUGCUUCAUUAUCUCUCUUGUGAUGUGCAGUGUUUCAUUCUUCAGGUUCUACCAUGGUCAGGUUAAGAGCUUCUAAUGCCUCUUGCUCUUCCAGCACAUAUUGGAUUUUCAUGUGCCAGAUUUCAUAGUUGUCGCCAUUGAGCUUUUCACCUUUGUUCAGCUCAGCAACUAUGCUCUUUGUAGCUGAAGCCAUUGAUUUGAACACAUUAGACAUAUAUGCACGAAUAAUUAAUGCCUAUCAUUUAUGCAUCCAUUUUGCACAAACCCAUCAUAUUAAUGAACAAUUUCAAGUAAGGUUUCAGAAUCAAAAGGUCACUAUGUUUCCAAUCAUCCUCCAAAAAUCCUAAUUUAAAAAUAUCAUUAAUAUAAUUAUCUUAUACAAAAUAAAUUCUAUGAAGCUACAAAAACUUCUAUGAACUACCAACAGCAAUCAACAAUAACAGAAAGCAAAUAAUAUUUGACAUCCAAUAGAAUAAUAAUGCUUUCACAUAAUACAACUAACAUAUCAGUUGCUACAUCAACAACAAUCAGGUAGUAAACAUUGCAUAAGAUGUCCACAAAGCACACUAAAUAAAGACCAGCCAAUACAUCUAACACCAAGUCAAUACACGAACUAAGAAAGAUCAUCUUUUGUUCAAUUUCUUGAUCUUUUCCCUUGUAAUAAUCCAGUAAUAAUCAUCUAUAAAAUCCAUCACAAUUUUCCUAUAUGAAGCGGCUCUAUUAACAUCCCAUAUGCGAUUCAACACUCCUUGCCAUUCUGGUGGAAGAGUGUUCAUGAAAAAUCGCACCAUCUUAGACUGUGACAAGGGACGACCAUUCCAUAUGACCUUUUGAAUUUUCACGUUGACUUCAAUGACGUGAUCGAUUAAGUCACCACUCUCCCAUCGAUGAUCAGUCAGCUCAGCUAUCAACGUAGAAAGCCUUUCUUUUUGUUCAUCGGUAAUUACACGAACAUGUGUGCACAACCUAAGGGGAGGCAUUGUUCCUGCAACAAAUGCAGAACAAAUAAGGGAUCACAUAUAAUCCACAUAGACUUAAUUGGAAAAAGAAACACAUUAUUUUCCUCUCUCUCUCUCUCUCUCUCUCCUUUUUUUUUUUUGUCAACAGUCAAAGUUAAUGGUCAAAGUCAACGGUCAACGGUUAGCCGGGUCGAGGUCAACGGGCGGUCGGGUCGGACCGAUCGAAUCGGACGGGCUGGACGGAUCGUUUGGCCCAGUCGGAUAAGUCGACCGGCAUGUGCCCCGCGUGUGCCGAGAUGACGUCACGAUGACGUCAUCCGGUGCAUGCGCAGCACGCGCCAGCACCACGCGCGUGCGUCGCACGCGCCUGUGGGGUACCGAAUCGAUGCGUUGCGCCGAUGACCCCCGUUUGUUCUGACCACGUGUGGCGAUGCGUCCAGCGGCAAUCUGCCACUCAUUUUUCUCGUCUUAGUGAGGGCUUCCUUCCUACGCUUUUAGAAAAAAUUUUUGACUUACAGAAAACCAAAAAGCCAGGCGAAUAGAAUCGGGUGUCGGGAUUUUUCUGCCCCUUAUCGGUGUCGGCCGAUUUUUUACAAAACUUCAAUAAAAGAUUAUUCAUAAACAUGAAAGGAGUCGGGAAAACAUGAAUUGGGGCUCUGAUACAAAUGUUGGGAUUGUCGGAUUCCCAAAAACCAGAUUCAACACUAAAUCAAACCCCUAAAACGAAUGCAGAAGACGACCCAGGAAAAACACAUGCAUCACCGAUCCUAAGGCACAUCACAGAAUUGAACGUACCUUGUUAGCCACGGAUUAAACACCGACGCCGGUAUAAGGAAGAGAAACUGAUCCCGUUCAAUCUGAUGACGCGAAUUUGCUUUGAAGGGAAGAGAGCGUCGCCUUUUGCUUACUAUUUUUCUUUUGGAGGUGUUUCAAGGGAGAGAGGGAAGGAGGAACGUACGUUAUACCAAAAGGUACGUUCAUCCCUUUUUAUUUCCCCCUUAUAUACGUCACAUCCAAAAAGAAACGUGUUCCUUCAUCAUAUCUCUUCAUCCAUGAGCCCUAAUCUUAUAGGCCGGGCUUUUAGGCCCAACAUAGGCGGACGGGCCAACUUAGGCCCAUCACAAUAAUUAAUAAAACCAUUAGUUACCAUUUGGAAAAAGGAGAUGGUAAGCACUAGUGAGCCUGACUUGGAAUUCAACCACGAAAGUGAGAUCCAGAGUGAAGUGCAAAUAUCUUAUAAAGAUGAGGAAAUUGCCAAUGUGGUUGGAAACUUGUUGGGUUCAUCCAAUGGCCUGGAUAGGUCAAGGGCACUUCACAAGUACAUGAAAAUAGGAGAAAAGCUUUACAAGGAGUCACACCAAAUGGAUGAAAAGAUUUGUGGCUUUGAGUCAUGCAUUCGGAGAUCUUAUUUCCAUAUGAAGCCCCUGGUUACUAAAAGUUGCUGCAUAUUUUUUUGAAAUUGCACACCAAUACUUGCUUCAACAAGUGAAUAUAGCAAAAUAUCUCUUAUUUUAUUUUUCUGACACAAGAUGUAUCCCCAAUUCUCCCAUUAGCUAACACAUAUUCUACCUACCUCAUGCGAAAAUAAGGAAAGACUACAAGAGGACCAUCCGUAGUAUUUCUCUCGGCCCUUCCUCAACAACUUACUAGAAACUUCGGAUAGAAACUGAAGUUGCGAGAGUGAAGAUGGUCUUCUCAACGUAGACGUUGGAGCACGCAAUCACUCACCUUUGUAAGACAAAAGGCAAACAAUUAACUCCUUCUACGGUAAGUUCCAUCGACGCUCAUUUGUACUUUAAUGAAGCUUACAAUUUGAUCACUGAACUUUGACUUCCAAUCACCGAAUCCAACUAAAUUUGAUUCAUUUUCAGUAGAUGCCUUCAGCCCAUCAACAUACUCCAACUAGCCUUUGAUCUGCAUCACGUUAAAAAAAAAAAAAAAAAACCGGGUGGCCGGCAUUAGCCAAAGCAGAAAAUUGACCAGUUCAGGGAACAAGAACAUCGCCUCCAAAGCUUCAAGGCUAGAGUACAAGAUUGGGUAACAUUUGUUCCCCAAAGCUAUGCCACUGCCACCUAAUUCAACUAAGUCCUAAAAUAUCAGCAAAUUAUUUUGAUUGAGUUGCGUUAAAUUAUUUUUUCAUUUGGUUGGUAAAUCACAUUGAAGAUUAUGUUAAUUCAUCCCAGAGCAUGCUGAUUUCUUUUGUUUUACUGUUUGCAAAAUUAAAUGCACAAAACAGAGUGCUAACAGCCUACCCUCAAAUGAACUAGAACCAUACUAUAUACUUAGUAAAGAGAGAACAAUAUAACAUUCGAAUAUCACCGCAAACCCAUUAGAGGAAAACACGCAGGCCAUCAGAGAAAAAGAGAGAAAAACGAAAUUACCUGGAUGUGGGAGAGGAGGGCUAGGGACUCAACCAAGGAGGGCGGGCGAGCAACUGGCGGGAUCGUGAUGCCGGCGGAACUGGAGAUCAACAGGCCGAUGGGUGUGAGGUGGUCGGGCGCCAACAUUCCAGCGUACAAGACAAGCCGGUGUCGGAUCUGGAGCUAGAGGGGGGGCGCGGUGGUUCGUCGAUCACGCGCUGGUUCGCAGCGAAGAGAGGGAGGGCAGACAGAGACACAAGGGGAGAGAAAGAGCAGGGGACAGACAAGUCAGGGCCAAAUACGGAGCCAGACGGGUGGCGCGGUGGUUCGCCGAUCGAAAAGAGAGAGGGUAGAGAGAGAGAGAGGGAGGUUGCACGCCGGUCGAUCGGAAGAGGGAGGUCGCAUGUUGGAGGGUAGAGAGAAAGAGAGGGAGGUCGCAUGCCGGUCUGUCGAAAAGAGGGAGGGCAGAGAGAGAGAGAGAGAGGUCGCACGCCGAUCAGUUGCUCGUGGUCAUCUCGUCGGUAUCCUCCUAGUUUGUCAGUUGCUCGCGGUGGUUUGCUGAUCGGAAAAGUGAGAGCAGAGAGAGAGAGGGAGUUCGUCGGGGAGAGAGAGCGAGUGUAGAGAGAGAGAGGCGCAUGAAAGACCUAAAAACCCUAGCUACAGUACAGAAACAUUUUCAAAAUGGCGCCUGACCUUAUGGGUCCCACGAGGACACAUGUCGUGCUCUCACCGCCUUCUUAUUUGCCAAGCUAGAGCGUGAAACAUAUCUAAUAAUUUCUCGUUCCUCCCGCGCCUCUUGCCUUGCCUCGAUAAGGAUAGCACCGCUCUUACCCUGGGCUCAGGCUAUGCUGCGUGACUGUCGUCGUAGCGCGGGGUCACCCAGACCCUCACCCUUAUCGAGCGAGGGUCAAGCCUAGUCAAGGACACUCACAAACAAAAACGGUCAUAUCAAAACCACUGGACGAAUGGGGGUCAACCACUGGACGAAACGAACUUCAGACAACAUGCCCAUUCCACCUCUACCUUUGUCUGCAUCCUCUUCACCAUUCUCAUUUGGCUUUUUGUCCGGCGUCCGGCAUUCCCCAUUCUGUCCGACUUUCCUCCUCUGUUUAUUUUCAAAAUUCUCGUACGCCUUCUUCGCCCUGCGUAUUGCUUGAAUCCCAGCGUCACAUUUUCUACAAAACCAUUUUCCCCUUGGAAUUGAGGUGCGUGGCGGUUUCAUGCAGUAGAUAUGAUAAGCUUGAUCACAACCAUCACACAAAACAAUUUUGUCAUCAUCUCGAUCCGUGAGGAAGCCUCUACACAAACAAGAAGGACAGUACCAACGAGAACUGUAGGACUUCAACUGCUUGGUUGUCAAGCACCUCCUAUGAUAAUACUUAUUGGGACAAAAAGGAUGCUCGCACAUCCUGAACUUCUCCCCGUUUUCAAUCUCAUGCCCGCAUAUUUUGCAUGUACUCGAGACUUUGGUCUCUUCAAAUGGGUUAAUCCCCAAAUCUGAGCUGCAAUUUGCAUCUUCCAACGUAGUAAGAGCCUCUUCAUCAGCAAACCCAUUGGCAGCACUCCUGGAAGCAUUCAAUUUCUCGCAGACAACACAGUUGUCAUGGGGAGAAGUGAUUCCGCUUUCCGUGCAACUAGCACAGUACCAACUUCUUGGUGGAAUCUCUUUCACUGCAGGCUCAAUGCGAGAGACAUGGUAUAUUUCCUCACAUGAAUCACAAACUAAACAUUCCAUUCCAUCAGCCUUCAGUUCACAAUGCCGACAGGUUCUUCCAUUAUAUGCACCACAUUCCUCUGUUUGCUCCAAUUUAGCAUCAACGAGAGCAUCCCUCCCAGAGACCUAUUCAAAAUAAACGACUUGUCAAGUCAUAUGCAGAAUUGACAAAAUCAUCAUUUCAAGAACUCUGGUCUAAGAGGAUUCGAUAUGAUCCUGAUAAUAGCUUCUGCUAAAGCUCGAGAUGUACUAAUCUCAUAGUGCAAAUACCAUAAAACAUAGGGUGAACAAACUAUUAGGUUCAUCAAUGAGUUUCUAAUUCAUAAAAUACAAAGUUAAACUCCUAGACAGAGGCAUCAAAGAUUACAAAAGGAAUACAAUAGCAAUGAAAGUAUAAAAUAAAAAGCAAACGGAUUAAUUUACAGAUUAAUUCGAUAAAUAAAUAGAUAAAAAGCACACGUUCCACGGCCUAUAAAGAAUGCCAUCAAUUUACAGAUUAAUUCGAUAUCAAAAUAAGUAAUAAACUCAAACAAACCUCAAGAAUACGUACUUUCUUCUCCCAUGGUACUACAAUGUACUUACAGUUUUUAAGGUCUUACUUUUUUUAAUCGAUGUCAUUUAAAGCAUGCACGUGUAGAGAGACUUUUUGGUUUAAUUAUAUACGUGUCUAAAUAAGUCUAAAUAACUCAAUAAAGGUCAUAUCUCUAUGACCAGCUAUAUCCCUUUCGAUGACAUGAAAAUGGUAAGGACUCGUGGCUUCGAAGAAUUUUUUUUAAAAAUGGCUUAGUAUAACUUCCUCUUUUUUUCUCGUGUCAUCUUCUUGCAUAGAUGUUGUCAAAUCACUAGUAAUGAACUUGCUAUCUUCGACUACGACGACGACCAAAAAAAAAAAAAAAAAAACUUGCUAUUAGGAUAAUACCANNNNNNNNNNNNNNNNNNNNNNNNNNNNNNNNNNNNNNNNNNNNNNNNNNNNNNNNNNNNNNNNNNNNNNNNNNNNNNNNNNNNNNNNNNNNNNNNNNNNNNNNNNNNNNNNNNNNNNNNNNNNNNNNNNNNNNNNNNNNNNNNNNNNNNNNNNNNNNNNNNNNNNNNNNNNNNNNNNNNNNNNNNNAAAUCCUAAAACUAUAAUAUGGCAGCUAAUUUAGUUUUAAACAUUUUAAUUGUGUCAAUUUAAUCCUAAAUUUUUUGACAACUCAUCAAUUAAGUCAUAAACCUUUCGAUUGUGUCAAUUUAGUCUUAAAACUUUUAUUUAACCAAUUUCCAAUAUAAUCCUUCUAACUAAUUUCAGCUAUAAAUUGCCGAUCUAAUAGUCUAGUCAACACNNNNNNNNNNNNNNNNNNNNNNNNNNNNNNNNNNNNNNNNNNNNNNNNNNNNNNNNNNNNNNNNNNNNNNNNNNNNNNNNNNNNNNNNNNNNNNNNNNNNACUUUUCCCAGGCAAGUUGCCAAAAGAUUUAAGACCGAGUAGGCUGCUGUACAAGAGGUUUAGAAUUUUUUAGGCAAUUUUUCCUAUGAAUAAGGACAUUAGUCUCAAGUGAUCUCAAGUGAUUUUGCCUUUUUUUCCUGGGUUGAUUUAGUACUCCUUUUGGGUACACAAUUGUUCCUUCGGAGUCAAGCCAGCAUAGAAAAGUUUGCUAAGAAAAAAAAACUCGGAGCGCUUGCAUUCAUCUACGACAGCAUAAAUAGAUAAAUAGAUAGAUAUAUGUCAACUAGAAGUUUCAAUGAAACCUUUGUCGCGCCGAAACAUGAUGAACCCUUGCCCUAGCAGUUGUCCUCAACCAUGAGACGUUUUUUUGAUAAAUUUUUAUCUUUUUUUUCAACAACAUAUGCCAAUCUGCAUAUGUCUUUCUAGGGAAGUUGUGCCUCUUUUUUUUUUUUUUUGGCAAUUUAGCUUUUAGUUCUUGUUACAAUUUGCACUUAGAAAAUUCAAACAUAUUAUAUUUUGCACUAAAAAAUUCAUGCAUAUCUGCGCAAAGACCCUAUAUGAAACUAAAGUUUGAAACUUUUUUAAGAGCUCUUACUAGACACAAUUUGCCCAUGACGAGCUUAAUAUGGAUAACAAUAGAUCCGUUGUAAUGCAAUGUGUAGAUAUUUGCACUUAAUUAAUUUUGCACAUAUCUAUCGUUGAGGCCUAAUAUGAAACUUAAAUAGUUCAACAAUUUUGAAAAACUUAGAAUCAAUACAACAUGUCCAUGAUGAGUCCAACGUGGGUAUCGGAACGCAAGGCACAGGUACACUAUGCCUCUUGAACUUAUAUCUAGUUCCCGACCUAAUAUAAAUUUUGGAUAAAACAUGAUGAAGACAUCACUUAUAAACUUGAUUCGUGCUUAUGUAUAUGAUCUAUUGAGCUUACUUGAAAAGUAUAUGAGAAUCAUUGUAAAAGUAAAAGAAAUAUACAUGUCAAUUUUGUGUUUGCUAUAAUAAAUUCUUCUUUUAUUAGAAAUAAACUUAGCUAUUGAUAAGCAUAACAUAAGACAUAUUACAAGACAAAUGUUAUUGAGUUGGGGAGCCGCGAAAUACAAGUAGACGAAAGAAAUCAGUUGAAGUGGUAUGAAGUACAAUUGUCAAAAUAAUUACAUCAACAUUUUCCCUUGUAAAACCAAUAUAAACAUAUUCCUUAUGCUCAUUGAUUUACAUAAACAUUUUUAUUUUUAUUUUGUUUAAAUCGCCUUAUUGCAAAAUAUUAGGAUUACAAUCAAUGGAAAGUAAUUACUGAUACAAUACGAAGAAAUGGGAAACACAUAUACGUAGAAAUAUACCAAUAUCUCAAGAUUGAAGUACAUGGCAGAUAAAGCAUCGACAGUAUAUUUUUAAAACAAGUAAUUUGGGGUAUUUUGGUAAGAAGCUAUUUUCUUGAUAUAAUAGUAACCCUAGUGAAAAGCUAAAGGAAAAUUAACGAGAAAUCAAGAAGAGAUAAUAUAGUCAUCACUGAUACUAGAUAUACAAAAAGUAAAUUAAAGGGUUCAUGAAUCUAGUAUAUUUGUUUCUGGGCACUUCAUCAACGUUAUUCUGCAACUUGUGUAUAAAGGCAAAUAAAGGGAUUGCGAUGUCUUGUAUCAUAGAAAUUUGGAUUGAGACAACUGAAUGCAUCUUUAUCUCGGCGAUAAGAGUGAUUGAUCCUCCUGCACUGAAGUCAGCUCUACCUGUGCUUCCAAUUGCAUCGACAUUGGAAUCACACUCGAAACACAGAUAGAUCCAGUUCUAAUGCGAUUGAUCUCUUCUUCAUUUUGUCGGGCGACCAUGGGAUUUCGUAGUGAUCGUACUCGCUCCAAUUCUGUCGCCACUUGCUUCAUUGUAGGCCUGUACCUUCCAUGAAGUCGUAAGCAUCUUUUCACCAAGUUAGACACCGCAAUAAUUUCUUCAUUCUCGCCAUGGUCUAAUACCUCCUUAUCAAGAACAUCAAACAAGCGAUUCUCUUGAAUCGAAAUGAUGAAGUACGAGGCUAGAUUUCUAUCCUCUUCUGCCGUUAGUUGAAAAAUUGGCCGUUCUCCAGUUAGUAACUCGGCAAGGACAACUCCAAAGCUAUAGACAUCGCUCUUGUCCGUAAAUUGACUUGUUUGAUAGUAUUCGGGGUCCAAGUAUCCGAAGGUUCCUCGCACCUUUGUGGUCAAGUGUGUUUGGUCGAUGGGAAUCAAUUUGGAAGCUCCAAAAUCUGCCACUUUGGCUUGAUAUUUUUCAUCCAAAAGUAUAUUUGUUGACUUGAUAUCACGAUGAUAAAUCGGCAUGGCCGCAUCAAAGUGCAAAUAUGAAAGAGCCGUGGCAACUUCAUUGGCAAUUCUUAAUCGCAUUUCCCAUGGGACGGGAAAUUCUUCGUUUGGAUCAUGAAGAUGGCGGUAGAGAGUUCCAUUGGGGACAAAUUCAUAUACCAGAAGAGGGACUUCACUCUCCAAACAAAAUCCUAAUAGUUUGACCACAUUUCUGUGAUUGAUUUCAGAGAGAAUGACGAUUUCAUUAACGAACUGUUCAACUUGUCGUGCAUCAAUAACUUUGGAUUUCUUGACCGCAAUAAUUGUUCCGUCUAUCAACAUUCCCUUGUAAACAGCUCCUUGACCACCUUGACCCAAUAUUCGAUUCUUAUUGAAAUGGUCUGUAGCCCUGUCUAACACCGUUAAGGCAAACAACUUGCCUUUCUCCACAUGAUUGUCUUCAAUAGAAGUUAGGCGUUGUUGCAACAAAAAUCCGCCAUUACGUUUAAAGAAAUUUUGUUUGAGCUUUGCCUCACGCCUUCUUUUGAUGUAUUUGUUCAACCACCAACAAAGCAAAAGCAACAUUAUGGCUCCGGCACCCGUGCCUGCCCAUGUGUCCAAAAAGGUCAACGGGAAUUGCUACGUCAUCAUCAACAAAUUAGCUUCCACUAAUUUAACAAGUGCUUUUAAGCUUUGAAGAGAGAGAGACUAAAAGGAGGAUUAGCUCAACAAAAUAAUUCGAAAAUAUUAUGCAUCAUUUAUGGGUGAGAAACAAAGAUACAAUCAAAUUGCUAAAAGCAAAGACCAUGAAAUUACAAAUAAGAUUAUCCAAUAAGUCAUAAAUUUAUUAAACGACAGUCAAUUUAGUCAUAAAUCUUUCAAUUGUUCCAAUUUAGUCCUAAACAUUUUGACAAUUUUUCAAUUUAGUCCUAAACUUUUUAACAAUUUGUCAAUUUAGUCCUUUCAACCAAUUUUAGCCGAAAUCGCUUAUUAUCCUACGUGGCACGACAAGUGCUAAUGUGAAAAAAUUUUACAAUUUUUUUUUGCUUUGAUUUCAUUUUUCUUUUUUCUUUUUCCCUUUUCCUCUCUGUCGGCCUUGAGCGAGGGUCGCAGUUGCUGGCUCAAGUGAGGGACGACUGUGCCUAGGUUGCCAAGGGCAACCCUUGCCAACCCAAGCCCAGUCUACCCUCACCCGAGGCCGUCGACCUUCGCCAACCAUCAUCGAGGCUUGAUCAUGGCCGAUGGAGGGAAAAAGGGAAAAGGGGAAAAAAGAGAAGAAAAGAUAAAGUUCAAACAUAUUUAAAAGAAAAAAUUGCCCACAUCAUUGCCAAAAGAAUUAAAUUGGCAUGUUAUCAAAAGUUUUAAGAUUGAAUUGACAUAAUUGAAAAUUUUAGAAUUAAAUUAGUAAAUUUCCAAUAUAUUUAAGAAUAAAUUAGCACAAUUGAAAGAUUUAGAGCUAAAUUAAUCACCGUAGAAUAAUUUGAGAACUUUUUGGAUAAUUUUUUUUUAAAAAAAAAGCGCGUGCAAAUCCACAAUGCAAUUAGUGGCCUUCUUUCAACCAAAAUAAUAAUAACAAUAAUAAUCAAUCACCUCCUUAAUUUAGCCGCUUACUUCAUUUGAGAAAUGGGGGACUCCAAAAAAAAAGAAGCAAUUGCAGAGGUACUUGGGGAACGCAAUGGGGAGGGGCGGGGUUUACGCCCCUGUCCGCGACUUAAAACUAGUAGAGAUGUCCAUACGCACCUCAUGCCUCAUGCAGGACAAGUUUCUUUAUCCCAUCACCAUUCUCCCGAUCAUGUCAAGUUAAAAAAAAAAAAAUUCUAUAGGCGCAAUUCAUGAUUGUAAGAAUAUAAAAACGACGCAAAAAGGACAGGGACAAAAGAAAAUUGGACAACUACACCGGACCAAGGAAAUGGGACAUGCCUGGAUUGCACAAAAUAAAAUAAAAUAAAAUAUAUUAGUAAUCAGUUGUUCCUUUUCGAUCUGAGCUGUGCCGCCAUAAAUGUCGUUGGCGUCGCUGCUUGCUGCUGUCAAGAGACCACCCCAUGGAGGUUACGACUAUCAGUGAACAUCGUCGAGGGACUCUCUCUCUCUCUCUCUCUUUCUAAGAUUUGAGGUCACGCGACCAAGGCGGUGUCGCACUCCUAAGGCGGCAACAGAAACCACCGCGGUAUAAGGUUGUCUGCGUCGCCAUUUUCUCCCCUCAUUUUCUUUUACUCUAUUUCUAGCCUGCUCUCUUUCUCUAUGGGUUUAAUUUCUUUCUUCAAGUACUUUCUUUUUUUAUUAUUUAUUUGAAAUUUUUCUGUUCAGUUUUGAGUUCUCUUUAUCGUGACAGAGAGAUCAGUUCAUCAUCAAAAUCAACUGAUUUAAAUAGUGCUGUUUGAGACAGACACCCAAAUAACAUGAAAGAACAUACCAAAUAUAUUAUUAUGCUGAGAGCAUCUUAUGAUAAUCGAAAUGAUUCAAUGUAUUAAUCGGAUUAAACGUGCUUAAUUCUUUUUCAGCAACAAAAGGAUAAGUGAUUGAUUUUAUUAGUAACAAAUUGAAUUAUUUGAGAUGACAAUAUAUAAAUUAUCAAUGUAGUUCACAGACACAACUAAUUCAAAGAGAAAGAUUUACAUCCAAUAAAUCUCGAUAACUAAUAGCAAAAGAUGGAACAAUGACACAAGAACAACAUUUAAGAAAUGUGAAUAAUUUAUAAGAUAAAAGAAGUUUUAUGAUGAAAAAAUAUUGAGCAAUGUGUUCUACUUACUAACCUGGCACCAUGUAGAUUAAGCUAAACCACUUUUGAUGGAUGAUAGCAGUACAACCUUUCCCAUCUUUUCUUCCAUCUCCUCGGGAUCCCAUUGGACAUGAACAAUUAUACGUUCCCGGCAAGUUCGUACAUAUUCCAUUGCAGGGUUGUGAAAUCACGCAUUCAUUGAUGUCUGUAGGAAUAUUUCCAAAUAUAAGAAGCAAAUCUGACACCAUUUCAAUUGGAAGAAACUUGAAAAAGUAAAUAAAAUCUCAUGGUUCAGCAACACUUUCAAUUGUGAGAGGACAUAUUGAGUCAAUUUGCUUUUUCUAAUAUCAUGAUACCUCACCACAGUUUUUAAAUGAUGGGUCGUUAUCUCAAGAGCCUAAGCUUAACCAAGCACUUAGAUCUUCGUUACGAAUAGAAGAUUCAAGAAUUAUCCAACAAAAUUGUGCCGUUACCAACUAGAAUAACACAUCAUAUAGAAAAGAAUUCAAAAAUUACUGUCUAUAAAUACAGAAAAAUUCUGGAUGUAUUAACAUCAGUGCACGAAAUUGAUUUACAAGCUAAUUUGACCGACUCAUAUUGAGGGUUCACUAUAGAUCAUUUGUUUAUAAACUCAAUUGCAGUCGACCACCUUAGUUUGUAAAACAAUUGUACGGACUAAACUUAGGAGAGAAGAAUGUCUAGCUAUAUGAGGAAGGAUUACUGUGAAAAUUUACAAAUUAUUGCUAAGGGCUUCAUAGGUCAUAUUAAAUUUCAAGCAAUGAAAAUUCAUGCUACUGAAAGAAGAGAAAUGAUCGUGUUCUGCGGCCUAGAUUGUUAUGAUUUUUAAGAUUAUAAAUUUUACGUGAUUAUUACAAGAAUCAUUGAAAAGAUGUAUCAUUCAUGAAGUCAAAAUUUGGUCCUCUGACUUAAAAGUUUCGAACAAUUCCUUUCUCUAGGUUUUUCAUGCAAUUGGAUCCAUUUAACAUGCUCGCCCGUAUUGAAAUAAUGAUCCACGAUUCUAUACAUGAACACUUGUUCGGAUGGUCUAAUGAAAAGACUUGAAAAGGUACCUUGACAACCAUUCUGGAGAUAGGGGUUCCCUUGAAAACCCUUCAAGCAGUGGCACUGGUAGCCAUUUCCAUUCUCAGCAUCUGUACAAUUGGAGUUCUCUCGGCACAUGUAGGUCGUUGCAUUCUUCUUUGCAUCAUCGCAUGUUUGAUUUGGAAUUAACCAAUGGACAACUAGAGGGACCAUAUCAAAUGGCGGCUCGCGCAGAUUGUCCGUAGAGAAGCUAAAGAAGCCGUCUUGGGCAACGAAAGCGUAUCCGCACGGAUUGAAAUCAGAGAUGCCGCGAUGAUUGUUGUAGCUAGUGAGAGAGAUGUUGUAUCGGUAGACGUCUCGAGGUAUGCUAGUCUCGCAGCAACCAAUGCCUGAGCACGACCCAUUAAUCACGUCCGAGAUGCUGUCGCAUGAGGACAAGCACCCCGUCACAGACGUGCUUUCUUGUCGAGCGCUGAAGGUCGCGUACGUGUCGCAUCCCACGGCGAUAAAUUUGUUCUUGGCAGAAGAUAUGGGGAAUAUGGGAAGAUAGAAGUAAGGAUCAUUAUUGUACAAGGAUGUGCCGGACGAAUUAUAACAAUCUUUGGCUACAAACACCGUUACACUAAUCUCGUGACUCUCCAUAGAUAUAUCGAGUACUCGGAAAUAAGAAUCUUUACUGUACAUAUGAGAAGUGGGAGGAUCAGUCGAGUCGUUGCAAAAGAUGAGGAAAGACUCUGAUUCUUCUUUGAAGUAGCAAUCGUCGCCGGCAUCAUUCAUCCCGAAUGGGUACGCGAAGGUGAGGUUGCCACAUCUGUUCGCGCAUCCGGGCUUUGUUGUUUGGACUACAUCCGCAGUAACUACUGAGAAUAGAGCCACCAAUGAGCACAACAGCAGCACCACUCUCAAGGGAAGUCUAUGGAGCAGCAUGGAUCCACCCAUAUUCUUCCUGAAAUGAGAUGAUAUUUUGCAACGAGAUGAUGAGCUUCAUAGCCCGAUGACAACCUUUAUAAGCGAUGAUGGAGCUUCUAGAAAGCUAAAUAGUAUAUGCAUUAUUCAUAUUCCCCACUAUAUUGAUUGUCUUCGCGGUAAUUACAUCAUUACUAAUCAAUCAUACGGUUUUGUCCACUCUCUAUGGCUCUUCACUAAAGAAGCCUUGACAAGCCUGUCGUGAUUCACGUUGUGGCAUCGCAAUCAUUCGUAGGAAUUUCCAAACUGACUUGCAAAUAAUAAAAGUCGUGAUUAGAUAGAUAUCUUUUUCUUUUCAAUCUCAGAAUUAGUUUCGAUGGGUGGUGUUCAUAAACUAUUGCAUGCACAUCUCUAAUGUAUGAACUCCUUAAAUAUUUGUACAAAUAUAUCAACAUCGUAUUUAAAUCUUUAUGCGCAGAGUAAUAUUUCAAUUUAUGCUAUGUACAAUUAAAAAAAAAUUAGGUACAUCGAUAGUAAGUACUAAAGAUUAGUUAGAUAAAGCAAGAAACUGUUGAUUUGGGUCGGUUCGAAUUUGAAUUUGAAAAUCAAAACAGCACCAAACAACCCAAAUAUAGAAGAUGAAUGAGAACGAAAUUUGCGGUGUUUAGAUAUGAUUUGCUAAGUAAAAGGACUUCAAGAGUCCGAAAUUGAUUUUGAGAAUUUUCUCAGAUUCGCCUAUAAAGUUUCAAGUAAAUCCUAAGUCAAUGCCAUCAGUUUUCUUGGCAAUUUCUCACGUACGCGAGUCUGUCUCAUCAGGGUGUUUUCAUUAUCCUGCCAAGACUUGAAAAGUCAAGCAAGUAUGAAGCGUAUGCAAUGGGAGAUCACAACGCUAAAAUUCGUGAAAGGACUCAUUGCCCUCAAGGAAAGCUUAAGAGGUUUUAUAUUACAAAAUUAUCAACAAAAAAAUUCUAAACCUAUUAUACUUGUACAAAUUCAGUCAUAAAUUCUUCAAUUGUGCUAAUUAAAACUCAAACCUUUUGAAAGUUAACCGAUUUAAUUUUUUUUGAUCAAAUUGACUAGAAAUCGCUAUAGUAUAUAAUUUUUAUAAUUUUUGGGAAAUUGAUUUGGGACUUUGGGAAUUAAAACUGAUUUACAGAAAUUUCUUAUGGCCGAAUUGAAGUUCCAAGUAAACGCCAAGUCAAUGGGGUUGGUUUCCUCGACAAUUUCUUAUGUAGCACAAUAGGUCACAUCAGAAUUUGUUACUGCCCGCCAACUUUGACUGCGUCAUUGAUAGAUUCAGGGUGCUUUCAUUACAUUGCCAAGACUUGAGAAGUCUAGCAAAUCAACGGUAAGCGUAUGCAGUGGGGGAGAAAUCACAACCCCAAAACAAGAGAAUGAGAAAGAAGAAAAAUCAACAAGAGCAGAGUGGUUUGAGCUGGGGAUUGUUUGCAUGAAAUGUGUUUCAAGUUGCAUGGAUUUUAUAAUCUGAAAAUUUGUAUUUUCCUGUUUCUAGACUGUAUAUAUGCAUUCUAAAACGGAGUAAUUGGUAGCUUCAAAAUAAUUAAUCAACUAGCUUCAAAUAGGUAAAAUAUCAACUUUUUAAAUUGUUGUGUUACAAAAUUAAGAUGUUGAAAUAAGAUUCCGUUAUGUACUUUUAAACUAAGAAAAGAUACGUUGCAUGUGGAUUUUUUUUCCUUUUUCUAGGCUAACAUUUCCAACUAAUAUGGAUUGCGAAGGGAACAUUGUCCAAAUAGUCCUAAACCAAUUUAAUCCUAAACUUUUCAAUUUUGCCAAUUGAGUCAUAAACAUUUUCACAUUUUGCCAAUUCAAUCCUAAACCUUUUUCACUUCUUGCCAAUUGAAUCCAAUCAACCAAUUUUGGCUAGAAAUUACUGACGUGGACGACCGGUGCUAAAGUGGCACUUUUUAAAUAAUAUUUUUUUGAUUUUUUUUAUUAUUAUUAUUAUUAUUAUUAUUUUGAAUCUAAUCGGCAAAGGUUGUCGGCCAACCCUCGCUAGCCACAAGUAAGGGCCAACGAGCGAGAACCAACCAACCCUCACCAGCUCUGGUCGAGAGCGCACAAGCCCUCGCCUAGAAAUAACGAGGCUUGUGACGCCCUCACCAAAUCUAGCAAGGCAAGGGCUUGGUGACCCUCGCUGGCUCCAAGCAAGGGGAGUGACCUCGCUCAAGGCCUUUGCCUAGUUAGAUCUAGCGAGGGCGAUGACCUCACUUGAGGCCUUUGCCUAGCAUGCCCUCACCUUCGCUGCCUCACCUUCGCUGGCGAGGGCGUCACAACCCUCGCCCAAAGUUGGCGAGGGUCGACUGGCCCUCACCUAUGGCUAGUGAGGGUUGCCGACCCUCACCUAUGACUGACACUGGCCCUCACCUAUGGCCGAGGCCGGCCAAAUCCGAACCCCCCCCCCCCCCCAAAAAAAGCAAAAAAAAAGUUAAAAAAAAAAAUUCAUAAAAAUUCAAAAUAUUAUUAAAAUAUUAUUUAAAAAGUGCCACGUUAGCACCGGCCAUCCCUGUUAGCAAUUUCCAAUCAAAAUUGGCCGGAUAGAUUGAAUUGAUAAGAAGUGAAAAGAUUUAUGAUUGAAUUAGCAAAAUUGAAAUAUUUAUGACUGAAUUGGUAAAAGUGUAAUAGGUUGAUAACUUUUUGGAUAAUUUUCCCAAUUGUGGUUGAUACGCAUUUGUGGAGAAAUAUCAUCAUCAAGAGUUUAAUUUUUCUUUUCCUUUUUCUGGUCCAGUGACUGUAGUUAUUAGCUUAUUUUAAGCUGUGGAGUUAACAACGGCAGGUCCUGGAGACUUUCAUGAGACGAUUCCACUACAAAUCCUUGUGUGACGAAGUCUUUGUGCGGUGCGGUGCGCGUUUGAAUUUUUCAAAUGCACGAUUUAUUUGACAUAUAUUUCUUCAAUCUUUCGUCGCUGCUCAUCCGAACAAAACAGGCCAUUGUGGGCCAGAGACUGGUGCACAAUUGUCACAGAAAAGCUGCUCUUACUUUCCAAAUAAUCCAUGGGAAACAAUAAGUCUUGGUCUUCUCCUUUCCCAAUUGAUUUUUAUAGUAGGGUACAUUGGGGAUGUUACUUCUGCGCAGGGCAAAUUUUUUCUUUCGAGGCGUUGAUUAAUGCAAAAAGUGAAAGUUGAUAGCAAAAGGAGAAAACUUAACCUCUCUCUUUCAUCAAGAAAGAGACUUCUUGUUUAACUCUAUAUUUGAACAAUUCUAAAACUUAAUAAUUCACCUUAACUCUCAGUCGUCGGGCAGCAAUUAUCAAUGAAAAAAGCACACUAGUUCGUAAAUUUCAUCAGUUAAUUUAUAGUAAUAUAUAAUUAUCUUUGGCAAUGUCUCUCUACAAAUCCUUAAAAUUCUUUGGAGAGACUAAUUGAAAAUCCCAGCUGCCAACAUAAUUGGACGAUGCAUUGAGAGAUGAUGUGCAUCAAAACUCAAUAACUUAUUAAUGAGGGCUUUGACACUCUCCAUCAUAAGCAUCUAUAAACUUUUCAAACGGGUUCUUUGCCAACUAAUAAGCUAAUUACCAUUGUCAAAUUUCCAAUAGAAAUCUAGCCGCAGGAAAUUUUUUCAACACUCACAAAUUGACGCAUGAUGCCUACAUGGGUAGGUCGAAUUACUUCGAUAAUCCAAAUCUAUCAGAAAGAAAAUCGACAUUAUUUGGAGUCUUUCGUUGGAUAAUAGUAAAAUUGUAUCAGUUGAUAACAGAGCCUAAAUUUGGCUGGUCCAGCCGAUUUGAGAAGACAAGUGCAACAUCUCCAACAAGAAUUGGAGCAAUCUUGAUUGUUAAUGUCAUGCCCCGAACUCCGAGCGCACGUACAUUUCUCGGCGGUCGUUUAAAAAUUUGCGACGUCCUGCGACGCAUCGCCAACCCAUUCUUUUUAUCUUUCAAUUAAGUACAUGCAAGUGAACUAAAUACACCACCCAGUCAAAUUUGACCAAAAAUCACUAGUAUAUAAUUUUUAUAAUUUUUGGGAAAAGGCUAAGUCAAGGCGGUCGGUUUCCUUGGCAAUUUCUCAUGUGCAACAAUAUAUCUCGUCCGGAGUUAUUGCCCACCAACUUUGGGUGCAUCAUUGAUAGAGAGUAUAAAUGAGACAGGAUGCUUACUGCACCAAGACUUGAAAAGUUAAGCAAGUACUAAGCGUAUGCAAUGGGAGAUCACAGCUUGCACCAAGCUAAGCGUAUGCAAUGGGAGAUCACAGCUUGCACCAAGACUUGAAAAGUUAAGCAAGUACUAAGCGUAUGCAAUGGGAGAUCACAACUAGAAGUGAUUGGUUCUCGGAUGAUUUGGUUCCCACCCCAAAAAUCGAGUAUUGGACCAAAAGGAUUCUAAAACUGAACCGACCAAUCUAGUUCAGUUCCUACGUGGAUCAUGGAACCGGUGGCAUGUUCAGAUUUUUUUUUUUUUUUUUUACUGUUAUUUGUUAUUAAUGUUCAAGACGAAUUGAAGAUGUUCUUGAUAACCAAGACGUUUCUACAAUCAGUGAAUUACAUGUAGCAUUGUAGGUUUCACAUAAUUUUUUUUCCAAUUUGUGGCAAAACUUGGUUAGAAUGAGUAACUAUUGUUUAUGUUUUGAUUUGUUCUUGUCAUCUUACUCACAUGCGUGAGUGAAAUAGGAGUUGUGAGACUCGUGCUUGUCUGCAUGCGUGAGUGAAGUCCGAAAUAUGAGAUAGAUUAGGGUUUUUUUACAAAUUAAAGGAAAUUAAAAAAAAAAAAUUGGUCUAACCCAUGUGGGCAAUUCCACGCCUGAAACUGAGAAUCAGAUUGAAAUUCACUAGUUUCAAUUUUAUAGAAUUGAGAACUAGAUCGGUGCCCCCAGGAACCGCCCAAAACUGGCCAAUCUAGUCCCAUUUAAGUGGCUCCUUUUGCUUACCCCUAGUCAUAACUCUAAAAUAGAAGAAUGCCGAAGAAAAAUCAUGAAGAGCAAACUGCCUUGAGCUGGCGAUUGGUGAUGGGGUUUACACUCCUAGGAGUGAAAUUUCUAUUGCAUUCUGGAAAAAGAAUAACGCAUAUUUCAGAGUGAUUAAUCAACUAGUUUUAAAGAGGUAAAAACUAAACAUUUGCCAUUGCCGUGCUACGAAAAAUAAGAUUCUUAGAUAACAUUUCAUUCUAUACUUUUACAUUAAGAUAAGAUAUGUUGAACGUAGGUUUGUUUUUUUUAUUUUAUUUUUUAUCUUGGUCGUUGGCCUAGGAUUUCUAAUUAAAAAUAUGGACUGUGGGGAUACGUAUCUGUGGAGAAUCAUCAUUCCAAGGAAUUUAUUUUUCCUUCCAUCUAGUAUCCGUGUUGUAAAUCUUUUGUUGCAUUUCCAUAAUUUUGAGGAAAACACCAUCUUGCUGACAUCGUGGUAACGAAGAAAAACGCAAUCAUUAUUGCCAAAAGUCAUUUUGAAGAAACUAGGCUAAUCGAAUUAGGAGCAAAAUAGUGUCUCAUAUUGGACCUUAGUGUAAAUGUGACUUAAACUGGAAAAAGUAAAAAAAAAAAGUAUUAAAUCUAUUGUCAUGAUACCAAUUCAGCUCUUAACCUUUUAAAUAAUCAAUUUAAUUCUAAACUUUUUCAUAUUGAUACUAAUUUAGUCCAUCCGACUAAUUUAAGCCGAAAAUUGCCAAUGUGAAUGCCAGCUGUCCUACGUAACAUGACCGAUACUGGCGUGGAUAUUUUUAAUAAUAUUUUAAUAUUUAUUGAAUUUUUAAAAUCUUUUUUGCUUUUUCUUUUUUCGACCUCCCUCUUCUUUGCUUUUUCUUUUUGCCAGUGGCCAUUGCUANNNNNNNNNNNNNNNNNNNNNNNNNNNNNNNNNNNNNNNNNNNNNNNNNNNNNNNNNNNNNNNNNNNNNNNNNNNNNNNNNNNNNNNNNNNNNNNNNNNNNNNNNNNNNNNNNNNNNNNNNNNNNNNNNNNNNNNNNNNNNNNNNNNNNNNNNNNNNNNNNNNNNNNNNNNNNNNNNNNNNNNNNNNNNNNNNNNNNNNNNNNNNNNNNNNNNNNNNNNNNNNNNNNNNNNNNNNNNNNNNNNNNNNNNNNNNNNNNNNNNNNNNNNNNNNNNNNNNNNNNNNNNNNNNNNNNNNNNNNNNNNNNNNNNNNNNNNNNNNNNNNNNNNNNNNNNNNNNNNNNNCUCCUCAAAUCUAGCAAGGGGGCCUUACCUAGCCACACCUGGACGGCCGACGCUCCCUCUUGACCACGCCCUCGCCCAAAGAAAUUACCAUCAGAUAGUUGCAUAUAUGUCGCAUUGCUAUGUAUACAAAGAAAUUACCACUAUGCAAGGCGCCUAUUUAAGCAAAAACAUACGUUCUUCAUUCAAAUUAUUUGAUGGCAAAUUGAAUAUUAGUAUUGCGUUGCUGAUUGGAGAGCUUACCUUGUACUCUAACGAUUAUACCACACAUAAAUAGAUAAUGUUUCCUUUCGACAGAUUAGUUCUAGAAUAUAUAGAAUUAAUGAGUGUAAUAUCUUUUAACACACUGUUAUAAGGGCUUUGUGGCAGAACGUCAAUUGGAUAUAACAAAUGUGACUGUCCAUCAACAAAUUAACCUAGCCCGAACCAGUCAACCUACCCUAGCUAAAAACUAGUGAUUCAGGUUGGUUCCGUUUCGAUUUGAAAUCUGAAAAGAACAAAAUCUAACCAACCUAUAUAUAGCAGAAGAACAAAAUUUGCAGUGUCCAAAUCUACACAAUAGAAAACAUAAUCCUCAAAUCAAAUUACAUUUUCCAGUUCAAAGUAAAACCACAGAUAUGGUCCGAGAUCUUAUCAUUGCUAACUAAAAGGACUUUGGGAGUCUGAAAUUGAUUUUCAGAAAUUUCUGAUGGUCGACCGAAAGUUCCAAGUAAAUGCCAAGUCAAUGGGGUCGGUUUCCUCGACAAUUUCUUAUGUAGCACAAUAGGUCACAUCAGAAUUUGUUAUUGCCCGCCAACUUUGACUGCGUCAUCGAUAGAUGCAGGGUGCUUCCCUUACAUUGCCAAGAAGACUUGAGAAGUCUAGCAAAUCAACGGUAAGCGUAUGCAGUGGGGGAGAGAUCACAACCCCAAAACAAGAGAAUGAGAAAGAAGAAAAAUCAACAAGAGCAGAGUGGUUUGAGCUGGGGAUUGUCUGCAUGAAAUGUGUUUCAAGGGGGAUGGAUUUUAUAAUCUGAAAAUUUGUAUUUUCCUGUUUCUAGACUAUAUAUAUGAAUUCUAAAAAGGAGUAACUAGUAACUUCAAAAUAAUUAAUCAACUAGCUUCAAAGAGGUAAAAUAUCAAAUUUUUUAAUUGUUGUGUUACAAAAUUAAGAUGUUGAAAUAAGAUUCCGUCAUGUACUUUUAAGCUAAGAAAAGAUACGUCGCACGUGGAUAUUUUUUUCCUUUUUCUAGGCUAACAUUUCCAACUAAUAUGGAUUGUGAAGGGAACAUUGUCCAAAUAGUCAUAAACCUAUUGCACUUUUGUCAAUUUAGUCCUAAACUUUUCAAUUUUGCCAAUUGAGUCAUAAACAUUUUCACAUUUUUGCAAAUUUAAUCCUAAACAUUUUCACUUCUUGCCAAUUGAAUCAAUUCAACCAAUUUUGGCUAAAAAUUGCUGACAUGGACAACCGGCGCUAAUGUUGCACUUUUUCAAUAAUAUUUUUUAAUAUUUUUUAUUUUUUAUAUUUUUUUAUAUUUUUUAUAUUUUUUAUAUUUUAUAUUUUAUAUUUUAUAUUUUUGGUUUUGGAUCUAGUCGGCAAAGGUUGUCAACCAACCCUCACCAGCCACAAGCGAGGGCCAGCGAGUGAGAGCCAACCAACCCUCACUAGCUCUGGGUGAGGGCACACAAGCCCUCGCCUAGAAAUAGCAAGGCCUCUGACGCCCUCACCAAAUCUAGCAAGGCGAGGGCUUGGCAACCCUCACUAGCUCCAAGCAAGGGGGGUGACCUCGCUUAGGGCCUUUGCCUGGCUAGAUUUAGCGAGGGCGAUGACCUUGCUUGAGGCAUUUGCCUAUCAUGCCCUCACCUUCACUAGCAAGGGCGUCGCGACCCUCACCCAAAGCUCGCGAAGGGCACAAUGCCCUCGCCCAAAGUUGGCAAGGGUCGACUAGCCCUCGCCUAUGGCUAGUGAGGGUCGCCAACCUAUGACCAACGCUAGCCCUCGCCUAUGGCCGAGGCCGGCCAAAUCCGAACCCAAAAAAAAAAAAAAAAAAAGCAAAAAAAAGUUAAAAAAUAAAAAUCAUAAAAAAUUCAAAAUAUUAUUAAAAUAUUAUUUAAAAAGUGACACGUUAGCACCGGCCAUCCACAUUAGCAAUUUCCAGCCAAAAUUGGCCGGAUAGAUUGAAGUGAUAAGUGAAAAGAUUUAUGAUUGAAUUAACAAAAUUGAAAUAUUUAUGACUGAAUUGGUAAAAGUGCAAUAGGUUGAGGACUUUUUGGAUAAUUUUCCCGAUUCUGGUUGAUAUGUAUUUGUGGAGAAUUGUCAUCAUCAAGAAUUUAAUUUUUCUUUUCCUUUUUUCUGGUCUAGUGACUGUAGUUAUUAGCUUAUUUUAAGCUGCGGAGUUAGCAACGACAAGUCCUGGAGACUUUCAUGAGACGAUUCCACUACAAAUCCUUGUGUGACGAAGUCUUUGUGCGGUGUGGUGCGCGUAUAACUUUUCCAAAUGCACGAUUUAUUCAUAUAUUUCUUCAAUCUUUCAUCGCUGCUCAUCCGAAAAAACAGGCCAUCGUGGGCCAGAGACUGGUGCACAAUUGUCACAGAAGAGCUGCUCUUACUUUCCAAAUAAUCCACGGGAAACAAAAAGUCUUGAUCUUCUCCUUUCCCAAUCGAUUUUUAUAGUAUGGUACAUCGGGGAUGUUACUUCUACGCAUGGCAAAUUUUUUCUUUCGGGGCAUUGAUUAAAGCAAAAUUUGAAAUUGAUAGCGAAAGGAGAAGACCAAACCUCUCUCUUUCAUGAAGAAAGAGCUUCUUGUUUAACUCUAUAUUUGAACAAUUCUAAAACUUAAUAAUGCACCUUAACUCUCAGUCGUCGGGCAGCAAUUAUCAAUGAAAAAGGUACAUUAGUUCGUAAAUUUCAUCAGUUAACUUACAGUAAGGUAUAAUUAUCUUUAGUAAUGUCUCUCGACAAAUCUUUAGAAUUAUUUGGACAGACUAAUUGAAAAUCCCAGCCACCGACGUAAUUGGACGAUGCAUUGAGAGAUGAUUUGCAUCCAAACUCAAUAACUUAUUAAUGAGGGCGUUCACGCUCUCCAUCAUAAGCGUCUACAAACUUUUCAAACGGGUUCUUUGCCAACUAAUAAGCUAAGUACCCUUGUCAAAUUUCCAGUAGAAAUUUGGCAAUUUCCAGUAGAAAUUUUUUCAACACUAACAAAUUGACGCAUGAUGCCUACAUGGGCAAGUCGAAUUACUUCGAUGAUCUAAAUCUAUCAGUAAGAAAAUCAAAUUAUCUAGAGUCUUUCCUUGGGCAAUAGUAAAAUUGUAUCAGUUGUGUCACGCCCCGAACCUCGAGCGUGCCAACAUCCCACCAUGGUCAUGCAAUUGCGACAUUCCCAGGUAGUGUCGCCGACCCCAUUCAUUUAUUAUUGCGCAAGCGGAACGUAUUAUAAUCCCCUGACAAUGAAAUACGGGAUAGAAAAGCAGGAAACAAUUUCACAACCAAUCACUUACAUAAACCAACGGAGUUAUAGAAGAAGGCCUAGAGCCAAAAAUCUACAAAAGAAUGGCUCUUAAAAAGAGGUUAUCUUACGACCUACAAGUCGUACACGAUCUCCAAUCCUUAUGACUUCGCCUCUCCAACUCCUCAAGGCCAACCAAAGCUAUCUGGCCGCUCCGUCCUCCAGGGACCUGAAAUGGUUAUUCAAUAACCACUGAGACAAUGUCUCAGCAAGUUCAACCCCCUAAACCCCUAUUAGAAAGAAAAUACGCCCAAGGGUGGCAUAGCCACAUCACACAGAGAACUUACCUCGCCUCAAUUCUUUCCUGCAGGUUAGCACAAUUUGUAUCACACAAUCUCAGGUAGUAAUAAUAAUUCAAACAAUUGGAACGCCAUCACUUUCAUAUAAAUCACGAUCGCACUUUGCACGCAUCCCAAUUAUUAUUCACUGCCACACAAUGGCAUAGCCUACUCGCGGGUCGGCUAUCUACUAACAUUACGGCAUUUCUAGAAGAAUGAAGGUCCAGUCGGUCCCGCCACUAUUGCGACCAAGCCACGUCAUUCUAUCGACGGCAUUUCUAGAAGAACAAAGGUCCAGUCGGUCUCGCCACUACUGCGACCAAGCCACGUCAUUCUAUCGAAGGCAUUUCUAGAAGAACAAAGGUCCAGUCGGUCUCGCCAUUACUGCGACCAAGCCACGUCAUUCUAUCGACGGCAUUUCUAGUAGAACAAAGGUCCAGUCGGUCUCGCCACUACUGCGACCAAGCCACGUCAUUCUAUCGACGGCAUUUCUAGAAGAACAAAGGUCCAGUCGGUCUCGCCACUACUGCGACCAAGCCACGUCAUUCUAUCGACGGCAUUUCUAAAAGAAUAAGGAUCCAGUCGGCCUAGCCACUACUGCGACCCGAGCCUUUCAACUAGCACAUGACAAUUCGAUACCGAUCCUUGGAUACUUUACAUUUCACUCACAUAAUCCAAUUACGAUAUUAGCCAUUAACAAUCCAAUUUCAAUGCCGAACUCGACACUUGGGAUUUUAUGAAUAAAAUCCAUAUUUAUCACAAUCAACACUCAAUUUGCCACAAUCAAUCAUUAAAUUCAGAUUCUAAAUACACAGCAGCGAUCGGCACGAAAUUCUGAGAGUUUAGGGUCCCGACGAAAUUUUUUGAAUUUUAAUAAAUAAUUAAUUUUAUUCGGAAAAUUAAUUAAAUAAUAAUAUCCAUAUUUUUCGCAAUCCACACUCAAUUUAUAAUAUCCAACCAUCAAUUUCAAAAUCCGAAUACACAGCAGCGAUCGGCACGAAAUUCUGAGCAACCGAGGUCAAAAAUAAUUUUUUCGUUUUUUUUAAUAUUAUUUUAAUAAUUUCGGAAUAUAAUAUAAUAUUAUAAAUUCCAGAAUUUCGAAACAUUUAAAUAAAUCAAAAAUAAAACCUAUUAUGUCACAUCAAUGUUUAUUAUUAAAUGAACUCUCUUAGCAUUUAAUUAAACAUGCUUUAAAUUAAACAAACCUCUUAAUCUAAGUCACAAUUAAAUAAACUAAACUAACCACCUAAGCUUAAUUAACUUAAGCUAAUCACACCUAAAGCAUAAUUAACCCUCUAAGCGAGGUUUAGUGAGUUAAACUCACCGGAUUAGCGAGCUGAGCGGACCAAAACGACGAGGACGACGAGGGGAUCGACUUUCUCCAAAGCGGGCCAAGCAUCCGGGCUCGGGAAGGCGGCCAAAACGGGCCAAACGUCCGCUGCAUACCCAUUUUUCUUGGCUGCUGGUUGGGGCCGAGAGGGAGUAGAUCUGGCGCCGGUUUGGGCGGAGGAACGGCGGAGGAGGACCGGCGGGGCUUGGGCGGGCGAGGCGGCGGCCAGGCGAGGCCUCACGGUGGCCGGAGGUGGCUAAUCCGCAGCCUACAGCAGCCCAUGGAGGCGAGGACGAGCUGGAUCUCGGCGGAUGAGGGCAGCAAGCCGGUGAGACCGGUGGAGCGGCGUGCGAGCAUCCUCGCACGGACGGGCGACGACCGUGACGACGACGGCGAACGGCGGUGGCCGCGAUGAACGAGCGGAAGGGGGCGUCGGGCUAGCUGGCCUGCUGCUGAGUGGCGAACGAAGGCUGGAGGAGGCGGAGGCGGUGCGACGACGAGCGAGCAUGGCGACGGGCAUGCGAGCAAACGGUGACCGCGACGGCGAGCUCCGGCGAACGAGCGGCGUCGAGCGGCGAAGGGCAGGCGUCCGGCCGGUUGGCUUGGUCCGGCCGAAGCUCUCCCUCCUCCUCUUUCUCUCUCUUCCAAAGGUUGAAGAAGAAGUUGGAUCCAUCUCCUCCCUCCACUUGUCAAAUUCUUCUUCAUUUUGGCCAACCACCAUGACAUAGGGUGAUGUCACCUUCCACUAAAAUUCAAAUCCCACACAACUAUCUUCAAUAGGUCCAAUUUCAUUUUCCGCCGGGGCCUAAAACUUGUGCAACAAUUUCUUCAAUUCCACUUAAUUCUCUUCCAAUUAAAUCUUAAUCCCACUUGAAUUAAAUCAAAUUGACCCCCAUUAAUUCAUUCAACACCUCAUUAAUCAAAUUGGUAUUUUUCCUUACCACUGUGGCGUACUUGCAUCCCAAUUUCAUAAUCUCUGGCUUCAACUGAAUGAAAACGGCCCUAUUAUCCAGUCGAAAUUAAAACCCGAAAAUCUGGAUGUCACAACUCUUCCCCUCUUAUAAAAAUUUCGUCCUCGAAAUUUAAACCUUUACCAAUUCUUAACAAUAAGGUGGAGGUACAGUCGUCUCAUAUAACCUUUUCUUUCUCAGGUUGCUCCUUCGGUACCAAUGCUGCCAAAUCACUACUAUCUUGCCCAAACCACUUCGGAUUCAAAAUACUAAACACUUGCCCACUUAAUUUUUUUUUUUUUUAAAGGUCUUUAACACAAAAUCUACGAAGCUAAACUGGCAAUUCUGAGCGGUCUCAAGACUAUCCCUGAUAAUUGCAACUGAAUCACUGAUUCUUGACCCAACUCUAGACCUGCAAUUUUCUGAUCUCUGAUCUCAUCUCAACUGACUGAAAUCCGAUACACUCUGCUCUGCACUGAUUAAAAGAAACUAUCUGACUAAUCUGCUGAAACUGGGAUCCUCUGGUCAAGAUCUGAUAUAACUCUGACACUGAUCUUAGCAAUUGCAAUCACUGACUACUGUACAGACCUUGGCCUGUGAUCUUUCUUUCCUUGACUUCAUCUCUGCAAUUGAAAUUCUACACUUUCUGCUAUGCAUUGAUUAAGAAAGAACCCUCUGAAAAUUCUACCAAACUUAUAAUCUAUGAUAUGGAUCCGAAAUAUAAUUCAUCCCCGGCACUCCAUGUUGGUGAAUUAUCUAAUGCUCACACACUUCGGUAUACCCACUUUGUAACAAGACAGAAUCUUCAAUUUCUGAAAUCGAAUUUAGAUUGGCGGUUAAUUUCACUCCGACACGCUUUUAGUGUGACCUAGGCUAUUGGGUAGUGUUCAGAGCUUUUUAGGACAAAUGACUGAUUUUCUUCGAACCACGAUGAACCCACUCGACACAUUGGUGACUCUCAAUUAUCGUGAAAAUCUCAAAGAUUCAAAUACGGGCACAGGGUACCAAAACGACAAUAAAAUCAAAUUAGUAUCAGUCGACGAGAGUUUUCCAAUUUAGUGGAGUCACCCUCGAUCGGUCAUUCAUCUCAGUCAAACCGACCUAUCUCUUAUCUUAAUUCGAUUUUUAACUGUGCCGUAAUGAUCUCUAAAGAUGAGCACGGUCGAGAAGUCGAUUCCUAGUCGAAUUCUCAAGUCUAUUUGCCUUAAAGUCCUUAAUAACUCACCCAACUAGUCUAGUUAUCUCGUAAGUGGCCAACUCAGAGAAAAACAUUGUAUUCGCGUCGAUGAAAUGCCCAAUUUAACCAAUCAAAAUCAGAGUCUGAAAAUCAGGAUGUCACACACUCAAAACAAGAUCUAUUCGUACUGUACCAAAGUGGACCAACUCCAUCUAUCGAUCGACUAUUAUUCUCAAAUGGUAUUAGUAAUCCCCUGAAUCCUUAGUAAGCUCGUCACAAUGUCCCAUUGUGAUAUCUUUUCAUUCUCACUUAGGACUCUCAAGUGAUGGUAAAAGUCGUCCUGGUUUACAUCACUGAACUUCCACUUACCGACAUCUCUGAUACUUGCAACUUGUUCAACGAUAUCUAUCUUCAUACCGAUCUACCAAUCUCGAUGAUGUAGAUUCUGACUCAUCUUCGUACUGUCUGGACAAUGCUGAAGUUACUAUGAUGAGCUUCCCAUAAGAUUUCUUCUUUAAUCUCUGUAUCGUCACUUACACACAAUUAUCCUCAGAACCUUAGCAUCCUAUCUUUAGAAAUCUGAAAAUCAACAUCUCUCUCAUCUGCAUUCUCUUAUAGAAUCUUCUGAAUUUCUGAAUAUGUCCAUUGAAGCAUCUUGAUUCUGAUCUGUACUCUCGGCUCAAUCNNNNNNNNNNNNNNNNNNNNNNNNNNNNNNNNNNNNNNNNNNNNNNNNNNNNNNNNNNNNNNNNNNNNNNNNNNNNNNNNNNNNNNNNNNNNNNNNNNNNNNNNNNNNNNNNNNNNNNNNNNNNNNNNNNNNNNNNNNNNNNNNNNNNNNNNNNNNNNNNNNNNNNNNNNNNNNNNNNNNNNNNNNNNNNNNNNNNNNNNNNNNNNNNUGUCUCAUGUUCAACUCCCGAUGUCUCAACUGACAGGACACAUAUGCACAAUCCUAUCAUGUUGCAUCAACAAGUAAUCAAAUCUUUUAAACGACGUAUCAUUGCAGAUCUCAUAACUUUCAGAACCAUAUGGAAUGGUCAGCACAGGUGCGGUAGUCAGCUUCUGCUUAAGUGCUUGAAAACUACGCUCGCACUCAUUUGUCUACACGAACUUCUCUUACUUCCUCAGUAGUCAAAUCAACUGCAACACUGACGUUGAAAUCCCUUCCACAAAACUUCCGUAAUAUCCUGCUAAUCCCCAGAAACUUCUAAUCUCUGCCACUGUAGUCAAUCUCGGCCAAUUGUUCACUGCUUUAAUCUUGGGCGAGCUCUACGGAGAUUUCUUCACCUGAAUUCACGUGACCUAGGAACGCAAUACGAGUCAUCCAAAACUCGCAUCUGCUAAGCUUAUUGUAAAAUCCAAAAGCACCCAAGGUUUGAAGUACCAUCCCCAAAUAUCUCUCGUGCUCAUCUGCACUCUUCGAACACACCAGGAUAACUUCAAUGAACACGAUCACAACUGAUUCAAGUGUCCCUAAACAUUCUGCUCAUCAGACCCAAACAAACAGCUGGGGUGUCCAUUAAACCGCACAGCAUUACAGUGAACUCAUAACUACUGUAUCGAGUGCAAGAUGCUAACUUUGGUAUGUCUUUCUUCUUGAUUCUCAACUAAUGAUACCUUGACCUCCAGUCGAUCUUGAAGAAUAUCGAUGCACAGACACAAAUGAACCAACUUUCCUCUUCCCUAAUAGAAUGGGUGUUCCCCAAGGUGAUACACUAGAACGUAUGAAUCCCCUAUUCAACACUUCGUACAUCUGCACCUUUAGUUCCUUUAACUCGGGUAACACCAUCCGGUAAGGAGCCUAAGGGACUGGCUCUGUUCCGAGUGCUAAUUCAAUCACGAACUCUAUUUCUCUUUCUGACAGCAGACUUGGCACUUCUUCCUAAAACACCUCAGAAAACUUAUGUACCACGAUUAUGUUCUCCAUAUCCGGCUCCCCAACUGACGCAUCUAUUACAGUUGCCAAGCAGAUUCGGUAACCAACNNNNNNNNNNNNNNNNNNNNNNNNNNNNNNNNNNNNNNNNNNNNNNNNNNNNNNNNNNNNNNNNNNNNNNNNNNNNNNNNNNNNNNNNNNNNNNNNNNNNNNNNNNNNNNNNNNNNNNNNNNNNNNNNNNNNNNNNNNNNNNNNNNNNNNNNNNNNNNNNNNNNNNNNNNNNNNNNNNNNNNNNNNNNNNNNNNNNNNNNNNNNNNNNNNNNNNNNNNNNNNNNNNNNNNNNNNNNNNNNNNNNNNNNNNNNNNNNNNNNNNNNNNNNNNNNNNNNNNNNNNNNNNNNNNNNNNNNNNNNNNNNNNNNNNNNNNNNNNNNNNNNNNNNNNNNNNNNNNNNNNNNNNNNNNNNNNNNNNNNNNNNNNNNNNNNNNNNNNNNNNNNNNNNNNNNNNNNNNNNNNNNNNNNNNNNNNNNNNNNNNNNNNNNNNNNNNNNNNNNNNNNNNNNNNNNNNNNNNNNNNNNNNNNNNNNNNNNNNNNNNNNNNNNNNNNNNNNNNNNNNNNNNNNNNNNNNNNNNNNNNNNNNNNNNNNNNNNNNNNNNNNNNNNNNNNNNNNNNNNNNNNNNNNNNNNNNNNNNNNNNNNNNNNNNNNNNNNNNNNNNNNNNNNNNNNNNNNNNNNNNNNNNNNNNNNNNNNNNNNNNNNNNNNNNNNNNNNNNNNNNNNNNNNNNNNNNNNNNNNNNNNNNNNNNNNNNNNNNNNNNNNNNNNNNNNNNNNNNNNNNNNNNNNNNNNNNNNNNNNNNNNNNNNNNNNNNNNNNNNNNNNNNNNNNNNNNNNNNNNNNNNNNNNNNNNNNNNNNNNNNNNNNNNNNNNNNNNNNNNNNNNNNNNNNNNNNNNNNNNNNNNNNNNNNNNNNNNNNNNNNNNNNNNNNNNNNNNNNNNNNNNNNNNNNNNNNNNNNNNNNNNNNNNNNNNNNNNNNNNNNNNNNNNNNNNNNNNNNNNNNNNNNNNNNNNNNNNNNNNNNNNNNNNNNNNNNNNNNNNNNNNNNNNNNNNNNNNNNNNNNNNNNNNNNNNNNNNNNNNNNNNNNNNNNNNNNNNNNNNNNNNNNNNNNNNNNNNNNNNNNNNNNNNNNNNNNNNNNNNNNNNNNNNNNNNNNNNNNNNNNNNNNNNNNNNNNNNNNNNNNNNNNNNNNNNNNNNNNNNNNNNNNNNNNNNNNNNNNNNNNNNNNNNNNNNNNNNNNNNNNNNNNNNNNNNNNNNNNNNNNNNNNNNNNNNNNNNNNNNNNNNNNNNNNNNNNNNNNNNNNNNNNNNNNNNNNNNNNNNNNNNNNNNNNNNNNNNNNNNNNNNNNNNNNNNNNNNNNNNNNUCGAUCCUGAGCUUACGAACCCAAAAAUACUUCCCAAAGACUUUAGCGCCUAAACCAUCCCAAUGAACCUAGGAUCAUUCGGUGCUGCUACACUCACAGCACCGACUUACAGCGGUACUCUCACACUCGCGCUGGUCUAAGCCUACGCUCUAUCUCAGGUACCAACUCUUGUUAGCGUCCUACCCCGAGGUAUAGGUCUUACCGACCUUCUCCAAGGAGUUCUCCACUCCUGGUCACUCAUCCUACAGGCUCUUUAUAGACGCCUGUUUUUCGAUUCCAACAUCAGGUUAGAAUUUGAGUGACCCCACAAACACACUAGCAAACAGCUAUCAAUCACAUGCAUCAGCAUAUUAAAAGCCUUUCCUACUAACUAUCCCAUGACUCAUCGCACCUUAUCACUCCAUACACAGACCAGGCUCUGAUACCACUUAAACAGGGAUGUCACACCUCGAACCUCGAGCAUGCCAACAUCCCACCAUGGUCAUGCAAUUGCGACAUUCCCAGGUAGUGUCGCCGACCCCAUUCAUUUAUUAUUGCAUAAGCGGAACGUAUUAUAAUCCCCUGACAAUGAAAUACGAGAUAGAAAAGCAGGAAACAAUUUCACAACCAAUCACUUACAUAAACCAACGGAGUUACAGACGAAGGCCUAGAGCCAAAAGUCUACAAAAGACUGGCUCUUAAAAAGAGGUUAUCCUACGACUUACAAGUCGUACAUGAUCUCCAAUCCUUAUGACUUCGCCUCUCCAACUCCUCAAGGCCAACCAAAGCUAUCAUGCCGCUCCGUCCUCCAGGGACCUGAAAUGGUUAUUCAAUAACCACUGAGACAAUGUCUCAGCAAGUUCAACCCCCUAAACCCCUAUUAGAAAGAAAAUACGCCCAAGGGUGGCCUAGCCACAUCACACAGAGAACUUACCUCGCCUCAAUUCCUUCCUGCAGGUUAGCACAAUUUGUAUCACACAAUCUCAGGUAGUAAUAAUAAUUCAAACAAUUGGAACGCCAUCACUUUCAUAUAAAUCACGAUCGCACUUUGCACGCAUCCCAAUUAUUAUUCACUGCCACACAAUGGCAUAGCCUACUCGCGGGUCGGCUAUCUACUAACAUUACGGCAUUUCUAGAAGAAUGAAGGUCCAGUCGGUCCCGCCACUACUGCGACCAAGCCACGUCAUUCUAUCGACGGCAUUUCUAGAAGAACAAAGGUCCAGUCGGUCCCGCCACUACUGCGACCAAGCCACGUCAUUCUAUCGACGGCAUUUCUAGAAGAACAAAGGUCCAGUCGGUCCCGCCACUACUGCGACCAAGCCACGUCAUUCUAUCGACAGCAUUUCUAGAAGAACAAAGGUCCAGUCCGUCUCGCCACUACUGCGACCAAGCCACGUCAUUCUAUCGACGGCAUUUCUAGAAGAACAAAGGACGGUCUCGCCACUACUGCGACCAAGCCACGUCAUUCUAUCGACGGCAUUUCUAGAAGAACAAAGGUCCAGUCGAUCUCGCCACUACUGCGACCAAGCCACGUCAUUCUAUCGACGGCAUUUCUAGAAGAACAAAGGUCCAGUCGGUCUCGCCACUACUGCGACCAAGCCACGUCAUUCUAUCGACGACAUUUCUAAAAGAAUAAGGAUCCAGUCGGCCUAGCCACUACUGCGACCUGAGCCUUUCAACUAGCACAUGACAAUUCGAUACCGAUCCUUGGAUACUUUACAUUUCACUCACAUAAUCCAAUUACGAUAUUAGCCAUUAACAAUCCAAUUUCAAUGCCGAACUCGACACUUGGGAUUUUAUGAAUAAAAUCCAUAUUUAUCACAAUCAACACUCAGUUUGCCACAAUCAAUCAUCAAAUUCAAAUUCUAAAUACACAACAGCGAUCGGCACGAAAUUCUGAGAGUUUAGGGUCCCGACGAAAUUUUUUGAAUUUUAAUAAAUAAUUAAUUUUAUUCCGAAAAUUAAUUAAAUAAUAAUAUCCAUAUUUUUCGCAAUCCACACUCAAUUUAUAAUAUCCAACCAUCAAUUUCAAAAUCCGAAUACACAGCAGCGAUCGGCACGAAAUUCUGAGCAACCGGGGUCAAAAAUAAUUUUUUCGUUUUUUUUUAAUAUUAUUUUAAUAAUUUCGGAAUAUAAUAUAAUAUUAUCAAUUCCAGAAUUUCGAAACAUUUAAAUAAAUCAAAAAUAAAACCUAUUAUGUCACAUCAAUGUUUAUUAUUAAAUGAACUCUCUUAGCAUUUAAUUAAACAUGCUUUAAAUUAAACAAACAUCUUAAUCUAAGUCACAAUUAAAUAAACUAAACUAACCACCUAAGCUUAAUUAACUUAAGCUAAUCACACAUAAAGCAUAAUUAACCCUCUAAGCGAGGUUUAGUGAGUUAAACUCACCGGAUUAGCGAGCCGAGCGGACCAAAACGACGAGGACGACGAGGGGAUCAACUUUCUCCAAAGCGGGCCAAGCAUCUGGGCUCAGGAAGGUGGCCAAAACUGGCCAAACGUCCGCUGCAUACCCAUUUUUCUUGGUUGCUAGUUGGGGCCAAGAGGGAGUAGAUCCGGCGCCGGUUUGGGCGGAGGAAUGGCGGAGGAGGACCGGCGGGGCUUGGGCAGGCGAGGCGGCUGCCAGGCGAGGCCUCACGGUGGCUGGAGGUGGCUGAUCCGCAGCCUACAACAGCCCAUGGAGGCGAGGACGAGCUGGAUCUCGACGGACGAGGGCAGCAAGCCGGUGAGACCGGUGGAGCGGCGUGCGGGCAUCCUCGCACGGACGGGCGACGACCGUGACGACGACGGCGAACGGCGGUGGCCGCGAUGAACAAGCGGAAGGGGGCGUCGGGCUAGCUGGCCUGCUGCUGAGUGGCGGACAAAGGCUGGAGGCGGCGGAGGUGGUGCGACGACGAGCGAGCACGGCGACGGGCAUGCGAGCGAACGGUGACCGCGACGGCGAGCUCCGGCGACGAGCGGCGUCGAGCGGCGAAGGGCAGGCGUCCGGCCGGUUGGCUUGGUCCGGCCGAAGCUCUCCCUCCUCCUCUUUNNNNNNNNNNNNNNNNNNNNNNNNNNNNNNNNNNNNNNNNNNNNNNNNNNNNNNNNNNNNNNNNNNNNNNNNNNNNNNNNNNNNNNNNNNNNNNNNNNNNNNNNNNNNNNNNNNNNNNNNNNNNNNNNNNNNNNNNNNNNNNNNNNNNNNNNNNNNNNNNNNNNNNNNNNNNNNNNNNNNNNNNNNNNNNNNNNNNNNNNNNNNNNNNNNNNNNNNNNNNNNNNNNNNNNNNNNNNNNNNNNNNNNNNNNNNNNNNNNNNNNNNNNNNNNNNNNNNNNNNNNNNNNNNNNNNNNNNNNNNNNNNNNNNNNNNNNNNNNNNNNNNNNNNNNNNNNNNNNNNNNNNNNNNNNNNNNNNNNNNNNNNNNNNNNNNNNNNNNNNNNNNNNNNNNNNNNNNNNNNNNNNNNNNNNNNNNNNNNNNNNNNNNNNNNNNNNNNNNNNNNNNNNNNNNNNNNNNNNNNNNNNNNNNNNNNNNNNNNNNNNNNNNNNNNNNNNNNNNNNNNNNNNNNNNNNNNNNNNNNNNNNNNNNNNNNNNNNNNNNNNNNNNNNNNNNNNNNNNNNNNNNNNNNNNNNNNNNNNNNNNNNNNNNNNNNNNNNNNNNNNNNNNNNNNNNNNNNNNNNNNNNNNNNNNNNNNNNNNNNNNNNNNNNNNNNNNNNNNNNNNNNNNNNNNNNNNNNNNNNNNNNNNNNNNNNNNNNNNNNNNNNNNNNNNNNNNNNNNNNNNNNNNNNNNNNNNNNNNNNNNNNNNNNNNNNNNNNNNNNNNNNNNNNNNNNNNNNNNNNNNNNNNNNNNNNNNNNNNNNNNNNNNNNNNNNNNNNNNNNNNNNNNNNNNNNNNNNNNNNNNNNNNNNNNNNNNNNNNNNNNNNNNNNNNNNNNNNNNNNNNNNNNNNNNNNNNNNNNNNNNNNNNNNNNNNNNNNNNNNNNNNNNNNNNNNNNNNNNNNNNNNNNNNNNNNNNNNNNNNNNNNNNNNNNNNNNNNNNNNNNNNNNNNNNNNNNNNNNNNNNNNNNNNNNNNNNNNNNNNNNNNNNNNNNNNNNNNNNNNNNNNNNNNNNNNNNNNNNNNNNNNNNNNNNNNNNNNNNNNNNNNNNNNNNNNNNNNNNNNNNNNNNNNNNNNNNNNNNNNNNNNNNNNNNNNNNNNNNNNNNNNNNNNNNNNNNNNNNNNNNNNNNNNNNNNNNNNNNNNNNNNNNNNNNNNNNNNNNNNNNNNNNNNNNNNNNNNNNNNNNNNNNNNNNNNNNNNNNNNNNNNNNNNNNNNNNNNNNNNNNNNNNNNNNNNCUCUAAACAUUUCAAUUGUGCAAAUUUAAUCCUAAAUCUUUUAAGAACUUAUUGAUAUAGUUUUAAACCUUUUAGUUGUGCUAAUUUAGUUCUAAACAUUAUGAUGAUUUGUUAAUUUAAUUCUAAAUAUUUUGACCGCUUGCUCAUUUAGUCAUUUCAACCAAUUUUGGUUGAAAAUCGCUAAUGUGGAUGUCGGUCGACCACCAGCCAUCCUAUAUGGCAUGGAUAAUGCUAACGUGGACAAAUUUUGCAAUUUUCUUCCUAUCUUUUUAUUUAUUUAAUUUUCCUUUUUCUUUCUCUUUGGCUUGUGGCUGACAAUCGGCCAUGGCUAACAACCGGCCACAAGCGAGGGCCGAUGAGGGUGUUGCGGCCCACGGUGGAUCUAGAGAAGGCUUGCUUGUGGCCUAGGAGAAGGCUGCCCUCAUCAGAUCGAACAAGAGCUCGACCUUUGCCCGACCACAGGCCAAAGAGAAAGAAAAGGAUAAAGAAACGAGAGGUAAACAAAUGGAAAUUUUUUGUUAAAAAAAUGCAAAAAGUAUCCACGUCAGUGCUAGCCAUGCCACCUAGCAUGGUCGCGUGCGAACUCUCCCAAUCCCAUUCCUCACACGACAUUAGAUUUUGUAUUUUAGUUCUUAACAACCUAUGUAUUUCUAGGAGUCAUCAUUAGCCUAUUGAGGUCGGCUAGAAACCUAUCAAGUCACAGUAAUGUUGUCUUGAUUCCUACGUAACCAGAUAUUUCUAGGAACAUGGACUUAUUUACGCCAAUGUUUCUAGUAGCGUCCUUGCAGUGUGAUUAAAAAUGAUCUUUUUAUGUGAAAAACUCAAUUUUUUACCAAAGUUGACUUUUGAUGAAAGGAUUGACCAAAAAGUUAACUCAAAAAUCAACCAUUUGACUUUUCUAGUUUUUAAUUAAAAGAUUAAUAGAAAAUUGCUUAACAAUGACAAGACAAAAGAAAGAAAUGAAAACGACACUUUUCUGUUCAAAAAACAAGCUCUGUCGCAAUCGAAAACCCUAACCUCGAGUUUUUUUCUUUAUCGAUGCAUCAACUAAAAAUCAAAUGUCAACAACCUUAAAACAUGUUUGGUUACCAAGUUGGUGAAUAGAGGGGUAAGAAUCUCAAACAAAUGAUUAGCCAUGUGGUUAGUCAAAUCAUUGUGUUCUUUAUACAUCCUUCUCAUGGUGGCCAUUAGUGUUGAAUUUGGGUCAAAUCCCUCCUCUAAUCCUUGGUAAAGUUCCGGGGAAUAUCACCAAAAUUCAAGCUCAAAUUAACAUCAUCAACAGGGUUUGCCUCCUGAUUGGAAUUUUCUAAACAAGUAGGCCUUUCUCCCACACGUUGCAGGGACUGAUUGUCCUCGCCACGCCAAUGGCAGUGCCACUCUCCUUGUCCCUUAUUCUUGCCAUAGACACCUCCUAGGAAUGGACCAUGAUGGUCCCACCGACGUGCCAAAAAAAAUAUUCGCAGGGGAAACAACUUCCUUGACAAAUAUCUUUUACCAAAGAGGCAAAUCUUGGGCCUUUUUUUAUGUAAAUCGGGUUUUGUGUCAUUUCAUAAAGGAAGCGACUAGUCUUACUCUAUAGACAAUAAAGCAAAGGAUAAAUAGGAGAUAAAAUGUGCAAUAAAAUGUAAAUGUGCAAUAACAAGAUAGCCAAAAGAUAAAUGUUCUUGUGUUCAUUUGAUUGUUAGGAAAAGGGUCCUUUACAAUUGUCUCUUUGGCUAUUUAUAGCUAAUCUCACAAGUAACUGUUCUUCAACAGUUAUUAUCUUCAAUUUCAAAUCACUUCUGGAGACUUCGGUACCACGCCAAUAAUUGCAUCACCUUAUCCAUAGUGUCAUGGGCACCAAACUCUCGAAAUUGUCUUCAUUUUUAUCGCUUUGAGCCGGAGCAAUUACUAAUUCCAAAUCCUCGGUAUCUCUUGUAACCCGCUAUUCUUCUCACGACUUGGGCUUAAUGGGCGUUCCUCUUUUCUAGGCCCAAUGAGCUAAUUUUCGCGCCAACAUCAGUUAUCCAUUAAGUAUGAAGUUUUGACAAAUUAUACCACAAGCAAUGCAUCACGACAGGUGAGUCCCUAAAAAAACUGAUAAAAGCAGCAAACCGAAACUGAGCGGUCUCGGAUGUGAACAAUGAAAAGAACUAUGUUCAGCAAAAAAAAAAUCAUCGUAAGGAACAAAGAAGUUCUUAAGAACCAAUUACAUUUUGACAAGAAAAUGCAGUAAUACUGUGUCAGAAACCGAAUGUUGUAUCAACGUACAAGAUUGUACUGAAGGCUUGCAACUUUUGGUACUAGUUCAGAACCUAAGGAUAUAAUCCUUCAAUCCUAGGACUUAAUAGGAUCCACACAUCUCCGGUCAAUCGAAGUUCGUCAUGAAUGGUUACCGAAUUAGAUUGCUGCUUCUUGGCUUUCGGUAGGAAUUCCUUUUCUUUUCUUUUUUUCUGUUGAAUACCAGAAAUGGUGCACACGGCACUCUUGCGCCAAAUAAGAAACAGAAUUCAUGGACUCGAAUUCGCUGAAAUAUUUGGCUUGAAGAUUUAUACAUCAAUCAUUUUCAAUGGCCGCAUUCUUAUGCUGGAUCAAUCAUUUUUUUNNNNNNNNNNNNNNNNNNNNNNNNNNNNNNNNNNNNNNNNNNNNNNNNNNNNNNNNNNNNNNNNNNNNNNNNNNNNNNNNNNNNNNNNNNNNNNNNNNNNCUGAAAUAUUUGGCUCGAAGGAUUUACAUUAGUCAUUUUCAAUUCCCCAUUCUAUACUGAUCAAUCAUUCUUUUAUCACCUCAACUUUAAAUUUCUAAUCCUUCAAUGAGAAACGUGCGAAAACCAGAAGAAUUUCAUUAUAAACCACAUAAGUACAUUUACGCGAUUAAAAUCGAGAGAUAUUUACUAACCGAGCUUUUGUAAGCUAGAAAUUACGAAGACCCUUUUUUUUAUUAUCUUCAUACGUGAGCUUUCUAGCGUUUAUGCUCCAAAAAAUGAGAUCCAAUUUCUUUUCAGGAAGGCAUACAUAGAUAAUAGACCCAUUAAACAGGUGGGUCGGGCUGGAUUUGGGUCGGAUCAUAAAUGGUCUAACCCAAAUCGACCCAUUUAACCUGUUUAUGACUCAUUUAUUGCUAAAAUAGUUUUAUAUAACACAAAUUUAAUGAACAAUUUUUAUAAUUUUAAAAAUAAUUAUUUUAAAAAAUCGAAUUUUAAUUAUUUUUAUUUUUUAAAUAUAAUUUUUCUUUUUCCUUUUUCUUUUUUCUUCUUCUUCUUCUUUGGUCAGUUACUGGCCAUGACAACGGUUGGUGGCCAGCCACAGGUGAGCUUGGAGCUCGCCUAGCUCACCGACGCCGACGAGCUCAAGUCUGCCAGGUCAACAAGACUCAAGCCUCGCCGAACGUCGGCGAGGCCUCCGCCUCACCAGAUCUGGCGAGCUCGAGUCUCGCCAGAUUGGGGAGACCUCCGCCUUGCCAGAUCCGGCAAGGGGCGAGCUCGAGCUCGCCCGACGCCAGUGAGCUUGAGGCUUGCCUAGUCGGUUGCUGGCCAUCGUCGUGCCAGCAACCGAAAGAAGAAGAAAAAAAAAUGAAAAAAAAAAAGAAAAGAAAAUCAAAAUAAAAAAAUAAUUAUAAUUUCAGUUUUUAUAAAAAAAAUAUUUUUGUAAAGUUAAAGAGAGAAGAGAGAGAUUGUGAGGUUUUGGGUGAAAAUGGAUUCUAAAUCCAACUCAUUUAAGACCCACUUAAAAACCAUCUAUCAAAGUCUUUAAACAACCAAAAAAAAAAAAAGUCUUUAAUUAUUAAACCCAUCUAACUACUUUUUGUCAAAAAAACAAGUGACCCAUAUAUGACAUUUUUAUUAUUUAAAUGGGUCAUAUAUGGGUCUAAGACCCAUUUUAACACCUCUAAUGUCUCUGCCAAAUGAUCUUCUGGGGGGAUCAAAUUGGACUUGGAGCAAGUUGAUGAUAAGGAUGCUGAGAUGGUUUUGAAUGGAAGGAUUUUGUCGGAGAAGGAAUGCUCGAGUCAAGCUGCAUAGCUAAUGUUUUAAGGAAUGCAUGGGCUGGUAUCGGUGAGAUUCCCAUAACCCCUCAAAUUCAUAGGACAUAAGGAAUGGAGGCAUUCCAGCCCAAACAUACUCCCAUCCUCGCCUCAGCAUAGAUCGUGCCAAAAUGAAAAUUGAAGUAACAUGCCUGCCCACGCAGGACUAGGACGCUGGUGGUGGGCCGAUGCUGGACCAAUGCUUUUGGCAGCGGUGGUGCUCUACGAUAUAUCGGCCUCCGUUCAUUCCAAUUGCGGGUGCGGUUCAAUCUGGAUUGCGGAUUGCUUCUUCAGGCCCCAGGCAAUGCCAAAAAAUGGCUUCGUGAAUCGACGGAGCAGACCUCCCACGGCCAUGACUAUGAAGUUCGCCAGCUCCGUCGGAGUGAAUCAACGCAGGUUGCGACGUCCAUGGCCCUGGUUCAUGACCAUAGCUGAAAUUAAAUGAGCGGAAACAACAGCUUUCAUUCCUAUUCUUACAAAAACAGGUCCGGUAUGAAAAUUUAAUGUAAGAACACACGUUUGAUAUGUCAUUUUUAUAUAUUCUUACACCUCGGUCUCUUUAUAUACUAUACGUGUUUAUUAAAAAGCAAUUAAAUAAUCCUUUUAGGAUGAUCAUCUUAAUGAAUGGGAAAUUACGGAAGUAUAGAUAUUUGUUUCAGUUGAAAUUACUGAAGUUUUCCAAAAACGAAUAGAUAGUUUUCCAAAAAAAAUGUGGGAAAUUACUGAAGUACGGCUUUCACUAAUGCAAAAAAUCUUCUUCUUUUUUAAUCGUUCUGUGAAGGCUGUAUUUCUUGUAAUUUUGCAAGUGGGGGGAUUACAGUGUUGUAAUAGAUGGUUGUGUCUGUAAGUGGAAGGCCGGAACACUAUAAAUUUAUCUUACAAUAUCAUCCAUCUCUUUACCUUUUUUAUUAUCCAUAUAUAUAUAAACUACUGCAUCUAUAUAACUAUGUUUCUUUUGCAAAAGCUAAUUUUCUCCCUUUUAUGAGAUGUUAUAAUUCUUUUAAAAUUCAGCUCCUUCUUGAGUUUUACAUUAGUAGUCAUCUCAAGAAUAGAGGAUUAUGUUGGUUUUGGUUUUGUUUUUGUCGUUGGAGUAAUCUAUUUUAUCCAUACUAAUAAGAAUUGUAUACCAAUACAAAAAACAAAAAAAAAAAAGAUUAAUACUACAAAAAACUCUAAAUUGAUAUAUUUAUGACAAAUUUAUUCUAAAUAAUUUUUUUGAUUAUUAAAAAUCCUAAACUGGUGCAAUGACAAUAAAUUUAUCACCCAUUAAUUUCUAUUAAAUUGAAUUAAUAUCACAAAAAACCAAAAAUUGGUACGCUUGUAUGACAAAUGAAGGAUAAGACUCCAAACUAAUAUAUCCAUCAAUUGUUAUAUGUCAUUCAACUUAUUAAUUGGACGAUAAAAUUUAAUAAAAACUCAUAGAAGAUGAAUUUGUCACAAAUGUAAUAGUUGAAAGUCUUUGGCUAUCAAAAAUUUAAUUUGAGAUAAAUUUAUAAUAAGUGUAUCAAUUUUUGUGGUAUUAAUCCAAAACUAUUUCCCUUUCUUUUUGAAAACAAGAAAACUAUUUACCGACUAAAAAAAAAAACUAUUUAUGAAACCUGACGUUAAGUGUGAAAAGAAAAGGCCAUGUGAUUUUUUUUUUUUUUUUUUGGUGGGAAAAAGCCAUAUGAUUAAAAAACUCAAGAAGGACACGAGACCAAAAGCUUCAGAUGGGAGUCCAUUUCUGAUUCUUAGUCGUCAUUCGAGUUCGCGUGUAUCGUCUUGCGGAAUCGCUUUGCCACCAUCGACCUCGUCCCGAGCUAGAAGCCCCUUCGACUUCAAUCGUAAUUUGUCGAAGACGAGGUAUAUUCUCUUCGAUCACGAGCUUUCCGAUUUCUUUGUUGACUGCGAAUUGUUCGUUCUUGGUUCGGUUCUUCGAUACCCAGAAAUCGUUCGAUCGAUAUUUGAUCAAAAGCAACAAAUUUUUCAUCUGGGUAUGCUUAACAGAUUGGCUUUGAUUGCUUUCGUUGCGUUGGUAGGUGAAUCUCUGCUCGCGGUACAUUUUCGUGCUUGAUUCUUGAGAAAUUUGCCCGGAUAUGAGAGGGGAGUGAUUUGGGAGUGGUGAGAAUGCACGAAUUAUAUACCCAAAUGUUCGGUGGGUAUGCUUGAAAGAUUGGCUUUGAGUGCUUUCGUUAUGGUGGUAGGCGGGUCUGUGCUCGCGGUACAGUUUCGUGCUUGUUUCUUGAGUAAUUUGCCCGGAUAUGAGAGAGAAGUGAUUUGGGAGUGGCGAGAAUGCGCAAGAUAUAUACCCAAAUGUUAGACAGCAUAAGGCAUGAUUUUCUUUUUUCUUUGAGCUUUUUGAUAUAUUGGUUCACUGUUGUUCAAUUUUUCAGUUGAAUUUGGUGGAAAUCAGAUUUCCUCUAGCAGCCUUAAUUCGGGAGGAUAUAUCAAAAUGCAGGUAUUACUGAUUACUUACAGCUACCAGCUCUUUGUUCCGCUGUUUACAUGCGAUGGGAGUGAAGUCUAUUGUUUUCAAAAUUAUGCACCCAGAAUGUGAUCAUUCUUAAAAUUUUUCUUUCUUAUGGCGAAAUUUACACUAGAUUAUCAUAUUUAUGUACUGAGUAAGUCAUUUUGCGAUGCCGGUUAUCCCAUGAAGCAGCAGAUUUGAUCUCCUUGCAAUUAUAUACGUGGAGGAAUUGCUUUCUGCUUUUUUCUUUAUGACCCCAGGUUGGUUGUGGAUCCUAAUGUCGACGUGUGCUUGUAUUUGUAGACAUUGAGGGCGAGGCUGUUCAAGGAAUACAAAGAGGUGCAGCGAGAGAAGGGAGCUGAUCCGGACAUUCAGUUGGUUUGCGAUGACUUGAACAUAUUUAAGUGGACUGCUCUUAUCAAGGUGAGAUUGAAUAGCUGAUGGAGGUAAUUGCCGAGGUAAUGGUGCUGUUGCUCAUGUAAAAGAUAUGGUGAUUCUCUCUUUCAUUAGGGACCAUCGGAAACUCCUUUUGAGGGUGGUGUUUUCAGCUCACAUUUGCUAUACCUGAGCAGUAUCCACUGCAGCCACCUCAAGUUCGUUUCCUGACUAAGAUAUUUCACCCCAAUGUGCACUUCAAGGUAUAAUUUUUUUUUGUAUAGGAAUGCUUAUUGAUGAUAACUUAGUUGGAACUAGUUGCAGUGCAUGCUAAUAGGUCGAAGGGUGAACUGAUUACUGUGUCGUUUGGUGAUCAAUGUUUCUUCUUGUCAAUACUUAUUAUGUUCAGAAUCAGAAACUUGAAAGAGUUGCUAGUUUUAGGGUUUUGUUUUAUUUGGCACUUGAAAAUAGAUAGAGGUGCAGAAGCUGAGAAUUGGAGACUUCUUUGACACUUUGUCAGGAAACAGUCUUGAUCCUUUUUUUUCCAAAUUCUGUUUCCAGAGAAUCUCUGCAUGAAUAGAUUUUCUGAUAACUACUAGCUUGGGAAAGUCAACAGAGAUACCUGAUGCAUAAAUAUGAGAUGCUGUAAAUGUUUGUUUGACUAAUAGAUUGACAUUUUAAUUUACUUUAUACAGACAGGGGAGAUAUGCCUUGAUAUUCUGAAGAUUGCAUGGAGUCCUGCCUGGACACUUCAGUCUGUUUGCAGGGCUAUAAUAGCUCUCAUGGCCCACCCUGAGCCUGACAGCCCACUAAAUUGCGAUUCAGGUAUCAAUGAGUUUUUUUUAUAAAAAAAAAAUAAUAUAUAUAUAUAUAUAACAUUUGUAUCUAAAAACUCAUUAUUCUUUCAUUAGUACAUAAACCUCAACCAGAAAUUUCCUUACCUAAAUUCUUUGUAACGCCUAUUAUCUAAGUGACCUGGUGUUUAAUAUUUGUUGCUUGCACCUCUUGCAAGGAGUGCAUACUCAUAUGCUUGCAUGUUCACUGUUUCAUGAUAAAAUGUGGCAGUGUCACUUCCUUAAUAAUAUCUAGUUGAAUGUUGUCUCACUUACAUUUAAACUAUGCAGAGUCAGAGCCAAGAGCCAAAAGUUGGUAGAGUCACCUUUCUUGGUAUAAAAAUCUUGAUUUGGGGUUUCCUCCACCUUCCCACCUUGUGAAUACCAUAAGAACAAGAACAAGAAGCCAUUGCACUUUAUGGAGUAAUAUUUCCUCCCCUCAGCCAAAAAGAGAAAAAUGAAAUUCCCUCUAUACCACCCGGUUACAGGAAAAGAGCAAAACUUUAUAGUGUAGUUCAUAUGAGAAUAAUCAUACUCCAUCCUCCUUGAUAUUGACAUAGACUAGUUGUAUCAGUGACGAAGAGGAGUGCCCUUGACAUCUUGCGGGGAUUCUUGAUAGGCUGCUUUUAGAACGAGGUGCAAGAGUGUCUUUGAUUGAACUUUUCUGGAAAUAACAAGGGUGAGACCUUUGUAAUCGUUUGACAAGUAUUGAGAAAGAGCGUGAGAUUUCAGUGGGAAUCUUUCAUGCUCCUUUUUUACAUUUUGUUUCCUAAUCCUAUCUCAAACGAUACUUCAUCUCAAAUCUUUAUUUCCAAUGGUCAGUUUGUUGGAUCGGAUAUAUAGGACAGUAGUGCUGCGACAAGUGAUAAUAGUUGGAUGUCUUUGCCUCGAUUGAGUAUUCACAUAAACGCGUUCUGUUGUUCUGUCAAUUACGCAUGAGAUUCUCGGGAUUAGAUGAAUUAGGUAUGAUAUGAUGCUUCGAUUUCAACUCAAACUCUAUCUGUUAAGAACCUUGAGAGCUAUUCAUCUUAAUCAUUCAUGCAGUCAAGCAUUCUCAGGGUUUGUUGAUUGCCUUCUGGUGGGCCAAUAUAUUAUAUGGCAUCAAAGAGAUAAUUUCAACAAUGAAGUGCUAGAGAAUGGUAAUAAAGAACAAAUGCUUGUCCUUGUUCAAUGUAACAGUUGAUGGUUAUUUUUUCCUAAUGUCCUGGUCCUGCUUGUAAUGGUCGUAGUGUAUUAGAAGAGAGAUCAUGUUUUCCUGAGGUAAUCCUUCAGAUGAGAAUGUGGGGCCCCUGGGCAGGACUGCCUGCUCUGCAUGAAUCCACUGUUGUGUCGGUCAUGUGCUGUCCUGAAUACAACUCUUCACUCUGCUCGACCAUUUGUGGUGUGGCAAACCUCUCGUUUCCUUUUAUUUCUCUCUAGGCAGCUCUCUUGCUCAUGUUGCCACUGAGCUCUUGGAAUCAUCUUUGAUGGGAAUUAGGCUCCUUGAAAGGCUAACUGUGAGAUAUCUUGUCUGAUUACUCAUGGGAGGAAAUAAAAGAUUAAAUAAAAGAAGCUCUCACUCAUCUGACAGGAAUUGUUCACAGCCAGUGAAAGAAUGAAUUUUGGUGCAGCUAAGAAGAUGAGAAUUAUAAAUAAAGCGCAUUUCCAGAGACUAUCAACAGUUGAUCUUCCUGAAUUUGAAUGAAAUUUAAAAGAAAAAUUCCCUUGGGGGUUGCCAAACUUGAAGGAGGUUCGUAGUUAACAUUAUUUUCUUUAUGUCGGGUUCGGUUGAAGUGAGUUUAUAUCCCCACCUCUCUCUCUUUCUCUCUCCAGGGUAAAUCCAUAACUCAUAGGUGUGGAACUUCUUCCUAGUAGUCAUCAGAAAUGCACAUGCUAAAUCUCAUAAGAAGGGAUGGCUUAUUAGUUCCAAUUUGAUCUUGUAAUCCAGGGAUGAAUCACUUCUACGUCAAGGAUUAGCUUUGAAUGAUGACUUGCAGCGUGUACUUGCCAAGCAUGAAGUCAUUGCUUCCGGAAGUUCAGUUCAGGCUGAGAAAACUCCGCCGGGACCUUCUGGCACCAUGACGGAUGUCAAAGGUCCUCUACUUGAUAUUGUAGAUAACAGCACAAAGCCUGAUGAAAGGUAACUGGUUCAUUAGUCAUGAUUGCAAUAUAUAAACCCCAAAUACUUGUUCUGUGGCAAAUUAUGAAGUUCAGCUGAAGUCUGUGAACUGAGCAGUGCUACUCUUAUGAUAAGUUGAUAUGGAUAUUUUUCGCUAAUUUUCUGCUGUUUGGUAAAACUUGGUGGAUAUUUAUACAUUGAGGCUCCAUUUGUUUCAUGAAAAAUGACUGGUUUGGAAAAUUUUUGCUGAAAAUGACCAUUUAUAUUGCUUACAGAAAGGAACGAAUGAAAAAUAUUCUCAUUGUCCACGAAAAUGUUUAGACACGAAUUGUUGUCAACAAUGAGAACAUUUUCUGUUGACUAAUUAUUUUAAGCAAAACAAGCUAUUGGUGAAAAUGUUUUCCAAAUUAUUUAUUUUCCGCAAAACAAACGUAGUGGAAAUUUAUCAUCUGUCUUUUGAUCCUCCAGUUGUCAAGACCUUGUCUGGUGCAACUUUUUUCACGGCAGAUUUGGCUGUGAAAAAGGUGUGUCUGCAGCUUUUAUGGACUGUUUGUCAAAUUCUUUACUGCUGUAGUGCCCUCAAAAUUGCAGCAGUUAUAACAGUUUCGAGAAAACUGCCUUGCCCAUUUUUGAGGUGUUGCAGCUGUAAAGGAUAUAUUCCAAACAUAGAAGCUACAGUGCUUCACAGCACAACCACCACAUGUGCUACAAUGCAGACACAGGCCCACAGCUUUACCAGGCAGAUCCUUAGUAGUACUAUUGAUGUGAUUUAGGUCUUGAGAGAAGAAGAAAGGAGAGAAAGGGAGAAAUGUACCAAUGCAUCUUGUACAUGUGCUCAUUAUAUACAUGCAAGUACAAAAUGAUUGAAGCAUGCUGCACUAAACAUUUAUCUUGUGGCUUAAAUUGAUCUAAGAUCUCAAAUAUUUGCUCUUGAAACUUUGUGUCUAAAAGGCUGAUUAAACUUUGGGAGAUUGCUGUCCAACAUUGUGCAUUCAGUUCUUGAGUUCCGAGUGUUUCUAUGUCUCCCAAUUUGCUCAUAGGAUCGCUAGGGAUCAUACUUAAAAAGCUAGUCUAGAUUGACAAGAGAGCAGCCAAUUUUUUGGGUUAAACACCUGCUGUCUCUCUCCACUUAUUACUUGAGAUUUACAUAAAGAUCGAUUCUGUUAGUGUUAUACAGAGAAAUUUAUUUGAUACAGGAUAAGCAUGAGUAUACAUAAGAAUUCGGAUUUACUAUAAUAGAAUGCAAAAUGAAGUUAUCACGACUUCAUGCAAAUUCUAUUCUAAUGGAAAAGAUUUACGUGGUAGAAUAAGACCAUUUAAAUUACAGACUUUGUAUAAAUAUUAUAUUUAAUAAUUGAAUUUUGUUAUAUUUUUGUGCUAUCUUAUGAAAGUUAAUAUGAAUAUUAUACUUGUUCUUGUGGAUGUGAUACUAUAUAAUCACUUAUUGAUAAUUGGCAUGUUAUAUCCUUAAUAGACUAAUAAUAAGAUACAAAAUAAGUUCCAAGUUCAGCAAACACCCAGGAUAGGGAAGUAAAACUGAAAAUCAUGUACAUAUGUGCAUUUUUACCUAAAAGUACCAGUAAUUUACUAUUAGAGGAUCGGUGAUGAUCUUGAUUUAAAUUUUUAACUAUUGAACACCAGUUUCUGGCCAAUUGAGCUAUAAGAAGUGGGAUUUUCUGCAGAUCAACAUCAAGUGCCGGUACAGGGUCCAGCUAAACUUGAUCCAAAAACGGACCUUCUCAGUGGAGAGGACUACAGCUCUCCUAAAGGCAGAGACUUCACUAGCACUAGUGCCUGUUGGACACCCACAGUCAACUGCAUCUCAGUCACAGCAGGAUGCACUUGUUCUUUUCGAUGUGUUUUCGGACAGUAACAACAAGCCCAAUACUAUCAAUACCCAGAGUGGCUAUCCAACUACACAAAGCAAUCCUUCUACUCCUCAAUUCCAACAGCAGCGGAAUCUGCAAGCUCCACAACUUGGGGUUUAUGCUAAUGGCAACAUGCCAAACAUGGGAUUGAACGAGCAUGAUCAAUCACCUUAUUCUCAAAGCUCUGUUCCUGUUUGGAAUGGCCAUAUUGCGCAGCAGCAACAGCCUCCCUCUCCUGUCUAUGGUGCACUUCUGCUUCUUCAUCAGUACCUGACAUUACUUUCUUGGUGAUGCAUAUUUUGUCAGUUGGCUUGUACUGUACAACCUUAUUUGGCAUGUACUAGGGGCAUGCUUGGUAUUCUUUUCCAGAUUACUGAGUUGCUAUGAGACUUAAGUCCUUUUGGCGAGCGUUGACCUCUUCUUUGUGGACAUAGCUGAACUUCUAACAAUCUUACAAUCUGUUGAGCCUACAGUUUUGUGGUGUUUCGCAGGUGCUCAAACUAGUGAUUCGCUACCACCACCCCCUUGGGAAGCUCAGUCAGUGGAAAACAGUCAGGUGAUGGGCACUCAGUACCCCCAACCAAUGCAAGGUUCACAGGUGGUCGUCCUGCAUGCACAACCUGCACUGAGUGGAUUGCAUCUCCAGGCACCUUAUCCAAUGGGGAAUGAGCAAGCGAUGGGCAUGUACUUGCAACCAGUCGCAGGUGGCCACAUGCCAUUGCUGAAUAGCCAGGUUGUUCCGAUAAACCAAAUGGUAGGACUUACCACCUCAGCCCAUCCAAGGAGGUCCUUAUAUGGGGAUGGUUCCUCAGCCAAUGCAAGUAGGUCAGAUGGCUUAUUUAUAUCCCCAGCAAAUGUAUGGCAGCCAGGUGGCAGCCUACGGCUAUGGCCAACAAGGUGCUCAGUACCUUGACCAGCGGAUGUAUCGGUUAGAGAUGACAGCAGCUUAAGGAACUCUUCAUACCAGGUGUCCACUUCAUCAUAUGUGACGCCCAUGAGGCCUUCAAAGCCAGAGGACAAGCUAUUCGGAGAUCUUGUUGAUAUGGCUAAAGUGAAAUCGUCUGCAAAAUCUACUCCAGGCAGAGCUGGUAGCAUGUAGCAUUAGUAUUUGCCAACCAUGUUUUGCUUGUUGAGCUGAUUUCUUUUGAUUUUCUUAUUUCAAAUUUUUCUAUUAUACAUAUUUGGCAGUUUCUUCUGUUUGUGGCCGUGUACUAGCACUGCUUGUUUGGCAUUGAGAUCAUGUACAUUCUUUGUAAAGGGAAAGAAAAGGAAAUCUCCUCGACCUUUUAUCUCUUAUCGGGGCAGAACCGUUAACAAGUGCAAGUCAUUAAGUUGAUAUAAUUCUUAUAGAAUUUCGUAGUUAGAGUUGGUGCUACAGCAGAUUUUUAUGAGAAUUAGAGUGUGCUGAGAGAAGAAUUUUUCAGAAUGAUACUAGGAUUUUCAAUCUAGCAUGAUUAUUGGCUUUUGAUUUUGAGCAUACCUUCAUCGCAAUGGGUUCUCUUAUCUUCAGAAGAUGUACUUGUCAGUGAAGGUUUUUUUUUUUUUUUUGGUCGAAACUGCUACUUCGAUUAAUACUUCAAAGGCGGAUUACAACUCAUAGUAAGAUUUAAACAUAGUAUAAGAUAAAGUUCAUACAGGGUAAAGUACCCAAUUAGGUGAAGAGUACCGGUGUUGAAGGAUUUGGCAAUCCAAUCCGCUGCCCGGUUCCCCUGUCGCGGUUCAAACAGUAGCGAAAUGUUCUUCAUCUGGGCCAGCAGGUAUUGACAGUCCAUAAUGUGAGGUUGCAAGGCCCAAGGGAUCUCACUACGGCCCAAAAUGGAGUCCACCACAGGGAGAGAGUCGCUGGAUAUGUACACGGCAGUUUCAGUUCGCGUGUUUGAAGUACUUUCAUUCAACUCAGUUCUAUUCUCCUUCAACCACACGAGGGCACGCCGGAUAGCUAGGGUUUCACCCAAAUUGGCCGAUUGGGCGCUGAUUUUCUCCGCAAAUCCCCCAAUACAUCUUCCGUCGGCUCCUCUGCAGAUUCCAGCAACUGAACUCCUCUCGCUGUGUUCCACCCAUGAGCAAUCCACGUUGAUCUUCAGCGUACCCGGCUCUGGAGGUACCCAGCUGUGUGGUUUUGCGGUACGUUCUUCCCUCCUUGGCUGUGAUUUCUCAUAUAACUUUUGUAACAAUCCCGCUUCGCUGAUGAGGUGGUGUUGUUUUACUUGCUUACCUUGAAAAAUCAUAUUGUUGCGUGCCUUCCAUAUGAGCCAAAGGGAAGUCGCAAAGAUCGCUUUUUGGCUUGCUGACCUAUCCAAGGAGAGGUAAUCACAUACCCAUUGAUCUACUCUUGUGAUAGCUGUUGGGGUAACAUCUAUUUCGACAUCAUAGUUCAGCCAGAUGUUUUUUGUCCAUUGACACAGGAUAAAUAGGUGUUCAGAUGAUUCUGGCCACUGAUGGCAAAAGGGGCAAGUGGGCUCAGGUAUGAUUUUCCUCCGGUAUAGAUUGAUUCGUGUUGGUAGACCUUCAUUACAUAGACUCCACAUGAAGUGUCUGACUCUGGGGUUGAUUUGGAGAUGCCAUAUUUCUUUCCAUAGUCUUUUCGGAGCUUGAUGUGAGGAUGACGCCUGUUGUCUUGUGGUUGCUGAUGUUUCUGUUCUAAGUUGCUGGUAUCCACUUUUAACAUUAUAGUUCCCCGAGUAGUGCCCUAUCCAUAUCAGACGAUCUGAUCUGGGAAUAAUGUUGAGUGUGGUUUGCCGAAUCUCUUCUGAUAUAGGGCUGUUGAAUAUCUCUUGUAUAAGUUGAUCCUUCCAUGUGCGUGUGUUUGUAUCGAUGAUAUUUGCCACACAUUGGGGGGGUCGUUUAUGUUUGUUGGUCCCCCAAUUGGUCCAAACAUUAGCCACCGAUCCUCUCUCAAGUUGAUAGAUUUACCAUCACCAACUUUCCAUUUAAGAUCAGGCCUUAGGGCAUCUCGGCCUACUAGAAUACUUUGCCAACCCCAUGAUGGUCUGGCACCCCUUGUAGCAUUCCAUAGAUUAACAUGAGGGAAGUAGAGGCCUUUAAAGAUUCUGCUCCAUAAGGCCUCGGGAGCUUGAUCUAGUCUCCAACCUUGUUUCCCCAGCAUCGCCUUGUUAAAGUCCACAAGGUCCCUAAAUCCCAUUCCCCAUUCCCCCUUGCUCCUUUCUCUUCUUCAAAACUUCCCAACUAUUCCAAUGAACACCUUUUUUUUCUGCAUUGCUCUUCCACCAGAAAGCUGAAAUUUUUCUUUCAAUGGCUCGACAAAUGGAUAAAGGAAUUUUGAAAAUAUUCAUGGCAUAUUGGGGUAGAGCCUGAACAACUANNNNNNNNNNNNNNNNNNNNNNNNNNNNNNNNNNNNNNNNNNNNNNNNNNNNNNNNNNNNNNNNNNNNNNNNNNNNNNNNNNNNNNNNNNNNNNNNNNNNUGCUCUUUCCAACCCUCCAGUUUUCUAUCUACUCGCGCCAUGAUCCAAUUAAACAUCUGUUUUCUAGUUUGUCCCCAAUCUGAUGGUAUCCCCAAGUAUUUUCCGGUUUUUUCUAAUAUGGGGACCCUCAUUUCAGCUGCCAUGUUUCUUUUCAAGUCCUGUGGACAACUUGCCCCAAAGAACAGCCCAGAUUUAUUGAGAUUAAUCAACUGACAAGAUGCGAAGCAAUAACAGUUCAGUAUAUUUGCAAGAUUCUGAGUUUCCCUGAUUGUUCCAUCCAGAAAAAAGAUAGCAUCAUCCGCGAAGAGUAGGUGGGAUAAAGUAGGACACUGAGAAUUCAGUUUAAUACCUUUUAAGCUCCCGUCUGUCUCAGCCUUGUGCACAAUGUUAGAAAGAACAUUGGCCAGAAUUAUGAAGAGAUAAGGUGAGAGGGGAUCCCCUUGUCUAAUGCCUCUAGUUGGCGCGAAACUUUCUCCUGCUUCCCCAUUAAUUAGGAUGCGAAAUUGAGCCGAGGAGAUGCAAAAUCUGACCAGACUAACCCAUUUCUUGUUGAAGCCCAUCUUUUCCAUACAAUCACAAAGAAAGUCCCACUCAACUCGAUCGUACGCUUUCUGCAUAUCCAGCUUCAGCACUGCUUGGAAUUUUUUGCGUCGUUUCCUCACUCUAAGUUGAUGUAGGACUUCUUGAACUAUGAAAAUAUUGUCCUGUAUUUGGCGGCCUGCAACGAAUGCACUCUGUUCUUGGGAAAUAAUGGAUGGAAGCCAAGGUUUGAGUUUGUUUGCCAUUACUUUAGUGAUCACUUUGUAAUUAAAAUUACACAAACUGAUGGGUCGGAAUUCAGUAAUGCUCUCGGGGUUGGCCACCUUGGGGAUAAGUGUGAUAAAUGUCUCAUUUAAUAUUUGAUCAAAGGAACCAUCUCUAAAGAAAGAGUCUACCAUUUGAAAAAUAUCUUCCUGAAUAAGAUGCCAUUGACUUUGAUAGAAGAGGCCACUCAAACCAUCUGGUCCUGGGGCCUUAGAUGCCCCCAUAUGGAAACAGCUUGCUGCACUUCUUUCUUUGUAAUUGGGCUUAUCAACAUGUCGUUCAUUUCUUNNNNNNNNNNNNNNNNNNNNNNNNNNNNNNNNNNNNNNNNNNNNNNNNNNNNNNNNNNNNNNNNNNNNNNNNNNNNNNNNNNNNNNNNNNNNNNNNNNNNCAACCAGCGGGCACUGCUCUAGGAUUGGCUGGUAGUAUCUAGUCCCCACAGAUGAAUAUAGAUCUUUAUAAUAGCUUGUGAUAUGCUGUUUGAUAAUCUAAGGUUCACGGCUCCAUACAUUCUCCUCAAGCCGUAACAUACUGAUUUUGUUUCUUUGUCUUCUUUGAAUGGUUGUUGCAUGAAAGAAUUUCGUGUUCUCGUCCCCCCAUUUGAGCCAAUUAAUUCUUGAUCUAAUGCCCCAAUACAUUUCUUCUUGACGCCAUAGAGUGCCCAAUUUCUCAGUUAUUCUGUUAUAUUCCUCCCUCAUAUUUGUCUGGUCUGUACUGUUUGUUAUCUGAGUAAGCUGGUUUCUGAGUUGAUCAAGUUGUAUUGAUGCAUUUUUAAAUGCUUUUCGGCUCCACUUUCUCAAUGCUUGGGUCACUUGUUCUGUCUUCUUAACCAGGUAUCCUUGCUGGCCAUGGGAUUUCUUCCAUGCCUUCUCCACUACAUCUGCACACUCAGGGUGAUCUAGCCAGUAAGCUUCGAAUCUGAAUAAUCUUUGAUGUGUCUUUGUAAGUGAGUGUAAGCAUAAUAGGAUAGGGCCAUGAUCAGAUCCUAUGGCUGGAUAUGCAAAAGCUUCAGCAUUAGGGAAGAGAAGUCUCCAUUCUAAAUUGCAAAAUGCUCGAUUAAGCCGUUCUUUGACUAGAUCCUCUCCUGCCCUGUUAUUUGUCCACGUGAAUGCACCCCCCCCCUGCUUUCCAUAUCUAUUAAAGAGCAUGAAUCAACAAAUUCCCUAAAUGUCAUCAUUCGAAAUAUUUCCACUUGACGUCGACCCACAUUCUCCCAAUUAUAUAACACUUCAUUAAAGUCACCUAAGCAAAGCCAAGGUAAUGAUAUCAUACCGUUUCUAGCUCGAAGUAGGUUCCAAAGAGAGACUCUCUCUUGAAAAUUAGUAGAGGCGUGUAGGAAGGAAAUCUUCAUUUGAACUCCAGUACUAGCAUCUGUGCAUACACUAUCAAUCAUCUCCGGACUGCUAUACUCCACUGUGAUGUGCACCGACUCAUCCCAAAAUAAGACCAAACCCCCCGCAAUACCUAUAGGAUUUAUAGCAAACAUAGAUGAAUACUUAAGUCUGUUUUUGAUUUUUCAACCACCUGGAAUUGAUUCUUCGUUUCCAUAAGAAAAACCAGAUUAGGUCUCUCACGAGCCACUAAGGCUUGAAGGUGCUGGACUGUCAAGGGAGAGCCUAAACCUUGACAGUUCCAGCUUAAUACUUUCAUGGCUUUCUUGGUAGCUCAUUAGGGCUAGCCACCAGAGCCCUUGCUGAUUCGCCUCCCCAUAUUUGAAUGGGUGUAUCCAGCAGCUGAUCCAUAUCAUCAAGAGUCAUUAGUGAGACCCUUUUUUCAUAAGGGGCAAAUCUUUUGAGUUUUUUGGGUGGUUGUUGCUUUGAACCAGAUUUGACUACCCUUAUAUCUUGCAUUGAACGCCCCUUUGGCUGUUCCGAACUCUGCUGAAUUAUUUUCCCUCUCUUCUGUUCAGCAUACUCAUCCAUAACUGACACUUCUGAAAUUAACUGUGUGGCAGGGUUGUAAAUCACCAGGGCUUGGCCACCUUCAGAAGAACUCUUCCUAUUCGAUUCCUCAUUAGACGGGAUGACAGGGGUCUCGGGAACCAUCUCAUCCUCAGUUAAGGUAAGAUCUAUCUCACCAUAAAAUGUAUCCCAACAAGGGCUGGAAUUUUUAAUCUCAGCUUUCAACCAAGAACCAUAGCGUCCAGGUUUAUCUUGUGGAAGUCCAAAAUUUUCAUAUGGUAUGGUCGGACAAUAGUUAGCGUAGUGACCAAUGUAACCGCAUGAAUAACAAAAGUGCGGUAGUCUCUCAUAUUUAAAGUCUAUCCAUCAAUUACGAUCCCCCACAUGGAUAAUCGUUCCAGUUUUAAGAGGAUGCAGAAGAUUUAACCUCACUUUUGCUUUACCGAUUUUCCGAGAUCCAUUGGUUCUCGCAUUUCCUCCACCUCUCCCAUUUUUCCAGCGAUCAUUCGGAUACACUCCUCCGCCAAUGCAGCUCUUGGAAGUCCCAUCAAAUGCACCCAAAAAGAGCAAUGAUUAAAUUCAUAGCAGUGCUCGGGAACGGUAGGAUCCCCUUCCUGUAAUACUAACAGAUUGCUUGAAAAAGACGAGGGGCCUGUUUGGAGUAUUCUUCUCUGAUCUACUGCUGACUUAAAGGAGAAAGCAAAGAAACCUGUUGUAUUACCUCACAUCUAACUUCAUCAACCUUCCAGGCCUUCUUCAUGGUUUCCCAGAAUGCUUGAAAAUUAGCAUUUGGUUUCGAAAAUAAUUUCCCAUAUAACAGAUAUUCAUCGGCCCGUUUAUCUCUCGCAGGAAUAUGGGCAUUCAGUUCAGUUAUGUCAUCCCCAGUCCAUAGAUCGCCCAUUCUUUGACAAAGGGCUAGCAGUCGGAGCUGGUUUUCCUGGGUACCCUCCAUGCAACUAAGAAACAGAGACCUCCGAAGAUGAGGAAGAUUCCGUGGGUUUCAAAGUCAAGUAAACAGGAAAGGGUUGGUUGGGAGUGAAGGGAGUUCUAUUCCGAGAAUACCCCAUGUUAGGUUUGCAGAGAGCUCAAUAUCCAUAUUAGGGUUUGGGAACAAGUUUACAAAGAUGAUAAUCAGGGGAGUAAAUUGGGGCACCACACACUAUUUGAUGGAUGCGAAUCAGGUUGAAGAAACGAAGCAGUCGUCACCCAUCAGGAUGGAGGAACACGCACCUUCAGCGAGGGAGAAAACCAUUGACGACAGGAGGGAUAUCACGGUGACGAGAGGAAAAGGCAUCUUCCAUUGCCGAGAAAGGAUUCGUGAUGAGAGAACUAGGGAACCAUCACCCACAGGGAUGGAAUAGCGCUCACCUUCAGCGAGGGGAAAAGCCAUCGACGGCAGGAGGGACGUCACCAUGACGGGAGGGAAAGGCGUCUUCCAUCGCCAGAGAGAAAUUUGUCAGUGAAGGUUGGAUGAGUGAGUUUGUAUAGGUGUGUGAACAUUAGAGGAACUCUUCUUCAGUAGGGGAAACUAUGUCUUACUGUUCUGAUCUCAUUAUUGUGAAAUGUAAAUUGCUCGGCCUUUAGUGGCGUUCAUAUUAUGCUAUACUUGGUAUCAUCGCUAUAUUUGUAGAACGUUUUGGCCGAAAGUUAAGCUCCGUCGUUUUUUAUAGAUCGUAUGUAAUCUUGGAUUUAGCAAUUCUCUGCAAAAUUUACGGUACAAGACCUUUCCUGGGGUGGCUGUCUGUUUUAUUUUUUUAAUUGCCCUAAAAAGAAACAGUGGUGUUGUUUUCCAUCAAUGAUGCAUCAAACUUUCAUGAUUGUGGCUAGAUAGACCUCCUAGAUUGACCCCAUGACAUUCACUUCAAGAUGAGGGGUGAUUCUCCCAUGAUCAGAGCAGGGACUGACUUCACUGCAGAGGUGACCCUUUCUUCACGUUUUUGCUUUCACGAUCGGGUACGAGGAGAAUGACUUCAUAGCGAUUCACGGGUACCAAGAUCCUGAGAGCGUUUGGAUGAGACCAUUGCGUAAACGGAGUGAAGACGUUAAAGUACCUAAAGAUGCUCCGGCAACGGCGAUGCUUCCAGGGAAAUUCUCGCAUGUGCCCGAUAACGCAAAGCAUCGGAUUCGAUGAGUUUUGCAUGAGGCUCACAUGCUCUAUGGUUCAUAUGUGCUGGGGGUGCAUCGGGUGUAUGAUGCAAAAAUGGCCCGUGAUGCGAAGACGAGAAACGAAAUACUUUACCCGUGAAGGAGAUACGUUUUUUGGUCAGACCGUGAAGGAGAUAUUAACGAUUAAGAAUCUUGACGUUUUUUUNNNNNNNNNNNNNNNNNNNNNNNNNNNNNNNNNNNNNNNNNNNNNNNNNNNNNNNNNNNNNNNNNNNNNNNNNNNNNNNNNNNNNNNNNNNNNNNNNNNNCUAUUAUCAGGCUCAAUUACAAGUUUCACCAACUGAGUCACAUGUAUAACGUAUUCAUACCUAAUGAUUUUCCGCAAAGUGGUGAUGAAAGGUUGUGUUUGAUUAAGAAACAUUUAAAAUUAAAAAUACGUUGAAUGAUUUUCUUAAAAUAAGUUAAAUAAUUUUCUUGUUUAUAAUUGAAAAGCAAUAAUAAACAUAUUCAAAGGGCAUAUAGAGUGCUGCUAGGAUUCAAGUAUUUUUACCUUCGUUUAUUAUUUUUAUAUUUUUUCUAUGCCACAUUAUCCAUAUUUAUUUAACACCAUUUCUGAGGAGCAACAUUUUCAAUGUUUAAAUGCUCCUUAAACCUUUAUAUAUUUUAUUGUUCCAUGAUAACUUUCACUCGUAACUUAUACAGUUAAAAUAGAUUUCAAUUAGCUAGAGCUAACAAAAGUAGCAUAUUGAUAACAUUGCCAAAUUACUCGAUUUUCAAUAAAAAAAAUUAUAACGUUAAACUUUUUAAUAGAUGUAAGCAAAUAACAAUUACUAAAAGACGAUUUUCAAAAACUCAGUUUUAUCAUAUGAUAUGAAUGGGAUCAUCAUGGAUAUAAUGAGAUGCAAUUGCCAUUGAAAUUGCACAAAAGUUUCAAAGGCUCUGAAACCCAAUUAUCAGUUUUGUGGCUAAGAAAGAAACUGUAAGAACAAUCAACAUCAUUUUUCUGAUUAUGCAAAGCAAAAGAAUAAAUAUAUAUAUCUCUCCUUUUAGAUUUGUGAGGAAUUCCCUUAUGAGGUUUUGCAAAAUGAUAAAUCGAUCAUAGGCUACUAAUAUGCUUAUUGUGGAAUCAACUUGUCAACUCACAAAUUAAUAUGUAGAUGGAGUAUGGAACAGGUACCUCUAGAGGUUGGUAGUGCUCUGCUUCCAUAGAAGGUGAAUAAGAUAGAAGACGUGAAGAGUAUCUAAGGCUAGAUGGGUGAACAAGCUGUAGAGGUUCCUUAAAGCUUGGAUGGACAAGUAGAAGUUAUUAGUUUUGUGGAACUAGAAGCCUGACAACAUGCUUGGAGGGACUAGUUGUCGAAGGUGAACAGUCAAUUCAACGUGAAGGGUGAAAAGACUUUUUUUUUUUUGGAUUAUGCAUCAAAUAGUGAAGCAUAUAGCUUUUCUAAUCUUAGUACUAAUACUUUUUUUUUGAAGCAAUUGACACUGAAUUUUUUAACAUUUAACAAUAAAAAUAGUAAGGGUUCGAAUAAUAAUCAUUUUGUUUCUUUAUUAUUUUGUUCUUGAGGAUAUGUUUGGAAAAAAAUCCAUUUGGUAAUUUUUUAUUUUAUUUCUACAACAAAUUUUUAACUCUGAAAGUCACAAAAAUGAGAAUUAAAAAUUUUCUAUUUUUCUAUUUUUGAAAUAAAAAUAAAAAUAAAAACUCUUAUUAUCGCUCGCCUUAGUUGUUGCCCGCUGGCCACUACCUAGAAAUUUUGAGGCUUAUUGAAUGAAUUUCUAUUUCGAAAACCGAAAUGAUGUUGCUAUCAAAUGCGUAUCUCUGCUAAAAAACUCAUCUAAGGAAUAUAAAUUGAAAAAUCUAUUUCCACAUAGAAAUUGUUUCCAAGAAUAGAAGAAUUAGCAUUCGCGCCCUUAGUUCGAAAUCAUCGAUUAUUUUUAAUGUCCAUUAGAUGAAUUACCAAAUUACUUUAGAACCAAAAGCCAUCAUUAUUUUGAUUUUUGUAAACCUUGUUUACCGGAGAAUAAACAUCAAAGUAAUCAAGUCCUCCUUUUUUACGAUACUUUUUAGCCAUCAAUCCUGCCUUAUGUAUAGUUCUAUUGUUAGGAGGAAGGUUAGUUGAUGACCCUGUAUUAUUUCGCUUGAUAGAUUUUAUCUUAUCAUCCGUUGCCAUUUUCCACAUAUGCGCGUCCGGUCUAGAAUUUGUUUGGAAAAAGAUUCUUUAGAAAGAGAAAGAUAUUGUUCAAUUAUAACUUGUUUUCCUUUAUCUAAAGAAACAAUUUCUUUUCCUAAUAUUCGUCUCUUUCGAGACUAUUAAACAGGGCGGGCUUAAACUAAGAUUUCAAGUAAGUUUUUACCUGAUUUUCUUAUGUUUGGAAAAAAAAAAAAUUAUUCAUCGACAUAAUGAGAUCCAUAUGUUCAAAAAAUCCUCCACUUCUUCCUAAAUUCAGAAGAACAGAAAAAACGAAGGAAACGCCCUCAAGUAAAGAAAGUCAUGACCUUAAAAAAGAAAAAAAAGGCAUGUACAUGAAAUCGUCCACUUCAAAACCUAAAAAGCUUGAGUGGUGUCGCCUCCUCCGACUACGAUGAUACCAAAAUAAGUUCAGAUCUUUUCACAGGCUAAAGUUCAUUAGUCUUACAGGGUAGGAUGGGUUACAAUCUGAAGCUGAAACUAGUACUGGCAAAGGCAUAAUGUACUCCAAAAUCGUGGACGUUACAUCAUUUACUUGAGGAGACUCACGAGCAGGGAGAGUCAAUUCCUUAUGACACCUUGGUUGGUCUCAUUUCUCAAUCAAAUUGCCAAUUCAAAGGCCAAAAUCGAGAAUCAAGCUAGUGUUGAUCAACCAGGAAAUUUUUGAGAUCGUGAACUAAAUCAAUUCUCGUUGAAAUCGACUUGGAAUAGAGCUGAUUGAGCCAGUUCCAAUUUUACCCGAACCUUUGCUCACCGCUAGUGUGGAAGGGACUUUCGCAAAUUAGCAUUAAAAUAAGCUUUUUGCUUCAUAAUGAUUUGACUAUAUUUGAGAACACACCUCAAGGAUGAAAAUUAUAAAAAAAAGCUUCUUAUCUCUUUCUGAAAAAAAAAAACACAUAUGAAAUGAUAUUUUCCAGAGACAUGGGGAAUAGAUGCAUAUUUUUUUUCCAAAUGCAUUAUGUUUGUUAUUUAUACAUUACAAAUAUAUGAUCACUCAUUCUACUCUUAUGGCUUUUGCUUUGUCAGGGUUUGUACUUUCGUCACUCUUUCGGUUGGUCUUUUUGCUUGAUCUCAGUAGUUUCUAAGUUAGAAAUCUAGAAUUGUUGGGAUGUUUGACCUACCGGCGGUUUGGUAAUGUGGAGGGAGAGUCAUUGAUCGCGAGUUUAAAUGAGCUGGAGGUUGAUUUUAAGUGCGAUUUGGGUUCGCUGUUUGGACUCGAGACGGCAUCGUCAGAAAAUCGAAGUGACGGGACCAGUCAGCAGAUGAUGCCUGAUAUCGGCACUUUAUUUACUUUGAAAAAAUCGACCGGCUAGAAAUUUAAUUUGAUUAUCUAAAGAAACUGCAUUUAUUCUCCCGUUUCAAUUGCUCGACUCGUUCCCAAAUCAACUACUGAAUUAGCUUUGCCCUCUGGAAGUCGGCCUAACCAUCCAUUUGUCAUCAAUGUCAGAUACCCGUAGCCUUUCUUCCCUUCUCAAGCCAAGGGCAAGAUUAAACUAUUUCCUCCCCUCCGUCCAUAAGACCGAUGAUCUUUUGCUCACUAGAGGCAAAAGUAAGAGUUAUAUUAAACCUAUCCAUCUAAUCAAAGAUAUAUUACACUUCAUAAAGUCUUUGAGAGCUAGAAGGUGAUGUAUGCAAAUCGUUAGGUGUUCUUGGCAACGUGCCGAUUGGACAUUGUCCAUGGAGAGGGUGGAUGCAUUUGGCGAAUUUGAGGUAUAUUGAGAUCCGACAGGAUUGAGAUUUGCAAGCUAUUUCUCAAAUUGGAUGGCGAUUGAAAUGAAUUUAGAUGUUGGUUUGGCAUUGGAAGCUCAAAAUUAAUGGCUAUUAGAUGAUUGGACAUGUAAGUCAUUUAACUUUCGGUUAACAUACCCGUGGAUUGUGCUAGAGUUGUUUCAAUAUCACAUCUACCUUCCUUUUUCUUAUUAAAUUUGUAUACCACAAUGUCUUAAUAUGUCCCUAAUACAUAUCCACAUUCUCUCGCCUGAUAAUUUAAUUUUUUCGGUAAUUAAGAUUUAAUGUGGUAAUGGAGCCUGACCAAAUGAAAACUUCAUUCGGCUGAUAUCUUAGUAAAACGGAAAAAUUAUCUAGAAAGUCCUAAAUUUAUUGAGCUUUUACCCAUUUAGUUAUAAACAUAACAAUUUUGCAAAUUUAGUUAUAAACAUUUUCAUUUUUUUAUCAAUUGAAUCCAUUUGAUCAAUUUUGAUUGAAAAUCAUUAACAUGAAAUCGGUAAUAACACAUAUGACGGUUGGCACGGUCAUGGACCAUAUUUUUUAUAUAUUAUAUUUUCAUUUUUUUUUUAUUUUUAUUUUUUUCCUUCCUUUUCUUUUCAUUAGUAGCUGGGUCGGUUGGCCUUGCCAUAUUUGGCUUGGGUGAAGUUGACUCUUGCCUAGGUGAAGAUUAGCCCUGCGAGGAUCGACUCUUGCCUAGGUGAGGACGAGCCCUAUGAGGGUCAACCUCGCCUGGGCUUACCUGGGUGAGGGCUCCCCUCGCUCGGCUGUGCCUCACUUGUGGUGGGUGAGGCCAACUUGCUUAGCCAUGGUUGAUGCUGGCCAUAGCCACCGCCAAUAGAAAGCAAAAUGGAAAAAAGAAGAAGAAAUAAAUUAGAAAUAAAUAAAUAAAUUAAUUAAAAAUAUUAUUAAAAAAUUAUCUACAUCAGCAUAUGUCAAUUGGCUAGCGUUGGCAUCAGCAUCAAUGAAUUCUGAUGCCGGAUGGAUUCAAUUGAUAAAUUGUGAAAAUAUUUAGGAUUGAAUUUGCAAAAGUGGAACAAAGUUAGGAUUUUUUGGACAAUUUUAGCAAAUACUAGGAAAGUCCCAAAUAAGGACCUAAAAUGCUUCCGCUUUCUCAAAUAAGGGCUUGAAAUGGACUUUAUUUCAAAUAAAAGUUUGAAGUGGCUAAAUCGUCUCAAAUAAGGGCUUGAAGUGGCUGGAUGCCUCUUAAAGGGUAACGGAGGUGUGUGAAGGGAGGCUUAAGCUAAGAUUUUGCUAGUGAGCAUAAUGGUAUAAGCCUACCUAAUAAUGACACUGACUGGUCGAAUAGAGACGAAAGAAGACCAUAGUGAUCCGGGAGUCCAGAGUGAAAGGGCUCUCACUUAACAGAUCAAAGGUACAUUGAGGAUAAUAGACUGAUGACUCCCAAGAGCUCUUAUUGAUAGACUUGUUUGGCACCUUGAUGUUGACUCAUCAAAUCCUGGAGGUGAAAAGGUUCCCAAGAGUUUGGUUGUUCAUUGAUCAAAGUGGAAGAAAAUAAACUGCCAUUUGCCUAGGUAAGAGUCUUAGUAAGAAAUAGAAAAGGAAUGGCUGCCUUUGCAAAGGAGAAGCUGCUUGAUCAAGAGGCAGAGGAGCCGCAUAACUUAAUUCACAUUUUCUUCUUGAUUAGAGGAGUGUAACGGCAUUGGAAGAGAGGUACAUCAGUUUAAAAAAAGAACCUAAUCUCUCAUACUGAAGGGCAUUUUCAUCUUUUAUUUUUAAAUUUUUUUUCAAGGAAAAUUUCAAAAAAUGAUCUGAGUGGAGCCAUAUUCUCAAAAGAGAGUCUAAAGUGGAUAUUGUCUUAAAUAAGGAUCUCAAGUGGCCAAUUUAGUUUCAAAUUAGAGCCUGACUGGCCAAAUCUUGCAUGUCCAAGGGCAUUCUCAUCCAAGUAGAUUUGUUUCUUUAUUAUUCUUUUCUCUCUUUGUUUCAUGUUUUAAUUUCAUUUUUUUCCCUUUCUCUACGCCAUCAUCUUCUGCGAUUUCAAGUAUAAAUGCGCUGGCAAAAUUUUUUGUCUAACUUCUUGCUAUGUCUCUCGCCCAGCUACAAAACGCCGCUUCCUGUUUCCUCACUACGCAGCCACAAAUUCCUAACACCCGCAAAAGAUUAAUUGGCGAUAUUCAACAACCGUAUACAAAAUAUUUCACAACCCUAUACAACUUAUGACUCGACACAAAACUGUUCGUCGCCCCCUAAAAACUUUUCCACAGGAAUCAUAUGUUGAUUCAACUACUCUUUGUUUCAGGGAACACGGGAACUGUGUUGUGCAGCACAAUCGUCCCUUGAAAGACCAUCAUCCGGCGAUUCCUUCUUAAUUGUUUCAACUGCAAAAGAAAUGAAUGUAUGAGACCGAGAGUUUCAAAUCUCCUGCUCAAGAGGGAUAAAUGAAUGCACGUUCACAAACCUCCUCUGGGGUCAUCUUGCCAAAACCAAAUCGGUUCAUCCAUAUCGAUUCUGCUUCCUCUGCAGCAAGAAGCACGAGAUUCGUCACAAUGAAUAAGCCUCCUCUGAGUUGAACUAAGAGAAGCGUUGCUAAUGGCUUGCGUGCCAAUGGAUGGAUGGUGUGGUCGACUUGGUUGAGGAAGAAGAGAACUUUUACGAGGCAUUGCUUGACAGCGACUAUUCUGUUAUUUAUGACUCUGAAAUGGUGGCAAAGGACCUCUCCACAUGGAAUAUAAGAAAAGAGCUCUUUGGUUUCAUUUCUUUGAAUUAGAUGGGGUAGAGCGAAGAUUGGUGAAGGAUAAAUUGGGCAACUAAGCACUUUUUUUGAGUCAAAAUUAUCCCGCAUCCUUAUUGACUUCUAAAAUCCCAGGUUGUAGGAGAAAAAACAUUUGUUAUCUUAAUGGUUUCACAGUGAAAGGAGGCACCAACAUGAAGAAGGGUUACGAAUUGUGCGGAUUCAACUUGAAAAGUAGAGCCAUCGAGCACGUUAUUACACUUGUCUUACAUGUAGCUGAUCGCCGUUGCCCCCUUGGAUGGGGCACUGGUUUAUCCCCUUAUCUGUAGGAGUUCACCGUUCUGCUAAUCAUGCUAUUUUUGAUUGUUUGUUAGCAAAAACAUAUUCAGAUAUCACUAUUGCAUGGUAAAGAAAACAAAUACAUGAAACAAAGAUAAAGAAAAAGAAAAAUAAACAAAAAAAUUGUACAUGGAUGAGAAUGCCCCUAAAUGGGAACAAGAUUAUUUGAGACUAAAUUGCCAACUUGAGGCCCUCAUUUGAGACAAUGUCAACUUUGGACCCUCUUUUGAGAAUACAGCUGCAAUUCAGACCUUUAUUUGAAAAUUUCCUUUUUUUUUCUUUCCUUUUUCUAUUUUUUUUCUUUUUCUUUGCCCCUUCCCUCAGCCAGCCAUUGUGGAGGUUGUUGGACUUGGGUGAGGACCACCUCGUCGGCAUGAGGCGAUGGUCACCAUCGCCUGGGCUAAUGCCAAUAGGUCCUGCCCUCGCCAGAUUUAGGAAGGGUUGCUGAGGGUUACACUCCCUGAUGUCAGGCGAGGGUUACUGUCGUUGGAUCUAGUGAGGAACGCCCUCGCCUGACAUCGGCAAUAGUGGCCCUUGCCUGAGGUAGGCAACCUCCAUCGGCCAUUUACGGUGAUGGCCAAGGGAUAGAAGAGAAAAAAAAAGAUAAAAGAAAAGAAAAGAAAUAAAGGAAAAAAAUAAAAAAAUAUAUAUAGUUACAAAUUUUUUGACCAAAAUACCCCUUCUCCGAUGGCCGUAAUAGUCAUUAGCAGGCUAAAGUCUCUUAUUUGAGACGAUUUGAUCAUUUCGGACUUUUAUUUGAGAAAAUGAUGACACUUGGACCUUUAUUUAGAAUUUUCCCUAUGUCUUAAUUCCAUUACAUUUCAUUUUUACUCCACCCUCAAAGGAAGAAAAUAUCCUCUAACCACACCCAAGAAUUUAUGGUGUAAUGUCACCGGUGGUAUCUGUUAUUGACAGCUAACUGUUUUGCCCCAACGUCUCCUCAUUUUCAAUUCGCCGGUAAAUCGGAAUUUAACCCCUAAGCAAAAACAUCUAUACUGUAUGUCUCGACUUCUCAUUUCUUAAGUUUUCAGAAACGACGGUCACUUUUUACUUAAAAUAGGACGUCCGCAUCGAAUAUUAAAUUAGGCAAGAUCUUUAAUUUUUGUGAACCAGUCCAUUGCGUUGCUCCAGGUCAAACCCACAAGCCCGGCCUCACCCCCCUUAGGGGAAAUGGCAUGUACCGCUCCAAGCAAGAAGAGAAUGAAGACAUUCAUGGAAGUUGAGCACGACCAAGAUCAGUCGAGGUUAGGAAAUGUUUCAAUGGAUUGCAUAAUUCUCUUCGCAACAAUGAAAAUAUGAUUCUUUAGGAUUAGAUCGGUAUCGAGCACACAUACAUACGUUGUGCAUUCUAUAUCCGGCCUAGAUGCAAUCAAGGGGAGGAGUGAACCUAGCAUGCUUCUAUGCAACUUUGGGUCCACAGGUUUACUCUUUUGAUAUUUGUUCAGCUUGGUAGAAUGAGGCAUGGAUGUGUCCAUCCUCUUCUAAUUCUCCAUACCGCAUUUAUUUACAAGUUCCUGGGCACAUUUUCCUUGGUGAAUGAAGGUCCCAGCCUUGGUUUAAAUUCAUUUUGCAUUACCUUUGCAAAAUCCUUGCGCAGAAUCUCAUUAGUAGAAAUUUUGCAUUUCAUAUACUUCCAUAAUUUUUUUUUUUCGUUUUAUCAUUACUAUUUCAUAUUACUGUGUAUCAUCAUCAUCAUCAUCAUCAUCAUUUUUCCCGUUUGAUUCUACUUAGAAAAAAAACAAAAACCAUUUGGUUGCGAUGCAAUAUUAUAUGACAUUAUAAUUGGCCAAAGUCAUGAUAAUGUAGUAUAGUUGGUUCUGAAUAUCUAUCACUAGUGACAAACAACUUUGACUAGUAUAUGCACGUUAGUUUACGCUAAUCCCUGUCAAUGAGCUGUAAGAAAGGCACCCUUCUUACAUUAUUCUAACGUCGAUUUGCAAACAUUUAUAGUACAUUGUUCUAACUACCUUUGUCGUCUGUAUCUAAGCUUUGCAUCGAGGCAUCUUCAAGCUGCAUCUUUCUUUCUAUCCUGUAGACACACAUCGUUACCCCAACUAAGAGGCAUUUUCAAGUGACAUCUUGGACAAAAAUGAAUGAUUUUAAAAUAUUUUCCAAAAAAAGAUAGGUCAUAUUGCUUGAAAUGAUUAGUUGAUAAUUUUUUAUUAAUGGCAAUAAUUUAUAUCUAAGUGAAAUAAUCAGUUGAUUUUAAGAAAAUAUUUCCAAAUCAUUUAUUUUAUGCGAAACAAAUAGAGCCUCAUUUUUUCCUACAGUUUACUUCAUUUUAUAUUUACUAUUUAAUGUUUAAUCUUCUACGCAUCUCCUUAUUUAUUUCUUUCAUGACGAGCCCUGUAGCCAGUAAAUCAUCAUACUCAUGAACUACAAUGUCCACUAUAUUAUCAUCUCUUUUUUUUUUUUUUUUUGGGGGGGGGGGGGGGGGAGCGGAGGGGGUUCGGAAAUUGAGACAGUGUCUUAAACAGGUAAACAAAACUGAUUCUACUUAGGAAACAAAUAAAAGCCAUUUGGUAAUGAUGCAAUUUAUAUAACAACAUAAUUGGUCAAAGUCAUAUUAUUGUAGUGUAGUUGGUUCCUAAUAUCCAAUCACUGACAAACAUGUAACUAGUAGUCAGGAUGCCAAACUCCUAAAAAUUGCCACCAUCAAUAGGCAUUGCUAAAACAAAUCAAUAGCACCUGUUUCAACUUAACCUGCGUCAACUGGCCAACAGAAUAGAGAAAACCAAACAAAGCUGAUAUGACCCUUCAGCAAUCGAGAAAUUACACUGCAACUUCGUUCACUAAUCACCAUCGAAUGAGCUAUAAGAAAGGCACCCUUUUUUCACAUUAUUCUAACGACAAUUUGCCAACAUAUAUGAGACAUUGUUCUAACUACUUCUGUCUGUAUGUAUGCUUGGCAUCAAGGCAUCUGCAAGUGGCAUCUUUCUUUCCUCCCGUAGAAACGCAACUUAUGUACCGCAAUUGAAAGGAAUACCCCCUAUUAAGUGAAAAAUUGCAUUUCAUUUUUUUUUUCUAAAAUGUAUUUGAUUUUAGGGUUAAUCCCACAAAAAAAAAAAUCCAAAAUUGGUACAUCUAUAACAAAUUUACCCAAAUUAAUUUUUUAACUACCAAAAAUCACAAACCGGUACACCUGUGACAAAUGAAGGAUAAAACACAAACUUAUACACCCACUAACUAUCAUGUGUUGUCUAAGUAAGCAAUUUGACAGUAAAAUUCAAUAGAAACUAACGGAAGGUAGAUUUGUCAUGGAUGUAUCAGUUUGGGGGUUUUUUCAUGAUAUUAACCUUUUGUUUUAUCACCACCGGCCAUGGUGGCUCCGCUGGGUAGGCUUCAGUCCUUUGAGGGAAGGUCAGGAGUUCAAAACCCCUGCAACGCAAGUUGCAGGGAGGCUGGCGGGCUAUUAGGUGAUUGCCGCGUGGUGCUGGGGUGGUGGUUUUCCCGCUAGCGUUACUUGGGGGUUUACGUGAUGGCUGUUCGGCCAAGGCGGUUCCCUCCAGCACAAAAAAAAAAAAGAACCCUUUUGUUUUUAUCUUUUUCUUUUUGAACGUUGUUAUUAUAUUGCAUUUCUUUGUUUAUUUUUUCACAACGAAGCACAUAACCAGUACACCGUGAACUAUGACGUCUACCGUAUUAUCACGUCUCAUUUUUUUCCAUUUGUGAUUUGAGGUUGUGAUGUAGUAUUAUAUAACAAUGUAAUUAGUCUAAGUCAUGAUAUUGUAGUAUAGUUGGUUAAUAAUAUCCCAUCAUUAAUAACAUACAACUUUAAUGAGUAUUGCUCGUUGGGUUUUCUUUUAUGCGUUUGUAUUAAUAGGAAAAAGAAAGUCAAGUGAAGUGUGCCUGAUCCCAAAUUUCAUUCAAAGCUUCUGGUGUUCUCUCAACAAAAACAGGUCUUCUUGUUGCGAGCAAAAGUAGAGCGGUCAUAUUCAAUUAGAAAAUUAUAAGAUUCACCCAAUUUAAGAUCGCGCUUAUAAUGUCCCUUAAUCACGACGAUUAACCGUUUCGCGCGUUCAUACCAUGUACAAGAGGGGGGCGUUAAUUUCUCGAUCGAUAAUCAUUGCAACCCUCGCGACAUUUUCCUCGGCCAGGGCCUCAUGUCCAAAAGUCCCGCUAAUUAUUGACUUUUGACUGUCGUUUGACUAACGCUCGAUUUUGACCCGAAUUCCGAAUUACAAACCUCAUUUCCGCAUCACCUGCCCCGUAAUAAUAUUUACGAAAGCACGAUUAUUAUCAGAGCCCCCGAGUAGAAGGGUAAUAAUUGAGACAUUUUUUUUUUGUUGAUUGCUAAAACGUAAUAAUUGAGAUAUGAUUCCGUAUGUAGUUUUACGAAACGUUGAAAUAAUCGGAAAUAAUUCAUGGGAAGUUCGCCAACCCGGCGGGACGAAUACCCUGCCGUUCUCUCCCUAUUGGCAUCAUUUUGUUUUUCUUUUAUAAAUUUCUAAUUUAAUUUUUCUUUUAAAUUUCGUGUGGACAUAGUCGCCGGAGCUCUCUCUCUCUCUUCCCCCAAAACCUUCGCUGUGCAUCUCCGCAGCUUUCAAUCAGUCCCCCAGUCGCACCUUCGGACUUCUCCUGAUCACCAGCCUUCGGAGCUUCGCUUCUCCUGAUCACCAGGGGAGCCGGGACUCGCCCUCGCCCAGGUGAGGGUUGGCCUCCCUAGUCCAUAGGCCAGAUCCAAUGAGGUUGGCCCUCGCCGAGGCUGCUCUCACCCAAGCAAGGGUCGGCCUUGCUCAGGCCAGAGUUGGCGAGGCCAACCCUUGCCGAGGCUCGGCCUCGCCAUGGCUAGGUAAGGCCAGUCCACCUGGUUGUGGCCAAUGGCCAGCCAUUGCUUGUGGCCAGUGGUUGAUCACCGGCAAAAUGAAGAAGAAGAACAAAGGAGAGAAAAAAAGAAAAAAAAUCGAAAAAUCGAAAAAUUAUUAGAUUGUCCACGUCAAUACCAGUGGUGUCACGUAAAUAGGCCGGCAUCCACGUCCGCAAUAUCUGGCCAAAAUUAGUCGGAAGGACUAAAUUAGCAUCAGGUCAAAACAUUUAGGAUUAAAUUGACACUAAUUUAAAAUGUUUAGGAUUCAAUUGGUAUCAUUAAAAAGUUUAUGACUAAAUUGGCAUAAACUUAAAAGGUUUAUGAUUGAAUUGACACCAUUAAAAUGUUUAGGACUAAAUUGGCACAAAUGCAAUAGAUUUAGGAAUUUUUUUUUUAUACUUUUCCCCAAUUAUUAUUGGAAUUGCACAAAAAUUUCAAAGGNNNNNNNNNNNNNNNNNNNNNNNNNNNNNNNNNNNNNNNNNNNNNNNNNNNNNNNNNNNNNNNNNNNNNNNNNNNNNNNNNNNNNNNNNNNNNNNNNNNNNNNNNNNNNNNNNNNNNNNNNNNNNNNNNNNNNNNNNNNNNNNNNNNNNNNNNNNNNNNNNNNNNNNNNNNNNNNNNNNNNNNNNNNNNNNNNNNNNNNNNNNNNNNNNNNNNNNNNNNNNNNNNNNNNNNNNNNNNNNNNNNNNNNNNNNNNNNNNNNNNNNNNNNNNNNAUUAGACGUGAAGAGUAUCUAAGGCUAGAUAGUUGAACAAGUUGUGAGGUUCCUCAUGGAUUGGAUGAACCACUAGAACGUGAACAGUUUGUGGACAUGGAAGAUGACAGGAUGCUUAAAGGGAACGGUAUGUAGAGGGUGAACUAUGAAUUCAACGUGAAGCGCCAAAAGACCUUUUCUUUUUUUUUCUAUGGAUUAUGCAUGUAAUAGUAAAGCAUAUAUAUUUUCAGGUCUCAAUGCUAAUAAUAUUUUUGAAGCAAUUGACGCUGAAUUUUUGAGCGUUUGACAAUAAAAGAUACUACGUCUUUCGAAACAGAAAAAAACUGGGAAGAGAAAUUGUUUCUUAAGAUAAAGGAAAACAAAUUAAAAUUGAACAAGAUCCUACUCAUUUUAAAGCCUAUUUUUCAGAUAAAGAGAAACAAUUACUUAGAGUAAAAGAAGAGGAAGAGAAAAGUUUUGGGACCUUUCUUUACUUAUGUUAUUGAUUUAGUGGAUGAUCAACAGGGUUAUAAUGAUGCCGAGUCUAGACUCUAGACCGGAUGCUCAUGUGGAAAAUGGCAAUGGAUCUUGAGAUAAAAGCAAAAUAAUACAUGUCAUCAACUAGUCCUCCUCCUAACACUAGAACUGUAGGAUCUACAUGGGCGUUAUAAGUAAAAGAAUGAAAACCGGAUUGUCCGAUACGUAAGGCAGGAUUAGUGGCUAAGAGGUAUAGCAAAAUAGGACGUGACUACUUCGAUGUUAAUCUCCGGUGAGAAGGCUUACAACCAUUGCAAUAAGAGACACGAAGACGACGAUGAAGGAGUGUACUCGAUGAAGGGGAAGACGAAGAAGGAUUAGAGUGCUUUGUGGGAGAGAAAUAGAAUGAGCCCUAUUUGUUUUCAAAUUAGGGCUAAUUGAAGAGAGAGAGAGAGGUUGUCAUAUAUUUUCCAGCUCGGGCAAUUUCACAAUAAAAAUUGACGGAAGUUAAUUGGAGAGGUAAAUAUGCCAAUCUAUAUCAGUUUGAGGUUUUGGGUGACUCAAAAUAUAAAGUUUGGGGUAAAUAUGUUACAUGUGGAUCAACUUUGGGAAUUUUUUUUUUUUUUUUUUGUGAUUCAAAAAAUUUAGUUUAAAGUAGAUACAUCCACAAAAUGUAACUGCUUAUAGUAUUUCGGCGAAGAGAAGCCUUUAACAUUUAAACAUUUCCAUAUAUAAGAGUUGCUGAUCCAUCAUCGACCAAUAUGCCUCCAUAGCGUCGGUGACCCUCGGAUGUCACUAUGUCUAUGGGCAACCUCAGAUAAACCAAAGUCGAGGAGAUCACCAUUAACUNNNNNNNNNNNNNNNNNNNNNNNNNNNNNNNNNNNNNNNNNNNNNNNNNNNNNNNNNNNNNNNNNNNNNNNNNNNNNNNNNNNNNNNNNNNNNNNNNNNNNNNNNNNNNNNNNNNNNNNNNNNNNNNNNNNNNNNNNNNNNNNNNNNNNNNNNNNNNNNNNNNNNNNNNNNNNNNNNNNNNNNNNNNNNNNNNNNNNNNNNNNNNNNNNNNNNNNNNNNNNNNNNNNNNNNNNNNNNNNNNNNNNNNNNNNNNNNNNNNNNNNNNNNNNNNNNNNNNNNNNNNNNNNNNNNNNNNNNNNNNNNNNNNNNNNNNNNNNNNNNNNNNNNNNNNNNNNNNNNNNNNNNNNNNNNNNNNNNNNNNNNNNNNNNNNNNNNNNNNNNNNNNNNNNNNNNNNNNNNNNNNNNNNNNNNNNNNNNNNNNNNNNNNNNNNNNNNNNNNNNNNNNNNNNNNNNNNNNNNNNNNNNNNNNNNNNNNNNNNNNNNNNNNNNNNNNNNNNNNNNNNNNNNNNNNNNNNNNNNNNNNNNNNNNNNNNNNNNNNNNNNNNNNNNNNNNNNNNNNNNNNNNNNNNNNNNNNNNNNNNNNNNNNNNNNNNNNNNNNNNNNNNNNNNNNNNNNNNNNNNNNNNNNNNNNNNNNNNNNNNNNNNNNNNNNNNNNNNNNNNNNNNNNNNNNNNNNNNNNNNNNNNNNNNNNNNNNNNNNNNNNNNNNNNNNNNNNNNNNNNNNNNNNNNNNNNNNNNNNNNNNNNNNNNNNNNNNNNNNNNNNNNNNNNNNNNNNNNNNNNNNNNNNNNNNNNNNNNNNNNNNNNNNNNNNNNNNNNNNNNNNNNNNNNNNNNNNNNNNNNNNNNNNNNNNNNNNNNNNNNNNNNNNNNNNNNNNNNNNNNNNNNNNNNNNNNNNNNNNNNNNNNNNNNNNNNNNNNNNNNNNNNNNNNNNNNNNNNNNNNNNNNNNNNNNNNNNNNNNNNNNNNNNNNNNNNNNNNNNNNNNNNNNNNNNNNNNNNNNNNNNNNNNNNNNNNNNNNNNNNNNNNNNNNNNNNNNNNNNNNNNNNNNNNNNNNNNNNNNNNNNNNNNNNNNNNNNNNNNNNNNNNNNNNNNNNNNNNNNNNNNNNNNNNNNNNNNNNNNNNNNNNNNNNNNNNNNNNNNNNNNNNNNNNNNNNNNNNNNNNNNNNNNNNNNNNNNNNNNNNNNNNNNNNNNNNNNNNNNNNNNNNNNNNNNNNNNNNNNNNNNNNNNNNNNNNNNNNNNNNNNNNNNNNNNNNNNNNNNNNNNNNNNNNNNNNNNNNNNNNNNNNNNNNNNNNNNNNNNNNNNNNNNNNNNNNNNNNNNNNNNNNNNNNNNNNNNNNNNNNNNNNNNNNNNNNNNNNNNNNNNNNNNNNNNNNNNNNNNNNNNNNNNNNNNNNNNNNNNNNNNNNNNNNNNNNNNNNNNNNNNNNNNNNNNNNNNNNNNNNNNNNNNNNNNNNNNNNNNNNNNNNNNNNNNNNNNNNNNNNNNNNNNNNNNNNNNNNNNNNNNNNNNNNNNNNNNNNNNNNNNNNNNNNNNNNNNNNNNNNNNNNNNNNNNNNNNNNNNNNNNNNNNNNNNNNNNNNNNNNNNNNNNNNNNNNNNNNNNNNNNNNNNNNNNNNNNNNNNNNNNNNNNNNNNNNNNNNNNNNNNNNNNNNNNNNNNNNNNNNNNNNNNNNNNNNNNNNNNNNNNNNNNNNNNNNNNNNNNNNNNNNNNNNNNNNNNNNNNNNNNNNNNNNNNNNNNNNNNNNNNNNNNNNNNNNNNNNNNNNNNNNNNNNNNNNNNNNNNNNNNNNNNNNNNNNNNNNNNNNNNNNNNNNNNNNNNNNNNNNNNNNNNNNNNNNNNNNNNNNNNNNNNNNNNNNNNNNNNNNNNNNNNNNNNNNNNNNNNNNNNNNNNNNNNNNNNNNNNNNNNNNNNNNNNNNNNNNNNNNNNNNNNNNNNNNNNNNNNNNNNNNNNNNNNNNNNNNNNNGCGCUGACAUGGCGGCCCUGGUCAAGGUCGAGCGAGGGCCGCGACCCUCGCCGGCGACUAUCGAGGUCUCGCGGCCCUCACCUCCGCCCUAGCCUCGCUAGCCGCGGGCGAGGCUGGCCUCGCCAAGAUCCGGGCGAAGCCGCCUCGCCGACGGCUUGGGAGAGGCCGGGUGAGGGCCGCGACCCUCGUUGGCGGCAGGCGAGGGCUUCACGGCCCUCGCCGGCCACCCAAGGAAAAAGAGGCAGAAAAGAAAAAAGAAAAAAUUAAUAAAAAAAUCAAUAAAAAUUAAUAAAAAAUUUGAAAAAAUAAUAAUAAAAAUCAUAAAUGGUCACCAGCCGACGUCCAUGUCAGCACCGGCCGGCCAAAAUUGGCUGGAUGGACUAAAUUGGUACCGAUAUUAAAAGGUUUAGGACUGAAUUGGUUCAAUUAAAAAGUUUAUGACUGAAUUAAUACCAAUGCAAUAGGUUUAGGACUUUUUUGGUACUUUUCCCGAGAAAACAUUGUAAUCUUCCUAAUUUGUAUUGAAUCGUUAUGCACAUGUAAUCAAUUAGUACAUGAACUUUUUGACUAAAUGAAAAACUAAAGAUCCACAAGACUAAUUAUCAUAAACAAACAUCAUGAGGCAAAGCAAAAAUCCUAUGCGAUGGACGGUGCAACCGUGAGUCAACGAGGGAGGAAAGCGAGCGGGGAAGAGGAAUGAGAAAGGAGGAUCACUAUGCGAGAGGAAAAACACGAUUCUAAGAUUAGAAAUCAAGGAAAAAAGGGUUUUGGACUUUUAAACUUACAAAACCAGUUCUCAAAUGAGUUCCCAAAUUGGUCUGGUCAAUUUGGUUCCCAGGUGGGCAUUUACUCGAAAUCGGAAAUCGGACCAGUUCAAAUUGGUUUUGAAUUUUGGGAAUUGGUUCUCGGACCGAUUUCAAUGUAGACCGGUUUCUGGACUAUUUUUGGGGUGGGCCGGUCUAGUUCUCAAGUAGACUUGGUCCGAUUGGACAUCCCUAAAAUUUCAUCUCUUUCCUCCCAACACAUGGGUGAGUCAUCUAUGUGGGCACUGUUUGGCAUCUUUUGUGGACUUGUAUCUAGGGGUGUGCAUGGUCUAGGCGAGCGGUUCCCGACCUAGAACCAGGAACCGCCCGCUAAUGAUUCAUUCCAAAAAAUUGAAAUCGGGAUCCACCUAUUAAUUGCAUGAAUCCACUCGGGAACCGGACCGCCGAUCCGAUUCGGUUCUCGGGUGGAUCCAUGGAACCGGUCUCACAAUAAUAAUAAUAAUAAUAAUAAUAAUAAUAAUAAUAAUAAUAAUAAUAAUAAUAUCAUUUUCUCAAAAGCUCCGAUCUUGACGGAAAACAACUUUAGUUUUCGAUCAAAAUUGCUGGUUCUUUGCCGCCUCACCUAUUCUUCUUCUCCUCCUCCUGCGGCCCUGCUUCUUCGUGUGCUUGCUUUAUGCCCACCAAUUGCUCGACGUUUUGUCAAGGUGCGCUUUGGAUUUUUUCCCACUUUAAUUAAUUUUUUUAAUUAUUUGAUUUGGGUUUGUUAAUUUGUAAUCAUUUUUUCAAUAUUAAAAAUUAAUAUAUUAUUUUAAUAGAAUUGGUUCGGUUCGGGUGGACAGAUCCACCCAUGGAACUAGGAACCGGAUUGGUACCCACCGAUUCCCAUGAAUUGGAACCGGGAACCGGACCGGUACCCAUCGGUUUCCAUGAAUUGGAACUGGAAACCAGAUCGGUACCCACCGGUUCCCAUAAAUUGGAACUGAGAAUUGGACCGGUUCCCUCAAGAACCACCAGUCUGGGCGGUUUCGGAUGGUUCGGGCGAGUCCCGGUUCUUUUGCACACCUAUACUUGUAUCUAUCAAAAGUGGACUUUCCCAUCAUAAACAUGCCGAACUGAUCACCUUUUGCAAAGUUGUUUGAUUCGUAGACACCUAAACAAAGGACAUGUUAGGUAGUCGUGAGGGGCCUCCCUGUCGCUGAUGACCAGAAUUUCUUCAACAGAGUCAUAAACUUUUAUUGAAAAGUGCAACUGCAUUCUAGAAUUGAGUACUGAAUAUCUUGCUGAAAAGUAUUCUACACCUUUUAAAGUGCGAUUUCUAGGUGAUAAACAAAAAAUGUUGAUAACAAGACUGACAAGUCGGUUGAGAGAUACUGAGCAAAUCUAUCACUUACAAUGGGUGUACAAGCAAAAAGUACGAACAAAUUUGCAUAGUGUCUCUCAAUCGGGGCUACAAGGCCAACAAGUUGGUUGAGAGACAUUAUGUAAAGCAUAGGUCGACCUUGCAAUGGGUGUUUCUCCCACCCCCUCCACCUUCACCGGCACUCACGGCUACUAUAUCGGUCUACUAAUUCUUCAAAUACCCCCUUACAAGGUGCGGUAGAGUCUACCCUCUCCACUUGAAGGGCCCCUUAAUCCCGAGCAUAAUUUUUUCUUCCCCACCUAGGAGGGAAUACUCACGAUUUUAGUCCUAGAGUUCACAUGAAGCAGUUUUAGGAUAUACUCGAGUCUAAGGUGCGAUUUCCAGGUGAUAAGCAAGAAAUGUUGAUAACAACGACUUCAAAUUCGAUAAUACUGGUUUUGAACAGUUAAAGAUUCCAUUACAUAAACCUUAUCCACGGCAUCAACGUACCUUUUUUAAAGAAAAAAAAAAGAAAAGAACAUAUUGCGGAGACUAGGAAAAUAUAUUUUAAAAAUAUGGCUGAUUCAGAAAUCAUAUUAUGGCAAAAAGAAGAAAGAAAAAAGUAAGGCAUCUGAUUGCAAGAGACAUUAAAAAUACUUCAUUUGGACCCGCGGUCAUGAAGGUCUUGGCCUCGUGGGGCUGCAGAUCUCCAACGGAGGUUGCGACUUCCAUGGCUACGGCUCCCUCUCUCUCUGAAAAUCAAUCCAUCGGCUGGAGAAGAGCCCGGCCGCCACGACCAUGGAGGUUGUAGUGCUCACACGACCGUAGAUGAAAAGUAUAUCUUCCUAAAUUAUUAUUCCAUAUAAAAAAAUUUCAAGUGAAACUUCAUUGAAAUAACCAGAGUCAAGUUCACUUACGACCCAUUUGAUAUGAGAAAACAUCUUUAGGUCAUUGAAAACAAAAACUGUUUUCAGUUUCCAUUUUUUUUUUUCACACAUUUGGUAUGAAAUUCUUUUGUUGGAAUUCGAACUAAGAAUGUGUUUGGUGUGUUUUGCAUAACAUAUCACAAUUUAUCAAUUUCUAAACUAUGAGCCUCCAGAAAAGGAAUCUAUUGAUUCUCUCACAAUUGGUUGGAUUGUAGGUGCAACAAUUUACUUAACAGGCGAUAUCUCUUUGGUCAAGUUGGGGAUGGCUCAAUUGCACCAAGGAAAAGAAAAGAAUCAUGCAUGCUUCAUUUGGAUCGAGGGAUAUAGCUCAAUUCGUAAAACUCUGCUCUUACAAUAAGGUCAUUGCGAAUACAGGUCUGGAGUUUCUUUAUAUACUACUGGUGUUUUUUUAGAAAACAAUGAUAAAUUUAUCUCACCAACCGAAAUUAAAUCUUUUAAGUAAUCCUUGCUUGGUGAUCAUCUUAAUAAGUGGAAAAUUACUUAAGUCAUCUACCAAUAUCUUUUUCUUCUUGGCUAAUUAAAAGAAUUUGUUUGCCCGUCAUUAAUAUUAAACAACAUUAGAAUUUCAGAAUUAUCUCCCAUGACAUUAUAAAAGACUAUGAAACAAAUUUUGAGGAGGAAACCUCUUUGAAGCUUCUUGUAGCUCCCGAUGGAAUUGAAUUAACCCGUUUAGCUUAAAAAAAUGCUUCAACCUUCGAAAAAGCUAGAGGACUUCGAAUAACACGGACAUUGCUUCCGUAAAUGACGGAUUUGUGUUCCAAAGAAUCCAAUCUCAUAUCCUCGUAACAAUUGAAAUUUGAUGGGACUGAACUGUUCUGGAGCUACGAUUUUUUUUUUUUUUUUUGUCUUUUUCAUAGCUCGUAUGCAUGAGCGGGGAGCCCUAUCUACUUGAAGCCUCAUGCCAUACUCAGCAAGUCCCAUGAUGUUCAAGCAUUUGUUUGUGCAAAUGACCCCAACUAAGAGCAGUUUUGGUGAGAUCUGAACAUGUGACUCCAAUGUAAAAAAUUAUUCACACAAUUUAACUUAUUAAUCAAGAAGAAUCAUAUCCAUAUAUGAUUGUAAAACAUCGAUAUUGAUAAGCACAUCAGAAUUAAAGCGUACUUGUUUGAGCCAUUACUUCACUUGAAGAAAAAUAGAUCACUCUCAUACCAGAGAUCUAUCGAAAUGCCAUAUUUUCCUUUUUAUAACAUAUUUCAGUAUAGUAGGUUUUAAUGGAAUUAAUGCAACUGAAAGGUAUAACCUAUCAUUUUAUAGGCUAGAGAGGGGAUCUAAUAAACUCUAAUCAAUAGCAUUUCAACUGGCCCUUCUCAUUAUGGGUUUCGAUUAAACACAAUUGCUUACAGUUUGCUGCUCAACUAGGCCUGUUAUCAAUAGAUGCUAAUACCUAAUUCAAUUAGAUCACUAUAUGGUUUAACAAAUAUUUGAAUAUUCAUUAAUCCGAUUAUUUAAACUAGAAAAUUAAUUAAUUAAUGUAAGCCCAUAUUAUAGAAAAUUUCCAACAUUCUCCCACUUGGGCUAUAUUAAUUAACUUAUUUAUAUUUUGAAAAAGAUUCUAUAUUAAAAAUGACACUAUCAGGUUAAUAACUGAAAAUUUUGUUUUAUGUGGCCACAACUUUAAAAAAUAAUAUUUAAAUAAUGACAUCUCAAAACCAAUCCAAUCUCAUAUAACCUCAAUAUAAGACUAUGGGGAUCAAUGUGUUAAAAAAAUACCACUACACAUGACCUUCCAUAAUCACAUAUAAUAAGCAUUAUAUUUUUAUGGAUCAUGGGUCUAGUAGUGUAGUAAGAAAUAAUGUCAAUAUGUAAUCAAAAUAUACACUAUUUUUUAUUGAUUCUCAAUGUAAUUUCUCAACGACAUGAAACUAUAUUAACAUAAUUUCUAAACAACAUGAAAUUACAUGACUAUGUUACAAUCAAACAUGAGAUCUCAUAAUCAAUGAAAUCCAGUCAUCUUUAAACUAAAAUUUGUUUAAAGAUACGAUUUUAUACUUCUAUUUCUUAGUCAAUAGGAGAAAGAAUAACAAUAGAAUCAAUAAUAAUGAUCAUUGAAAAUAAAUGCUUUAAUAGACAUCAUGAAAGCAUUAUUAGUUUGCAUAUAACUAUAAUAUAUAAAAAUACAAAUUAUAUAGCUCCUAUUAACAAAAAAAAUCAAAAGAAUCUAAAACACCUAUAUUCUUUACAUGUUCUUUAAACAAAAUGAGUCAUAAGCCUUUUGUUAGAGGAUCAGCCGACAUGGACUCCGUUCUAGUAUUCUCAAUCACAAUAUUUCCUUUUUUGACCAAGUCUUUAACAGUAUAAUAUUUUAUCAAGUUAAUAUUUCAAUCGUGGCAUUAUCGUUGUUUACAACAAGGUAACUGCUUGCCACACAUAAUGCAAUAAGAUGAAUUAUGGAUAAUAAGCAAUUCAACAAAAAUAAUUUGUAUAUUAUAAACUCCCCCUUAGACAGAGUGUAUAAUGCACUAUUAUUUUCCAUAGCAUGAAGUUUAUAAAGCAACAAUAUGGAGAAUUACAUAUAAUUGUCAAAGAAUCCAUCCCAUUUGGGGAGACAAAUUCUUUAAAUCAUACAUCUCUAUAAUAUUAAUAUAGAGGGGAAUUAUAUAUAAUUUUCAAAACAUUUAUCCCGUUUGGGCAGAUAAAUAUUUUUCAAUUAUACAUCCCCAUCUCUUAAAUUUGAGAAUUGAUUUUCAUGUUAUUUUCCAAACUAAUAUACACAAUAACCCCCUUUAGGUGAGUUAUUGUAUAUACUAAUUUUGAUCAAUAUGGAACUCCAAUAAAUUUUAUAAAUAAUGUUCCAUUUAAUCAAUGCCCAAAAUUCAUCUAAUAAUAUGAAGCACUUUACAACAUGUGCUUUUCAAGAACAUAUUGCAUUUAUCAAUCAAUAAUUUUUUUUUAAGGUAAACAUAAAUCCAAAUUGAGUUUGUAAAAGGAAUAUAUAAACUAAAACGAGCAUGUGAGCACACUGACACAUAGCAUGUGUACACACACAAGCACAUGUGUACCCGAAAAAAAAAGUAGUCACAUAGGCACUCACACACACAACAUGCGAGGAUGCCUGGCUGCAAAACAAUUGGCCACCACAUUGUUGCUAUCAAUUUUCUAGUCAAAACAUCUAGCUUUUCGCACAGAACUAAGAUCAAGAUGACAAUGAUCAUGAAAUUGAUCCUUAUUCAGAUUCGGCAUAGUUUGAUGAUUAAGAGGAUUAUCAAUAAAGAUUAACAACGGCAUGGCAUUUUCUUUCAUUUGUUUUUGUGGUCGCCACAAUGAUAGAAACUAAGAUCCUACUAAUUUACCUAGCAUUUUCAAGUGCUCUCUAGAGUCUGCACAUCCGAUGAGUUGCAGUCACUAGACUACAUCCAUUGGCCAAGAAAGAGUGCUAAAUCCAUUGGCCAAGAAAGAGUGCUAAAUCCAUGCUAGCAAAUUUCUGACCAUGAUGAAAUUGUUCAGUCAAAAUCUAAGCAAUUUUCCAGAAUUGGCUUCUUCCUUGUGUAUACUUGCUAAAUUUUUUAACUCACUAUAAUUUGUACUCUGAGUGGGAAGAAACGCUCACGUACAUUUAAAGGCAGAGAAGAGUCCUUAAAAAUCUUCAUGCCCAAAUGACAACAAACUCGAGAAUGUCAACAUAAUCUAGGCAAUUUUACAAGAUUCAUUCUUUGACCCCAUCAAGAAAUAUGAUCACAUCAUAUAAGUUAUCCCAAAACAUCGAUUUGAUUCUUUGAGUUGACCAAAUACUGCAAACAAACAGAUAAUGAAGUCUUGCAUAGCACUUUAGAUAAUACUAUUUACCACGAAAGGGAUUUACAGAAAUCUUUGGUGCUGGCUCAUUCUUUAUCUAUCAUAUAUUUCUAACGUAAUUUAGCCUUGUGCACUCCUAAAAGAACAAAAACAAACACACACAAUUUGAGUGAUUCUAAUUCGAGCACUCUAGCCAAUAUUCUACUCCAUAUGUAGUUUCAAGGCAAAGCCUCUAUAAAGAGGCACCACACACCUGCCGCUAGUAGUAAAUGAGCCCGAACCAACCUUUUCGAAACGUAUGGCGAUCCAAAUUGGAGAACAGAUAUUCCCUCUUAGUAUUCAGUUCUUGUUGAGCCGUAGCUAGGAUGAGCUAGGUAGUUACGCACUGCACUAAGAGACCAGGGACACUUGGGCACGACGUAUCUCGCGUUGAGCGACAUCAUCAAGACGUGAAAAACUCUAACCGAGCAAGACUUAAAAAAAAAAGAAAAAAACCAUCAUUGAAAAAGGGUUUCCUCCUCGAGCAAAAUUCAAAAGGAAAAGGAAGCUUAAUCUGGAAGAAAUUAGUCAUUUGCGUAGUAACGCCGAAGCAUCAUUCAACCUCCAUAUGUAAUGGUCAAUUGCAACAGUAUAUCAACCGUAGCUGCUGCAAUAUCUACAAUAACUCUCCCGUGCUAUCUAAAAUAGACUAAAGGCAGCUCAACAUUGGAGACUCCGAUAAAAGACAAGACAAUUGGAGCAAACGGAUCAUGGCCUUGCUCUGCCAUCACAGGCAAAGUAGAUGAUCACCAAAGAUCUAAAAUUACCAUCUCAAAAUAGCUCCAAAAUCCAAUCUUGAAUAAUAAUAAUAAUAACAAAAAAAAAAAAAAACACGAACUUCACGAGUCCACGAUUCAUCCUACGGACCCUUCUCCAUGUAUACAUCAAAAAACGAGACGGGCGACUGCCUCACGAUGGGGAGAAAUUACAAGUCCAAGAUGAAUCUUGCUACCGAAAAAUUCUACAUCCAUAUCCCAAAACAACAUGUCAACAACACCACAUAGCCCACUCUCCACAACAGUUUCCUUCAAUCAAGAAAUAGUUUUACCCAUUGUUGACACCUAAAUUUUGGCGAUCCGUUUAGUCAUUUAUCGCAUUAAAAAAUCAGGGAUUAAUUUUAACCCCAAAAAAAAAAAAAUUUAAUUCCAUAACAUAUGGUCAUUAGAAGCAUAUUUCAUUUAAUUGCAUAUUUGUUAGGCCGACGGUGAAUGGAUUUUGGUGAAUGGCUUUGAAUAUUGAAGCCAACAAGAGCAUUAAACUGUGGAUAAGUCGAUAAUUCCUCCAUGGUGAUUGAUAUUACACGGGUGUCCUAAAUUGUUAAAAGUCAAUUAAGAAAUUUCCAGCAUAUUGGCACCAACAUAUUUGUGCAUUUAAGGGAACGAAUGCAAAGGAAGGACAGCGUGUAAGCGGCCACCGAAUCGAACAUAGAGAAGCCCAUCCACGUGAAGGAAAAUUAUGCGCUUUCCCAUAAUUCGGUCAACGUGGGGAGCGAGAAAUUGACCAGCAUUAUUUUAAGAGGAAAGAUACGAGCAUAUGCACAAAGGAAAUUCGGAAGAUCAGCAUGAGAGGGGAAUGUUGGGCACGUUCUGCAUUGCGGGCAUGGAUUUGCAAAAAAUAUAUAUAUCGGCAUUCGAUCAAUAAAGAGGAAAGGAAAGAAAAUAUAUUUCAACGCAUGCCCAGAAGGAAACAGAAUAUGCUUUCUUUCCUCAUUGGUUUACGCCUUUUCAAUAUAAAUUGACUCAUUACGGGACAAAAGGGGGGGAUUCCAAAAUAUACAGAGAACACACGUGAGAGAGAGCAGAGAGAGGGAAACCUCGACCAGUUCUCGGCCGAGGUGAUCGUCCAAACCGGUGCCCACUUCACGGCCAGACCUGUGGCCGUGCCUCUGUCACCAACAUCGCCGUAUCGUGUUGCUGCCCUGCUGAGCUGUCGACGACAACCAAGCUAUUCCUUGCACGCGUGCCACCUGAAAAGCCGAUCGUGUUCGAGCUGCUGUGCUUGACUACGCUGCUGCUUUGGUUUCGUUGUUGCUGUGCGCUGGCACUUUUGCUACCUGACUCGUCGAUCCUCCACCGUUGAACGCUACCCCACCGAGUUGGCCGUCUUUUGUGCUUUAUUUUCAGGUUCCCGCGAGUCCCAGAGUUACUUGCGCACAUCUGAAUUACAUUGGUGACCGGCCCUGGACGUUCAAAUCUUCACGCCAACAACCCUCCUUUUUGCUGUUCAAGUCUUCUGGUGGACGUCCCCUGCUGUGCUGGUCAUCCUCGUUGACUUUGCUAAGCAAAAUCAGCGAAGCAUCGGUCACCACUCGAAAUUUGCCGUUGCUUACUGAGCGAGGCAGCAUCUUUGAGCAGCACGUCAUCUUGAACUGCCGCCCGUGAGUCAUCCCGCCAUCCGUCGUUUGACCGAACUUGAUAACGUGGUUCACGUGACGCCGAAUAUUAGGUAGGAAUCUUUUUUAAUUUGAUAUAUCCUUAUUGCCUAAUUUGUGGGAUUAUCUCGUUCGAAUAUUUAAAUGAUACCGUCAUAUCCACAAAAUAUCGAUUAGCCUUUUAAGUUGGGAAAUCUUCCUAAUUUCGCAACGUCCAUAUGAUUGACGGUCCAAUUUCAUGCUCGAAAUACGACCCGCAAUUGUACGGAAAAAUCACCAAUCCGAUCUCAUGCUCGAGAUAUGAUUCGUGAUUUUAUUUAAAAAUUGGCCAAUCCGAUCUCAUGCGCGAGAUACGAUUCGUCAAUUUAUUUCCCAAAAUUAAAUGGACAUUGAUGAUAUCUUGCUUGAUUUAUUGCCGUGCUAUCCUUGAUGCCUUUAUUUGUUUGUCCUCGUAAAAUAAAAAGCAUUUGAGUUAGAUUAGAUGCAUGUUAGGAUAUUACUUGUUUUAGGUUAUUUUGCAUGUCUAGAAUAGGAAAUUUAUUUAUUUCGAAUUUCUUAAAUAAAAAAUCAAAAACAUAAUUUAGGAUGUUAGAUUUCCGUUCCACUAGUUUAAAUUGCAUGUUUAAUUAUUCGGUAAUUAUUAAUUUCGAAAUAAAUAAUAAAAAAAGAAAAGGAAAAACAACAAAAAGUCAUCAUGCAUAUAUCAUGUAGAGUUAGGGGAUUCUUUGCACGUCAUUGCAUAUUAUGAUAGAAUGCAUGCUUAUUAGGAUAACAAAAACCAUGUGCACGUCAUAUAGAAUUAGGUUCAUACAAUGCACGUCAUUUAAUGAUUUUUGUUAGGUUCAUUUAAUUAGAAAUUACCCGUCAUUAGAACUAGGUCAUUAGGUUAAUUUAGAUUGCAUAUUUAAGUGUUGCAAUUCUUUAAUUUCGAAUCUCAUGGAAAAUACAAAAAAAAUUAUUUUUUAGAAUAAAUCCAUCUCAUGCUUCAGGAUAUAUUAAAUGUUUAUUUAUGUCAUAUCGCUUAGGUCAUAUAGCUAAGUCAUGUUGCCAUGCCAUAUCAUUUCAUGUUAAAUUAGUGAUAUGCAUUGCAUAAAGCAUGAUUCUCAUUAAUUAAGUGAAAAAAAAAAAGAAAUUGCGUGUUAAUUAGAAAUCAUAUUUAGGAUUGCUGAUGUGAAUUCUAAACUAAUAACGCAGAUGCUUUCGUUGCUACGAGGUAAGUCUUGCAAUUUAUUUAUUGCUUUACUUGGGUGUUAAAUUGGUGGUUUGCGCACCUGCAUGGUCACCUCACAUGUUAGGAAUUAAAAUCAAUCCAAACUGCUUGCCAAACAUUUUUCAAAAUAAAAAGAAAGGUACCGAAAGGGCGUUAGAGAAAUCUAGCGUAACCAAGUCCCCGUACCCAAAUCUCUGGUUCGUAGGAGUAAAGUAAAUCUCCCAUUAUUUUGCUUGGGUUUCUAAUCGACCCACCAAAAAUUUAAGCGACUCCUAAUUAAAAAUUAAUUGCAUGUUAAAAAUUUAAAUGAAAGUUGCGAAUUGGUAUGGGUUUGGGAGAGCCCGAGUUAAGUCUAGGCUUAACAAUCCAUUAGCUAAACCUUAGGUGGUUCACACCCCGAAAAAAAUUGGUCGCGACACCCAUCCUCUAAAAUCCGAGUAACUACGAACAACUCUUGCGACUUAAAGGCAUAAUUUCGACUACCCUCUAGUUUUAACAUUCGAAGCUCCAAUCUCAAAUUAUCAAAUUUCAAACUUGCUGCCCAAAUAGGUAGUGAGAUUUGAAUCUAGCCUAACACUACAAAGCAAGAACCGAACAAAUCGUCAACAGCUCUUCAGACCAAAAUUAUAUAUAAUUUUCUAUUCCAUCUAGUUUUCUGGUCUGAAUAUUCAGUGGUGGGUGCAGUUUGCAAAAAGAAGUGGGCUACUUACAUAGAAAAAAUCAUAUUUUGUUUUUGUAUGAUGCUUUACUUGCCUACGAACCUGAGAAUUGAUCAUCUCUUAGCUGAGUGAUAGUUUUUUGUGGUCAGCAAUAAUCAUAUAAUUGCACCGACUGGUUUGUUAUAUAUUGGAAAUAGCUAAAAUUCACGUGCAACAGUUUCUUACUAAGCAUAAAUUUGAUAUUGGGGAUUUUUAUAAAUGCCACUGAAAUGGAGAUAUUCUUCAAAAACAUUACUGUAAUUUGAUAGUUUGACCACAGUGUCCUCCAUGUGGAUCUGCUUAUUAUCCCAGCAGGAUAAAGUUUCUGGGAUAGUUUAUGUAUCAUUUAGAUUAGCGAGCAUGCUAGUCAAAUACCUUGAGCAGUUGGUUCUCUAUUAGUGGCUGGUGUCUGUUUCUUGUAUUAUACGAACUCUCCAUAUUGAAUGGAGCCUCUCAGCUUUAUUGAAAUCUUGGAAAAGUAAUAUGGUAUUCAUAGUGGUCCAUGAUGAAAAAGUUCUCACGGAGCAGACACUCGACAAAUUCCUUUCGGACAACAAGUAGAAACGAACGACGGAGGAACAGAGGAGAGAGGACCGAAGUACACGCAAUGCGUAUGGACUAAUCUACUGACACCAAUCGCAUCGAAACUUAGAGAUCAAGUCAGCAAAAUCGGCCGAAACCCUAAUCGCUCAUCCAAAAGGGAACAAACGAUCAGCUACAGUAAUCUCCAAACCAACCGUUGCUACCGUCGAAUUGAAGAAAAAAACAAAGGUAACGCUAUAAUGUAACUUAAAAUUCUAGAACUUUUUUUUUAUGUAUAGACCCUAGAAUUUCAAAUUUAAAAUUCUCACUCAAUUCUCAAUGAAAUUAUACAAAUUAUUUAUGGUUAGAAAGAUCUCGACGUUUAGAACGAAAACCCUAUGGUUUUAGGAUCAAUUGAGCAAAAAAUCCACAUGAAAAAAUAAUACCUAUAUUUGGCUCAAAGAGGAAAAUUUUGAAUUUUGUUCAUAAAAAAAAUUUGGGUUCUACAAUCAUAUAUGACUUGCUCUGAUACCACAUGUAACAAAUUAUUCACAUAAUUUAACUUAUUAAUUAAGAAGAAUCGGAUCUAUAUAUGACUAUAAAACACCGAGAUCAAUAAGCAUAGCGAAAUUAAAGCAUACCAUUGCUUCACUUGAAGAAAAAUAAAUUACUCUGAUACUAGAGAUCUAUCAAAAUGCCAAAUCUUUCUCUCUAUGACCUAUUUCAGUAUAACAGCUUUUAAUGAGAUUAAAGCAAUUGAUAGGUAUAACCUACAUUUUUAUAGAGAGGAACCUAGCAAAUCCUAAUCAAUAGCGUGUCAACUAGCCCUUCCCAUUACAAGAUUCAGUUAAACACAAUUGUCUACACUUUGCUGCUCAACUAAGCCCGUUAUUAAUAGAUGCCAAUACCCAAUUCAAUUAUAUUACUAUAGGGUUCAACAAAUAUCGGAAUAUUCAUUAACCCGAUUAUUUAAACUAGAAAAUUAAUUAAUUAAUGUAAUCCCAUAUUAUAGAAAAUUUCCCACAUCCAGCUCUCCAGUUCUCAAGAUAAUAAUAUUUGACUACCUGACUAUUUGAGCCAACUUUAACGGAUUGAACCUAUGGUAGACGUAAUCAGCAUUAUAUUUAACCUCUGUCGCAUUAUCUUAUUUGACAAACCAUGUCGAUAUUUUCAUAUUGGGUUUAAAAAAAAAAUUUGCUUUUUAUAAUAAAGGUUCAAAUUUAUUUAGCUUUCUUUUAGAUUCCAAUUUCUAACCCACCCAGGAGCACAAUCCACAGGAGAUGCACAAGAAGCGUAAGACGCUCUCGCUUUAUUAUUAUUUUUUCUUAAAAGGCAGGAUUAAAGCUGAUUUUUAGUCAUCAAAGUGUGUGAGUCAAAAGUAGCAAAGUCACUUUCUCUGUAAUGUAAUGGAAAUCACGCGUCCGCCUCCUCCUUGGCUCAUCCAUUUCCCGUGGAACUUACGCCAGUGUUCAUUCAAUUUAUCUUCGGAAAAUUUUAGGUGCACACUUCUGCUUUACACCAUUUUUGCACUUGAUUAUGAUAAUGUAUCAUGACAUCACUCCGCAUUAUGAUGUUUCGGUACUUAAUUACUAUGACCCGUCCUAAGGUUGUAUAUUACGACAUUAGCGUGUGUAUCGUCUCUUUUAUCUAUUUGUCCGGAUGCAUCUUUAGAAAACCAGAAACUAGGAGAUCACCAUUAAGGCUACUCUAUCCUCUGUUCGUUCUUCUCCUAUUCGUCCCUUCAUGCUUUCUCUAUAUUUGGCUAUCUCUUUAAGGCUUGAAUCCUGUUCAUCCUUCGCUAGGUACGCAAACAACGCGAGGAAGCGAGGAAGAUUAGAGUUUGGACAUUGCUUCCUAGCAAGCGGAUUUCAAUUAGAGAUGAAUGCAUUGGAUCAUGAAUCUUAUUGGGGAAAUCAUUGUCUUUAUUCGGAAAUUUCAUCUCUUUCCUCGAAUCCCACAACACAUAGGUGGGUCAUCCAUGUGGGCACUGUUUGACAUCUUUUGUGAACUUAUCUAUAUUAUGUGGACUUUCUCUUCAUAAAGAUGCCGAACCUACUACCAUUUGCAAAAUUACCUGAUUCUUUAGACCAAAAAAUAAAUGCUAUGUUAGGUGGUAGUGAGGGUCCUUUCUGUCGGUCAUGAGACAAAUUUCUUCAACAAAGUUGUAAUCUUCUAUGAAAAGUGCAACUGCAAGUUGGAAUAAAGUACCCAAAAUCUCACUGAUAAGUAUAAACAGAUUCAAUACCUUUGAAAGUGCGAUUGCUAGGUGAUUUAAAAAACCAAUGUUGAUAAGGACUUUUUUUUGAACCGCUUAUAAGAUGGACUUGAAAUCAGAAAACUGAUUAAACACUUAAGUUUCAACUAGAUAAAUUGUUGGUAAGAGGUGACUUAUCCCUCAUCGAAAGGAUGUAAGUGCCCAUGUUGAUAAGAUUUAACAUUAAUCAAUGAUCAUUAUUUUUUAUUUAUUAAUAUCCAAAUCAAUAAUUAUAAAGAAUUAACUAUAGUGUCCUAUUGAAAAGAUUUACAGUUAUUUUAUAUUUAUAUUUAUUUAAUUUCGAAUUUUGUUACUUUGGCUAGCGAUUAUCUCAGAUAUUAUAUCUAUUCAGACAUAAUUUCUUAAUUUUUGAAAGGUCGUGUAUCUUUGAAUAUAAUUUCUUAUUUUUUUGCUAUUAAUUACUUAACGUGUCUAUUCAAUAACAUCUUCUUCCAUUUUAGUUUCUUCCAAAAGAAAAAUACAACCAUUAUUUUCUAUUGUUUUCUUUUGAGAGAUCCUUCAAAAAUACCUAAAUUGUUAUUUGAUAUUGUCAUUGAGAUUUUGUUUUAUGUAGGAGGAUUUUUGCUAAUAACCACGAGUACUAUUAUGGGCAAAUAAUUCUUAAAGAAAGUAUUAUCACGCUUUAAAGUUUGAUUUCAUUGUUCUUCUCCAUCAAUGGAUUUUUUUCCAUAAUAUAUACUUUGCUUGCAAAUUGACGUACCUCUUUUCUUAGGAUAAGAAGAAGAAAAGGACAAAUUGCUGCGAUCAGAAAAAAUUGGGCAGGACAAGACUAACUUGAGAUUUUUUCACAUUAUUUAGGAGCUUCAUGCACUUGUGUGAAGGGAAUACAUUUUCUGCAUCCUAAACUUGACGGGAUUGUGCUUUUUUUGUCCUAGAAGUUAUAUUUUUAGGAGAAUUAUCAAAAAGUCCUAAAUUUAUUGCGAUUGUGCCAAUUAGAUCAUAUAGCUUUUUUUUUUGUUAAUUAAAUCAUAAACUAUUAAGAUUGUGCCAAUUUAGUCUAUCUUAUCAAUAUUGACCAAAAUUGCCUACAUGGAUACUGGUUAUCCUACAUAGCAUGGUUGAUACUGACAUGGAUAAUUUUUAAUAAUUUUUAAUAUUUUUUGAAUUUAUUUAUUUAUUUAUUAUUAUUUUCUUUUUCCCUUUUUCCUUUUUUUUCCUCUUCUCUUCCUUUUUCCUCUAGUCAGUCGGCGGACUUUGGAAAUCAGUGAGAGGUGAGGGUUAAUAGGGGCAAGCUUUGCCCGCAUCUAGCAAGGUCGGCCUCGCCCAACCAUUAUGAGGCCAACCUCACCCUCUGUGACAUCCCAAUUCUAUUUUUAAUAAAUUGAGACAGGCAUUUCAUUGGCACAUAUAUAGUUCUUUUCCCUGAACUGAUCACUCAUGAGAUAACUAGUCUAUCAGGUGAAACCGUUAAGAAAUUCUAAUGCAUCGGACUCGAGAAUUUGACUAGGAAACGACCUUGCCACCGAGUUAAUCUGCAAGGGUCAUUACGGCACAGUUAAAAAUCGAUUAGAGAUCGGAGAUAGGUCGACUUGACAGAGGCAUGUGAUUGAGUGUGGGUGAUUCCACUAGAUCGCACAAUUCUUGUCGAUCGGCACUAGACUGGCUUUUCUGUCGUUUGGGUACACUGUGUCCGUGUUUGAAACCUUGAGAUUAUCCCGACAACCGAGAGUCGCCAAUGUGUCAAAGAUGUACAUUGUGGCUUGAAUUGAUCAACAACAGGUCAAAUGCACGAAAAUUUCUAAAAGCUACCCGGUAGAUUAGGACGCGCUAGUAUCGUGCCAAAGUGAAAUUAAUCGUGAAAUUGAUAUCGAAUUCAGAAAUUGGAAGUCAUGGUGUGUCACAAAUCAUUUUAGGAUCAUUGACUCAUCUUCGGAAGAUUUUUCAUACAAUAAGAGUUUUUUAGCAAAGUAAUCAAAGCAUGGCUAAUUUGGUUCGGAAAAUUGGUAGGCUCGCUUUUGGCUGUACUUUUGAGAUCUAAGAGGGUUCUAUGGUCAAGUGAUUAUGUGAAUUGAAGUGUGGUGACAUUGGAUUAAUUUUAUGGACUUCAAUUGGACUCAAUUGGAAGAGAAUUGAAUGGAAUUGAAGAAAUUAUCACACAAGAUUCUAUGCCUAGGCGGAAAAUGAAAUUGAACUUAUUGGAUUAAGGUUGUGGGAGGUUGGAGUUAGUGGAUUGUGACAUCACAAGUGAUGUCAUGGGGGUAGGGCAAGAUUGGCUAGGAUGGCGACACAUGGAGGGUGGGGGAUUGAAUCCCAAAAACGUGGGAUGUCACUUCCCCCUUGUCUCCAUCAUCUUUAAGCUUGGAGGAGAGAGAGAGAGGAGGAGCGACCGUUCGAACCAGGCCAGCUCGACCCCCUUUGUUCGCCUCCUUCGCUUGCUCACCGUCCGCUCGUUUGCCGUCGUCGUCGUCACUGCCGCGGUCGUCGCUCGUCCGUGUGUUGCUUGCGUGAUGGCUUGUCGCUCCGUCAUCUCCCUUUCGCUCGUAAGACCAAGCCCCGUCGACCAGCCGCUACCCUUGGUCGUUCGCCUUCGCCGGAGCCUCCUUCGUUGUCGCUGUCGUCGCCCGACACCACCCCGAGCAACCGCUGUCUUUCCUCCACCGUUCCUCCUUUCGAACUACCACCAAGCCACCUCUGUUGACCUUUAACCAACAACAAGCAAAAAUGGGUUUCUCAGCUCGGUUUUGGCCCGUUUUGGUUGGCUUCCCGACCCCGAAUGCUUGGCCCAUUUUGAGGAAAGUUGUUCUCCUUGGCGUCCCCGUCGUUUUGGUCCACUUGGCUCGCUAAUCCGGUGAGUUUAGCUCACUAAACCUUUAUUAGAGGGUUAAUGAUACUUUGGGUGUGCUUAGUUUAUGUUAAGUGUCAUUAGGUGGUUAGUUUAAUUUAUUUAAGUGUAAAUUAUAUUAAGGUGCUUAAUUAACUUAAAGUGUGUUUAAUUUAAGGUUAAGUGAAUGUUUAUAUUAAUAUAAACCUUGAUGCGACUUAAAGGAAAUUAUUUUUGAUUUAUUUAAGUAUUUGUAAAUUAUUAAAUAAUUUAAUAAUAUAUAUUUACUCAAAAUUAUUAAAAUGUUAUUAUUUAAUUAAUUUUCGGAAUAAAUUUAAUUAUUUAUUAAAUUCCGAAAAUUUCAUCGGGAUCUUAUUUUCUCAGAAUCUCGUGCUAAUCGUUACUGUGUAUUCGGAUUUUGAAAUUGAUGGGUGGAUAUUAUAAAUUGAGUGUAGAUUGUGAAAAAUAUGGAUAUUAUUUAAUUAAUUUUCGGAAUAAAUUUAAUUAUUUAAUAAAUUCCGAAAUUUAUUUUGGGACCCUAAAUUCUUAGAAUUUCGUGCUGAUCGCUACUGUGUAUUCAAAUUAUGAAUUUAAUGAUUAGAUAUUACAAAUUGAGUGAUGAUUUGUGCAAUUGAUUAUUGAAUUGUUGGGUGCUGGUUGAAAGACUCGGUCGCAGUAGUGGCUGCACCAACUGGACCUUUAUUCCUUUAGAAAUGCCGUCAACAGAGUGACGUGGCUCGGGUCGCAGUAGAGGCUAGGCCAACUAGACCCAUGCUCUUUCGGGAAUGCCGUCGACGUAGUGACGAAGUUGCGCUCCAAGGGGGGGAGGCGAUGCAUGGCAUUAAUGUCAGUAGAUAGCCGAACUGCGAGUAGGUUAUGCCAUUGUGUGGCAGUGAAUAAUAAUUGGAAUGCGUGCUAAGUGCGAUUGUGAUUUAUAUGAAAGUGAUGGCAUUCCAAUUGUUUGAAUUAUUAUUACUACUUGAGAUUGUGUGAUACAAAUUGUGCUAAUUUGCAGGAAUGAAUUAAGACGAGAUAAGUCUUCUGUGUGAUGUAGCUAGGCCACCCAGGGUGUAUUUUCUUUCUAAUAGGGGUUUAGGGGGUUGAACUUGCCGAGACAAUGUCUCAUCCCGGUUGUGGGAUUAAAAUUUCAGGUCCCUGGUGGACGGAGCGGCCAGAUAACUUUGAUUGGCCUUGAGGAGUUGUAGAGGUGAAGUCAUAAGGAUUGAAGAACGUGUCCUGCUAGUUGGUUUUAGGAUAGUUCCCCUUUUGUCGAGCUGGUCUAUUUUGUAGACAGUCUAGUGUUGUAUUUAAACCUAUGUGUUUGUAAAUGAUUAUUUGGUAUUGUGAUUGAUUGCCUGCUUUUUUAUCCCAAGUUAAAUGUAGAUUUGUUUCACUUCCGCAUGCGUAAUGAAAUGAAUGGGUCGGCGACGUAUCCUGGGAACGUCGCAUUUGAAUGACCAUGGCGGGAUGUUGGCGUGCUCAAGAUUCGGGGUGUGACACCCUCACUAGUGGUUGGUGGGAACGAGCUUUGCUAGGGGUCAACAAGACUGCAUUGGCCCUUGCCUCUAGUUUGGCGAUUGGCUAGAGGAAGAAGAAAGGGAAGAAAGAGAAAGAAAAGAAAAGAAAUGAAAAAGAAAAGAAUAAAAAGAUAAAUAAAUAAUUCCAAAAAUAUUAAGAUAUUAUUUAAAAUUGUUCACUUCAGUGCUGGUAGUGCCAUGUAGGAUGGCCAGCCUUCAUGUGAGCGAUUGCAAGCCAAAAUUGACUAGAUAGAUUGAAUUGACACAAAUGCAAAAUGUCUAGGAUUUAAUUGGCCAAAAAAGAAAGAGUUUAAGAACGAAUUGACGUAAUUGCAAUAUGUUUAUAACUUUUUCGGUAAUUUUUCCUCCAUUUUCUACAGCCCCAAGUUGAGCAAAAUUGAAUCACAUUAGUAAUGCAUGUCUUGAAAGAUCUCAUCCCAAAAACAAAAUGAGUAGAUUGUGAAAAAUGAAAUCAUGGAUUAUUUUUUUUUUCUGAACCACAAGAGGCAAUUAGAAAAUGAGCCCAUGCCUCAAUGAUAUUGGUAGAUCUUGAGUGAGAUCCGCAUGAUUUAACAAUUGUAAUGCAUUGAGCUCCCACUAAGCCAAUGUCUCCAAUGAUUUCUCGAGCCCAUUCCGGUAAGAUAAAUUGAAUAAACGAAGGCCUCUAUUUUCCAAGAGCCGGUCGCUUUGCUGGGGAAAUGAACAGUAGUUCCCCAUAUGACUAUGCAAUUAAAAGAAAGAUGUACAUGCUAACGUAUAUCGUAAAAAUAAUUUGGACCAUAAUUAGUUUUUGAGCGAUGCAUCUUAAUUUUUCAUUAUUCUGGAAACCUCAAAGCAUUUAGUCUUUUAGUGGGAAUGAGAAGAAAAAAGUCCAUCUUAAGUGCGUUUAUUUCUUAAAAAAUGAAUGAUUUGAAAAUUAUGUUUUUAGAAGUGACUGCUUCUAUUAUUUGAAAUAAUAGAUGAAUGAAAAUUAUUUUUAUCAUACAUGAAAAUAUUUAGAUAUAAAUUAUUAUCGAUAAUGAAAAAAAUUUCUAUUGACUAAUUAUUUCAAGUGAUACAAGUGAUCAUUUUUAAAAAAAUAUUUUUCAAAUUAUUUAUUUUUCGCUAAACAAACGAAAACUUAGUUGAAAGAGAAAGCUAAUGGAGUCCAGGAGCGAUUCCUCUUCUAGAUUAGGAGGCCACCAUGGGCAUUGCACAAAUAGCCCCGAUCGAUCUUUCAAUGCUUCAACAUUUCUUUAAUCUAAAUAAAUGACUACCCAUUCAUAUAUAUUUCCAAAUGGACAGGAAACCCUACCUAUGUAACCAAAUUCCAUUAUUCAAUCUAACAAGUGGAGUUUAGUUUCAUUCACUCCAAAUUUUGCCUUCCAAGCAAGUGAAAAUCUAGGACUAUUUCAUUCACUCUAAAUUAAAGUCUAGAUAGAUAAAAUUCAUUUCAUUUUGUGUUUGCUAUUCAGUCUUUCUUAUAUGCAAUACGUACCGGUAAACCAUCCUCCUCCUUGAUUUAUGGGCUUCGCACAAAUAGCCCUGAUCGAUCUUCCAACGCCUCAACGUUUUUAAUCAAAAUAAAUCACUAACCAAUUCAUAUAUAUUUCCGGAUGAAGAGGAUAUAAUUUCUAUUAUUCAUUCUAAUAAUGGAAGUUUGGUUAAUUCACUCUAAAUAUUUUGCCUUCCAAGCAAGUGAAAACGUAGGACCUCACUAAUUUCAUCCUUUUGCUGGUAGGGUUCUUGAUCCUCAAAAAACUCUGAACAAACAUUCAUCUUUUCUCUAGAUAAUGUUUUCUUUGCCUUGAUUACAUCCUGGAUUUCAUUUUUUUUUUUUUCCUUUCAGAGGGGCAUUUAUCCAUUAUGCACGCCCGCCAAUUACUAAAAGCACCAUUAGGAAAGAAAAUUAUACUACGUGAAAAAAUUGCAUUUCAUAUUCUUUCCUAAAAUUUAUUUCAUUUAUCUACAGUAUAUAAUCUUUAUUUUUAAAUGCAUCUAAUUCUUUAUUUCUUUGACGAAACACAUAGUGGGUAAACCGUCAUCCUUAUAAACUACAAAUUCCACCAUAUUAUCAUGUUGUAUUUUUUUUUUCUAUUUGUAAUUUGAGGUAGUGUAUUAAACAUGUUAACAGAAUUGAUUCUACUUAGGAUACAAACAAAAACCAUUUGGCUAUGAUGGAAUAUUAUAGAACAAUAUAAUUAGUCAAAAUCAUGAUAUUUUAGUGUAGUUGGUUCAUAAUAUCCGAUCACUAAUGACAACCAACCUUAACGACUGUUUACUUGUUAGUUUUCGCUAAUCCCGGUGGAAUGAGCUGUAAGAAAGGCAUCCUUUUUACGACAAUCUAGCGUCAAUUUGACAAUAUAUGUAAUAGGAUUUUCUAAUUAGUUUUGUCUGUUUGGGAGGUUCGCAUCAAGGCAUCUUCAAGCGGGAUCUUUGAUAACACAUUGUCUGUACCGCAAUUGAAAGGUUUAGCUAUUACUUUAUUUCACAUUAACAAAGUGUCCUGCAAUCUAUUAACGAAAUUGUACAUAAUCCAUUUCAACAUCUUUUACUGCCUCCGUAUUCGUACAAUCCUCUCGGGAUAUAAAGAAAAGGAAGAACCCACUCAUUCCGAAAAUAAGAAAUGCGGGGCGUUCUCCUCAUCAACCUCUCCACAUGUAGGUGAUUAUGAAGGUGGAACCUAUUACUAAGAGAACCAUUAGCAAAAAAGUUACACUACUGUGUAAAAAUUGCAUUUCAUAUAUACUUCCCCUUCUGUUUUAUCUUUACUAUUUACAAGUUAUUGUUUAAUGCAUCUUCUUAUGAAUAUCUUUCUUGACGAAACACGUUAUCAGUACACUGUCAUCCUCAUGAAUUACAAUGUCCCUCAUAUUAUCACGUCUUUAUCUUUUUGUUUGUAAUUUCAGGUAGUGUGUUAAACAUGUUAACACAAUUGAUUCCACCUAGCAAAAAGAAAAAAAUGAAAAAAAAACCAUUUGUUUAUGAUGCAAUAUUAUAGAACAAUAUAAUUGGUCAAAGUCUUGAUAUUUUAGUAUAGUUCGUUUAUAGUAUCCAACCAUUAAUGACAAACAACUGAAACAAGUAUUCAUUGUUAGUUUUCUUUUCUAUUUUUUUUAAUUAGUGGAAAAAAGCAAUUCAAGUCAAGUGUGCUGGAUCUCAAAUUUCAAUCAAAGCUUCACCUACCCUUGCUCGAAGCUUCAGAUCUAUAUAUUUCAUCGUUCACAUAGGCCAACUAUAAUGCCUUGUGAGUGUGUAAAAAGGAAAAAGAAGGAUUGACCGCAUUCAUCUCAUUAUGUAAUCAGCCGAAUUUAAUAUAAGACCACAACUCAAUUAUAUGUUAAUUGUGCAAACAAUGUUGUCAUAAUUGUCCAACUUGUGCAAGGCAAGCACAAACAAAACCACUGAUAUUUACUAUCUAUCGAUUGUCAAUUGCCUUGAUAAUCCAUAUCCAUAUGCUGUAGAUUCUUUGGCCACUGUUGAUAUAUCAAAUGCCCGAAUAUGCUUGUCACUCCCUUCAAAUUGCAAUACAAAUUCUCACCCAAUUCCACUUUUUGCAAAAACGUCCGCAUCUAAUCGUCAAUCAACCUUAAACAUCUUUAACAAGUGGUGACUAAGCAUGAAUUUGGUGGUUGUCUUCUUAUUUUCUGAUCAAAUAAGUUUCUUUAUCGCAAGUUGACAACUUUAUGCCAAUACAAAUGACACCAUCGUUAGGUGCUAACAUGCAUAAACAAGGGACCUUUGUGAUAUAAUAAAUCUUAUCUGACAUUGAUUCUGCACAUCCGUCCUGCAAAAAUAGAGUAGGCGUUAUCAAAAUCUCAUGUUUAUUAUAUAUAUAUAUAUUUAGGUCAAAAAAUGACAUUUUAUUUAUAUCAUAAAUGGGUGAGGAUCCAGCAGCUCCCAGGAGUGGGCAUCAUUACAUAGCAGGGCCCAAACUCAAAGGGCUUGGGGUGGAGAAGAAAGCCAAUUGGACGGUAAUGUCUGUUUCCUCUGCUCGCGCGGCUCAGUCUGCAACGGCAUUUUCGGUUCUUUGACAGGAAUGAAGGCCCACCAGCGGUAAGUUCCGAAGGUCUUUGCACUCUGUCCAUACAGCACGUGUGUCCCAGUUAAAGUCUCCCGCGUACUUGAGAGAUCUUACCAGACUUUUGACAGUCGGGACUCCACCGAAACCACACCCAUCUGCUUCUUCUUGAUGUACUUCAGAGCUUCUAACAGAGCUACGGUUUCCAGCUGAGCAAUGGAAGCCGCCCGAACUGUUUUGGUGAAAUCGUCCACAGGGCGGCCUUCGAAGUCACGGAUGAUGCAGGAUAUCGCGCCUUCCAUCAACCCUGCACAAAUCAACCCAUCGACGUUGAUCUUCAUGGUCCCUGUCGCUGGAGCUACCCAAAUCUGAGGUAUCUCGGUUUCGUCUGACUUUCUUGCUUGAGGGUGUUGAAAGGCCCAUUUUCCAUAGCUUUUCUGCUGAAAUCGGGCAAGAUCUACUAUUUUGCAGGCAUCCGGCUGACUUCCCCGAUAUAUAUAGUUAUUUCGCCCCUUCCAAAUUUGCCAGAGGAAGUUUGAAAUACCUUCCAAGGAAGGUAAUUGAGUGUCUUUCCUUAUAAAGAGCGCCAACCACGCAUCAAUUCGGGUGACUUCCUUAUAUUAGUCAGUAGAGAAAAUGGUGACCAACGAGGGACACUAUUGCUCGUUGGUUUUUUUUUUCAUCAUUAAUAGAAUAAGCAAGUCAAGUCAAGAAGCAGCUGCAUAGAAUCCACGCACCUUCCAUAUAAUGCUGCGAAAUUGCUCUCCUGUUCUUUUAUUAGUAGAGAGUGCUGUGUGUUGGUAAUAAAACGUGGAAGGCCGAGAUCGGUGGAAAACAGCAGUGGCUGGAUACUUUUUUUUUUAGCACUCCUCAAAUAGUCGGUCACUCCUUGCUCCUCUUCUCUGUUUUCCUGCUUUGAUUGCUCCAUUUUCUCCAGAUUAGGGUGUGUGAGAGCUCUUGUAUUUUUGUUUGAAUUAAUGUUGCUCCCAAUCAAAUUCUGAGAUACAUUUCUGCAAUUUGCAGAUCCGGGUCUGAUGUGAAUCGUUGCGGAAGGAUCGUUCUACGAAGGCCCAGAUGGUGCGAAUUGCAAACCUCGACCUCCAAUCAAACCUGUGAUUGGCAACCUCGGUAUGAACGUGACCUGUUGACGAACACGUGUCAACCAACCAACGUUAUAGACGCCACGAGCGAAAGAAUUCGCUAUCUCGCUCGAUAAGUCGAAGAGAAUCUUGAUUAGGUCAAGUCCUCAAAAGAACGGUAAAAAGAGAACCUCUCAAUUCUUUUCCUCCAAAAAAAAUAAAAUAUCUUCGUCCUCAAAGAAAUUUGGCAAAUCCUUUAUAUAGGCUGCCACACAAACCCUAAAAACCAACCCUAAAAAUCUAAUGCGAUAUAUUCUAAAAUAUUCCUAUUUUAGAAUAUUCUUAAACAAGAAUAUAUAUAUAAAUUGACUUGGUCAAUUAUUUGGUGACAAGAUAAUUAAAUUGCACCAAGAUUUCCAAGAUUCUUCAAGAUUUGAUCCAAGGUCAUCUUCACGCCAAAGAUCACGAACCAUGACGCCAACAGCUUGCUUGAAUUGUUUGGCCCGCGCUCGAGUAAUCGAACCAGUAGGAAUAGACAAUGGGUCCCUAGCACCUCCUCCUCGAUAUGACUCGAUGUCCACAUCAGGGUCUGUGAAAUCUGCCUUUCCUCUAGAGCUCUGCUUGAUCAAUCUCCUACUUUGAAAGAAAAUAAAAGGUAUUUUUUUUUGUCAAUCACUGCAUGAUGUACAUCCAAACAAGAAGAAGGGAAAUGAAGAGUCCCUUCUCUUCCUUAUGGUCCAACUCCUUUCUUUUCUUUUCCCUUCAUUUCCCUCUCAACUUAAAUUGCCAAACAAAGUGGAAAAGAAAAGAACCCAAUCAUUUAGAAGAUCUGAAUUCCGGGGCCUCUUCCUCAUCGACCCGCCUUGCAUGGAGGACAUUACAAAGGCGGAGACAAACAGCAGAAAGGGAAUGACUUCGAAGUGCUCUUGAGCACUCCUCAGGUAAUCAAUGACUCCUUACUCUUCUCUUCCCCUCUGUUUCCAGCUUUGGUUGCUCCAUUUUCUUCUGAUGACUUGUGUGAGAGUUUUUUUUUUUUGAAGUAGCUCCGAAUUGAGUUCUGAUGAGUUUUUGAUCUGGGAUUAUAUAUAUGUAUGUUUUCUGUUUCCUGCUUUCUUUUGAGUCUCUGCUUCAUCAAUCUCUUUUACUCUUUGAAUUAGUAUAAUCCUCUCGAGGUGGAAAAAGAAAAACCCACUUAUUUAGAAGAUUCAAUUUACGAGGCGUCUUCCUUAUUCGCCUCUGCACAUAGUGGUGACUAUGGAGGCAGAACCAAAAAGUCAAAAGCAAAAGGUUACGAAGUAUAUAUGAACUUUAGAGGGCCAGACACCCGUAAGGGUUUCGUCGAUUAUCUCUAUACUAACCUUGUCGAUGCAGGAGUUCACGUGUUUAGAGACGAAGAGAUCUCUAUUGGUGCAAAGAUUGGUUUCGAUUUUCCUUUCGUUAUUGCACAGACUAAGAUCUCGAUUGUGAUUCUCUGAGAACUUGGCUUCCAGGGCAUGGUGCCUUAAGGAGCUAGUUCAUAUAUUAGAGUGCAGGAGAAGCAGAGGGCAACUAGUGUUGCUGUUGGGAAUAACGGAUCCCCAAAAACCGGAUUCAACACUAAAUCGAACCCCUAAAUCAAUGCGGAAGCGAAGCCCGGGAAAAACACGUAUCACCGAUCCUAAAGCACACCACGGAAUUGAGCGUACCUUGUUAGCCACAGAUUAAACACCAAUGCCGAAGAUCGAGGAAGAAAUUCUAACCCCGUUCAAUCCGAUGACGUCGAUUGGCCUUGAAGGGAAGACGGGUCGCCUUAAGCAUUUUGUCUUUUUCUUUUGGAGGGAGAGAAUAAACGUACGUGCAUUAAUUGAUCCAAGAGGUGUCUUCUCUCUCUCUCUCUCUCCUCCCUUUUAUACCUUCCCCCAUCCACGGGCCCUAUUCUCGUGGGCCAGGCUUUUUGGGCCCAACUUGGGCGGACGGGCCUUAAGCCCAUCUCAUAUAAAACCAUCAUCUCCCACUCGCACAUGGUGAGCCGAACAGAAUUCUCUUUACCUCUCUUCAACAUUCAUAUCGGUGAAUAAUCCGUGCGACCAGCAUACUUUGAGAGCUCGUUACUAUACAUCUGUUAGGAAUAUAUAGCAGCUCAUAACGGGCAUCACAUCCUGAGUAGAUUUAGUAUGCAGUACCCUAGAUCGAUUGAUCACAUUUAUAUCUCUCUUGAUCUCUUUCAAACAAUGAUAUAUAUAUAUAUAUAUAUAUAUAUAUAUAUAUAGUAUUCACAAUUAUAAUUAUCCCAAAGACAAUCAUAAUUGGUUAACCGGUGAAUACAAAACUAUGAUGUGAUUCUCCAAAAUCGAUCUUCCUCUUUCCUUCAAACUCUCAAUUUCAGUUCAGCUUGCUUUUCUAGAAAUGCCCCAUUAGAUUGAAUCAACUCAUGACCAUUGGCAACAUCCUAAGAUAGCAAACACUAAAUAGAAAUCUUGAGAAUAAGUAAGAGUCAUGAGGGGACCAAAAAUUGAGGAACUCUUUUCCUCAAGAGCCUCACACGACAUAAAAGUUGAGAUCAAACUUUUGUCUCUCUUAUUGGUCGUCUCAUGCAUACGUAGUAUGAAAUACGUAUUACGGUAAUAACUCCUUUCCCAUGGAGCGUAUGUCUACACCUUCAAUACCGUACAGAUGAUAGUUCAGACAUACCCAAUGUCUAACUUGAGUUCACGUAUCUACUCAACCAUAAAUUCAUCAGAACUCACAUCUGGCAUCAUAGACAGAUAAAGUAAAAUAUGUGGGUUAUUUUACUUUCGGACAUAGUUAGUAUUAUGUCCUCAUCUUAACACUUAGUUAAGGCGACAUACAUAUUUUAAGCUUGAGCUCUCGAUUAUCACCUAGAUAAUAAGCUUAAAAACAGUCUCAUCUCUAUUUAUCGCACAGUAAAUAGAGGCGAUUACCCGUGUGAGUGGGCUAAUUUUAUAUCUGUCCGACAUACUUUCUCAACUUAAAAUAAUAUACUUAGUAUUAAGAUGCAUAAAGAUCAAACAAAGAUUCAUAGGCAUUAAUGAUGAAAAACACAAAUUCAUCAAAUGUGAACACUUCGGGGAAAUUACAAUCCAGUACAUCAGACUCUACGCAAUCCUAGAGAUUUCAUAUGGCCACAAAACACAUCUCUAGGUAUUGGCUUUGUCAUAGGAUCUGCUACCAUUCUAUGCGUAGUAUGUACUCUAAGUUCACAUCUUUUCGUACAAUCAUAUUCUUGACAAAAUUAUACUUGGUAUCUAUAGGUUUGGUCUUGCCAUGAUAUUUUGGAUCUGUGGUGUACACUCUUGCUGCUUGGCUAUCAUAAUUAACCAAUAAUGAAUCUGCAGCACUUCCAAUAACACCUAAAUAAUCCAAUAAAUCUCUUAAGCCAAACACCUUCUUAUACUAUUGCUGAUAAUGCCACGAACUCAACUUCUAUCGUGGACAAGGCUAUACACUUUUGUUUCUUACUGCUCCAACAUAUGGUGCCAUUAUUCGGUAAGAAAACAAACCCAGAGAUAGAUUUUCUUUCAUCUAAAUCUCCUCCUCAAUCAUCAUUAGUAUAGCCUCAGAGUCGCAGAUCCUUUACUUAAUGACUUAGCGUAUAAUCAGCAGUCCCCUUUAGAUAUCUCAGUAUUCUCUUAACGGCUUUCCAAUGUGCUGGACCUGGAUUGGAUUGGUAUCUACUCACCAUUCCAACUGCAAAACAUAUGCCAGGUCUUGUACACAUCACAACGUUCAUCAAGUUCCCAAUAGUACUUGCAUAAGGAACAUGCUUCAUUUGUUCCUUCUCUUGUGGAGUCCCUAGACAUAGUCUAUGGCUCAACCCUUCACCUUUUGCAAUAGGAGUGUCUAUGGGUUUACAAUCUUGCAUACUAAAUCGUUCAAGAACUUUGUUUAUAUAAGUUUCUUGCGAAAGAGACAACGAUCUCUUCGAACGAUCUCUUGAAAUCUUAACUCCAAGAAUGUAUGCAGCCUCACCCAUAUCCUUCAUCUCAAAGUUGGAAGAUGACCAACUCUUGACAGUAUUAACAAACUCCAUAUUGCUUCCGGCAAUCAGUAUAUCAUCAACAUAUAAUGAUAUGAUCACAAAUUGAUCCUUGGAUCUUUUGAUAUAUACACAAUGAUCCUCAUUUAUUAUUGUAAAGUCAUAUGCCAUUAUGGCAUUAUGAAAACGUAUAUACCAUUGUCUCAAUGACUGCUUAAGGCCGUAUAUCGAUCCCAAAAGUCGAUAUACAUUUUUCUUGUUGGCCUUUCACUAUGAAACCAACAAGUUGUUCCAUAUAUUUCUUCCUCUAAUUCUCCAUUGAGGAAACCAGUCUUUACAUCCAUUUGAUGCAACUCAAGAUCCAUGCUAACCACUAUUGCCAGAAUAAUGCGAAUCGAGGUAAAGCUCACUGCAGAAGAAAAUGUAUCCUCAUAAUCAAUUCAUUCCUGUUGAUUAUACCUCUUCGCCACAAGGCAAGCCUUAUGCUUUUCUAUCGAGCCAUCAGCCUUUCGCUUUAUUUUGAGAACCCACUUGUUCCCAAUAGCUUUGUGUCCUUUUGGAAGAUCAACCAGUUCCCAGACUUAGUUUGAUUUCAUUGACUCCAUUUCCUCUUCUAUUUCAUGAAUCUAUUUUUCCUUACUAUGGCAAUUCAGAGCCUCAUUAAUAUUUCUUAGCUCAUCCUUAUCUUGUGGAGCAAUCAUAAAAGUUUCCCCUUCAAUGUCAAAACGUCGACGGGGAAUACUUUGGUGACUCGUUCAUCGUAUGGGAGAUUGUAUACUUAGCACAUCAUUCCCCAUUAUGCUCCCACUUGGAUUAGGUAAUGAUGAUGUCGUCUCAUCAAGUGGUUGCAAUUGAGAAUGAGUUGAAUUUAAUUCAUCACUUCUCAUAUUACUCCCACUUGGAUGAACUCCACUAACAUCAUUAUCCUGAUCCGAGGUCUCAAAUAGGGGUAAUCUUCCCCUAUUUCGCCCUUCUUAGGAAAUUCAUCCACUAAGAAUGUGACAUCCUGUGAUUCAAAUUUAGCUAUACUCCCACUUUCCUGCUCACCUACGAACACAUACCCUUUCGAGUGUUCGGAGUAUCUCAUUAAAAUACUCUUCUUUCCUUCGGGACCCAAUUUCCCAAACUUGUGAGAGGACUCAUGAGUAUAGGCAGCACAACCCAUGGCUUAAGAAAACUUAAGUCCGGUUUUCUACCUGUCCAUAACUCAUAUUGAGUGGAAGUAACUGAUUUGGAAGGCACCCGGUUAAGUAUAUAGGCAGUAGUUAACAACGCAUCACUCCAAAAAGUGAUAGGCAAGUUAGCAUACGCCGUCAUGGACCUAACCAUUUCUAGUAGGGUUCUGUUUUUUCUCUCUACAACACCAUUUUAUUGAGGAGUAUAUGGAAUAGAUAACUGUCUUCCUAUUCCCUUUUCAUCACAUAAUUUUCUGAACUCAUCAGAUAAAUAUUCUCAACCUCGAUCAGAUCUCAAUGCUUUUAUUUUCUUGUUUAAUUGAUUUUCAACCAAGUUCAUAAACCUUUUGAAACAACAUAAUGCUUCAGAUUUAUGAGAAAUCAAAUAGACAUAUUCGAAUCGAGUAUAAUCAUCUAUAAAAGUGAUGAAAUAAACAGCCCCAUGCCUUCUUCUCACAUUCAUUGAACCACAAACGUCAGAAUGGAUUAAAUGCAGAGGAACGUCAGCUCUUUUACCUUUUCCAAAUAAUUUCCUUGUCGUUUUCCCUACUAGGCAAUGCUCACAUAUGGGCAAAUCGACUUUUUCAAUUUUGCCCAACCAGCCCUUUUUGGCUAGUCUAUUCAUAUAUUAUUGGCCAAUAUGACCAAGUCUAGCAUGCCACACAUUCACAUCAUUAUCAUAUGAAGUAUGAGACGUGAAACAAGGGAACAACAUAUAUUGACAUCACCACAGUCAACAUUUAGUACAAUAAAACCAUCUAGAAAGUGACCACAAUCAUAGUAGUUUGUAUCCAAAUACAAAUCUACACCGUUAUUACGGAAGUUCACACUAAAACCAAGUUUAACCAACAUCAAAACAGACACUUAAAUUUCGACGAAUCUCCAGAGCAUUUAGAACGUCAUGUAGGAACAAGGUGCGUCCACCACACAUGUUCAGUUGGCAGGUGCCAAUCCUUUUAACUUCAGCUCUGGAGUUGUUUCCCACAUAAAUCAACUUAGUUCCAGUUGGUAUUCGUCGGAAUUCCACGAAGGAUCAUCUAUCCUUUGCUACAUGGUCUGUCACUCCUGAAUCUAUAGUCCACAAAGGAUUGGAUUCAGUCUAUAAAGCAGAACUUGACACAAAAGCAAAGUUCUCAAAUGUGCAAGAGGUGUAUACCUUCUUUGGUUCACGACAGUCGCGAGCAUAGUGACCUCUAUUGUCACAAUUGUAACACCUCACCCUUAACAUUUUCUUCACUUGAGGACGUUUUCCUCUCUUGUGUUGGUCAACUCUUGAUCUCUUGCAAUAAGGACUUGAUCCUUUGCAUUCCCAUAUAUUGAAUGAAUCAAUACGCUUGCGCUUAGAGCUCAAAGCCCUUUCUGAGCUAGAACCAGCAUUGCAAAUUUCUAUUUUCAGUUCACAUGCCGUUAGGCAGUCCUCUACUAGCUCAAGGUGGCGCACAGCAUCCUCUAGAUUUUCCAUAAUAUGGUCAAGAGCUUCUAGUGCUUCUAGCUUUUCCAGCACAUAUUGAAUCUUCAUAUUCAAUAUUCCACAAUUGUUGCCGUUCAUAUCAGCAAUUACGUUCUUAGUUGCUGAAACCAUCGAUCUGAACACAUCGGACUUAUAUGCACGAAUAAUUAAUGCCAAUCAUUUAUGCAUCCCUUUUGCACAGACCCAUCAUAUUAAUAAACAAUUUCAAGUAAGGUUUUAGAAUCAAAAGGUCACUACGUUUCCAAUCAUCCUCCAAAAAUCCUAACUUAAAACUAUCAUUAAUAUGAUUUUCAUAUGCAAAAUCAAUUCUAUGAAACUACAAAAACUUCUAAACUACCCACAGCUAAUUACCCACAGCAACCAGCAAUAACAGAAAGCAACAAAUAAUUGAUAUCCAAUAAAACAAUAAUGCUUUCAACAUAAUACAACAAUCCAUUACACUAAGUAAUAUAUCCGAAAAGAAAUAUCAACAUAGAAAGAGAUAUGCAACACUAAAAAACAUCUCAAACUAAUCUAAGAAAUAAAUAGGGAAAGUCCCUUCUAAUCUAUCAGUCAAAGUAUCUGAGAAAACUAAAGGCACAUUUGCCAACCAUGGGAAAACUUUUGGAGAGCUCUCGUGUCGCCACCAAGCGCAUUCACUCUGCGCAUGUGGCGCUUAAUCUAAGGGUUGAAGUUUUGGCCAACUCAAUCCUAUAGUACUCUCUUACAAAAGCUUCCACUAGCCCCCUGUAAUCCGGGACCACGUUGACCUCCCAUAACCGAUCUAACACUGCUUGCCAUUCAGGUGGAAGAGUGUUCAUCAAAGCUCGCACCUUCUCAAAAUCCGGCAUAAGAUAACCAUUCCAAAUGAUUUCCUGUAUCAUCUGAUUGACCUUGACCAUGUAUGAUACUAAAUCACCAUCAAGCCACUGAUAAUCAGCUAACUCUUUCAUCAGCCUUUUUAGUCUAGCUCUUCCUUCGUCCGUUCUCGGGAUUGCAGGUAUCCGUGCAUAACGCAUCAUAGUUCCUGCGACAAAUGCAGAACUAAAAUGGAUAACUUAUAAUCCAUAAUAAACAAAAUGGAAAAUACAUAAUUUUCCAUGAUUCAUGCAACAAAUGCAGAAAAAAAAUGGAUUACCUAUAACCCACACAGACAUAAUUGAAAAAAGAAACAAAUUCUUUUUUUUUUUCCGGGUCAACGGUCAACGGUCGGUCAACAGUCAACAGUCAACGCUCGGUCAACGGGUCAACGGUCAAAGGGCGGCGGGUCGGACCGGUCGGCCGGUCGGAUGAACCGGCCGCACGUGCCGCGUGCAUGCGCGGGCUGACGUCAUGCAGACGUCAUCGGGCACGCGCCGGGCGGGUGCCGGGUGUUGCGGUUUGGGUCGGGUCGGGUCGCCGGUCGGGUGGCCGGCCGGUGACCGCCCGGCCAACCGUCAUCGUUGCUGACGUCAUCGAUGACGUUACCCCAGCGGUUAUCGACCGUUGGGUGACGUCAUGCUGACGUCAGCACGUGUCGGUCUGUCGACCGGCACGUGUGCCGCACGCGCUGGGCAAGCCAGCGAUUCCGGGCGUGUCGGGACCACGUAUAGCGCCUUCCGGCCGUGCGUGUGGGCGCGUGCGGCGUCACCCGGCGGCGCAUAACCUGUCCCUGGACUCGUCUCGACGAGCCAUUUGUCCCUAUAUUGUUAGAAUUCGAUUUCGACUUAUGAAAACUCGGAAAAAAGGACGAACAGCGCUCGGGUGUCGGGAUUUCUCGCCCUGAUCCGUGUCGGCCAAUUUCUUUGCGAAAAUUCAAUCAAAAAACGUCAAAGGGAUCGGGAAAACAUGAACUAGAGCUCUGAUACUAAUGUUGGGAAUAACGGAUCCCAAAAAAUCGGAUUCGACACUAAAUCGAAUCCCUAAAUCAAUGCGGAAGCGAAGCCCGGGAAAAACACGUAUCACCGAUCCUAAAGCACACCACGGAAUUGAGCGUACCUUGUUAGCCACAGAUUAAACACCAAUGCCGAAGAUUGAGGAAGAAAUUCUGACCCCGUUCAAUCUGAUGACGUCGAUUGGCCUUGAAGGGAACACGGGUCGCCUUAAGCGUUUUGUCUUUUUCUUUUGGAGGGAGAGAAUAAACGUACGUGCGUUAAUUGAUCCAAGAGGUGUCUCCUCUCUCUCUCUCCUCCAUUUUAUACCUUCCCCCAUCCACGGGCCCUAUUCCCGUGGGCCGGGCUUUUUGGGCCCAACUUGGGCGGACGGGCCUUAAGCCCAUCUCAUAUAAAACCAUCAGUUGCCUAUAUAUUACAAGGUGAAACCCUCACAAUUGAAAUAUCUUACCGGGAGAUUUAGAGGUGCUAUUGAUGCACAUAAAAGGAAAAUGGGCGAAAUGGUUGUGAAUUACUGGAUAGAAGCGCUCCGAGAAGUCACUUCGGUGAAAGGAUGGAAAUCGGAAGAAAUUGGGUAGAUUAUUCUCCUCCAAAACAUUAUUCAAUUUCUCAUCAAUAAAUAUUUUAUAAAAUAUAUAUCGCGUUAAAUAUUGCCGUCCUAUAUUGACAUUUAUUGCUAUUUAACAGACAUGAAGGAGAAUUGGUUAGAAGUGUUGUCAACGAAGUUAUGAUCGCGUUAAAUGGAACCAAAAGGAUUAUGAGCUCGAUAGACAAUAGUGAAGUCCCAACCAAAAAGGCGAAAGCAAAGGCAUGUGAAGUGUUCUUAAGCUUUAGGGGGAAAGACACCAGUGAAGGUUUUACCAGUUAUCUCUAUACUAUCCUCGUGGAUGCAGGAAUUCACGUGUUCAAGGAAGACAAUGACCUCUGUGAUGGUGAGCAGAUUGGUUUGGAGCUUCUUGGCAGCAUUAUGCAAUCGAAGAUUGUGAUCCCAACUAUCUCAGAGAAUUAUGUUUCCAGCCAAUGGUGCCUUCGUGAGCUGACUUUGAUGUUGAAUUGCAUGAGAAGUGGAGGCCAAAAGGUGUUUCCCAUAUUUUACAAAGUGGAAGUCUGGCAGCUGCGAAAUCUUAGAGGGAGAUACGGAGAUGCUUUUAAUAAGUGGAAAAAGAAUUUGGAUGAAAAAGUUGUGGAGGAAUGGGAAGAAGCGCUUCGAGCAGUCUGUUCCUUGAGAGGAUGGAAGUCAUAGAGCUAUGAGAAUGGUUACAUUAUUCUCCACCAAAACAUUUUUAAUUUCCCACAAAUGGAUCUUUCUUGAAAAAAAUAUAAAUUUAGCCAUUCUAUACUGAAAUUGAUUGUUAUAUGACAGGUAUGAAGGAGCAUUGGUAAAAACUAUUGUCGAAGAAAUUAGGAGCGAGUUAUAUGGAACUUCUCAGCUAAUAAAAGAGUUGAUGGGAAAUUACGAGCUGGAUAGAUGUUAAAUUUAAUGAUACAAGGAUUGUCGGAAUUUGGGGAAAUAUUGGCAUCGGUAAAACAAUUCUUGCAAGGGUCGUGUACAACAAGCUUUCUAGUCAGUUCAAACAUCUUAGCUUUGUGGCAAAUAUUCGAGAAACAUCUUUGCACAAGGGUAUUGAAUGUUUGCAAAGACAGUUCAUUGACGAUAUACUAAGGAGUCCAAACGACGUGUCUAUCGACAAAAUCAGUGUCAUCAAGUCUCAAUUUAUAGAUAAGAAAGUUCUUGUACUUCUUGAUGAUAUAGAUGCCAUUACCGAUUUUAAUGCUUUGAUUGGAGACAUUAGUUGGGUUAAAGUAGGAAGUAUAGUCAUUGUCACAACAAGAAACAAGAAAUUUCUCGAUGAGGCUAAGGUGGACCACAAGUAGUCAAUAAAUUGACUCUGAAUGAAUCAUUGAUUUUAUUUAGUAGACAUGCAUUUCAAAAGGAUUAUCCUAUUAAAGGUUAUGAGAUUCUUUCUCAUAGUAUUGUAUCCAUAACAGCUGGACUUCCCUUGGCUCUUAAAGUUAUAGGUUCAUGUUUAUAUGAACAAAGCAGAAGAGUAUGGAAUAAUAUAUCAAAGAAAUUAAUGGAAGUGCCUCAUCAGCAAGUACAAGAGAUGUUGAGGAUAUGUUAUGAAUAAUUAGAUGAUAUGGAGCAACAAAUUUUUUAGGAUAUAGCAUGUUUUCUUAUUGGAUCAUCUAAGCAAAGUCCUACUUAUAUGUGGGAUGCCUGUGGUUUUUUCCUGAGAAAUGGGAUUGAAGUGUUGAGUCGUAUGUCUUUAAUUGAGAUUGAUGAAGAUGACAAGCUAAGGAUGCAUGAUCAACCGAGAGAUCUAGGACAGAAAAUUGUUCAUCUAGAAAAUCCAAAGGAACCACAAGAGCGUAACAGAUUAUGGAAAUAUGAAGAAGCAGCGUAUGUGCUUGACAGCAACAAGGUAAGUGUUUUCCUCUACUCGUCUUACUCAAUGAAUGUGAUUCCAUUUUCCUUUCUUGUUUGAGAUUAUAGUUAGUUUCGAAUCCCCAAAACUAGCUGCUUCUACCAACAAAAGAGCUCGUACGAUUAAUUGUUGUUCUUGCCUGAUUAUAGGACAUAACUGAGGAUUGUGAUUAGAACACAUUCCCUUUUGGUAACUUCAAUGCAAGAACAAAACUAAAAAAGCGUUAUGUUUGAUAGAGCACUUUCAGAUAAAACCUGAGGACUAUAAUUUAUGGGGGCCAUGCUUUUCCCACAUACUAGUUACACGCAAAUUUUUGGAUUCUUCUUUUGAUUUUUUGUGAGGUCUUUUCUUUCUUUCUUUUCUUCUACUAAGUAUUGACUUCUUUUGAGUUGUUUGCUAUGAUAAAGGAGACCAUCAUGCUUUCCACAGAUUUCGAUAAGUAUCCAUGAGAUCGAAUAUGGAAUUCUGUUUACUUACUUGAAAUUCAUUUGUAAUUAUUAGCUAUCCUGGUUCAUGUAUUUUUCGAGUUGGAUUAAGUACAGAUUAGGUCCCCCAUCUAUUCUUUCUUCGCUCAAAGUAGUCCUUCAUUUUUCGCAGUUUGUGCAAAUAAUUCCUUUAUCGUCAAUUGCUAAUUAACAUCAUCAAAUUUACUCUUGGGGCUUUCGUAUUCAUUUAUGAUAUAUGCACCGCUGUUAGUAUAACCCUUUAAACAUAUAAACAUAUACUAUUUUCGUUCAAUAGAGAUUUCAUAAUAGUGGAUAAUUUUAUUUCUCUGAAUUUGCUAACAAUUUUUUUGUUUCUUUUGUGAAGAUGGAUAAUUUUUCUAUUCCCUGAUAACAUUUAUUUGUUAAAUAUAGGCUAUCAAGCUAUAAUAAUUAUUUCUGCAUCUCUCAAUUCUUAGUGAGUACCUUAUUUUAGCAAAUAUUUAGUUAAUUUAUAUCAUCAUUUGUUAAAUAUAUGCUAUCAUAUUACAUAAUUCUUUAUCGAUCUGUUAUCAUCACUUUUGUAAAACGAAAAAAAUAUUUUCUCAUAAUGAGUAUCAACACAACUUUUCAAUGAUAACAGCUAUUACUUAUCAUACAUUUCGUUAUAUUCAAUAUUCAAAUAUAUGUAGUGAUGCAACAGAACUCUUUAAAAAUGUACUUUUUUUCUUCUAUGACGGCUAAUUUCAUUAUAUUAAUUCAUUUCUAAAGCAUGUUAUAUAUAUAUAUAUAUAUAUAUAUAUAUAUAUAUAUAUAAUGAUGGAUAUCUUUUUCUAUUUAUUGAUCUUUAAAUAUUCUGCAUUGUCAAAUUUAGUCCAAUAUGAUAUUGAUCUUUUUGAUAUUAUUAUUUGGUAAAAAAAUUAUUUAACGGUUCUUAUUGGUCACAUAUGAGCCCAUUGCACAUAAUAAAUGAAAUAUCCAGAAAUUGUAUAUAUAUAUAUAACUAAAUUUAAUAUGCAUACAACUAAAUGGCAUAUGUUUUGUGGUAAGACCUCCGGAUUAAAAUAAGGCAUUAGAAGAAAAAAGUUGAAUUUUACAAUAAACUGGAUUGAUAGAGCCAUAAAUAUUUUACUUAGAUAUUUUAACAAUCAAAAGCUUUUAGCUUUUGCUGCACACUCCAAUCUCAAGAUUUCGAUCAUCCAUAUUCUUAAAACUGUGGAAACAAUAAUGAGAUUAAAAUUGAGAAGAAUAAUGGGGAGAGAAAAAGUAAAAUCCACUAUAAAAAUUCAAUUAUUACAAAAGGUGGUUAAAAAAAUCUAAGACUCUUUCCAUUUUAAAUUUUUAAGGUAAUAACUUGAGAAAAAUAAUAUUUAUAUUGCUCUUAGGUCCUAACAUUGGCCCAAACCCAUAAAUAAUUCAAGACAACUCAACAAACCUCCAUCUUGGCUUGAAUUUUACAUAAGUAACAAAAUCUUCUCCUCCCACUAGAGUAAAAAUUUGUUGUGGCAAAUAUUAACCAAAUCCAAGCAUCACAAAUAUUAACCGAAUCCAAGUGAUGCUUGAAUUUGGCAGCGGGCAAGGACUUUGUCAACAUAUCAACUAGAUUGUUUUCUGUACCAAUCUUAGCCAUCGAUAAGUCUUGAAUAUAAUAAUACCAAACAUCAAUGUGCUUCGUUCGCUCAUGAUAUAUUUGAUCUUUAGUAAGAUGUAUAACAUUUUAACUAUCACAAUGGACAAUAGUCACACCAUAAUCCACAUUGAGAUCCUCAAAUAAAUCUCUUGACUAUAUGGCCUCUUUAAUUGCUUUUGCAAUAACUAUAUACCUUGAUUUUAUAGUAGAUAAAGCAAUUGUAUAUUGUAAAGUAGCUUUCCAACUUAUUGUACAACCUUCAAUAGUAAAGAUACACUCAAUCAAAGACUUCCUUAUAUCAAGGUCACUAGCAUAAUCAAAAUUAAUAUGUUUAGUAUGAUUGUCACUAGUUUUCCCAAACUCUAAACUAAAAUCAGAAAGUACCUUUCAAAUAUUUCAAAAUCAACUUCACAGCUUGCCAAUAAACUUUGCCUGGGCGUGAUAAAUAUCUAUUUACUAUGUUAACAAUAUGUGAUAUGUUGGGUCGAGUACAAACCAUGGCAUACAUAAGGCUACCAAUUUAUAUCCUCAUCGGUUUGUGGAUAUAAACUUGCUGAUAAUUUAAUAGCAAGAGAAGUAGUUACCGGUUUGGCAUCUUUCAUGUCAAAACAACAUAACACCUUUUCAAUUUAGUUUUUUAGGGAGAGAUACAAAAAAAAUUUCCAUUUUUUCCAUCUCGCCAAAUUUCCAUGUUUAAGAUAUUCUUCGUUGCAUCUAAAUCUUUCAUGUCAAAUUCAAUGCUUAACCGUGCCUUCAAAUUCUAUAUAUCAGAUUUAUCUUUUGCUGCAAUCAACAUAUCAUCAACAUAUAAUAAUAGAUAUAUAAAUGAGCCACUUGGAAGUUUGCGCAGAUAUAACAACUAUUGUAUUUGCUAUUAUAAUAGCCAAAUUGCGCCAUAACUAAAUCGAACCUUUUAUACCACUAUCUAGGCGAUGAGUGCCUAUGGAGAUUGUUCGAGAUAGAAUUGCAGAAGGUCGGAUUUCGUAUUUGAGGAUGAGUGCCUCUAAUGUCUUGCUCCAUAAGAUUGUGAUUAACUGUCUGAGAUCCAAAUCCACAUCAAAGACUAAUGUCUCCAAUUCUGAAGCGAAGCUGAUGUACGCCAUUAACCUUGGUUACAAGUUCUCUCUGCCUCAUACCAUAAUGUUUCACAUGUAUCGGUCAAUGGUAAAAGAGAAGGGACAACUUCCUUACUCUGCUCUUGUUACUCGUCUAUUCAAACAUCUUAACAUUCAGCCUUCCAGAAUUUUAUGUAUUCGAACCAGUGUUCUAAUGGUGAUAGGACUGAAGAUAGUUUCAAAGAUGCGUCUGAAGGAGCUAAAUAAGGCUUUAGAGAGAUUUAAGGAGAAGACACCUGUCAAGACUCGACAAGACCCUGUGGAUGCAAAAAGAAAAUGGAAGGAGCCCAUGAUAGCUCCAUCUAAGAAGAGGAGAGUACUCAUCUUGCAGGAUGAAGAAGAUGAGGAUGACAUAACUAUCUCAGCCCUUGCCUUAAAGAAUUUACAGCGUCUUGUUCCUGAGACAGAGACUCAAGAAAACCAAGACAGAGAAGAGACAGAGCAGAGGAGUGAAGAGAGGGAAAUGAUGAGGAAAGAAGAAGGAAGAACAGAAGAAGGAAGAAUAGAAGAAGAAGAGCGAAGAGGAGAACAAACAGAAGGAGAAAGUCAUGGUGAUUCUCCAGCAGAGGAAGAAGAACAAGAUCAUCGUGACAUUGGAGAAAAACCAGAGCAAGAAGAGUACUUUUCUCCACCUGAAAGCAUUGAAAUAGGAGAAGCUAUUGAUAAAAGAGGUACUCCUUCACUUGCUUUUACCAGUGAUGAUGUUAGUCAUUCUCCUGUCAAUCCAGAGGAAGUGUAUGCCUCUCACUUUCAUGAAGAAGGUAAUGAGGCUUCAUCUCCAAGUCUGGAUGUUCAUGUUGAAGUUCCAUCAUCUGGCAACACUCCACAAACUGAUCAUGCUGAAGCAAGCACUCAAACUGACAACUGAACAAACUUUAAAAGAUCGCUUGAACUUCUUCUGGAAAUCAAAGGUCGGAUUUAUGCCUUGGGAUGUGAAUUUCAGAGCAUGCAGAAUGCUCAUCAAGCCACUUCAGUUUCUUUGCACGAUCAAGUUCAAGCCCUUAAUCUUCAAGUUCAAGCUAUCGCAAGGUGAGAUUUAGCGCAACUGAAAGAGGAUCUGAAAACACNNNNNNNNNNNNNNNNNNNNNNNNNNNNNNNNNNNNNNNNNNNNNNNNNNNNNNNNNNNNNNNNNNNNNNNNNNNNNNNNNNNNNNNNNNNNNNNNNNNNNNNNNNNNNNNNNNNNNNNNNNNNNNNNNNNNNNNNNNNNNNNNNNNNNNNNNNNNNNNNNNNNNNNNNNNNNNNNNNNNNNNNNNNNNNNNNNNNNNNNNNNNNNNNNNNNNNNNNNNNNNNNNNNNNNNNNNNNNNNNNNNNNNNNNNNNNNNNNNNNNNNNNNNNNNNNNNNNNNNNNNNNNNNNNNNNNNNNNNNNNNNNNNNNNNNNNNNNNNNNNNNNNNNNNNNNNNNNNNNNUUUGCUUAAGUGAUGUCUGCAGGUCUAAAGUUUCCAAAUCUGCAGGAAAGUUUGUCAUCAUCAAAAAGGGGAGAUUGUGAAGAAAACUUCCUAUUUAUUUUGAAGUUGACAAAACGUUUCCAUCAGUCUAGUUUGAAAACUUGAAGACUCUAUCGUCAAAGUCUGAAGACCUCCAGACUCAAGAUUUAAAGUCUGCCCUCAUUGACAGUUUCCAGACCGACGAAGAAAAGUAUUGUCUGUUGAAGAAGACUUAUCCAGAUGCGGGCAUAUAAUUAAGGAUUUAAUUCAUACAGUUGAAGAAGAUCUCACGGCUAGAGAUUACACCUUGAGAUCUAUUAUUUGCUCUGAAAUUAAUUCAAGCAUUUUAGACCCGUUGAUUGGCGAAGUAUACUUGGAAGGUUCUACUUAUGGAAACCUAGAUCCUGAUUGAAUGGACGAGCGGGAUUGGUGGGCUAUCAUCAUAUUCCUUAAAUAAUUUGAAAUCUCCCUAAUUGAUUCUGUCCAACGGGUUGAUUGGAAGAACUCCUUUGGAAGGUACCAAUGGUUAUGAAGGCAUGAAGGAGUAUAUAAGGAAAACUCUCCAAUUAUUCGAGUGUGUGAAAAGAUAGAGAAAUUUCAAAGUCUAAAGCUCCAUGUUCUUUGAUGUUUCAAUUGUUGAGCUUAAAUUUGUACUCAAAAGAGAGAUUAAAUACUUGUGAGACCUUGGGGAAGUGUAGCAAAGUCUCUACAUUGUGAAAUCAAGGACGUGAGACUGCAAAAUCUCUUUUAAUUCUUAGUGGAAUUCAGCUAGUGGACUAUCAGCGUGAGAGAGUUGACGUAGGCUUGAUCUAAGCCGAACCAUUAUAAACCUUGUGUUUUGAUUCUCUAUCCCUAAACUCUUUACUUUAAAUCGCAUCUCUAUAUAACUGUUUAUAGUUGUUCACAACUUCAGUUUGUUAUUCUUAGAAGUCAAUUUGUUUUGAUAAGAUUUACAAAAACUUCUUUGAUCACCUAUUCAGCCCCCUCUAGGUGCUCGUACUAGCCCUUUCAGAGGGAUCCUCUAAUUCAGGAGUUCAACUUUAAAAUCUUUGUCGGGAUCAAAGGAAGCUGUUGAAUAAAGGAGGAGCAUCUAAAACCAAUUAGCCAAACAAAGCUAACAAUAAAUCAAGACUCUGUUUGAAAUGUCAUGGAUUUGGUCGCAUCGCCUCGAGUGUCCUAAUAGAAAGAUCAUUUCUCUUGUGCGAGAUGAGCAACAGGGAGAGUCACAACACAACCCUUUGCUCCAAGAAGAUUCAACACAACCCUUCGCAGCACAACCCUUCGCUCCGAGAAGAUUCAAGGAGCCGCGAAGAAAUUGUUGACAGAGAUCAAGGAGAAGCUCUUGUCAUUCAAAGGAGCUUGCAUGCUGCUCAUCUCGAGGAUGAUGAUUGGCUUUGCAACAACAUACUCCAUACAAGACUGUACUUCUUAUUUUAAAGUACGUGAUGUCACAAUUGAUAGUGGAUGUUGUGAGAACGUUGCGUCGACCACCAUGGGAGACAAGUUGCAUCUCAAGGCGGAGGAUCAUCCACAUCUUUACAAGCAUUCUUGGCUCAAGAAAGGGAAUAAGAUAAAAGUAAAUAACCGGUGCUUGAUUUCAUUCUCUAUUGGCAAAAGCUAUAAAGAUGAGAUUAUGUGUGAUGUAUAACACCUAUCCCUUUGUCAAAGACCGCGUCAAGAUUACAUUGGGCCCUUGCAAGACGGAGAGAGUUCCCAAGCCUCCUCAUGGGAAAGGAACAAAUCUUCUUUCCAAGUCUAAGUUUUCCUAAGCAUCGGAGGAUGCUUGUGAGGCUUACGCUUUUUUUAUAGUGGAAGAAAAUGAAGCAAAAGAGGAGAUCCCAACCAUUUUGCAGCCGUGGCUUGAGGAUUCCUGUGAAGUCAUGCCGAUGAAAUUCCAUCCAACCUUCCUCCUUUGAGAGAGAUUCAACAUCAUAUCGAUUUUGUGCUUGGUGCUUCUGUUCGAUCGAUUGAGCUCCGAGAAGCAUAAAGAACUUCAAAGGCAAGUUGAUAAACUCUUGGCCAAGGGAGCAAUACAAGAAAGCUCGAGUCCUUUUGCUGUCCCGGCACUUCCAGUUCCAAAGAAAAAUGGUUCUUGGCAAAUGUGCAUUGAUAAUAGAUCGGUGAACAACAUAACCAUCAAGUUUUUUCCUUUUCCUUGCCUUGGUAUUUGCUUGAUCAACUUCAAGGAGCUUGUGUGUUUUUCCAAGAUCAAUCUUCGGAGCAGCUAUUGUCAAAUCCUGAUGAAAGUAGGAGAUUAAAGGAUGACAGCUUUCAAAACUAAGAAUGGUCUUCUUAAAUGCAUGGUGAUGCCCUUCUGACAUUUCUAAUACUUUUAGUACUUUUAUGCAUCUUAUGAAUCAUGGUUUUAAACCUUUCAUUGGCUAGUUUGUCGUGUAUACUUUGAUGACAUCGUGAUUUAUAGCAUAGCAAGGCCCAAGUGGAGCUUUUGGAGUAUCAAAUUCUUCAAGUGCUACGGGAACAUCGUUUGUAUGCCAACCUGAAGAAGUGUCACUUUUGCACAAAGAGCCCGGUGCUAUGUUGUCUCCAACGAUGGUGUUAGAGUAGAUCUUAGAAAGAUGGAGGCAAUAAGAAGUUGGCCAAUUCCUAGCUCGCUGAAUGAGAGAAAAGCUGAAGAAUGUUUUUGACCUUUUUUAUUUUUCAAAUAUCGUCCGAAUGUUAUGUUACACAAAUAAGGCCAGUUACUCCAUUUGGACGUAGCAUCUGAACUUUAAGCACAUAGACCAAGCAACUAAAUAGACAAAAAAAAAAAAAAGACGAGGAAAAAAUACACACCAAAAAAAGAAAAAAAAAAGAAUAAUAGUACAAGGACCAACAUUGCCAUGACGUCUCAUCUUCCACUUUCAAUUUCGAAGGGCACUUGGUUUCGUAUGCUAUCAUCAUUUCCUGAUGCAUUGCUUCUGAGGAUGCCAUCACAUUUGCUUGAUCUCUCACCAAGGAAAUGCUCAGCUUCUUCAAGGUCACUGCUCCGAUUCAACCAUGGAUGCCUGUCCAUCACCCUCAUCAGUCCCUCCAAUUCCAUUGCCACUUCCUUCAUGGUUGGCCGAUCUUCGCCUUUCACUGUCAGGCAUUGGUUUGCCAGCAUCGCAACUUUCAUAAUCUCUUCCGGGUUCCCCUCGUUCAGCACCAUCGGGUUGAUGAUUUCGAACAGCCUCCCGCCCUUUAUUGCAGAAGCAAAAUAUAAGGACAAGUUCCUCUCAUUCUCAGCCCGCUCAAAGGACAAGGCCCUCAGUCCGGUCAGCAACUCAGCCAACACAACCCCGAAGCUAUAGACAUCGCUCUUCUCAGUCAACUGGCUCGAGCGGAGGUACUCGGGAUCCAAGUACCCAAGCGUGCCUUGAACCAGUGUGGUCAGUUGUGUGCCGUCGAGGGGGACUAGCCUGGAGGCUCCAAAAUCAGCGACCUUUGCGGUGUAGUUUUCAUCCAACAAUAUGUUUGUGCUCUUUAUGUCUCUGUGCAAAAUCUGAGCGGAUGCAUCGGAGUGCAAGUACGAAAGCGCACCUGCGGUCUCCCCUGCAAUGCGCAGACGAGCCCUCCAGGAUAAUGUGGACUCGUGGCCGCACUUGUGUAUGUGGUCAGAAAGGGUGCCAUUGGUCACAAACUCGUAGACUAAUAACGGGACCUCCGUCUCGAAGCAACAACCGAUUAGCUUAACCACAUUGCGGUGAUUAAUUUGGGAGAGGAUGAUCAGCUCGUUGAUGAAUUCUUCAACCUGACUUCGGUCCAAAAUCUUGGCCUUCUUGAUGGCGACAACCGUGUUGUCCGCUAAGAUCCCUCGGUAUACAGUUCCGUGGCCUCCCUGGCCUAGGAUUCGGCUUUCAUGGUAGUGGUCCGUGGCCUUCUUGAGCUCUUCAUCGGUGAAUAUUCUCGCCGAUUCAAUGGAGCCUUCGUGCUCAGAAAGAAUUUUCUGCAACAUAAGGCGGCCCCCAUUUUCUAGGAAGAACUUCUCUCUCCGUCUGCUGAUUUUUCUUUCUCGAAGCCCCCAAUAUAACCAGGAAACACCCAAAAGAACCAGCAGGAAGCUUAUGCUCACGCCUAGUGAAAGACAUUAUAUUCGGUGAACAAACAAAUUAGUUGUCCAUCACACUACAUAUGUUUUCAAAACCAAGAAAAGAAAAAAAAAACAGAAACGAACUUUGCUUGACUCUUUCUUUUUCAUUACUCAAACAAUCUUGUGUUAAUUUACUUCUCUGUCCUAUUUUCUUUUUCUUCUCCAUCAACUUGAAGCUUUUUCAUUAAGAAUAACCUUGAUAAUAGCAAUAUAAACCUAAACAUAUAAUUAUGCUGAGAGUAACUUAUGAUGACAGGAACGAUUCAAUGCAUCAAGUGGAUAAAACGUACUUGAUUCUUUUUCAACAACAGAAGAGCAAGUUGUUGAUUUUGUUAAUUUCGAAUUGAAUAACUUGAGAUUACGACACAUGUAUAUAAUAUCAAUUUAAUUCACGGACACAAUUAAUUCAAAGAGAAAUAUUUACGUCCGAAAAACCUCAAUAACUAAUAGCAAAAGAUGGAACAAUGGCAUAAUAACAACAUUUAAAGAAUGUGAAUAAAUUACAAGAUAAAAGAAGCUUUUCUAUGAUGAAAAAGUUUGAGCAAUGUGUACGACUUACUGACUAGCACGAUGUCCAUUGAGCGAAACCUCUUUGUAGGAGUACAACCGUUGCCAUCUUUUUUUCCAUCUCCUCGGGAUCCCUUCGGACAUGAACAAUUAUACGUUCCCGGCAAGUUCGUACAUAUUCCAACACAUGGUUGUAAAAUCAUACAUUCAUCGAUAUCUGGAGGAAUAUAUUCCAAAUGGAAUAAGCAAUCCGACACCAUUUCAAUUGGAAGAAAGUUGAAAAAGUAUAUAGAAUUCCAUGAUUUGGCAACACUUUCAAUAUGAGAGGACAUAUCAAGUUAAUUUACUUUUCCUGAGAUCGUGAUACCUCACCACACUUUUUAAGUGAUAGGUCACUAUCUCAAGAGCCUAAGCGUAACCAAGCAUUUGAUCUUUGUUUAGAAUAGAAGAUUUAAGAAUUAUCCAACAAAAUUGUGCCAUUACUAAUUAGAAUAACACAUUACAUAGAAAAUAAUUCAAAAAUAAUUGUCUAUAAGUACAGAAUAAUGCUGGAUGUAUUAACAUCGGUAGAUGAAAUUGAUUUACAAGCUAACUUUACCGAUUCAUAUUGAGGGUUCGGUAUGGACCAUCUGUUUAUAAAAUCAAUUGCGCUCGACUGAUUCAGUUUGUAAAAAAAUUGUACAGAUUAAACUUAAGAGAGAAGAAUGUCUAGCUAUAUCUGGAAUGAUAGCUGUGAAAAUUUACAGAUUAUUACUAAACGCUUCAUAGGUCAUAUUAAAUUUCAAGCAAUGAAAUUCCGUGCAUUUGAAAGGAAAAAAAAUAUUUUUAACAGCCUAGAUUGAUAUGAUUUUUAAGAUUAUAAAUGUUACGUGAUUACUAGGAGAAUCGUUUGAAACAUGUACCAUUCAUCAAGUCAAAAUUUGGUCCUCUGACUUGAAGUUUCUAAGAAUUUCUUUCUCUGGGUUUUUUAUGCAAUUGGAUCCAUUUAACAUGGUCGCCCUUAUGGAAAUAAUAUCCACGAUUCUAUACAGAAGCACUCGUUCGGAUGUGAGGUGGGUCUAAUGAAAAGACGGGAAAAGGUACCUUGACAACCGUUUUGGAGAUAGGGGUUCCCUUGAAAACCCUUCAAGCAGUGGCACUGGUAGCCAUUUCCAUUCUCAGCAUCUGUACAAUUGGAGUUCUCUUGGCACAUGUAGGUCGUUGCAUUCUUCUUUGCAUCAUCGCAUGUUUGAUUUGGAAUUAACCAAUCGACAACUAGAGGGACCAUAUCAAAUGGCGGCUCGCGCAGAUUGUCCGUAGAGAAGCUAAAGAAGCCGUCUUGGGCAACGAAAGCGUAUCCGCACGGAUUGAAAUCAGUGAUGCCGAGAUGAUUGUUGUAGCUAGUGACAGAGAUGUUGUAUCGGUAGGCGUCUCGAGGAAUGCCAGUCUCGCAGCAGCCGAUGCCCGAGCACGACCCAUUAAUCACGUCCAAGACGUUGUCGCAUGAGGACACGCACCCCGUCAUAUACGUGCUUCCUUGUCGGCCGCUAAAGGUCGCGUACGUGUCGCAUCCCACGGCGAUAAAUUUGUUCUUGGCAGAAGAUAUGGGGAAUAUGGGAAGAGCGAACUCAGGAUCAUUAUUGUAUAUGGAUGUGCCGGACGAAUUAUAACAAUCUUUGGCUACAAACACCGUUACACUAAUCUCGUGACUCUCCAUAGAUAUAUCGAGUACUCGGAAAUUAGAAUCUUUACUGUACAUAUGAGGAGUGGGAGGAUCAGUCGAGUCGUUGCAAAAGAUGAGGAAAGACUCUGAUUCUUCUUUGAAGUAGCAGUCGUCGCCGGCAUCAUUCAUCCCGAAUGGGUACGGGAAGGUGAGGUUGCCACAUCUGUUCGCGCAUCCGGGCUUUGUUGUUUGGACUACAUCCGCAGUAACUACUGAGAAUAGAGCCACCAAUGAGCACAACAGCAGCACAACUCUCAAGGGAAGUCUAUGGAGCAGCAUGGAUCCACCCAUAUUCUUCCUGAAAUGAGAUGAUAUUUUGCAACGAGAUGAUGAGCUUCAUAGCCCGAUGACAACCUUUAUAAGCGAUGAUGGAGCUUCUGGAAAGCUAAGUAGUAUAUGCAUUAUUCAUAGUCCCCACUAUAUUGACUGUCUUCACGGUGAUUACAUCAUUACUAAUCAAUCAUACGGUUUUGUCCACUCUCUAUGGCUCUUCACUAAAGAAGCCUUGACAAGCCUAUCGCGAUUCACGUUGUGGCGUCGCAAUCAUUCGUAGGGAUUUCCAAACUGACUUGCAAAUAAUAAAAGUCGUGAUUAGAUAGAUAUUUUUUUCUUUUCAAUCUCAGAAUUAGUUUCGACGGGUGGUGCUCAUAAACUAUUGCAUGCACAUCUCUAAUGUAUGAACUCCUUAAAUAUUUGUACAAAUAUCAACACCGUAUUUAAAUCUUUAUGCGCAGAGUAAAAUAUUUCAAUUUAUGCUAUGUACAAUUAAAAAAAAAAAUAGGUACAUCGAUGGUAAGUACUAAAGAUUAGUUAGAUAAAGCAAGAAACUGUUGAUUCGGGUCAGUUCGAAUUUGAAUUUGAAAAUCAAAACAGCACCAAACAAUCCAAAUAUAGAAGAUGAAUGAGAAUGAAAUUUGCGGUGUUUAGAUAUGAUUUGCUAAGUAAAAAGACUUCAAGAGUCCGAAAUUGAUUUUGAGAAUUUUUUUCAGAUUCGCCUAUAAAGUUUCAAGUAAAUCCUAAGUCAAUGCCAUCAGUUUUCUUGGCAAUUUCUCACGUACGAGAGUAUGUCUCAUCAGGGUGUUUUCAUUAUCCUGCCAAGACUUGAAAAGUCAAGCAAGUAUGAAGCGCAUGCAAUGGGAGAUCACAACGCUAAAAUUCGUUAAAAGGACUCAUUGCCCUCAAGGAAAGCUUAAGAGGUUUCAUAUUACAAAAUUAUCAAGAAAAAAAAUUCUAAACCUAUUAUACUUGUACAAAUUCAGUCAUAAAAUCUUCAAUUGUGCUAAUUAAAACUCAAACCUUUUGAAAGUUUACCAAUUUAUUUUUUUUUGAUCAAAUUUGAUCAGAAAUCUCCAUAGUAUAUAAUUUUUAUAAUUUUUGGGAAAUUGAUUUGGGACUUUGGGAGUCUAAAAUUGAUUUUCAGAAAAUUUUUAUGGUCGAACUAAAGUUCCAGGUAAAUGCCAAGUCAAUGGGGUCCGUUUCCUCGACAAUAGGUCACAUCAGAAUUUGUUACUGCCCACCAACUUUGACUGUGUCAUUGAUAGAUUCAGGGUGCUUUCAUUACAUUUCCAAGACUUGAGAAGUCUAGCAAAUCAACGGUAAGCGUAUGCAGUGGAGGAGAGAUCACAACCCCAAAAAAGAGAAUGAGAAAGAAGAAAAAUCAACAAGAGCAGAGUGGUUUGAGCUGGGGAUUGUCUACAUGAAAUGUGUUUCAAGUUGGAUGGAUUUUAUAAUCUGAAAAUUUGUAUUUUCCUGUUUCUAGUCUGUAUAUAUGCAUUCUAAAACAAAGUAACCGGUAGCUUCAAAAUAAUUAAUCAACUAGCUUCAAAGAGAUAAAAUAUCAAAUUUUUUAAUUGUUGUGUUACAAAAUUAAGAUGUUGAAAUAAGAUUCCGUUAUGUACUUUUAAACUACGAAAAGAUACGUCGCAUGUGGAUAUUUUUUUCCUUUUUCUAGGCUAACAUUUCCAACUAAUAUGGAUUGUGAAGGGAACAUUGUCCAAAUAGUCCUAAACCAAUUUAGUCCUAAACUUUUCAAUUUUGCCAAUUGAGUCAUAAACAUUUUCACAUUUUGCCAAUUCAAUUCUAAACAUUUUUCAUUUUUUGGCUAAAAAUUACUAACGUGGACGACUGGUGUUAACGUGGCACUUUUAAAAUAAAAUUUUUUGAUAUUUUUUAUGGUUUUUCUACUUCUUUUUCUUUUUUUUGGUUUUGGAUCUAGUCGACAAAGGUUGUCGGCCAACCCUUGCCAGCCACAAGCGAGGGCCAACAAGCGAGAGCCGAUCAACCCCUACCAGCUCUGGGCGAGGGCGCACAAGCCCUCGCCUAGAAAUAACGAGGCUUGUGACACCCUCACCAAAUCUAGUAAGGCGAGGGCUUGGCGACCCUCGCUGGCUCCAAGCAAGGGGGGUGACCUCGCUCAAGGCCUUUGCCUAGUUAGAUCUAGCGAGGGCAAUGACCUCGCUUGAGGCAUUUGCCUUGCAUGCCCUCUCCUUCGCUGGCGAGGGUGUCGCGACCCUCGACCAAAGCUUGCGAAGGGCACAGCACCCUUGCCCAAAGUUGGCGAGGGUCAACUAGCCCUCACCUAUGGCUAGUGAGGGUUGCCGACCCUCGCCUAUGACUGACACUAGCCCUCACCUAUGGCCAAGGCCGGCCAAAUUCGAACCCCCCCCCCCCCAAAGCAAAAAAAAAGUUAAAAAAGAAAAAUCAUAAAAAUUCAAAAUAUUAUUAAAAUAUGAUUUAAAAAGUGCCACGUCAGCACCAGCCAUCCGUGUUACAAUUUCCAGCCAAAAUUGGCUAGAUAGAUUGAAUUGAUAAGAAGUGAAAAGGUUUAUGAUUGAAUUAACAAAAUUGAAAUAUUUAUGACUGAAUUGGUAAAAGUGUAAUAGGUUGAUAACCUUUUGGAUAAUUGUCCCAAUUGUGGUUGAUAUGCAUUUGUGGAGAAUUAUCAGCAUCAAGAAUUUAAUUUUUCUUUUCCUUUUUCUGGUCCAAUGACUGUAGUUAUUAGCUUAUUUUAAGCUGUGGAGUUAACAACGGCAGGUCCUGGAGACUUUCAUGAGACGAUUCCACUACAAAUCCUUGUGUGACGAAGUCUUUGUGUGGUGUGGUGCGAGUUUAAAUUUUCCAAAUGCACGAUUUAUUUGACAUAUAUUUCUUCAAUCUUUCGUCGCUGCUCAUCCGAAAAAACAGGCCAUUGUGGGCCAGAGACUGGUGCACACUUGUCACAGAAGAGCUGCUCUUACUUUCCAAAUAAUCCGUGGGAAACAAUAAGUCUUGGUCUUCUCCUUUCCCAAUUGAUUUUUAUAGUAUGGUACAUUGGGGAUGUUACUUCUGCGCAGGGAAAUUUUUUUCUUUCGAGGCGUUGAUUAAUGCAAAAAGUGAAAGUUGAUAGCGAAAGGAGAAGACCUAACCUCUCUCUUUCAUCAAGAAAGAGACUUCUUGUUUAACUCUAUAUUUGAACAAUUCCAAAACUUAAUAAUGCACCUUAACUCUCAGUCGUCAGGCAGCAAUUAUCAAUGAAAAAGGCACACUAGUUCGUAAAUUUCAUCAGUUAAUUUACAGUAAUACAUAAUUAUCUUCGGCAAUGUCUCUCUACAAAUCCUUAGAAUUCUUUGGAGAGACUAAUUGAAAAUCCCAACCGCCAAUGUAAUUGGACAAUGCAUUGAGAGAUGAUGUGCAUCCAAACUCAAUAACUUAUUAAUGAGGGCUUUGACACUCUCCAUCAUAAGCAUCUACAAACUUUUCAAACGGGUUCUUUGCCAACUAAUAAGCUAAGUACCAUUGUCAAAUUUCCAAUAGAAAUCUAGCCGCAGGAAAUUUUUUCAACACUCACAAAUUGACACAUGAUGCCUACAUGGGCAGGUCGAAUUACUUUGAUAAUCUAAAUCUAUCAGUAAGAAAAUUGACAUUAUUUGGAGUCUUUCCUUGAGUAAUAGUAAAAUUGUAUCAGUUGAUAACAGAGCCUAAAUCUGGCUGGUCCAGCCGAUUUGAGAAGACAAGUGCAACAUCUCCAACAAGAAUUGGAGCAAUCUUGAUUGUUAAUGUCAUGCCCCGAACUCCGAGCGCACGCACAUCUCUCGGUGGUCGAUUAAAAAUUUGCGACGUCCCAGGAUGCGUCGCUGACCCAUUCUUUUUAUCUUUCAAUUAAGCAAAUACACCACCCAGUCAAAUUUGACCAAAACUCACUAUAGUAUAUAAUUUUUAUAAUUUUUGGGAAGAGGCUAAGCCAAGGCGGUCGGUUUCCUUGGCAAUUUCUCAUGUGCAACAAUAUAUCUCGUCCGGAGUUAUUGCCCACCAACUUUGGGUGCAUCAUUGAUAGUGAGUAUAAAUGAGACAGGAUGCUUACUGCACCAAGACUUGAAAAGUUAAGCAAGUACUAAGCGUAUGCAAUGGGAGAUCACAGCUUGCACCAAGACUUGAAAAGUUAAGCAAGUACUAAGCGUAUGCAAUGGGAGAUCACAGCUUGCACCAAGACUUGAAAUGUUAAGCAAGUACUAAGCGUAUGCAAUGCGAGAAUUGGACCAAAAGGAUUCUAAAACCAUGAAUCGAACCAGUGCCCCUAAAACUGAACCGACCAAUAUAGUUAAGUUCCUACGUGGAUCAUGGAACCGGUGGCAUGUUCAGAUUUUUUUUUUUACUGUUAUUUGUCAUUAAUGUUGAAGACGAAUUGAAGAUGUUCUUGAUAACCAAGACAUUUCUACAAUCAGCCAAUUACGUGUAGCAUUGUAGGUUUCACAUAAUUUUUACAAUCAGCGAAUUGAAGAUGUUCUUGUCAUCUUACUCACAUGCAUGAGUGAAAUAGGAGUUGUGAGACUUGUGCUUGUCUGCAUGCGUGAGUGAAGUCCGAAAUAUGAGAUAGAUUACGGUUUUUUUUUUUUUUUUACAAAUUAAAGGAAAUUAAAAAAAAAAAUUGGUCUAACCCAUGUGGGCAAUCCACGCCUGAAAUUGGGAAUCAGAUUGAAAUUCACUAGUUUCAAUUUUAUAGAAUUGAGAACUAGAUCAGUGCCCCUAGGAACUGCCCAAAAUUGGCCGAUCUAGUCCCAUUUAAGUGGCUCCUUUUGCUUACCCCUAGUCAUAACUCUAAAAUAGAAGAAUGCCGAAGAAAAAUCAUGAAGAGCAAACUGCUUUGAGCUGGCGAUUGAUGAUGGGGUUUACACUCCUAGGAGUGAAAUUUCUAUUGCAUUCUGGAAAAGAAUAACGCAUAUUUCAGAGUGAUUAAUCAACUAGUUUUAAAGAGGUAAAAACUAAACAUUUGCCAUUGCCGUGCUACGAAAAAUAAGAUUCUUAGAUAACAUUUCAUUCUAUACUUUUACAUUAAGAUAAGAUACGUUAGACGUAGGUUUGUUUUUUUAUUUUAUUUUAUUUUUUAUCUUGGUUGUUGGCCUAGGAUUUCUAAUUAAAAAUAUGGACUGUGGUGAUACAUAUUUGUGGAGAAUCAUCAUUCCAAGGAAUUUAUUUUUCCUUCCAUCUGGUAUCCGUGUUGUAAAUCUUUUGUUGCAUUUCCAUACUUUUGAGGAAAACACCAUCUUGCUGACAUCGUGGUAACGAAGAAAAACGCAAUCAUUAUUGCCAAAGUCAUUUUGAAGAAACUAGGCUAAUCGAAUUAGGAGCAAAAUAGUGUCUCAUAUUGGACCUUAGUGUAAAUGUGACUUAAACCAGAAAAAGUAAAAAAAAAAAAAGUAUAUAAUCUAUUGUCAUGAUACCAAUUCAGCUCUUAACCUUUUAAAUAAUCAAUUUAAUUCUAAACAUUUUCAUAUUGAUACCAAUUUAGUCCAUCCGACCAAUUUAAACCAAAAAUUGCCAAUGUGAACGCCAGCUAUCCUACGUAGCAUGAUCGAUACUGGCGUGUAUAUUUUUAAUAAUAUUUUAAUAUUUUUUGAAUUUUUAAAAUCUUUUUUGCUUUUUCUUUUUUCGACCUCCCUCUUCUUUGCUUUUUCUUUUUGCCAGUGGCCAUUGCUAGCCAUCGACCAUAGCCAUGGUCGGCUAGGGUUGGCCUUGGUCGGCCUCACCGACCAUAGCCAUGGUCGGUGUGGCUAGCCUUGGUCGACCUCACCGACCACAAGCAAUGGUUGGCCUCGCUGGGUCGCCUUUGAGCGAGGGCAAGCGCCGAUCGUCCUAGCGAGGCCCCCUCGUCAGAUCUAACAACCAACCAUCGCACAGGUGAGGGCGAGGCUAGUUGGGCCUCGCCAUCACCCACGUGGGGCUCACCAAGCCUCAUCCUCGCCGAAGCGAGCCUCGACGAGGCCGACCCGUACUUAGGCGAGGUGUAAUGAGGCACCCUGGCCUAGGAGAUGGUCAGCCUCCUCAAAUCCAGUGAGGGGGCCUCACCUAGCCACACCUGGACGGCCGACGCUCCCCCUUGACCACGCCCUCGCCCAAAGAAAUUACCAUCGGAUAGUUGCAUAUAUGUCGCAUUGCUAUGUAUACAAAGAAAUUACCACUAUGCAAGGCGCCUAUUUAAGCAAAAACAUACGUUCUUCAUUCAAAUUAUUUGAUGGCAAAUUGAAUAUUAGUAUUGUGUUGCUGAUUGGAGAGCUUACCUUGUACUCUAACGAUUAUACCACACAUAAAUAGACAAUGUUUCCUUUUGACAUAUUAGUUCUAGAAUAUAUAGAAUUAAUGGGUGAAAUAUCUUUUAACACACUGUCAUAAGGCUUUGUGGCAGAACGUCAAUUAGAUAUAACAAAUGUGACUAUCCAUCAACAAAUUAACCUAGCCCGAACCAGUCAACCUACCCUAGCUAAAAACUAUUCAUUCAGGUUGGUUUCGUUUCGAUUUGAAAUCUGAAAAGAACAAAAUCUAACCAACCUAUAUAUAGCAGAAGAACAAAAUCUGCAGUGUCCAAAUCUACACAAUAGAAAACAUAAUCCUCAAAUCAAAUUACAUUUUCCAGUUCAAAGUAAAACCAAAGAUAUGGUCCGAGAUCUGAUCAUUGCUAACUAAAAAUAUCAUUAUUCUUUUUUUUCCUUCUCUUUUUUUUUUUUAAAAAAAUUGUUUUGUGGUGGAGUUUCUCCCAAAGACCCUCCUAAUAUAACAUGAAAAUUUCCAACACAAUAAGUAUUCAAAAGGCUCACUCAAUUAAAAGUUGGAUAAGGAACAUAAAAGCAAAUUUUCUUUUGACAAUACACCCCAAACAACCAUAGCAAUCACUUCUCCUUUUUUUUCUUCUUUUUUUAUACUCCAUCCUUCCUCCCAAAUUUCUAUUAAGCUCAAAUAAUUUUUUAUCCAAAAAAAAUAAAUCAACGUGUUCAUAGGGCAUGGGACAAUGAUAUAAUUUGAUAACUACUGGGUUAAAUUUAUAUGGGUGCCAAUGAAAAAUUGGGUAAUAAUUAAAGCUCAACGGGGUGACUGGGGAUAAAUAAACAGGUUAGCUUGAAUGGCUCAAUUGAUCCAAAAAUUGCCUAAAUCAUUUUUUCAGUUAGAUUUAGCUUAGGAUUUCGCCUCAAGAGAAAAUCAAACAAAUUCUAAAAUUUGGGUGAAAUUUAAGAAAAUCACAUACUUCACAUGAAUGUUCUCUAGAUUUACACAUAAUUAAAAAAAUAAAGGACUUUUAGUGCUCAGUAAGUAAAUCAACAUAAUCAAAAUUAAAAUUAACUCACACAUCAAUUGCAAGUUUCUAAGAAUCGCAAAAAUUCAUAACUAGAAAUGCAAUCAUGAUAAAAAAAAAUUAGCCAAAAAAAAUUGUCUCCUCCCCCCCCACCCCCCUCCAAAACUGGAAGAAUGAAGUAGGGUCUCCAUGGCGAAUAAAAAAAAUGGGAAAAGAAAAACUCCCUGGGUGGAGGGAAACCUCCUAAGAUAACCUGGAGGAUUAAAUCCUGGAAGGUGGUCCCCAAAAAGAUUAAUUUUGAUAAAAUUAAGAAAAAGUAAACCUUUUUUUUUUUUGCCAAACAUUAAACUUACCAUUAAACAAAAAUAAANNNNNNNNNNNNNNNNNNNNNNNNNNNNNNNNNNNNNNNNNNNNNNNNNNNNNNNNNNNNNNNNNNNNNNNNNNNNNNNNNNNNNNNNNNNNNNNNNNNNUCUAGAUAAUGAAGUUCAAUGGUGGUCUAUGCUGUGUAACACUCAAAGUAGGGUUUCAAAUGUGAUUGUUCACCCUGACUGUGCCUUAGUGUCAUGCUCAACUUUAACUGUUCCGUAUGGGAAUACCUGUGUAACUGUAAAAGGACCAGACCAUCGAGACCGCAACUUUCCUGGAAAAAGUUUAAGAUGAGAGUUAUAAAGUAAGACUUUUUGAUCAAUUUUAAACGACAAAAGAACGCUUCGAGUGUCAAAAGUUGGCACAAAGGGACACUUAAGUGCCAAAAGUUACGAAAUGUACACUUAAGUGCCACAUUUGAAGAAAAAUGGAUCACUUAAGUGCCACUCCGUCCAAAGUCCGGUCAAAAGGCUGACAUGGCAUUUUUCCGACGAAUUUCUAGCAAAGUUAACCCAAAACGAUGCCGUUUUGCAUGCUGACGUAGCCAAAUAAUGCAAAAAUGGCAUCGCUUUAGGAUGACGUGGUAAAAAAAUAAUAUAAAAAUUAAAUAAAUUAAAUUUAAAAUUAGAUUUAGUUAAAAAAUAUUAAAAAAUAAUAAUUUUAAAAUUAAAAUUAGUUAAAAUAUUAAAAAAUAAUAAUUUUAAAAUUUAAAAAAUUAAUAAAAGGGGGGGGUGGCUAAGGGCAACCACCGCCGCCUCCUUGCUGUCGCCAGGAAGUGCUGGCGACGAAGGGGGGAGGGUCAACCAGGGUCGCUGGCCCUUGGUCAGGGGUCGACGACCCGGCCAACCGGCAGUGAGGGGGAGCGAGCACUCGCCAUAAUUUGGGGCGAGGGUUGCAGCCCUUGCCUAGAUCUGGCAAGGGUCAACAGCCCUCGCCCGACCAAGCCAAGGGUCACCGCUCGUCGGGGCGAAAAUAGAGAAAAGUUAAUCUUUUUUUUUUUUUGCAAAACAUAAACUUAACAAUAAACAAAAAUAAAACAUAAUUAAAAUGCUUGAGUUGCCUCUCAAGAAGCGCUUGCUUUAUAGUUUUCAGCCAAACUAUCUCAGAUGUCGCUAUUCUAGAUAAUGAAGUUCAAUGGUGGUCUUAUGCUUGUUGUAACCACCUUCAAAGUAGGGUUUCAAACGUUGAUUGUUCACCCUGACUGUGCCCUCAGUGUCAUGCUCAACUUUAACUGUUCUGUAUGGGAAUACCUGUGUAACUGNNNNNNNNNNNNNNNNNNNNNNNNNNNNNNNNNNNNNNNNNNNNNNNNNNNNNNNNNNNNNNNNNNNNNNNNNNNNNNNNNNNNNNNNNNNNNNNNNNNNAAUUUACACAAGCCUCAUUGCGAAAUUCCUUCAAUUCAUUCAGUUGCAAUAAUCUUUCUUCACCUGCAGAUUGCAUGUCAAAAUUCAGGAAUUUCAAUGCCCAAUAUGCUUUAUGCUCUAAUUCCACUGGUAAAUGACAAGCCUUCCCAAACACUAGCCUAAAAGGAGACCUCCCAAUUGGAGUUUUAAACACUGUCCUAUAGGCCCAAAGUACAUCAUCAAGUUUUAUUGAUCAAUCUGUCACACCCUGAUCCUCGGGCACACGCACAUCCUUCUCGGUUGGUCGGUUUUAUAAUGCGAUAUCCCAUGAUUAUGUAUCGCCGACCCUUUUAUUUUUAAGCACAUGUGAAAAUAGUUAUAAUCUCCAGACAAUAAAACGAUGUGAUAGAAAAGCAAGACCAUAUUUUUCAUAUUGAAACUUAUAACCAAACUUUUCUACAAAAUACAAACCAAAUUACUUUACAACUAUUCACAACUUUUUACUCUAACUCUAUUAACAUCAAGACAGGAUUCACAAAAGAGGAUAGGAUCUCAGUCCUCAUCCGGAUCGUACUCGAGAUCCCUCUCGAUAGUAUAUUCUUCUUCCAAAAAUCCUUCUCCUUAGGUUUCCCUUCAGAGUUCUCCUUCUCAGAUUCCUCCUUAGCUCCUCAUCGGGGUCUUGAAAUGUUUUCCCCAAACUAGGAUGAGACUACGUCUCAGUGAGUUCUACCCCACUAAAACUCAAUUAGGGAACCAAUACACUACUCGGUUGCCUAAGCACACCAUAAGUCAAAGGACUUACCUUGGCCUCAGUCUUAACCUACAAUUCAAGGUUAUAUAUGAACGCUUCACAAAUCAUAACGAACAAUCAAUCAAAUCAUGACAAUCUAAUCAAAUCAUUGAUCAAUCGAACUAGUCGAUUACAUGUCAGAUGAACCAUUCCAGAUCAUUGAUUCCACACCAAAUAACCUUCCAUCGAGCACUCGGUCACAGAGCCACAUCAAUGCUCUCGGGCGUCAAGUUCGCCAAUGUGAUGUAAAUAACAGAUGGUCUACGUGCGUUCUUUAAGGCGCCGUUUUCGCACAGUGAUAUUCCUCAUCACGAAACCACGCCCAUCAUAGAUCACAGACAAUCUAUGUGCGUUCUUUAAGGCGCCAUUUUCGCACAGUGAUAUCCUUAAUCACCGAACCACGCCUGUCUGUACUUUGUACUUGAUCGGUCUCAGCCGAUAGAAUUUUCAGUUAGUUCUCGCCACUCUCUCCACUUACAGCUCAACAAGGUAAUCAAAAUGCUAAAUAGUCAUACUCGGUCAACUACCAAUCAAUAAUUCAAUUUCAAUCAAUUUAGGGUAAAUCCCUAAAAUAUCACAAUUUAUUUAAUUCCAUGCAACGUAGAGCUCAAUUAAAUAAACAGACUGUGCCACGACAAUCAGCAUGGGAUUUCGAUCGUCGGCUAAGCCAGCCUUAAUUUCUGAAAAAUAAAUAAUUAAUUCAUUAAUUUCGAAAAUUAAUAAUUAAUUACAAUAAAUCCAAUUUAGCUCAAAUCGGAGCUCAAUUAAAUAAAUGGACUUCACCACGAUUAUCAGCAUAAAAUUCUGAUCAUCAACCAUCCUAGUUGAAUUUUCGGAAAAUAAAUAAUUAAAUAAUUAAUUCCAAAAAAUAAUAUUUAAAUACCAAAAAUUCCACUUAGGCCAGAAUUGUCAAAUUGAAGCCCGAUUAGGGUCGGGAAAAAUCCUAGGCUACCCUCAAUAAAUAGUAGACCAUGUCUACUUGCUAAAUACACAUUCAAUUUAUCUAAUUUGCAUCACAUUGACUAAUAAACACUAAUCAAUACUAAUUUAACCGCCUAAACCUAAUUAAUUAAAACUAAACAACCCUUAAGUGUAAUUAGUCCGCUAAACAAGGAUUAGUGAGAUUAUUCACUAGAAUCACAUGCAAGUCGGACCAAUCCGAUGGGGAUGACGCGAGGAACGAUAAACCUCAAAGCGGGUCUCGGGUUCUGGGCCUGGAAACGGCCCAAAAGCGGGCCCGAAGUCGCUGGAGACCCACUCCACAACUUGCUGGGUUGCUGCAAAAUAGAGGGGAAAAAGAGAUGGUUGGGGGCAGCAAGGGGUCAGGAGAGUGGGCGAAGCUUUGGUGAGGCCGGACGGUGGCUGGAGGGGGUUGGGCCACAGCCUAAGCUGGUUGAACAAGGUUAGACAGAGGCGGAAGUCACACGGGGGAGGGAUGGCAAUGAGCAGUGGGCGCGCUAGCGUGCGCACAGUGGCAAGUGGCGGACACACGAGCACGGGCGGCGAGACGGGCGGUGACGGCUUCGGCGAGCUGCUGCUGCUCGGCUUCUUCCGCUUUUGGUUCGCUGGUUGCACGAAGAAGAAAGAAAAGAAGGGGUUCGGUCACGAGGGGGAGAAGAGAGAGGAGAGAGAAGAAGAGAUAAGUGAGAGAAGGGAAAGGGUUUGACUAGUCAAAUGGGGAGAGAGAAGAAGCCAAAUUGAAUUUGGCAAGGCAAGUGUUCGGUGGGGGAGUGUCCGCACGAAGGGGGAGGGGAGAGGAGAGAGAAGAGAGAGAGAAAAAGAGAGAAAAAGAGAGAAAAAGGGAGAGAGAGAGAGAAAAAGAAAUAAAAUAAUAGCCUUAUCCUUUUUUUUUUUACUUUUCUCUUUCCCUUUCCUUUUCUAUUUUCUUUUGAUCUUCGAUUUUUCCUCUGAUAAUUUCUUUUUUGAAAUUUCGGACUCGUCAAUAAAUUGACAGACGAUGAGACGGUCCUAAAAAUGAAUUGUGACAUGCUCGAAUAUUCGAUUCCCGAAACCAAUUUAAAUUUCAUGGUUAGAAUCGAUCAUACAUGAUUUUAGUCCAAUCCAACUAAUUGAGUAGCUUUUAAGGAUUUUACUGUAGAUACAUCCCUUAAUGGCUUCACCCAAUAGGUUAGUUAACUCGUGAGUGAUCGGCUCAGAGAAAAAGGACCAUAGGUACAUUGAUGACGUGCCCAUUUCACUUUAUCGAAAUGGGGUCGAAUUUCCCGAUGUCAUAACUCUUCCCCUCUUAUAAAAAUUUUGUCCUCGAAAUUUAAACCAUUACACACUUUUGUCAAAAAGGUGGGGGUACAAUUCUCUCAUCGACACUUCAGUCUCCCAAGUCGCUCCUUCAGUGCCAUGGUAUUGCCAAGACCACUUUGAUCAACGGAAUGGUCUUUGUACACCGAACUUGCUCUUUAUGAUUGACAAUUUGAACCGGGCUUUCAACGUAUGACACAUGGUCAUCCAUGUCCAAUUCCUCAAAAUUGAGUACGUGGGUUGGAUCAGGCUCGUACUUCCUUAACAUCGACACGUGAAAGACAUCAUGCACUUGCGCCAAUCUUGGCUGCAACGCAAGACGAUACACUAGGUUUUCGAUUCUUUCAAGAAUCUCAAACGGACCUACGUACCUCGGACUCAACUUGCCUUUCUUACCAAAGCGCGAAGUUCCCCUCAUUGGUGACACUUUCAAAAAACGUGAUCACCAACUUGGAAUUCCAAAGACCUUCGACGCUUAUCUACAUAACUUUUCUGCUUGCUUUACGCUGUCUUUAAUCUAUCUCUAAUCACCGUCAUGGCAUCUACUGAUUGCUGAACCAACUCUGGGCAUGUUAUCUUCCCUUCUCCGACUUCAUCCCAACAUACUGGAGUUCUGCACGCUCUGCCAUACAACGCUUCAAAAGGAGCCAUCUUGAUGCUUUGCUGAUAACUGUUGUUGUAGGCGAAUUCAACCAGAUGAAACUGAUCUUCCCAACUUCCUUUGAAGUCUAUUACACACACUCUCAUCGUGUCUUCAAGAGUCUAAAUUGUCCUUUCAAACUGACCAUCCGUCUGAGGAUGAUAUGCUGUACUGUACUGAAGCUUUGUACCUAAAGCACUCUGCAAGCUCUUCUAAAAAGCAGCAGUAAACCUCGGGUCUCUGUCGGAUGUUAUCGUAACCGGCACUCCAUGCAUACGAACCACCUGACGCACAUACAUGUUUGCGUGUCUAUCCAUACUCAAGUCCUUUGGAAUUGCAAUGAAGUGAGCCGACUUUGUCAGCCUGUCGACCACUACCUAAAUUGAAUCAUUUCCUCUUUGACUCUUUGGUAGUUCAGUCACGAAAUCCAUCGUGAUAUGCUCCCAUUUCCACUCUGGGGUCGCAAGAGGUUGUAGAAGUCCUCUUGGCUUGCAAUUCUGAGCUUUUACUUGUUGACAAGUCAAACACUUAGCGACAUGCUUGGCAAUGUCCGCCUUCAUACCUGACCACCAAUAGUGUUGGCGCAGAUUCUGAUACAUCUUAGUGCUUCCAAGAUGAAUGCUAUAAUUGCUACAAUGUGCUUCAGAUAAAAUUUCUUCUUUAAGCUCUAUAUCAUCAGGUACAACUAAACGUCCACAGAGCCUUAGUACACCAUCAUCAAAAACCUGAAAAUCAGCCUUUCAUUUAUCGGUAUCCUCUUGAAGAAUUCUUUGUACACCUGGAUCUGUCGAUUGAAGUUGCUUGAUUCUGACUUAGACAUUCGGUUCAAUUCUGAGGGUCGCUAUAAGACUCUAGAGGUGGCCUACCUCAAAUUUGAAUUCCGAAUCUCGAGCUCUCUCGAUUAAGUUCCACUCCUUAACCAAGAUCUGCACCACUGAAGACUUCCGACUUAAUGCAUUGGCGACCUUGUUCGCCUUUCCCAGGUGAUAUAGAAUAUCACAGUCGCAAUCCUUCAACAAUUCCAUCCAUCGGUGCUGUCUCAUGUUUAACUCCUUCUGAGAGAACAAAUACUUGAGACUCUGAUGGUCUGUGAAGAUCUGAAACUUUUCUCCACACAAGUAGUGCCUCCAAAUCUUCAAUGCAAAUAUUAUGGUUGCAAGUUCUAAGUCAUGCAUUGGAUAAUUCAAUUCAUGAGGUCUCAACUGCUUGGAAGCGUAUGCAAUAACUCUACCAUGUUGCAUCAACACGCAACCCAAUCCCCUAAAUGACGCAUCACUAUAGAUCUCGAAUCCUCCAGGACCAGAUGGAAUCGUCGGCACAGGUGCGGUAGUAAGCUUUUCCUUCAGCUCUUGGAAACUAGCUCACACUUGUCUGUCCAUAUGAACUUCUCGUUUUUCUUCGUGAGCUUUGUCAGAGGCGACGCUAUCGAUGAGAACCCUUCCACAAACCGUCUAUAAUAAUCUGCUAACCCCAAAAACUUCUGAUCCCUGUCAUUGUUGAUGGUCUGGACCACUUGAUCACAGCUUCUAUCUUGCUCGGGUCGACGAAGAUUCCUUCUUCGGAAAUCACAUGACCUAAGAACGCAACACGAGUUAGUCAAAACUCGCAUUUGCUAAACUUAGCAUACAGUUGAUGAGUUCUUAAGGUCUGGAGUACUACUCUAAGAUGAUUCUCAUGCUCUUCAUCACUUCUUGAAUAGACCAAGAUGUCAUCAAUGAACACGAUCACAAAUUGAUCCAAAUAUUCCCUGAACACUAUGUUCAUCAAAUCCAUAAAGGCAGUUGGAGCAUUCGUCAACCCGAACGGAUCACUGUAAACUCGUAAUGGCCAUACCGGGUACGAAAUGCUGACUUAGGGAUGUCCUCCUUCCUAAUUCUCAGCUGAUGAUAUCCUGUCCUCAAGUUGAUCUUCGAGAAUAUCGACGCUCCUUGUAAUUGAUCAAACAAGUCAUCUAUCCUCGGCAAUGGAUACUUAUUCUUGAUCGUUACCUAAUUGAGCUGCCGAUAGUCGAUGCACAAACGCAACGAACCAUCUUUCUUCUUAACAAAUAGAACUGGUGCUCCCCAAGGUGAUGCACUAGGACGAAUAAAUCCUUUAUCCCAUAACUCUUGCAUCUGCACCUUCAGUUCUUUCAACUUAGAUAACGCCAUCUGGUAAGGUGCCUUCGAAAUUGGUUCAGUCCCUGGUGCUAGCUCAAUUACAAAUUCAAUCUCUCUUUCUGGCGGUAACCCUGGCAAUUCUUUUGGAAAGACAUCUGGAAACUCCUGAACCACCGAAAUAUCUUCCAUUUGUAACUCCUCAAUUGUUGUAUCCACGAUAAUUGCUAAGUACCCUCGACAAUCCUCGUCUAACAAACGAGCUACUUCCAGCGACGAGAUUAAGGAAAUCGAAGGUCCUCCUUGAUUCCCGACAAACUCGAAGCUCUUAUCCCCUAAUGGGUCAAACUGAAUCGUCUUGCGAUAGCAGUCCAUUUUAGCUCGUUGAUUGGUGAGCCAGUCCAUGCCAGUUAUCAAAUCAAAAUCAUACAUGGCUAGGACUAACAAGUCAAUUUUCCACACUCGCUCACCAAUCUCUAACUUGCACCCCGAACAUCCUAAAACAUCAAUAACUUUAGCUUUCAAGGGUGUAGAUAUGCAAAUUAUCGACUUCAACAAUACAGGACUCAACCCUAGCAUCUUAACAUAUUGCUCGGCAAUGAAGGAAUAGGUUGCUCCCGAAUCAAACAAAGCAUAAGCAGGUUGGUCAUUGAGUGAGACCGCCUGUGNNNNNNNNNNNNNNNNNNNNNNNNNNNNNNNNNNNNNNNNNNNNNNNNNNNNNNNNNNNNNNNNNNNNNNNNNNNNNNNNNNNNNNNNNNNNNNNNNNNNUCCUUGCAGUGCAUUUUGAGGGGCAUACUCUCCUAUCUGUCUCAUCGGUGGCGGCGGCGGCAACUGAGGUUGUCCUCUCUGCUACUUUGGACAAUACCUUGCAAUGUGGCCAUGUUGGCCACAUUCGUAACAUGCUUCUAUUCUGGCUAGAUACGGAGUUGUCCCGUGUUGUCUUCCACAUGAGCGACAAGAAUUAACCCUAUUAGGCAUUGGUCUAGUGAAUCCGCUUCUCUUGAAGGGUGGAGCAUUGGGCCUACCUCCAGGCAUGGGUCUCUUCCCUUGACGGAUAUUCUCUAGAUGGAAGCCAAACCUCGAUCCAAAUGAGGUAGCUUGUUCAUUCAAUCCUCGCUCUAUCAUCUGGGCUCGACGAUAAACCUCCCUGUAAUUUUUCAAGUCCCAUGGUAGCAAAGGUUGUUUCAAUUUAACACGAAGACCGCUUUUGAACUUCCGAGCUUUCUCUUUAGAGUCUUCUAUCAGCUUAGGAGCAUACUGUGAUAGUUCUGCGAACUUGACCCCAUACUGGUCAACUGUCAUGCUCCCUUGGUGGAGACAGUGGAACUCUUCUAUCUUUUGUUCCUGAGCAGUACUCGAAAAGUACUGAUCAUUAAAGGCUUUGAGGAAGGUGUCCCACACUUAGACCUCACCUUCCGGAAACACUAUAUCCUUGGCGGAUCUCCACCAUAUAUUAGCGUUACCUUGAAGUUGGUACACAGCUAUUAACACAUUUUCCUCCUCAUUGCACAUCAGAAGUGCAAAUGCCUUCUCCAAAUCUUGUACCCACAGAGACGCGGCCUCAGGGUCUCCGGUACCAAUGAAUUUCAGUGGAUUCAUUUUUAAAAACUGAUCCACUAACUGGUGAAUCGGCCUCCCAGCGGCUACAACUCCUGGUAGUAUUUCAGCAGGAGCGACGGCAGGUGGAACUGCAGGUGCGGCGACAGGGGCAGCUUGAGCAGUAGCGACAGCUACGGUAGCAAUGGUAGCGUUGGCAGCGGCAGUGGCGGCAGCUUCAACAGCGGUAGUAAAGGUGGUAGUUUGAUCUCGGGCCUGUUGCCCCAUCAUCCCCCACAUAGCAUUUAGAGCCUGGUUGAUUCCGACAGUUCCUUGCUCACCCGGGGCUACUACCCCAGUACCAACAGGAGGUGGUGCUACUCUAGCAUCUACAACAGGUGGAAUCAUUCCACUCACGCUAGCCUCUGUUGGCGCUCUACCUCGGCCACCUUGGGCACCAACUCUUGUUGGCGUCCUUGUCCGAGUUACUGAGGACAAGGUCCUCUGUCUAGGAGUUCUCGGCUCCUGAUCGCUCAUGGUGUCAUUUUAAUCUACUAACACCUACUUCCAAUUCAAAACUGAAUUAGAAACAGAGCGAUUCAAACAACAAGCAAUUUGAGUACUCAGCUAACACAGACAUGCACCAGCAUGAAUUUAAAGGCAUUUCCUACUUACUAUCCCAUGGUAAACGCUCCUUAUCACUCCAAUAUUGAACUAAGCUUUGAUACCACAAAAAGGGGAUGUCACGCCCCAAUCCUCGGGCAAGCGCACAUCCUUCUAGGUUGGUCGGUUUUAUAAUGCGAUAUCCCAGGACUAUGUAUUGCCGACCCUUUUCAUUUUUAAGCAUAUGCAGAAGCAGUUAUAAUCCCCAAACAAUAAAACGAUGGGAUAGAAAAGCAGAGCCAUAUUUUUCAUAUUGAAACUUAUAACCAAACUUUUAUACAAAAUACAAACCAGAGUACUUUAUAACUAUUCACAACUUUUUACUCUAACCCUAUUAACAUCAAGACAUGAUUCACAAAAGAGGAUAGGAUCUCAGUCCUCAUCCAGAUCAUUCUCGAGAUCCCUCUCGAUAGUAUCUUCUUCUUCCAAAAAUCCUUCUCCUUAUGUUUCCCUUCAGAGUUCUCUUUAUCAGAUUCCUCCUCCUCAGCUCCUCAUCGGGGUCCUGAAAUGUUUUCCUCAAACCGGGAUGAGACUACGUCUCAGCGAGUUCUACCCCACAAAGACUCAAUUGGGGAACCAAUACACUACUUGGUUGCCUAAGCACAGCACAAGUCAGAGGACUUGCCUUAGCCUCAGUCCCAACCUGCAAUUCAAGGUUAUAUACAAACGCUUCAUAAAUCAUAACGAACAAUCAAUCAAAUCACGACAAUCUGAUCAAAUCAUUGAUCAAUUGAACUAGUCGAUUAUAUGUCAAAUGGACCAUUCCAGAUCAUUGAUUCCACACCAUAUAACCUUCCAUCGAGCACUCGGUCACAGAGCCACAUCAAUGCUCUCGGGCGUCAAGUUCGCCAAGGUGACGUAAAUAACAGACAAUCUACGUACAUUCUUUAAGGCUCCGUUUUCGCACAAUGAUAUUCCUCAUCACAGAACCACGCCCGUCAUAGAUCACAGACAGUCUAUGUGCGUUCUUUAAGGCGCCAUUUUCGCACAGUGAUAUCCGUAAUCACCGAACCACACCUGUUUAUACUUCAUGCUUGAUCGGUCUCAGCCAAUUACAGCUCAACAAGGUAUUCAAAAUGCUAAAUAGUCAUACUGGGUAAACUACCAAUCAAUAAUUCAAUUUCAAUCAAUUUAGGGUAAAUCCCUAAAAUAUCACAAUUUAUUAAAUUCCAUGCAACGUAGAGCUCAAUUAAAUAAACGGACUGCGCCAUGACAAUCAGCACAAGAUUUCGGUCGUCGACUAACCCAGCCUUAAUUUCCAAAAAAUAAAUAAUUAAUUCAUUAAUUUCGAAAAUUAAUAAUUAAUUACGAUAAAUCCAAUUUAGCUCAAAUCGGAGCUCAAUUAAAUAAAUGGACUUCACCAUGAUUAUCAGCAUAAAAUUCUGAUCAUCAACCAUCCUAGUUGAAUUUUCGGAAAAUAAAUAAUUAAAUAAUUAAUAUUAAAAAUUCAAUUUAGCUCAAAAUAAAGCCCGAUUAAAUAAAUGGACUUCACCACAGCCAUCAGCAUAAUAUUCCGAUCACUGGCCAUCCUAGAUGAAUUUUCGAAAUAUAAAUAAAUAAUUAAUUAAUUUCGAAAAAUAAUAUUUAAAUGCCAAAAAUUCCACUUAGGCCCGAAUUGUCAAAUUGAAGCCUGAUUAGGAUCGGGAAAAAUCCCGGGCUACCCUUAAUAAAUAGUAGACCACGUCUACUUGCUAAAUACACAUUCAAUUUAUCUAAUUUGCAUCACAAUUGACUAAUAAACACUAAUCCAUACUAAUCUAACCACCUAAACCUAAUUAAUUAAAACUAAACAACCCUUAAGUGUAAUUAGUCUGCUAAGCAAGGAUUAGUGAGAUUACUCACCGGAAUCGUGUGCAAGUUGGACCAAUCCGAUGGGGACAACGCGAGGAACGAUAAACCUCAAAGCGGGUCUCGGGUUCGGGGCCCAAAGUCAUUGGAGACUCACUCCGCAACUUGCUGGGUUGCUGCAAAAUAGAGGGGAAAAAGAGAUGGUUGGGAGCAGUAAGGGGUCGGGAGAGCGGGCGGAGCUCCGGUGAGGCUGGACAGUGGCCGGAGGGGGUCAGGCCACGGCCUGAGCUGGCCGAACAAGGCUGGACAAAGGCGGAAGUCACACGGGGGAGGGAUGGCAGCGAGCGGCGGGCGCGUUUAGGGGUGAGCGGUUCCAGGUUCCGGUUCGGUUCCGUCCGGAACCUGGAACCUACCCUCGGGUACAGGUUCCUCAAAAUGAGGAACUUGGAACCUACUCGUGGGAACCGAGAACCUGGAACCCACCCUGGCACAGGUUCCAGGGUCGGUUCCAGGUUCCAACAGGUUCUUUUUUUUUUCUUUUUUUUCAGAUUUGAACUAUAACAUAUGCGCACGUUACCCAAAAAAACUAUAACGUACGUGCACGUUACCAAAAAAAAAAAAACUAUAACAUAUGCGCAUGUUACCAAAAAAAAAUAUAACGUAUGCGCACGUUACCAAAAAAAACUAUAAUGUACGUGUAUACUACACGGUAACUUCCCAUUGACAUGUUAUCUUGAUACAUUAACUUCGCACUGCACAACAAUAAUAAAAUAUAAUUAGAAAUUUCAAAACAAAUAGCAAACUAGAAAGUAGAAAUAAAACACCACUAGAAUAAGAAUGUCUAGAGGUACAAGUUUUGAAAACAAUUUCGAUUAAACCCUUAAAUGAACUCAGAAAAUUCUGAAAUUUGGACACGUUGUAUUUAAGACCUAGAGGUACAAGUUUCAUGAAGAAAUUGUAGUCCAAUUCGUUCUGGAUUAAAAGAUAAAAUUGAUUUACUUUUCCUAUUCUCUACUUGCGCAGUUUUUGCAACAUUUUUGGUUAAAUAGGCAAAUGAACUACAAAAAUUACGAAAUUUAAAUAUGUUGUAGGGAAGACAUGAAGAGAGAUAUUUCAUACAGAACACAUUUCCAAAAGAUCCUCAUACAAAUGAUAUAGUCCACGCAUUGCAACUUACAAGAUCCGAACACAUCAGAUUGCACAGUUUUAGAAACAUUUCCGAUUAAAUACCCAAAUGACCUUAAAAAAUUAUGAAAUUCGACUAUGUGAUAGCCAAGACCAUAAGGUAGAUACUUCAUGAAAUCAUCGAAGUCAAAUUCGUCUUAGAUAAUUAAAUAUGGACGGUUAAAAUCCCUGUUUGUAGUACCGUAAUUCCAGAUCUAAUCAUCUCCAAAGGACCACGAUUUCACCUACCUAUUCUUGUUUUUUUUCUCUAAAUUUUUGAUAUGUUGUACCUCAGGAUGUCCUUUACAACUUUUGUUAAGAAACCGAAGUAAAAUUUCGACAAAAAGGUUGCCUUACAGUCAAUGCAUUCAUCAAGGGUCGGUCCCAAAAUCUCUAGAUCCAGUCUUUCCAAAGAAUAACGAUUUAACCCACUUAUACUUGUUUUUUUUGUCCCAAAUUUGAGUAUGUUAUACUCCAAGAAGUCCUUUACAACUUUCAUUUAGAGGUCGAAGCCAAACUUCAACUAGAACAUCACAUACAAGUCACUAGAACAUCGAACAUCACAUACAAGUCACUAGAACAUCCAAGACGGUUUUGGUUCCGAAACCGGUUCCGGUUCCUAGAAAAAAGGAACCGGAACCAGAACCGAUCCCCCUUGGAACCGGGAACCGCGCUCAGCCCUAGGCGCGUUGGUGUGCGCACGUCGGCAAGUUGCGGACGCAUGGGCGCAGGCGCUAGUGGCGAGACGGGCGGCGACAGCUUCAACAAGCUGCUGCUGCUUGGCUUCUUCCGCUUCUAGUUCGCUGGUUGCACGAAGAAGAAAGAAAAGGGGGGGGGGGGUUCAGUCAUGAGGGGGAGAAGAGAGAGGAGAGAGAAGAAGAGAUAAGAGAGAGAAGAGAAAGGGUUUGACUAGUCAAACGGGGAGAGAGAAGAAGCCAAAUUGAAUUUGGCAAGGCAAGUGUUCGGUGGGGGAGUGUCCGCACGAAGGGGGAGGGGAGAGGAGAGAGAAGAGAGAGAGAAAAAGAGAGAAAAGGGAGAGAGAGAAAAAGAAAUAAAAUAAUAGCCUUAUCAUUUUUUUAUUUACUUUUCUCUUUCCCUUUCCCUUUCUAUUUUCUUUUGAUCUUUGAUUUUUCCUCUGAUAAUUUCUUUCAUGAAAUUUUGAACUCGUCAAUAAAUUGACAGACGAUGAGACGGUCCUAAAAAUGAAUUGUGACACGCUCGAAUAUUCGAUUCCCGAAACCAAUUUAAAUUUCAUGGUUAGAAUCGAUCGGACGUGAUUUUAGUCCAAUCCAACUAAUUGAGUAGCUUUUAGGGAUUUUACUACAUAUACAUCCCUUAAUGGCUUCACUCAAUAGGUUAGUUAACUCGUGAGUGAUCAGCUCAGAGAAAAAGGACCAUAGGCACAUUGACGACUUGCCCAUUUCACUUUAUCGAAACGGGGUCGAAUUUCAGGAUGUCACAGCUUUCCUAGAGGCAUUCACUAUUUUUUUUCUAAAAUUCUCUUGAUUUCCCUAUUUAAAAGCUCUACUUAAGCACUAGUCUGAGGAUGAUAAGGGGCUGCAACCUUAUACAUGACUACAUAUUUACUCAAAAGUGCUUCAAAUUAUUUGUUGUAAAAAUAUAUCCCCUUAUCACUUAUAAAUUGCCUUAGGAGUGCCGAAUCGGGUAAAAAUAUUUUUCUUCAAAAAUUUGACCACAACCUUAGCGUUAUUUGUUGGUAAUGCUACAACUUCUACCCACGUAGACACAUAGUCCAUAGCCACUAAAAUGUAUAAAUUUCCAUAAGAAGGUAUAAAGGGUCCCAUAAAAUCAAUACCCCAAAUAUCAAAUAAUUCACACACAAUAAUGUUGUUUAAAGGCAUCUCAAUUUUUUUGAAAUAUUUCCAGUUCUCUAACACCUAUCACAUGAAACUACAUAAGAGUAUGCAUCUUUAAAAAGUGUAAGCCAAUAAAAUCUAUAUUGUAAAAUCUUAGCUGCAGUUUUGUUGGCACCAAAAUGGCCACCUACCUCUCCAUCGUGACAAUGAUGUAGAAUGUUUGUCUUCUCUUUGCCUAGAACACAUCUCCUUAUGACUUGAUCUGCACAUACUUUAAACAAGAAGGGUUCUUCCCAAAAAUAAUUUUUAACAUCAUAAAAGAAUUUUUUUUUCUUCUAUUGAUAUGAUAAUUCAGAAGGAAUAACAUUACUUACUAAAUAAUUUACAAAGUCAGCGCACCAGGGAAUUUUUGUGGACUUAAUGAAAAAAAAUUUCUCAUUAGGGAACUCUUCCAAAAUUGGACUUACCUCUUCUUUUGAAUUUGGAAUUCUUGAUAAGUAAUCUGCAAUUAGAUUUUCAAUCCCCUUCUUAUCUUUGAUUUUCAAAUCAAAUUCUUGCAGCAAUAGAAUCCACCUGAUCAACUUGGGUUUUGAUUCUUUCUUUUCAAGCAGAUACUUAAGAGCAAAGUGGUCAGAAUAAAUUAUAACUUUUGAGCUAAUUAAAUAAGAACGUAAUUUGUCAAAAGCAAAAACUACUGCCAAAAGUUCCUUUCUAGUUAUUGAAUAAUUGAAUUGUGCACCAGACAAGAUUUGACUAGCAUAGUAUAUGGUUCAAAAAAUUUUAUUCUUCCUUCAUCCCAAAACAGCUCCUAUUGUAGAAUUGCUAGCAUGACACAUCAGUUCAAAAGGUAAAUCCCAAUUUGGUGUUGCCAUAAUUGGUGCUGAUAUUAACUUCUCCUUUAAAGUGUUAAAAGCCUGCAAGCAUUCAACAGGAAGAUUAAAAGUAGCAUUUUUUUUUCCAAAAUAUUAGAAAGAGGUUUAGCAAUUUUUGAAAAAUCUUUUAUAAACCGCCUAUAAAAUCCUGCAUGCUCCAAAAAUUCUCUGACAAGUUUCAUAGAUAUUGGCGGAGGCAAUUUUACAAUGACCUCCACUUUGGCUCAAUCAACUUCUAUUCCGUUUUGAGAAAUUUUAUACGCAAGCACUAUUCCUUCCUGCACCAUAAAGUGAAACUUCUCCCAAUUCAAAACAAGGUUAGUCUCCUCACAUCUUUGUAAGACCAAAGCCAAAUUAUUUAAACACGAAUCAAAUAAUAAGCCAAAAGCGGAAAAAUCAUCCAUGAAAAUCUCAAUAUAUAUUUCAACCAUAUCAGAAAAAAUAGCCAUCAUGCAUCUCUGAAAAGUAGCUGGUGCAUUACAAAUACCAAAGGGCAUUAUUCUAAAAGCAAAAGUACCAUAGGAACAAGUGAAAGUAGUUUUCUCUUGAUCUUCUGGUGUAAUAGGAAUCUGAUUAUACCCCGAAUAUUCAUUAAGAAAACAAUAAAACUUAUGUCCCGCAUGUCUUUCUAACAUCUGAUUAAUAAAUGAUAAAGGAAAUUAAUAUUUUCUAGUGACAUCAUUCAAUUUUCUGUAAUACACACACACACACCACCCAGUAACUAUUCUAGUUGGAAUCAAUUCAUUAUUGUCGUUUUUCUGAAUAGUCAUACUACAUUUCUUUGGCACAACUUGUAUAGGACUUACCUAAGAACUAUCAGAGAUAUGAUAGAUGAUACCUGCAUCAAGUAGCUUAAUUACCUCAGCUUUCACUAUUUCUUGCAUCUUUGGGUUCAAACGCCUCUGAGGUUGGAUAAUAGGUUUAUAUUGUUCCUCCAUCAAAAUUUUGUGCAUGCAAAUUGAAUGACUAAUUCCCUUGAUAUCAGCUAUUUUCCAUCUAAUUGCACCCUUAUGUUCUCUUAAUAAUCUAAGUAGUUUCUCCUCCAUCGAAUUUGUCAAAGAAGAAGAUAUAAUUACCGAUAAUGAAGAAACUCUAUCAAAAUAAACAUAUUUUAAAUGAGAAUGUAAGGGUUUGAAUUAAAAAAUUAGAGGCUCUUCAAUUGAUAGUUUAAGCUUUGUAAUGUGCUAUCCCAACUCCUCAAAAUUAAUUGCCUUUUAUCUUGAAUAUGGUGGAAUUGCCUCCAUGAAAUUUGCAUGCUCCUUUAUCUCCCCCAUUCUGAAUAUCUCCGUCCCUUGGUUGAAUCAGACAUACUUCAAGUGGAUCUUUAAAAAUAUUUUCCUGAAAAACCUUAUUCACCAACUUGUCAAUUGUCUCAAUUCUAAAACAAGAAUUAUCAUCAUAUGGAUAUUUCAUUGCUUUAAAAACAUUCAAUGAAACGAUAUCAUCUUGAAUUCUAAGAAUCAACUUCCCUUGUUGUACAUCAAUAAGAGCUCUUCUUGUUGCUAGAAAAGGUUGACCUAAGAUAAGUGGUACCUCAAAAUCUUCCUCCAUGUCAAGAACUAUGAAAUCUGCAGGAAAGAUAAAUUUGUCAAUUUUUACCAAAACAUCUUCCACAAUACCUCUAAGAUAUUUAAUUGAUCGAUCAGCCAGUUGAAGUGACACUGUGGUUGUUUUUACCUCACCCAAUCCUAAUUUCUUGAAAACUGAAUAAGGCAUCAAAUUAAUACUUGCACUUAAAUCACAUAAUGUCUUUUCAAAGUAAGAAUCUAGAAAUAGUAAAACUCCCUAGAUCUUUUAAUUUUGGAGGCAAUUUGUUUUGUAGGAUGGCUGAACACUCCUCGUUUAACUUCACAGUUUCAUAAUCCUCCAGUUUCCUUUUGUUCGCCAAAAUCUCCUUCAAAAUUUUUGCAUAACUAGGCAUUUGCGCUAAGGCAUCUACAAAAUGAAUGUUAAUGUGCAAUUUUUUUAAAUACAUUAAGAAAUUUAGAAAAUUGCUUAUCUAUUUUGUGCUGCUAGAGUCGCUGAGGGAAUGGAAUUAGCAGCACAUAUGGCUUGGGAUUAUUUGGAAAAAUUUUACUCUUGCUUGUCUCCUUUGAUUGUUUAUUGAUCACAUCUUCCUUGUCUCUAAUAAUCUCCUGUUUGACAUCUUCUUCUCCCACUUGUUUACCACUUCUCAAGGUAAUAGCCUUUAUGUUUUCAAUUGGAUUUUUCUUUGUAUUGCUGGGCAAAGAACCUUGCUAUCUCCCUGACAUCAUGCUUGCUAACUGACCCACUUGCAUCUCCAAAUUUCUAAUUGAAGCCUCUUGGUUUUGAAAUCUCACAUUCGUGCUUUUGAUGAAGUCAUGAGUUGUGUUAGCAAGUUUGGUGACUAUAUCUUCCAAAUUUGACUUUGUAUCUUCUAAUUGUUUGAAUCUCGGUGGUCUCGUCACAUUCUGAUUAUUCCAUGAAAAAUUUGAAUGAUUGCACCAUCCCAUAUUGUAUGUAUUGGAGUAGGGAUUAUUCUAUGAUCUGUUAAAAUUCCCAACAAAAUUAGAAUUUUCACUAGAUUGUUUAAAAGUAUUACCUACCUAACACGCUGUGCUAACAUGUCCUCCACCACAAAAAUCACAUGUCAAAUUUUAAAUUUUCAUGAUUGAAACACUCAUAUUAUCUAGCUUUUUGUUGAGUGCUUCAAAUUGUGUAGCAAUUGCAACAAAAGCAUCCACUUUGUGAACUCCGCUAACUUUUUGCAUUAGUAGUCUCUCAGUAGGCAAAUAAUAACUAUUGGACGCCAUCCCCUCUAAUAAAUUGUAGGCUUCUUCUAAUGUUUUAUUAUUUAGAGUUCCUCUUAUAGCUGCAUCAAUCAUAAAACGGAAAUUUGUACUAGAGCCAUUAUAAAAAGUUUGUACUUGCAUCCAUAUGGGUAGUCCGUGAUGUGGGCAUCUCCUAAGAAAUUCUUUGAACUUUCACAUGCUUCAUAUAAUGAUUCAUUAUCCAUUUGCAUAAAAUUAGUAAUAUCGUUACGUAUCUUCGCAGACUUUGCAUGUGGAAAGAACUUGCCAAGAAAUUUCUUAGCCAUAUCAUUCUAUGUAGUAAUUGAUCUCGUAGGAAGAGAAGAAAGCCAACUCUUAGCUUUGUCUCUAAGAGAUAAUGGAAAUAAUCUCAAUCUAAUAGCGUCAUAUGUAACUCCAUUAUAUUUAAUGGUAUAACAGAUUUCAAGAAAAACAUCGAUGUGAGCAUUUAGAGCAUCGCUUGGUAGCCGAUCGAAUUGCACUAAUUAUUGAAGCAUCUGAAUGAGUGACAGUUUGAUCUCAAAGUUGUUUGCUUGAAUUGCAGGUCUUCUAAUACUUGAUAUGGUGCCUUAAACUGUUGAUGCAGCAUAAUCUCUUAAGAGUCUACAUGGAUUUUCAUUAUAACCGUCUGCCAUCUUCUUAGCAUGAUUUCUCUGUUCUCUUAGUCGCCUUUUCAAUGUACGCUCGAUUUCUAGAUCAAGCUCAGCAAGUUUCCCUUGUUGGCUGUCAUAAACUAAUGUACACCCUGAAAAAUAAAACAAAACAAAAGUUAGAUUAAACUUAGAAUUAUCUGGUAUCAAUAUUAAUUAUUAUUAAACAAACGAUCCCUGACAACGGCGCCAAAAACUUGUUUGUAAAAUUAUAAACGCAAGUGAACGUGUCGAACAAGUAAUAUAAUGAUAAGAAAAAGUAUCGUCCCACGAAGAUCGAUGAUUAAUAAACUAAUUAAAUACUAAAAUAGAUUAAUUCUAAAAUUUAUCUAAUAGAUCAAAUUAUAAUUUAGAAUAAAUUAAAAAAAGUUGAAGACUAAAUGCAGUAAAUCAAUCAGAUAAAUAUGUUAGAGCAUCCGAUUUCACCAUAACCACCAGAUAUGAAUUUCAGAUUUUGUGGGUACAAGAACAAUAUCAAAUAUGUGAUAGCGGAAUUUCUUAAUCUAUUUACUAUCCUAUCUCUAGGUAUAACAAACCUACUCAGCUUAUGAAUCCACUAUAUUUCCAUGUGAAUUAAAAUAAACAUGAGUGCAUUAAAACUAUUAAUAUUCUCGGCGUACAAUGAGUCUUUUUGAUUUGCCUGGCAUGCCCUCACCUUUGCUAGCGAGGGCAUCGCGACCCUCACCCAAAGCUCGUGAAGGGCACAACACCCUCGCCUAGAGUUGGCGAGGGUCGAUUGGCCCUCACCUAUGGCUAGUGAGGGUUGCCAACCCUCCCUUGUGGCCGACGUUGGCCCUCACCUAUGGCUGAGGCCAGCCAAAUUCGAACCCCAUAAAAAAGUAAAAAAAAAAAAGAAUCAUAAAAAAAUUCAAAAUAUUAUUAAAAUAUUAUUUAUAAAGUGCCACGUCAGUGUUGGCCAUCCAUGUUAGCAAUUUUCAGCCAAAAUUGGCUAAAUAGAUUGAAUUGAUAAAGAAGUGAAAAAGUUUAUGAUAAAAUUAGCAAAAUUGAAAGAUUUAUUAUUGAAUUAGUAAAAGUGUAAUAGGUUAAAGACUUUUUGGAUAAUUUUCCUGAUUAUGGUUGAUACGCAUUUGUGGAGAAUUAUCAUCAUCAAGAAUUCAAUUUUUCUUUUCCUUUUUCUGGUCCAGUGACUGUAGUUAUUAGCUUAUUUUAAGAUGUGGAGUUAACAAUGGCAGGUCCUAGAGACUUUCAUGAGACUAUUCCACUACAAAUCCUUGUGUGAUGAAGGCUUUGUACAGUGCGGUGUGCAUUUAAAUUUUCCAAAUGCAUGAUUUAUUUGACAUAUAUUCCUUCAAUCUUUUUUUUUUUUUUGUAAAGGGUAAUGAUAUAUUGAGCUUUAACCAACAAAUAUACAAGAUCCGGCACCACAAAACUUGCACUCAACAAGACACAAACGUCUCAUUGAGUGAAAGGGCACCGGACACAAAACACCACAAAGCGGUCAACUCAAGCAAGGGCCGAAACAGGAAGCCCAAGAAAGUAGCCAUGCAGGGCCGAGACAACAAACUAAAAAGACAGACUAACCAAAAGGCCAUGCAAGGCCAAGAAGAACAACCCACAAAGCUAGACUAAGGCGCCUAGGUGGUCGGCAUAGGAGAGCUGAAGAUAGACGGGUCAAGGCCCCAAUUUCUUUGUAACCUCCUAUUUCUCAGGCAAUCUUCCACGCUUUUGAAAGUUGAGGCUUUAUCCUUCACAACUUUAAUAAGAUGCUUCUUGAUAGCCGCAACCAAUAUUCCUUCAAUCUUUCGUCACUGCUCAUCCGGAAAAACAAGCCAUUGUGGGCUAGAGACCGGUGCACAAUUGUCACAGAAGAGCUACUCUUAGGGCACGUUUGGUAAUAAUUCUGUUCCUGAGAAUAGAUUCUGAUCAGAAAUGAUUCUUUUUAUUUUGUUCCCGGGAACAAUUUCUAAGCAUUUUAAGUCGUUUGGAAAGUGUUCAAAAUUUCUAAUUCUGGAAUAAAAUUGUGUUUGGUAUCGUGCUCAUUGAAUCUGUUCCAAAUCAAUUUCUUUUAAUUUUUAAAUAAUUUUUUUUUCUUUUUUUCCUUUUUUCCAUUUAUUUUUUCUUUUUUUUUUCAUUUUUUUUUUCAUUUUUUUCCUUUCUCUCUCAUGUUCUUCUUCUUUCGGUGCCUAGUCGCUGGACCGACGACCAGCCAAACGAGGGCCUGUGACCUCACUAGAGCGUCAUCAGCCCUCGGUGAGGUCGGCCUUGUCAACCGAGCCUCACCAGCAACUGGGCGAGUUCGCUUGGCCACUAGCAAGCUCACCGAUGGUUGGGCUUGCCUUUGGCGAGCUCGCCGGUGUGGUUGCCAGCAACUGGCGACAAUGGUGACGGACAACAACCACAGGAUGGCGGUCAAUGAAGAAGAAGAAAAGAGAAAAGGGAAGAAGAAAAGCUGGUUUUGAUUCUUAGAUUUGUUCCCGGAACAAGAAUCGAGUUUUUUUUUUUCAAUCUUAAUUCUGCUCCAAAUCUAUUUCCGGGAACAAAAAUUUUACCAAACGCGAUUCUGUUCCCAAACUGAUCCCGGGAACAAAAAAUCAGAAUCAAACACUGUUUGGAUGGUUACCAAACAGUGGCUUACUUUCCAAAUAAUUUGUGGGAAACAAAAAGUCUUGGUCUUCUCCUUUCCCAAUCGAUUUUUAUAGUAUGGUACAUUGGGGAUGUUACUUCUGCGCAUGGCAAGUUUUUCUUUCGGGGCAUUGAUUAAUGCAAAAAUUGAAAGUUGAUAGCGAAAGGAGAAGACCUAACCUCUCUCUUUCACGAAGAAAGAGACUUCUUGUUUAACUCUAUAUUUGAACAAUUCCAAAACUUAAUAAUGCACAUUAACUCUUAGUCAUCGGGCAGCAAUUUUUGAUGAAAAAAGGCACACUAGUUCGUAAAUUUCAUCAGUUAACUUACAGUAAGGUAUAAUUAACUUUAGCAAUGUCUCCCUACAAAUCUUUAGAUUUCUUUGGAGAGACUAAUUGAAAAUCCCAGCUGCCAACAUAAUUGGACAAUGCAUUGAGAGAUGAUGUGCAUCCAAACUCAAUAACUUAUUAAUGAGGGCUUUGACACUCUCCAUCAUAAGCAUCUACAAACUUUUCAAACGAGUUCUUUGCCAACUAAUAAGCCAAGUACCCUUGUCAAAUUUCCAAUUGAAAUCUGUUUGCAGGAAAUUUUUUCAAGACUGACAAAUUGACGCAUGAUGCCUACAUGGGCAGGUCGAAUCACUUCGAUAAUCUAAAUCUAUUAGUAAGAAAAUCGACAUUAUCUGGAGUCUUUCCUUGGGCAAUAGUAAAAUUGUAUCAAUUGGUAACAGAGCCUAAAUAUGGCUGGUCUAGCACAUUUGAGAAGGCAAGGGCAACAUCUCCAACAAGAAUUGGAGCAAUCUUGAUUGUUAAGGCCUGACGAUCCCCACCCUAACCAAGAAGAAGAGAUUAACACUUUCCAUGAUGUUUAUUUUUUACGCAGCUUGUGAAGUGGCUCCUUUGCAUCGCUGGUGUUGGAAUCGCGAUUCUAAUGAUUUCGAUGUUAAAGUAGACAUUUCAAACUUCCAAGGCACUUUUCAAAAGGAGGUAAGGAAGUCUUGAUCAAAGCAGUUGUGCAAGCUAUUCCUCAGUACAUCAUGUCUAUCUUUAAAAUUUCGAUCUCCCUGUGCAAAUCUAUUGAACAGAAGGUGGCUAGAUUUUGGUGGCAAUCUCAAGGAAACUAAGUCAGGCAUACAUUGGCGAAAUUGGGACAUUCCCUUACUUCGUGGUAGCUUGGAUGAUCAAACAAUCGACGAAAUCCUCAAAAUUCAUAUCAGGCCGCAAUACACACAGGAUCAACUAAUUUGGAAGGGGAGAUCAAAUGGUAUUUAUACUGUUAAAAGUGACUAUAAUCAAAUUAGAUAAGGAGAGAGCAGAGUUAGUCAACAUCUGGCUUCAUCCUCCUUUCAACCUCCAAAACGACUAUGGACAAACAUUUGGAUGGUGCUGACUACUCCCAAAUUACAUAUCUUUCUAUGGUCUUUAUGCCAAAACACUCUAGCAACUGGCAAAAAUCUAUACUAUCGACAUGUUAUAACAGAUCCUAUAUGUUGGUUAUGUCGAGACUGUUGUAUUUCUAUAGUCCUUGAAUCUACAGAACAUCUAUUCUUACAUUACCCUUGGACAACUAACAUAUGGUCUCAUUUGCAGCUACAAUUCAAUGUUCAGCAAGUUCAUGCGCAUCGGUUCGAUGUCUGGCUACUGCAAACAUUAGAUAAGGAGAACAACUCAUGGGUUCUUGUGGUAAUUGUAUAUGUUUUGUGGCACAUCUGAAAAGCCAUAAAUGAUUUUGUUUUCCGCCGGAAAAUCCCCAACCCAAAUCAAGUUGUAUUUGUUGCUCUCACCCAUGCCUGAUCUUACCAGAGCUGCCAUGUGACCUUGCUGCAACAGAGUUCAAAGAAAUAGUAUCCAAUUGGCAACUAGAGAGGAGAUCGAAGUUAGGCGGCUAAUAAAACCCUUACCGUCACAGGCUAUGCUCGACCAUGUUCUAGGGCGCCACUAAAUUGACACCUUCGACGUCCACCUUCGGAACAAAUCUAGCGUCCCCCUGAUCGUGGUGUGCUGAAGAUAAAUAUCGAUGCUUCCUUCCUUACGGCCUUAAACAAAGGUAUUGUCGCUUGUGUUUGCCGUGAUUCCUCAAGUAAGUUGAUCGAUGGCUUUGCCUGGCGCACCAUCUUUGUUUCACCCCUGCAAACAAAAAUACAAGCCCUCAACUUUACACUACAAUAUUUACUCAAGAAAUGAAGGAAUCAACAUCAUCUCCUUUUAGCAUCCGACUAUCUAGCAGUGGUAACGGCGCUGCUUCAUCUUUUCCAUAACCUACAAAUGCGACACUGCAGAAGAGAAACAAACUUUGCGGCCAACUGGACCGCAAAGGCCCAUGGACAAAAUCUUCUCCCCUCUAACUAGGCCAAGUUCCCCCCUCCCGCUCUUUUCGAUCUUCUAAGUACUGAGGCGUUAAACUCCUGUAUUUUUGCUGAUCGUGUAUGAAGUUUUUCACCUUUCUGAUAAAAAAAAAAAAACUUCCAAGGCACUAUGCAUCGGAAGACUUCAUAGAUUGGCUCGACAAAAUUGAGCAAGUUUUUUAUUAUGAGAAUAUGGUGGAGAAUCGAAAGGUGAAGCUUGUGGCCAUCAAGCUUAGAAAAGCAUGCUUUGAUUUGGUGGGAAAAUCUAAAGUGUCAAAGAAAUCGUGAAGGAAAGCAGUGUAUCGAGACAUUGGAUAAAACAAAGGAGCUCAGGAGGAAGCAUGUCUCAAAAACGAAAAAUUGUCCAAAAAGUCCGAGAUCUAUUGUACAAUGGCUUAUUUAGCUCUAAACAUUUCAAUUGUGCUAAUUUAAUCUUAAAUCUUUUAAGAACUUAUUGAUAUAGUUUUAAACAUUUUAGUUGUGUUGAUUUAGUCAUAAAACUUUUGAUGAUUUGUUAAUUUAAUUCUAAAUAUUUUGACAGCUUGCCCAUCUAGUCAUUUUGACCAAUUUUGGUUGAAAAUCGCUAAUGUGGAUGUCGGCCGACCACCGGCCAUCUAUAUGGCAUAGCCAAUACUAAUGUGGACAAAUUUUGCAAUUUUCUUCUCGUCUUUUUAAUUUUUUUCCUUUUUUUUUCCCCUUUGGCUUGUGGACGAUAAUUAGCGAUGGCUAACAAUCAGCCACAAGCAAGGGCCGAUGAGGGUGCCUACAGCCCACAAUGGAUCUAGAGAAGGCUUGCUCGUGGCCUGGGAGAAGGCUGUCCUCAUCAGAUCGAACAAGAGCUCGACCUUUGCCUGACCACAGGCCAAAGAGAAAGAAAAGGAUAAAGAAACAAAAGGUAAACAAAUGGAAAUUUUUUAUUAAAAAAAUGCAAAAAUUAUCCACGUUAGUGCUAGCCAUGCCACCUAGCCAUGCCACCUAGGAUGGUCGCCCGUUGUCGAGUGUCCAUGUCACUAUCGUGACCUCUCUUUUGCCGUUUGGGGAAAAAAGAAGAGGUUUAGGAGUAUUCACGAGGCAGGCCAACGGCCCUCAUGUGACAUUGGAUUUUAUAUUUUAGUUCUUAACAACAUAUGUAUUUCUAGGAGUCGUAACUAGCCUAUUUGGGUCAUAUGUAUUUCUAGGAGUCAUAACUAGCCUAUUUGGGUCAAUUAGAAACCAAUCAAGAUGCGAGAGUGUUGUCUCGAUUCCUACGCAACCAGAGAUUUCUAGGAACGGGGACUUAUUUACGCCAAUGUUUCUAUUAGCAUUUUUGCGGUACUGCUAACUUGACUAAAAAUGAUCUUUUUAUGUGAAAACUCAAUUUUUGACCCAAAGUUGACUUUUGAUGAAAGGAUUGACCAAAAAGUUAACUCAAAAAUCAACCAUUUGACUUUUCUAGUUUUUAAUUAAAAGAAUGAAUAGGAAGGUGCUUAACAAUGACAAGACAGAAGAAAAAAAUGAAAACAACACUUUUUUGUUCAAAAAACAAGCUCUAUUGCAAUUGGCAACCCGAACCUCGAGUUUUUAUCUUUAUCGAUGCGUCAACUAAAAAUCAAGUGUCAACAACCUUAAAAAAAGUUUGGUUACCAAGUUGGUGAAUAGAGGGGUAAGAAUCUCAGACAAAUUAUUAGCCAUAUGAUUAAUCAAAUCAUUUUGUGUUCUUCAUACAUCCUCCUCACGGUGGCCAAUACUGUUGAAUUUGGGUCAAAUCCCUCCCCUAAUCCUUGGUAAAGUUCCGGGGGAUAUCACCGAAAUUCAAGCUCAAAUUGACAUCAUCAACUGGGUCUGCCUCCUUGUUGGAAUUUUCAAAAGAAGUCGGCCUUUCUCCCAAACCUUGCAAGGACUGAUUGUCCUUGCCAAUGGUAGUGCCACUCUCCUUGUUCCUUAUUCUUGCCAUAGACACCUCCUAGGAAUGGACCAUGAUGGUCCCACCGGAUGUGCCAAAAAAAUGUUAACAACUUCCUUGACAAAUAUCUUUUACCGAAGAGGCAAAUCUUGGGCCUUUUUAUGUAAACUAGGUUUUGUGUCAUUUCAAAAAGGAAGCGGCUAGUCUUACUCUAUAGACAAUAAAGAAAAGGAUAAAUAGGAGAUAAAAUGUGCGAUAAAAUGUAAACGUGCAAUAACAAGAUAGUCAAAAGAUAAAUGUUCUUGUGUUUUAGGAAAAGGGUCCUUUACAAUUGUGUUUCUUUGGCUAUUUAUAGUUAAUCUCACAAGUAACUGUUCUUUAGCAGUUAUUAUCUUCAAUUUCGAAUCACUUCUGGAGACUUUGGUACCACACCAAUAAUUGCAUCACCUUAUCCAUAGUGUCAUGGGCACCAAACUCUCAAAGUUGUCUUCAUUUUAUCGCUUUGAGCCGGAGCAAUUACUAAUUCCAACUCCUCUGUAUCUCUUGUAAUCGGCUAUUCUUCUCACGACUUGGGCUUAAUGGGCUUUCCUCUUUUCUACGCCCAAUGAGCUAAUUUUCGCGCCAACAUCAGUUAUCCAUUAAGUAUGAAGUUUUGACAAAUUAUACCACAAGCAAUGCAUCAGGACAGGUGAGUCCCUAAAAAAACUAAUAAAAGCAGCAAACCGAAACCGAGCGGCUUCAGAUGUGAACAAUGAAAAGAACUAUGUUCAGCAAAAAAAUCAUCGUAACGAACAAAGAAGUUCUUAAGAAGCAAUUAUAUUUUGACAAGAAAAUGCAGUAAUACUGUGUCAGAAACCGAAUGUUGUAUCAACAUACAAGAUUGUACCGAAGGCUUGCAACUUUUGGUACUAGUUCAGAACCUAAGGAUAUAAUCCUUCAAUCCUAAGACUUAAUAGGAUCCACACAUCUCCGGUCAAUCGAAGUUCAUCAUGAAUGGUUACCGAAUUUGUUGACACCUAAAUUUCGACGAUCCUCUCAUUCAUUUAUUGCAUAAAAAUUAAGAGACUAAACUUUAGCCCCUAAACAAAAAUAAUAAAUCGCAUUACAUAUAGUUAUUAGGAGCAUAUCUCAAUAUACUUGCAUAUUUAUGGACUGGUAGCUGAUGGGCUUAAGUUUUGAACAUAAUUGCAUUGAAUCGGGUUGGCGGCGGAUGAACUCGGGUAAAUGGUUUUGAGCUUUAUUGAAGUUAAGCCUGCAGAAAGUGAAAGAUUGGAGUAAGCUUCGUAAUAUAACCAAGUUUGAUACGAAUUUGGGAAAGAUUGAGCACAUUUUUCACAUGGGAUCUUAACAAGGCAUGAAAAAUCUUUGAGGAAAAAUAAAUAUCUUUAUUAAUAGAAGAUAAUCUCGGUCAACUUGGUGCAGAGAAGUGUGAUAUUUCUACGCAAAAAUAUACCAAAUUAAAGAUUGGGACACAUAUUUCUUGUUUUAAAACAAGAAAGAGUGCACCAAUAAAGAAAAUUUCAUGCGUCCUACGCAUCCAAGGGCGUGAGCAGAAAAGAAAAGAAUUCGUGGCCGAAAAUCAUGAAUAUAUGGUCAAUUGGGAGUAUUCACGCAUUUGAGGAAAGGAAGGAAUAAAAUAUAUUAUAUUGGGUCCUUUCCUUUGAAGGCCUUGGUUGUCCUAUAAAUAAGGAGAACGCUAACACUGUUGUGGGGGGUCGGCACUUCUAUUCUAAAAGGCACGUUGAGAGAUUUACAUGUGAGAGAGAGAGAAAAGAGAAGGAACUCUCUCUGCUGAACCGAGGAGCCCCAUGUUGUGCGAGGCCCUUUGCUGCAGCGUCACACCCGAGCCGCCUGAUUUACCGUCGCUACACUGUCUUUGCUGCGUUCCCCCUGCAGCAACGACAGACUCGCUGCUGUGACCUCUUUGCCUUUCCGACAAGCUGCUGAUCUGGUGCCAACCUCCUACCGUCAUGACCAAGCCUUGACGAGCCCAGCUCAACCGAGAUGUUGAUGGAGCUACUGCCUUCCUCGCGCUCAAUUGUUGCUUGAUUCGCUGUUGCCCUGAUGGGAUCAUAAUUUCUCCUUGCCGCAAUCACUCAAGCAACCCUCACAUCCCCGAUGAUCCAUGAUCUGCUGCUUUUGCUAUACCACGAACCAGCACACCCCAGGGACGCUUGAACCACUACAUCCUAGUUUGGAGUCGGCAAGGACUCCCGCAAGUUCCAUCUAGCCUGGCGAUGUCCUGAAGUGUUUUCUUUUGACUCACCGACAAUCACCAAACAGGCUUUUGCGCUUUGUUCAUAUUCAUUCUUUGCAGGUUUCGUCGGAGUCCAAAGAGGCCAACAUCUCUUGACUAGCAUGAAUACCACGUCAUAUACUGUGGCCACCACUUGCAAGCCUGGAGUCCAUAGUCCAAAGAGUCGUUAGAAUUUUGAUGAAAUAAGUCUAAGUGGUGAAUUGGUCUUCUACAGGUAUUGUCCAGAAGUGAAAUACAAAAGAAAAAAUUGUCAAAGCUUCCUCUCUGCGGCAUCACCUCGACGUCUUUGACUUUAGAUGAGCGGUCCACUAUGAUCCAUCUUGGGCGUCCUCGUUGCUGCCGGUCACCCGCCACACUGUGUUGCUCGCUGCAUGCCGUUGCUCACACCGUCGAGCAUUGCAAACCACCAUCGGUCACCAUUCGUGAUCCAUUGCCCGGCGCUCGAAUUUGGAAAGUUAUUGUCACAAUUAGGUAAUACUCCUUACUCGGUGCCAUUGAAUAUUUUAUCACCUAAUUUGUCUAUCUUAUAUCCAUUAAGCAUAUUUGAAUGAUAGGCAUAUCUCCCAAUUAAGAUUUAUUGCCCAAUUCGCAACCACACCUCGGUUUUUUAUUUCAUCUAUAAGGCUUUAGAUGAAAUAAUUAAUCAAGCAGGAAUAAAAUUGAUAUUUUGAUCUUUAAGGCUUAAGAUCAAUUUAUCGAUUAUUAUCACUUAAUCUAAAUGGUGUGUGAUAUCUUUGAUGAUUUUGAAUGGUCUAUCUUGUCUCCAUUGCUUUAUUCAUCUUGAGAUAUGUUUAAGUUAGAAUAUCGCAUGCUUUAGGGUUAUUUGCAUAUUUAGAGUAAGCAUUUUAUUUAUCAUGAAUUUUCGAAAUAAAAAAAAUAAAUUUAGGAUGUUAGAUUUUCAUUUCAUUAACCUAAAUUGCAUGUUUAAUUAUUUAACAAUUUUAAUUUCGAAUUUUAAAAAAAGGAAAACUUAGAAUUGGACCAUUCUUUGCAUGUCAUCGCAUAUUAGGAUAGAUUGCAUGCUUAUUAAGUAAAUAAAAAUCAUGUGCACGUCAUAUAGCAUUAGGUUCAUGAAAUGCAUGUCAUUUAAUAAUUAUUGCUAGGUCUAUUUAAUUAGAAAUUACAUGUCAUUAGAAUUAGGUCAUUGAGUUAAUAUUGCAUUGCAUAUUGCAUGAUUUUCAUUAAUUAAGUGAAAACAAAAAAAAAUUGCGUGUUAAUUAGAAACCAUAUCUAGGGUUGUUGAUGUGGAUUUUAAUUUAACAUUGUAGAUGUUUUCAUUGCUUUGAGAUAAGUUUUUGCAAUUUUAUUUAUCGUUUAUCUGGGUGUUAAAUUGGUGGAUUGCGCACCCGCAUGAUCACCUCACAUGUUAGGGAAAUAGAUUUAAAAUCAAAUGGUACCGAAAGGGCAUUAGAGGAAUCUAGUGUAACCAAGUCCCUGUACUCAUAAUCUCUGGUUCGUAGGAGUAAAGUAAAACUCCUGUUACUUUACUUGGUUUCUAAUCGACCCACCAAAAAUAUAUUAGUGGCAACUCCUAGAUAAAAUCUAUAUGUAUGUUAAAAAAACUUGAACCUAAGUCGCGAAUUGGUAUAGGCUUAGGAGAGCCGAGUUAAGUCUAGGCUUAACAAUUCAUUAGCCAAACCCUAGGUGGUUUACACCCAAAAAUUUGGUCGCGACAGAAUUAGAUUACUGCUUCUUGGCUUUCGGUAGGAAUUCCUUUUCUUUUCUUUUUUUCAGUUGAAUACUAGAAGUGGUGCACAUGGUACUCUUGCACCAAAUUAAGAAACAGAAUUCAAUGGACUCGAAUUCGCUGAAAUAUUUGGCUUGAAGGAUUUACAUCAAUCAUUUGCAAUGCCACAUUCAAUGCUAAUCAAUCAUAUUUUUAUCAUCUCAACUCUAAAUUCCCAUUGAAGAGCAAUCCCUUUCUCUCUCGACUUUGAGAGUUUUCCUCUAUCCAUGGUGGUAGCUACCCCCCAAAACCCUAAAUCUCCAGGAGCUUUCCUUUACCCAAAACCACAAUCCCCCUCUUUGAACCAAUGAAGCCCAUCACAUAAUCCUCAGAAACCCAACCCUAAUAUCUUUCUCUAUAAAAAGGUGAAGUCUCAAGCAAUGGAACAAUCCUGCCAUCUAUCUUCAGAGAAUUCUACCAAUGCUUGAUGAAUCAUAGCUCUGGCCUCGCAAAAGGUGGGAUGUGACCCUUCUCUUCAUGGUCAUCUUAUGGGCAUUCUGAUUAUGAUGUAGUGGAAUGGGCUUUGACGUUUUUUUCUCGAAAUACCUAGAUGGAAGUAGACUGUAUGUAGUAAGUAGAGAGGGUCUUGCCUUGUUUGAUCUUGUGUUGGUUCUUGUUACUGGCCUGNNNNNNNNNNNNNNNNNNNNNNNNNNNNNNNNNNNNNNNNNNNNNNNNNNNNNNNNNNNNNNNNNNNNNNNNNNNNNNNNNNNNNNNNNNNNNNNNNNNNNNNNNNNNNNNNNNNNNNNNNNNNNNNNNNNNNNNNNNNNNNNNNNNNNNNNNNNNNNNNNNNNNNNNNNNNNNNNNNNNNNNNNNNNNNNNNNNNNNNNNNNNNNNNNNNNNNNNNNNNNNNNNNNNNNNNNNNNNNNNNNNNNNNNNNNNNNNNNNNNNNNNNNNNNNNNNNNCCUGGGCCAUAUGUGGUCGGAGAAUGAUGUAGUCGAAGUGAUCAAAGAAAUCCCCCCAGAAAAAAAGAGAACAAUGUAAUCAGACCAUUUUUGGGAAGCUAUUUUCCAAACCAAAUGUCAACUUCCAUGCUUUUCUUCAAAUUAUGAAGAAAGCAUGGAGAACAGAAUAGGUGAUAUGCACACAAAAGGAACCAGGUUUUUUCUCAUUCGUUUUUCAAUCGGAGGAAGACAAUGAGAGAGUUAUGAAAUCUGGGCCCUGGUCUUUUGCUAAUAAUCUAUUAGUACUUAAACAAUGUAAACUUGACAUUCUAGAGCACUGUUAUAAUUAUUCUCAAAGUGCUUUUUGGGUGCAUAUGAGAGGGAUACCCCCUGGGUGGAUACUAGAAGAAGUGUUUACUGAUCUAGCAAGAAAGGUAGGCAGAGUUCUAGAAAUUCAGGUGGACUUUAAGGGAAACGAACUACAUAAAAGUGGAAAAGUAAAAGUGGAAGUGGACUUAUCAGCUCUACUAAAAUCGAGGGCUAUUCUGGAUAUUGGAAACAAGAAGCUAUGGGUGGAGUUUAAAUAUGAACGGCUGCCGCACAAUUGCUAUUCGUGUGGAAGAAUUGGUCAUUAUGCUACUAAUUGCGAAGAAAUCCUGUAUGGGCAAACAGCAUGGGCUGAAAACAAAGCUGGAAAAUAUGGACGAUGACUUAAGGCAAAAGUGUAAGACCACAGCCCCCACUGGGAAGCAAUCUAUGGCAAACUAGAAGAAGAAAUUACUGUGGAAGAAACAACACUAGAAAUUCCUCCUAUAACCUACUAAAUGGACCUAGUGGCCAGAGAUGAAAUCGACAACUUGGCAUCCCCAAAUCGCAACAAGAAAAGGGCUGAAAACUUAAAUGUGCAGGAGGCACCAAAAGAACCAGCAGACACAACUAUGAAGAUUACAGAUCAUAGCAAAUAGAUUAUGUGCUUCAAAGCUAAUAGGCCGAUCCUCUCAAAAGUUGGGAAAUGCAGCAAAAAAAGUAUGAAGGUGUAGAGGGCGAAAAAAUAGAAAUGCAUAAUAGAACAAACUCCCAUGUUGAUUGAUGAGAUGGAGCUCUUGGAGACCCUUAUCCAGUUGAUCAAAGAUGGUAAUGAAUGGGCUAUGAUGACUAGCCCUAAUAAGCCACCGGCGACGAUAUGAAAAUCAUAAGCUGGAAUUGUUAGGGGCUGGGCAAUCUCCUAACAUUCCAGGAGCUAAGAGCUCUAGUAGCUCUUGAAAGGCCCAACCUGGUCUUCUUGAUGGAAACAAAGAACAAAGCAACGAUGGUGGAGGUGUUAAAAGGUGACUCAACUUCCAAAAUCUAUUCCUAGAAAAUCCGGAAGGAAUUGCGAGAGGUUUAGCAAUUUUGUGGAGUGAGGAAGUGGUGUUAAAGGUAAAUGACAGCUCUAAAGAAUUUAUUGAUUUGGAGUGCAGAGAUCCAGAUAGUGGCUAACAAAUGAGGAUAACUUUUCUCCAUACAUCGAUGAACUUCAGGGAGAGACUAAAGCUAUGGCAAAAGUUGAAGGAUUUUCAAUUAUCAAAUCAUUUACCGUGGAUAUGCAUGGGAGAUUUUAAUGAAAUUUUAUAUAUUUGGGAGAAGGUGGGGAAAAGAGAAGCUGAUAAUCAUAGAAUAGCAGCGUUUCAAGAUUUAUUAAAUGAGUGUUCCCUAAUAGAUAUGAACAGCAAAGGCUGUGCUUACACUUGGGCAAACAACCGGGAAGGGGAGGCCCUUAUUAAAAAAAGAUUAGAUAGAGUCUUAUGCACACUGGACUGGAGAAUUACCUUUCCCGUAGCUGAAGUACAGGCUCUACCAGUAAUUGACUUGGACCACAGCCCUCUUCUCCUGGUAUUGCACCCUAAAAGUAAGAAAAGGAAGAGGGAAUUCAGAUUUGAAGCAUACUGGUUAGAAGAUCAAGAGUGUGGAGAGAUUAUCAAGAGAACUUGGAACAAAACGCCAUUAAGCCAGAUAAGUUUCUCUAUGAAAGUCAAUGAUAUUUCUACGGAGCUUGUUAAGUGGAGCAAAGAAAAAUUCACCAACGCACGACGUCAUAUCAAGGAGCUAAACAAAGAAUUAAUAGAGAUGACCAACAAGAAUUUUGAAAAUUCCAGCAGGAAUGAAGCAUAGAAUAUUAUCGACAAGAUAGACAAACUAUGAAAACAAGAGGAAAAUCUUUGGGGGAUGAGAGCACGCAUCAAUUGGCUGCAAUGGGGAGAUAGGAAUACCAAGUUCUUCCAUGCCACAACUGUACAAAGAAGACAAAGGAAUAGAAUUACAACGCUGCAAAUGGAAUAUCAAAGCUGGUGUAGGGAUCCGGCGGCACUCAAAAAACACAUAGGGUUUUUCUAUUGAAACUUAUAUAAAUCGGUGGGUCCUAGGAACUAUCAACCAAUCCUAAACUAGUGUCCCAGUCCAGUAAGUGAGGAAAUAAAUGAAAAUCUAAUGGCAAAUAUUACCCUUGAAGAGGUGAAAGACAUGGUUUCCUAACUGGGCUUUUUAAAGGUCCCUGGGCCCGACGGUGUAAAUGGGCUUUUUUUAUCAACAAUCUUGGGAGGAUAUUAAGCUGGAUUUGUUUCAACUAGUGCAGAAUUUCUUUGAAACAGGUAUCAUCGACCCCCUCCUCAACAAAACACACAUUUCCUUGCUACCAAAAGUAAAAAACCCAGAAAAUAUAGGCCAAUUCAGACCUAUUAGUUUGUGCAAUGACAACUGCAAAAUCAUCUCAAAAGUUAUGGCAAACAGACUAAAGAUUUGGCUUCCAAAGAUCAUAGAGCUUGAACAUAAUGCCUUUGUACAAGGGAGGCAAAUACAAGAUAAUAUUUUCAUAAUUCAUGAAGUCUUGCAUCAAUUGAGAAUAACAAAAAGGAAGAAAAAGUUUCAGGCGAUAUUGAAACUCGAUAUGCAAAAAGCCUAUGACAGAAUCAAAUCGAACUUUUUGAGGGAUUGUAUGCUGAAAAUGGGUUUUUAUGAGCGGUGGGUAUCUCUAAUCAUGCAACGUGUUUCGAUGGUGUCCCUAAGUGUGAAGAUAAAUGGGGAGCCUACUCCAUAUUUCACCCCUUCAAGAGGAAUUAGACAAGGUGACCCUCUUUCCCUAUAUUUAUUUAUCCUAGUAGCAAAUGUUUUGACUAGGAUGAUGAACCAAGCCUUAAAGAAUAGAAGCAUUAAAGGGAUAAAGCUAAACAGGUUCUGCCCUACACUGUCUCAUUAACUCUUUGCAGAUGAUGCCAUAUUUUUCUUGAACGGGACUAUAGUAGAAUGCCAAAACUUAGCAAAUAUUCUCAACCAGUACUGUUUUGCAUCGGGCCAAGCCAUUAAUCUAAACAAAUCAGGGGUAUGUUUCAGCGGCACUUGUCCGUUAUUUCUGAAAAGAAACUUAGCACAAGAACUUAGAGUCCCAAUAAUAGAAAAAAUAGGGAAAUAUCUUGGAAUACCAACAGAAUGGGAUCACUCAAAGAAGGAGAUGUUUGCAUGGAUUCUAGCAAGAAUAAACUUGAAGCUAGAGGGAUGGAAAGAAAAAUUACUAUCCAAAGUAGGUAAAGAACUGAUAAAGAGCGCUGUACAAACCCUCUCUCAUUAUGCGAUGUCAGUCUUUAAAUUGCCUAUCUCCAUUUGCAAAACCAUAGAAAAAGAAUUGCUUCAUUUCAGUGGCAGAAAAGCGAUUCAAAAGGGGUCUGCAUUGGAAAAAAUGGGAAACAUUAAAAANNNNNNNNNNNNNNNNNNNNNNNNNNNNNNNNNNNNNNNNNNNNNNNNNNNNNNNNNNNNNNNNNNNNNNNNNNNNNNNNNNNNNNNNNNNNNNNNNNNNNNNGUGAAGUAGAAUUUUGAAGGCAUUUAUUUUCCAAACGGAGACUUGUGGAAGGUAAGAAAAGGGCAACGACCGUCUUAGGGAUAGCAAAGCAUUUUAACAGGGAGAUAAGCCAUAGAAUUAGAGGUUAAAUGGUCAGUUGGGGAUGGCCAAUCUAUUAACAUACAAGAAGACAAAUGGCUAAAGUCUGGAGUGCUUGGAGGCCCAGCUAACCAAAAUGAACCAAUUGUGGUGGCAGAACUUAUCAAUGAAGACUCGCGGGUAUGGAAGGAAAGUUUAAUCCUAAAUAUUUUUGAAGAACAAAUAGCAAAUGAGAUACUUGCAAUACCCAUUAGCCUAUCCUCGAAGGAUGAUUAUCUAGUAUGGAUAGGUAAUAAAUCAGGGACAUACACUGUGAAGAGUGGGUACAAUAGGGCCUAUUCUAACGCCACAAGAACAGAACAAAAUAGAGCAACAUGUUCUUACAAGCCUCCAAGAUCCCUCUGGACAAGAAUUUGAAGUCUAUCUAUUCCCCUGAAAAUGAGACCUUUCCUAUGGAGCCUUCGCCAAAACGCCUUACCAACAAGGGAGAAUCUGCAUGAAAGGAAAAUGCUACCCAACCCCUAUUGUCCGCUUUGCUCUACACAUGGAAACAACAGAACACCUAUUUCUAUUUUGCAAAUGGACGAAAAAAAUUUGGGCAGAUCCACAAAUCAACAUUGAGAUAGCUAGUAUAAGCACCUAGAGGGGGGUGAAUAGGUGCACAAACAAUUUCUCGAGCUACGGAAGCAAUUCUAGGCAAACGAUAGAAAAGAAAAUGCGAUCAAAGCGAAGUAAAUGUUAGGCAAGAGAGAAAUGAACACAAGAUUUAUAGUGGUUCGGCUUAUUCCAAGCCUACGUCCACUCUUCCGCACUGAUAGCCCACCGGUUGGAUUUCACUAUGAACAAAAGAGAAGUUACAGCACAGCUUUUCCUUGAUUUCACAGUGUAGAAGUUCUACCACAUUUCCUCAAGGUUUCUCACGAAUAUAGACUCUCUUUUGUUUACACGAUUUUGCUCAAUAAAUGAAUUGACUAAGAACAAGGAGCUUCAGACUUUGGAAUUCUUCUAUUGUGCACUCCCUCGAACAACUGGAACGCCUUCCUUAUAUACUCCUUCAUGCCAUCAUACUCGUUGGCACUUACCAAAGAAAUUCCUCCAAUCUACCCGUUGGAUGGAAUCAAUUAGGAAGAUCAUUCGAGCUAUUAAAGGAACAUGUCGAUAGUCCAUCAAUCAUGUUUGCCCAUACAAUCAGGAUCUCGGUUUCCAUAAGUAGAUACUUCCAAGUAUACUUUGCCACUCAUCAGAUCCUUAAUCUUCGAAUCAAUUAUGAUCAAAUAAAGAAUUCCAUUGUGUCAUAUCCAGCCAAGAGAUCUUCUCCAGUCGAUAAGGCCACAUCCGUNNNNNNNNNNNNNNNNNNNNNNNNNNNNNNNNNNNNNNNNNNNNNNNNNNNNNNNNNNNNNNNNNNNNNNNNNNNNNNNNNNNNNNNNNNNNNNNNNNNNNNNNNNNNNNNNNNNNNNNNNNNNNNNNNNNNNNNNNNNNNNNNNNNNNNNNNNNNNNNNNNNNNNNNNNNNNNNNNNNNNNNNNNNNNNNNNNNNNNNNNNNNNNNNNNNNNNNNNNNNNNNNNNNNNNNNNNNAAAACUUUGACCUGCAAAACAUUUCUUAAACACAUAUACAUAUCUUAUAGAGAUAAAUGACUAAAUGAAUAACGCUAGAAUCUGCAACCACAGAAAAUAGGUUAGUCUAGUAUACAAUAAAGCCAUCCAUAAGAUAUCAAUAGUAGUUAAUAAUAAGCAGUCAAAUCCAAAUCCAAAUUUAGUCCACAUCUAGACACAUGACUCAAAAGUCAAGUCAAAACAAACCACAAACCAAACAAGCCAAAAGUUCGACAAAGUUCGACAAAUUUGAAUUCAAAGUUUUUCAAGUCUCACAACUCUCCCCCUUUUUGUCAGAAUUAAAAAAAUGAGAUGAAAAUGAAGUCAAGGAUUCUUGGGAACACGAACAAGCUGGAAAUCUCCCAUCGACUGAACGAUACUUUCCAACCUUUUUAAGUCUUCCUUCAGCUGAGCAACAUCCUCACUCUUAGCAUUAGCCUGAAUCUGAAGAGAAAUGGCUUGGAUUUGAUCAUUUAAUGAACCCGAAGAGACUUGUCCUGCAUUUUGCAAGUUCUGAACUUCACAUCCCAAUGCAUAUAUCUGACCUUGCAUCUCCAAGAGAAUAUCCAUCACUCUGCGAAAGUCUGCUGAAUUGUCGGUCUGCGUACUGGCGUUAGCACGAUCUGAUGGAGUAAAUGCAGACGAUGGUAUAUCAGCAUAAUCACGCAGAUUUGGCGAAGAAACCUCAUGACCUUCCUCAGGAAACUGAGAGGCAUAAAUAUCCUCUGGAUCUGCUGGGGAUUGACUGACUCCCUCACUGGUUGCAGGAUUUGAAGUCAUUCCUCUUUUCUCUUGGUCUCCCCUUGUGUUCAUGCCNNNNNNNNNNNNNNNNNNNNNNNNNNNNNNNNNNNNNNNNNNNNNNNNNNNNNNNNNNNNNNNNNNNNNNNNNNNNNNNNNNNNNNNNNNNNNNNNNNNNNNNNNNNNNNNNNNNNNNNNNNNNNNNNNNNNNNNNNNNNNNNNNNNNNNNNNNNNNNNNNNNNNNNNNNNNNNNNNNNNNNNNNNNNNNNNNNNNNNNNNNNNNNNNNNNNNNNNNNNNNNNNNNNNNNNNNNNNNNNNNNNNNNNNNNNNNNNNNNNNNNNNNNNNNNNNNNNNNNNNNNNNNNNNNNNNNNNNNNNNNNNNNNNNNNNNNNNNNNNNNNNNNNNNNNNNNNNNNNNNNNNNNNNNNNNNNNNNNNNNNNNNNNNNNNNNNNNNNNNNNNNNNNNNNNNNNNNNNNNNNNNNNNNNNNNNNNNNNNNNNNNNNNNNNNNNNNNNNNNNNNNNNNNNNNNNNNNNNNNNNNNNNNNNNNNNNNNNNNNNNNNNNNNNNNNNNNNNNNNNNNNNNNNNNNNNNNNNNNNNNNNNNNNNNNNNNNNNNNNNNNNNNNNNNNNNNNNNNNNNNNNNNNNNNNNNNNNNNNNNNNNNNNNNNNNNNNNNNNNNNNNNNNNNNNNNNNNNNNNNNNNNNNNNNNNNNNNNNNNNNNNNNNNNNNNNNNNNNNNNNNNNNNNNNNNNNNNNNNNNNNNNNNNNNNNNNNNNNNNNNNNNNNNNNNNNNNNNNNNNNNNNNNNNNNNNNNNNNNNNNNNNNNNCUACUCACACCAACCUUUGAUCCAUUGAUAUUUUCCUCUCUCAACUCCUAACACAUCUGCCAGCAUAUCCAUAUCCACAACAAAGUCUUGAUCUUUGAUACUGAAGGAGAAUCUAUUCGCAUCCAAGAAACUAAGAUUUGAAUAGAAAUAUGCAGUUAGUUGAGGAUAGGCCUCUGUGGUGUCAGAACAGAAUUUCUCAAGUUGAAGAUGACCGAAAUUUUCCCUUAAGUUCACAUUUACAGCAUCCAGAAAGUCAAAAUCCACACUUCUAGGGUUUAUCACCCCAUGCUUCAGCAAUUUUGAGUAUAGAUCCUUCUGUUCCUUCGAUCUAAACAACUCUCCCCUUUUUUUUCCUCAAUUUUCCGCCGCAAUUCCCAUUCUCGGCUGAAAUUCGCUGUAUAAUUUGUCAUCAUCAUUUCCAUCCACCAGAUUAGAUCCCCAAUCACGAGGGUCACUUGGGAUAUUCGCAAGGGAUUCUUCUGCCACCCCCUUACGAGCAAUUCCCAAACUUUCCAUUUUUCGCAAAAAGAUAUAUUCAUUUCCAUAUUCUUUGUCCUUAAGAAAAUCAUCCACAUAGUUUAAUGGAGUACUAGUUCAUUUUAAAGCACGAUACAACUUACAAAUAAAAGAGGGCCUUUGACCUCUUACAGGAUCUACAUCUUCAAUGAUUUCUUCAUUUUGAUGAUCAACAUCUUGAGGACUAGAUGAAGGAGAAUGACGCUGUUGAGAAUGUUGUGGGCUCUGCUGCUAAUUUGGAGACACUUCUUCUUCAGUGAGAUCGAAGUGCGUAGGCCCCUCACUCAUUCGCCGUGGUCCCCUGCUUGCGAUCCUCGAAGACUUUCUUAAAAACAACAUCUUUCUUAGUCUUUGAAAGAUUCCUUGCUUGACUUUCCCAAGAAAGAUGACAAAUUUUUCAAAGAUUAAACAAGAGAAGAAAAUAGGAUUGGAAGAUCGGUGCUUUUUAGGGUUUUGGAGUCAAGCGAAGAGAAACCAACUGUAUAUAAGACAAUCGAAAGAAGGGGAUACCAAUCGUUCUAAUGGAAAGUGAAAAGAUACCUUUAAAAAAAUAACUGCAUUUUUUGAAAAAUGGUCAUUUCAAAAUAACUUCUUUAUCUAAAGGAAACGAUGCAAUAAUCUCGUCAAUUAAAGAUAGCGGUUGAGAUAACAAUAAUCAACACGGUUGAUGAACGUACCUUUUCAAGAUGAGAUUAGAGAGAGAAUAACUUAUAGUCAAAGUCUUGCAGUCAAAGUCUUAUAUGUCUGAGUCUGAGAGUCUCUAGACUUUAACUUCUUCGAACCUCAAAAUGUUGAGUCUAGAACGGAUAAUUUUAAAUUGAUUUUUCUCCAAAGGCUUUGUAAAUAUAUCCGCCAGUUGGUUCUUUGAAUCAACAAACUGAAUCGUAAUUUCUCCAUUUUGAACAUGAUCUCUAAUGAAGUGAUGUCGAAUCUCUAUAUGCUUUGCUCUUAAGUGAAGAAUUGGAUUUUUGGUAAGAUUGAUAGUGCUGGUGUUGUCACAUUUAAUCUCCGUGCAUGAAUCUUCAAUUCCAAAGUCUCUUAGCUGUUGUUUUAUCCACAGAAUUUGUGAACAGCAACUUUCAAAAGCUACAUAUUCUGCUUCUGCUGUAGAAAGAGCUACUGUACUUUGCUUUCUUGAAAACCAAGACAUUGUCCUGCCUCCAAGUAGUUGACAUGUACCUGAGGUGCUCUUUCUAUCAACUCUGCAUCUGGCUAAGUCUGCGUCUGAGUACCCAAGAAGAGUAAAGUCUCCCCUUUUUGGAUACCAGAGACCGAAGCUUGAAGUUGAUGCAAUAUAUUUGAUAAUAUGCUUUGCAGCAUUAAAAUGUGAUUCUUUAGGGUCUGCUUGAAAUCUGGCACAAAUGCAAACACUAAACAAAAUGUCAAGUCUAUAAGCAGUAAGAUAAAGAAGUGAACCGAUGAUACUCCUGUAUAACUUUUGGUCGACUUUCUUUCCUCCUUCAUCUUUAUCUAUCUUCACGGAGCUUGACAUUGGUAUAUCAGCCUUUUUGCAAUUGUCCAGUCCAAACUUCUUCACAAUAUCAUUAGCAUAUUUUUCUUGAUGAAUAAAAGUUCCUUCCUUCAAUUGUUUCACUUGAAGUCCAAGGAAAAAGGUUAACUCACCCAUCAUGCUCAUUUCAAAUUCAUCCUACAUAGUCUUAGAGAAUUUCUUACAUAGACUUUCAUUAGAGGAUCCAAAAAUAAUAUCAUCGACAUAUAUUUGAACAAGUAGAAAACUCUUGCUUUCUCUUUUAAUAAAAAGAGUAGUGUCUACUUUACCUUUAACAAAUCCAUUUUCAAUUAAAAACUUACUAAUGUGUCGUACCAAGCUCGAGGAGCUUGUUUCAAGCCGUAUAAAGCCUUUUUGAGUCUAAAAACUGAGUUUGGUUUCCUUGGAACUUCAAACCCAGGUGGUUAUUCCACAUAGACUUCCUCUUGGAUGAAUCCAUUUAAGAAGGCACUUUUGACAUCCAUUUGGAAUAACCUGAAAUUCUUAUAACAAGCAAAAACAAGUAAUAAUCGAAUUGAUUCUAACCUUGCUACUGGUGCGUAAGUCUUAUCAUAGUCUAUCCCUUCUUCUUAUGUGUAUCCCUUGGCCACGAGUCUUGCCUUGUUUCUUAUGACUUUUCCUUUCUUGUUCAUCUUGUUCUUGAAAACCCAUUUAGCUCCAAUAACAGACUUACCAUUUGGUUUAGGAGUCAAUUCCCAUACAUCAUUAAUACUGAAUUGCCUGAGCUCUUCUUGCAUAGCUUCAAUCCAGCUUUCAUAAGAUAAAGCUUAUUCUAUGCUUUUGGGUUCUAUUUCAGAAACAAGAGCCACAGCACUAGACUCUUCGCGCCUUUUGGAUCUUGUGCGAAUUCCUUCAUUGAUGUCGCCAAUAAUAAGAUCUUUGGGAUGACUGGACUUAUGUUUCCAGUUGCUAGUUAAUUUGUCAGAUUGAUGGUCACUUCCUUCACUUGAAUCUUCAACAGUCACUUGUUGCUGGUCCUUCAAAGUCUGAGUUGUUUUAGACUUUGUAGAUUCUAGAGCAGGUUCAGAUUCUUCAAGAUGAGUCUAAAUGGAUUCAUUUUGCAUAGAGUCUUGAAAUUUAACAUUCAUUGAUUCUUCCACUAUUUGAGUCUUCUUGUUGUAGACUCUAUACACUUUGCUUGAGAUUGAAUAUCCAAGGAAAAUGCCUUCAUCUGACUUUUCUUCAAACUUACCAACUCGAUCAUUUGCACUUUUCAGUAUAAAACAUUUGCAUCCAAAUACAUAAAAAUAUGAAACAAUAGGCUUCUUUUCUAUGAAUAGUUCAUAGGGGGUUUUUUCCAGAAUAGGCCUUAGAAAAACUCUAUUUAUAAUGUAACAUGCUGUAGAAACUACUUCAGCCCAAAAACGUGAAGAGAUGUUACUUUCAAUUAAAAGAGUUCUAGCCAUUUCUUGAAGAGAUCUAUUAUUUCUUUUCACAACUCCAUUCUGCUCUGGAGUAUAUGGAGAGGAGAAUACAUGUUGAAAACUAGAUUCAUCAUAGAAUUUUGUAAAAUCAUGAUUUUCAAAUUCACCUCUAUGAUCUGUUCUUAUACUCGAGAUAACAUAUUCUUUUUCAUUUUGAACCUUUUUAGCAAACUUUUCAAAGUAAGAGAAAGUUUUAGACUUACUUGCCAAGAAAUAUACCCAAGUAAAUCGUGAGUAAUCAUCCACAAUUACUAGGCAGUAUUUCUUACCUCCAAUGUUUUGUGUUCUGGUUGGUCCAAAAAGAUCCAUAUGCAGAAGCUGCAGUACACGGUUAGUGGAAACUUGAUUUAUUGGUUUAAAGGAAUUUCUUACCUGUUUUCCCAAUAUACAUGGUGUACAUAGAUUAUACUUUUGGUAUGAUAAAUUGGGUAGACCACGAACAAGCUUCUUUGCUGAGAUUUUGGCUAUUUCCUUCAUGUUGACAUGCCCAAGCUUUCUGUGCCAUAAGUUUGCUUCGUCUUGGAUUGAGAUUAAACAUUGUGAUUCAUCUAGUUUCACAUCCAAGAGGUAGAUAUUUCCAUGUCUUUGAUCCAUGAAUGACUGAGUAGAAUCUUUACUAAUUCCAGAACAUAUUCCCUCUUGAAAGUUGAUUUUGAAACCAGUAUCACAUAGCUGACUAAUAUUGAGCAAAUUGUAAUUGAGCCAUUCUACUAAGGAAACAUUGCUGAUUGUGAGAUUUCCAAUCUUUACAGUUCCAAAUCCCACAAUUUUUCCUUUGCCGUUUCCUCCAAAAGAGACUUUUCCACCAUUUACUUGAACAAUCUUUAUGAAGUAAUUUGAGUCUCCUGUCAUGUGUCUUGAGCAUCCACUAUCUAGAUACCAUUUUACCUUUUUCUUGAUAGUGACAUGCAUUUAAAAAAGAAACUCAAACCUUCUUUGGUACCCAUAUUUUCUUGGGUCCAUUGGUGUUAGUUUGAUAUACGGUUUUUGCCCAUUCCUUUUUAACAAGUUUCCAAAUCAUGGGACAUUCUUUUACAAAAUGAUCUGCACUAUUGCACUUUGAGCAUCUGAGAGCAUUGUGACCAACUGGUUUUACAAAGUUCCUUUUAAAAUGAUUUUUGUAAGCAUCUCUUGUUGGUCUUUGUUUGAUUCUUUCCUUCACUUUAGGAAAAUCAAUUAAAGGAAUGGUUUCAGCAGUCAUUCCCAAACCAGAUUUAUUGAAAUAAGAUCUUUGAACAGAGAGAAUUUUUUCCAGUUUCUCAGAUCCUAUAGAAAAUCUUUUGGAAAUAUUUGAGAUAUCACAUUUCAAGAAUGCAUUUUCUUUUAAAAGAUUGUCUUCACUUUCUUUAAGAGAAGAAGCAUUCUUGUCUAAACAUUUCACUUUUUCUUUCAAAAUAUUUUCCUGUUGUUUUAGAGCAGAAUUUUCCUUCUUGAGUUCGGAAAUUCUUUUAAGAGAAGUCUUAAGACUAAAACACAAUUCAUCAAUAUACUUUGAAACCUUAAUAGGGAUUUUGAAGUUACUUACCUCAAAUUCGCUUUCUGAGUCUAAAUCUGUCUCGGAAUUUGAAUCUGAAUCCGAUUGAGCCAUCAGACAUAUAUUGGCAUAUUCAUCAUCACUUUCUUCACACUCUGUAUCACUCCAGGUUUCAGCUUUAAGAGCUUUUCGAUUUUUUUUUCAGUUUUUCCUUUCUUCUUUCUCAGAAGAGGACAGUUGGGUCUGAUGUGUCCCUUUUUCUUGCAUUCAAAGCAGACUACAUCUUUGUUUGAUUCAUCAUCCUCAACAGACUUAGUCUGUUGCUUUUGAAAACUUUGUUUCUUUGGAUUGAAUCUUCUUCCUUUUUUGUUCAGCUUUCUUAAUCUUCUUAUCAUGAGAGCAAGUUCCUCAUCAUCCAUAUCGUCUUCAGAAUUUGUAACAUCAAAAAUCAUCAUUAGAUUUUAAUGCAAUGGAUUUCUUACCUUUAGGGUCUUCGUCUUCAUUGAUUCAUUCCACUUCAUAAAACUAAAGAGUCCCAACUAACUCAUCAACCAAAUAGUGGCAUGAUUCUUUGGGUCUCUCUGAUUGAGGUCUUUAUGUGAUUCCAAUCCUUGGAGAGUCCACGCAGCAGCUUGUUUACUUUCAUGGGAUCAGAAAUUAGUUGACCUUGGUUUUCAAGACCAUUCACGAUUUCUGUAAAGCGACUGAACAUAUCCGUUAUAGAUUCUCCUAGUUUCAUUUUGAAGACUUCAUAUUGACCGAGGAGAAUGUUGAUUCUAGUCUCUUUUACUCGAUCGGUUCAUUCAUAGGUAAUAUGUAAUCUAUCCCAGACUCCUUUAGCUGUAACACAAUAAGAUAUUCUAUUAUAUUCAGUAGGGGAUAAAGCACAAUAUAAAGAAUAAAUUGCUUUUGCAUCAAGAGCUUGUCUCUUGACUUUCUCCUCCUAAGUUAUUUCGCUAGACUCAACAACAUUUUUUCCUCUUUCUGAGAUAGAUGCAGCUUUAGGAAUGAUUCCUUGUUCUACAACGUCCCAUUCCAGAGGAUCCUUUGAUCUUAGGAAUGCUUUUAUUUUGUUCUUCGAUAGGUUGUAAUCAUUUCCAUCAAAGUAAGGUGGUCUGGUAUUGUUUUGCCUUUCUACCAGUCCUGGAGUCAACAUACUAGCCAUGGAUCUUAACUCUGAAAUAAAACACUUCAACAAAAGUGAGUACACAGGCUCUAAUACCAAUUGAGAUAGCUAGUAUAAGCACCUAGAGGGGGGGUGAAUAAGUGCACAAACAAUUUCUCGAGAUAUGGAAGCGAUUCUAGGCAAACGAUAGGAAGGAAAAUGCGAUCACAGCGAAGUAAAGGUUAGGGAAGAGAGAAAUGAACACAAGAUUUAUAGUGGUACGGCUUAUUCCAAGCCUACGUCCACUCUUCCGCACUAACAGCCCAUCGGCUGGAUUUCACUAUGAACAAAAGAGAAAUUACAGUACAGCUUUUCCUUGAUUCCACAGUGUAGAAGUUCUACCACACUUCCUCAAGGUUUCUCACGAAUAUAGACUCUCUUUUGUUUACACGAUUUUGCUCAAUAAAUGAAUUGACUAAGAACAAGGAGCUUCAGACUUUGGAAUUCUUCUAUCGUGCACUCCCUUGAACAACUGGAACACGUUCCUUAUAUACUCCUUCAUGCCAUCAUACCCAUUGGCACUUACCAAAGGAAUUCCUCCAAUCUACCUGUUGGACGGAAUCAAUUAGGAAGAUCAUUCGAGCUAUUAAAGGAACAUGUCGAUAGCCCAUCAAUCCUGUUCGCCCAUACAAUCAGGAUCUCGGUUUCCAUAAAUAGAACCUUCCAAGUAUACUUUGCCACUCAUCAUAUCCUUAAUCUUCGAAUCAAUUAUGAUCAAAUAAAGAAUUCCGUUGUGUCAUAUCCAACCAAGAGAUCUUCUCCAGUCGAUAAGGCCACAUCCUUAAUGAAACAUCCAGUUUUGGAUAACCUUUCUUCAACGGAUUAGAAACUGUCAAUGAGGAUAGACUUUGAGUCUUGAGUCUAGCUCUUCGGAGGUCUUCAGACUUUAAACAGCAGAGUCUGCAAGCCUUCAGACUAGACUGAUGGAAACGUUUUGUCAACUUCAAAACACUUCAAGAGGAUUUCUCCAACAAACAUCAUUAGAAACCCAAGCAACAUAACAAGGUGUGAUCAAUGGCUAACGGAAGUGUUCGAAAGAAGUGACAUCUCACCUGAAAGAGAACUAGUUGCUGCUGUAUUGUGGAAUAUCUGGAAGACCCGAAACAAUUUCAUUUUUCGAGCAAAGCGUCCCCAACCAAUUGAUCUUGUAGAUCUCGCAAUAGCACAACAAAAAAAUUUCAGUAGAUGGCAGAAUCAAAAAGGGCAAAAACCCACAACUCGAAGCCUACCGAUUAGAUGGACGCCGUCGGACAGAGACGAGAUGAAGCUAAACGUCAACGCCUCAUGGACUCCAGGCGAUUUCCUAGGUUCAGUAGCGGGAAUUGGGCGAGAUCCGUCGGGUCUCGUGGUUGAGGGCUUCGCAGUGCAGAUACGGGCGUCUUCUCCUCAACAAGCAGAAGCCUUAUCUUUGCUGCAUGGUUUCAUGUACUAGAGAGGAAGAGAAGCCGUGCAUGUAGGCAUAGGAACUGGUCAAAGUUGCAGAUGGGUGCUCGAAAGUGACAAUUCAACUUUGGUGGAAGCUGUGAUGGGUCAGGCCGAAACAUCGUGGGACUUGAAGGAAAUUGUGGAACCGUGCAAAGAAGAAUUAUGCCUUUUCAAAUCAGCAAGGGUAGAAUAUUGUCCUUGCGAGGCAAACCGAGCGGCAUAUUGGCUAGCUAACUCUCACCGAACCAAAAAUCUCCCUGUAAAUUGGGUGACUUUUACUCCUCUCUCCCUUUCGGAAAUUCUAUGUUUAGAGUUUUACCCAUAGUUGCCUUGUAAGGCUCACUUAUUUUUAUGAAUGAAUGCAAUAUCUAUUUUCGACCCAAAAAAAAUUAUAAAUUCCCAAUCCUUCAAAGAGAACGUGCUGAAAUAUUUGGCUCGAAGGAUUUACAUCAAUCAUUUUCAAUUCCCCAUUCUAUACUGAUCAAUCAUUUUUUUAUCACCUCAACUCUAAAUUUCUAAUCCUUCAAUGAGAACGUGCGAAAGCCAGAAGAAUUUCAUUAUAAACCACAUAAGUACAUUUACGCGAUUAAAAUCGAGAGAUAUUUACUAACUGAGCUUCUGUAAGCUAGAAAUUACGAGAACCCUUUUUUAAUUAUCUUCAUACGUGUGCUUUCUAGCGUUUAUGCUCCAAAAAAUGAGAUCCAAUUUCUUUUCAGGAAGGCAUACAUAGAUAAGUAUUUCUCUCCUCCGUGAGAGCUUCUCCAUUAUCCUUACUCCUCAAACGGGCUCUCUAUAUUAUCAUGAGUCAUUUCCAUGUGCUUUCUAUUUUAGUUGACUAGUCCCCUCGCCAUUGUUCCAUCCCAUUAGUAUUCCUAUCACUACACAUUGCCCCUAACAACCAUUCGACGAUAUUUCUGAGUCGAUUCUCUGCUGACCCAUUUCUUUUUUUCUCCUUACAGGAUGGCUGCAGAGGUUCCAUUUAACAUCCCAAGCAUCUCUGCCAGACGAUCUUCUGGGGGGAUCAAAUUGGACUUGGAGCAAGUUGAUGAUAAGGAUGCUGAGAUGGUUUUGAAUGGAAGGAUUUUGUCGGAGGAGGAAUGCUCGAGUCAAGCUGCAUAGCUAAUGUUUUAAGGAAUGCCUAGGCUGGUAUUGGUGAGAUUCCCAUAACCCCUCAAAUUCAUAGGACAUAAGGAAUGGAGGCAUUCCAGCCCAAACAUACUCCCAUCCUCGCCUCAGCAUAGAUCGUGCCAAAAUGAAAAUUGAAGUAACAUGCCUGCCCACGCAGGACUAGGACGCUGGUGGUGGGCCGAUGCUGGACCAAUGCUUUUGGCAGCGGUGGUGCUCCACGAUAUAUCGGCCUCCGUUCAUUCCAAUAGCGGGUGCGGUUCAAUCUGGAUUGCGGAUUGCUUCUUCAGGCCCCAGGCAAUGCCAAAAAAUGGCUUCGUUAAUCGACGGAGCGGACCUCCCACGGCCAUGACUAUGAAGUUCGCCAGCCUCAUGAGAUCGCAGAUCUCCGUCGGAGUGAAUCAACACAGGUUGCGACGUCCAUGGCCCUGGUUCAUGACCAUAGCUGAAAUUAAAUGAGCGGAAACAACAGCUUCCAUUCCUAUUCUUACAAAAACAGGUCCGGUAUGAAAAUUUAAUGUAAGAACACACGUUUGAUAUGUCAUUUUUAUAUAUUCUUACACCUCGGUCUCUUUAUAUACUAUUCGUGUUUAUUAAAAAACGAUUACAUAAUCCUUUUAGAAUAAUCAUCUUAAUGAAUGGGAAAUUACUGAAGUAUAGAUAUUUGUUUCAGUUGAAAUUACUGAAGUUUUCCAAAAACGAAUAGAUAGUUUUCCAAAAAACAAUGUGGGAAAUUACUGAAGUAUGGCUUUCACUUAUGCAAAAAAUCUUCUUCUUUUUUUAAUUGUUCUGUGAAGGCUGUAUUUCUUGUAAUUUUGCAAGUAAGGGGAUUGCAGUGUUGUAAGAGAUGGUUGAGUCUGUAAGUUGAAGGCCGGAACACUAUAAAUUUAUCUUACAAUAUCAUCCAUCUCUUCACCUUUUUUAUUAUCCAUAUAUAUAUAUAAACUACUGCAUCUAUAUAACUAUGUUUCUUUUGCAAAAGCUAAUUUUCUCCCUUUUAUGAGAUGUUAUAAUUCUUUUAAAAUUCACCCUUCUUGAGUUUUACAUUAGUAGUCAUCUCAAGAGUAGAGGAUUAUGUUAGUUUUGUUUUUGUCGUUGGAGUAAUCUAUUUUAUCCAUACUAACAAGAAUUGUAUACUGAUACAAAAAACAAAAAAAGAUUAAUACUACAAAAAACUCAAAAUUGAUAUAUUUAUAACAAAUUUAUUCCAAUUUUUUUUAUUAUUAAAAAUCCUAAAUUGGUACAAUGACAAUAAAUUUAUCCUCCAUUAAUUUUCAUUAAAUUGAAUUAAUAUCAUGAAAAAACAAAAAUUGGUACGCCUUUAUAACAAAUAGAGAAUAAGACCCCACAUUAAUACACCAAUAAAUUGUUAUAUGUCAUUUAACUUAUUAAUUUGAUGAUAAAGUUUAAUAAAAACUCAUAGAAGAUGAAUUUGUCACAGAUGUAAUAGUUGAAGGUCUUUGGCAAUCAAAAUUUUAAUUUGAGAUAAAUUUAUAAUAAGCGUAUCAAUUUUUGUGGUAUUAAUCCAAAACUAUUUCCUUUUCUUUUUGAAAACAAGAGAACUAUUUACCGACCAAAAGAAAACUAUAUAAGAAACCUGACGUUAAGGGUGAAAAGAAAAGCCCAUGUGAUUUGUUUUUUUCUUUUUUUGGUCGGAAAAAGCCAUAUGAUUAAAAAAACUCAAGAAGGAAACGAGACCAAAAGCUUCAGAUGGGAGUCCAUUUCUGAUUCUUAGUCGUCAUUCGAGUUCGCGUGUAUUGUCUUGCGGAAUCGCUUUGCCACCAUCGACCUCGUACCGAGCUAGAAGACCCUUUGACUUCAAUCGUAAUUUGUCGAAGACGAGGCAUAUUCUCUUCGAUCACGAGCUUUCCGAUUUCUUUGUUGACUGCGAAUUGUUCGUUCUUGGUUCGGUUCUUCGAUACCCAGAAAUCGUUCGAUCGAUAUUUGAUCAAAAGCAACAAAUUUUUCAUCUGGGUAUGCUUAAAAGAUUGGCUUUGAUUGCUUUCGUUGCGGUGGUAGGUGAGUCUGUGCUCGCGGUACAUUUUCGUGCUUGAUUCUUGAGAAAUUUGCCCGGAUAUGAGAGGGGAGUGAUUUAGGAGUGGUGAGAAUGCACGACUUAUAUACCCAAAUGUUCGCUGGGUAUGCUUGAAAGAUUGGCUUUGAGUGCUUUCGUUAUGGUGGUAGGCGGGUCUGUGCUCGCGGUACAGUUUCGUGCUUGAUUCUUGAGUAAUUUGCCCAGAUAUGAGAGGGAAGUGAUUUGGGAAUGGCGAGAAUGCGCAAGAUAUAUACCCAAAUGUUAGACAGCAUAAGGCAUGAUUUUCUUUUUUCUUUGAGCUUUUUGAUAUAUUGGUUCACCGUUCAAUUUUUCAGUUGAAUUUGGUGGAAAUCAGAUUUCCUGUAGCAGACUUAAUUCGGGAGGAUAUAUUGAAAUGCAGGUAUUACUGAUUACCUACGGCUACCAGCUCUUUGUUCCGCUGUUUACACACGAUGGGGAGUGAAGUCUAUUGUUUUCAAAAUUAUGCACCCAGAAUCAGAUCAUUCUUGAAAAGAAAAAUUCUUAUGGUGAAAUUUACGCUACGUUAUCAUAUUUAUGUACUGAGUAAGUCAUUUUGCAAUGCCGGUUAUCUCAUGAAGCAGCAGAUUUGAUCUCCUGCAAUUAUAUACAUGGAGGAAUUGCUUUCUGCUUUUUUCUUUAUGACCCCAGGUUGGUUGUGGAUCCUAAUGUCGAUGUGUGCUUGUAUUUGUAGACAUCGAGGGCAAGGCCAUUCAAGGAAUACAAAGAGGUGCAGCGAGAGAAGGGAGCUGAUCCAGACAUUCAGUUGGUUUGCAAUGACUCAAACAUAUUUAAGUGGACUGCUCUUAUCAAGGUGAGAUUGAAUGGCUGAUGGAGGUAAUUGUCAAGAAAAUGGUGCUGUUGCUCAUAUAAAAGAUAUGGUGAUUCUCUCUUUCAUUAGGGACCAUCGGAGACUCCUUUUGAGGGUGGUGUUUUCCAGCUCGCAUUUGCUAUACCUGAGCAGUAUCCACUGCAGCCACCUCAAGUUCGUUUCCUGACUAAGAUAUUUCUCCCCAAUGUGCACUUCAAGGUAUAAUUUGUUUGUAUAGGAAUGCUUAUUGAUGAUAACUUAGUUGGAACUAGUUGCAGUGCAUGUGAAUAGGUCAAAGGGUGAACUGAUUUACUGUGUUGUUUGGCGAUCAAUGUUUCUUCUCAUCAAUAUCUAUUAUGUUCAGAAUCAGAAACUUGAAAGAGUUGCUAGUUUUAGGGUGUUGAUUUAUCUGGCACUUAAAAAAUAGAUAGAGGUGCAGAAGCUGAGAAUUGGAGACUUCUUUGACACUUUGUCAGGAAACAAUCUUGACCUGUAUUUUUCCAAAUUCUGUUUCCAGAGAAUCUCUGCAUGAAUAGAUUUUCUGAUAACUACUAGCUUGGGAAAAUCAACAGAGAUACCUGAUGCAUAAGUAUGAGAUGCUGUAAGUGUUUGUUUGACUAAUAGAUUGACAUUUUAAUUUACUUUAUACAGACAGGGGAGAUAUGCCUUGAUAUUCUGAAGAAUGCAUGGAGUCCUGCCUGGACACUUCAGUCUGUUUGCAGGGCUAUAAUAGCUCUCAUGGCCCACCCUGAUCCUGACAGCCCACUAAAUUGCGAUUCAGGUAUCAAUGAGUUUUUUUUUUUUAAAAAGAUAUAACAUCUGUAUCUAAAAACUCAUUAUUCUUUCAUUAGUACAUAAACCUCAACCAGAAAUUUCCUUACCUAAAGUCUUUGUAACGCCUAUUAUCUAAGUGGCCUGGUGUUUAAUAUUUGUUGCUUGCACCUCUUGCAAGGAGUGCAUACUCGUAUGCUUGCAUGUUCACUGUUUCGUGAUAAAAUGUGGCACUGUCACUUCCUUAAUAAUAUCUAGUUGAAUGUUGUCUCACUUACAUUUAAACUAUGCAGAGUCAGGGCCAAGAGCCUAAAGUUGGUAGAGUCACCUUUCUUGGUAUAAAAAUCUUGAUUCGGGGUUUCCUCCACCUUCCCACCUUGUGAAUACCACAACAAGAACAAGAAGCCAUUGCACUUUAUGGAGUAAUAUUUCCUCCCCUCAGCCAAAAAGAGAAAAAUGAAAUUCCCUCUAUACCGCCUGGUUACAGGAAAAGAGCAAAACUUUAUAGUGUAGUUCAUAUGAGAACAAUCAUACUCCAUCCUCCUUGAUAUUGACAUAGACUAGUUGUAUCAGUGCCAAAGAGGAGUGCCCUUGACAUCUUGCGGGGAUUCUUGAUAGGCUGCUUUUAGAAUGAGGUGCAAGAGUGUCUUUGAUUGAACUUUUCUGGAAAUAACAAGGGUAAGACCUUUGUAAUCGUUUGACAAGUAUUGAGAGAGAGCGUGAGAUUUCAGUGGGAAUCUUUCAUGCUCCUUUUCCACAUUUUGUUUCCUAAUCCUAUCUCAAACGAUACUUCAUAUCAAAUCUUUAUUUCCAAUAGUCAGUUUGUUGGAUCAGAUAUAGAGGACAGUAGUGCUGCGACAAGUGAUAAUAGUUGGAUGUCUUUGCCUCGAUUGAGUAUUCACAUAAACACAUUCUGUCGUUCUGUCAAUUACGCAUGAGAUUCUGGGGAUUAGAUGAAUUAGGUAUGAUAUGAUGCUUCGAUUUCAACUCAAACUCUAUCUGUUAAGAACCUUGAGAGCUAUUCAUCUUAAUCAUUCAUGCAGUCAAGCAUUCUCAGGGUUUGUUGAUUGCCUUCUGGUGGGCCAAUAUAUUAUAUGGCAUAAAAGAGAUAAUUUCAACAAUGAAGUGAUAGAGAAUGGUAAUAAAGAACAAAUGCUUGUACUUGUUCAAUGUAACAGUUGAUGGUUAUUUUUUCCUAAUGUCCUGCCUGUAAUGGUCGUAGUGUAUUAGAAGAGAGAUCAUGUUUUCCUGAGGUAAUCCUUCAGAUGAGAAUGUGGAGCCCCUGGGCAGGACUGCCUGCUCUGCAUGAAUCCACUGUUGUGUCGAUCAUGUUCUUCUACUGCUGUCCUUAAUACAACUCUUCACUCUGCUCGACCAUGUGUGGUGAGGCAAACCUCUCGUUUCCUUUUAUUUCUCUCUAGGCAGCUCUCUUGCUCAUGUUGCUGCUGAGCUCUUGGAAUCAUCUUUGAUGGGAAUUAGGCUCCUUGAAAGGCUAACUGUGAGAUAUCUUGUCUGAUCACUCAUGGGAGGAAAUAAAAGAUUAAAUAAAAGAAGCUCUCACUCAACUGACAGGAAUUGUUCACAGCCAGUGAAAGGAUGAAUUUUGGUGCAGCUAAGAAGAUGAGAAUUAUAAAUAAAGCACAAUUGCAGAGACUAUCAACAGUUGAUCUUCCUGAAUUUGAAUGAAAUUUAAAAGAAAAAUUCCCUUGGGGGUUGCCAAACUUGAAGGAGGUUCUUAGUUAACAUUAUUUUCUUUAUGUCGGGUUCGGUUGAAGUGAGUUUAUAUCCCCACCUCUCUCUCUCUCUCUCUCUCUCUCUCUCUCUCCAGGGUAAUUCCAUAACUCAGGUGUGGAACUUCUUCCUAGUAGUCAUUAGAAAUGCACAUGCUAAAUCUCAUAAGAAGGGAUGGCUUAUUAGUUCCAAAUUGAUCUUGUAAUCCAGGGAUGAAUCACUUCUACGUCAAGGAUUAGCUUAGAAUGAUGAUUUGCAGUGUGUACUUGCCAAGCAUGAAGUCAUUGCUUCUGGAAGUUCAGUUCAGGCUGAGAAAACCUCGCUGGGACCUUCUGGCACCAUGACAGAUGUCAAAGGUCCUCUACUUGAUAUUGUAGAUAACAGCACAAAGCCUGAUGAAAGGUAACUGUUUCAUUAGUCAUGAUUGCAAUAUAUAAACCCCAAAUACUUGUUCUGUGGCAAAUUAUGACGUUCAGCUGAAGUCUGUGAACUGAGCAGUGCUACUCUUAUGAUAAUUUGAUAUGGAUAUUUUUUGCUAAUUUUCUGCUGUUUGGUAAAACUUGGUGGAUAUUUAUACAUUGAGGCUCCGUUUGUUUCAUAAAAAAAUGACUGGUUUGGAAAAUUUUUGCUGAAAAUGACCAUUUAUAUUGCUUAUAGAAAGGAACGAACGAAAAAUAUUUUCAUCGUCCACAAAAAUGUUUAUACACAAAUUGUUGUCGACAAUGAGAACAUUUUCUGUUGACUAAUUAUUUUAAGCAAAAGCUAUAUGAUGAAAAUGUUUUCCAAAUCAUGUAUUUUCCGCAAAACAAACGUAGUGGAAAUUUAUCAUCUGUCUUUGAUCCUCUGGUUGUCAAGACCUUGUCUGGUGCAACUUUUGCACAGCAGAUUUGGCUGUGAAAAUGUGUGUCUGCAGCUUUUAUGAGCUGUUUGUCAAAUUCUUUACUGCUGCAGUGCCCUCAAANNNNNNNNNNNNNNNNNNNNNNNNNNNNNNNNNNNNNNNNNNNNNNNNNNNNNNNNNNNNNNNNNNNNNNNNNNNNNNNNNNNNNNNNNNNNNNNNNNNNNNNNNNNNNNNNNNNNNNNNNNNNNNNNNNNNNNNNNNNNNNNNNGCUUUACCAGGCAGAUCCUUAGUAGUACUAUUGAUGUGAUUUAGGUCUUGAGAGAAGAAGAAAGGAGAGAGGAAGAAAUGUACCAAUGCAUCUUGUACAUGUGCUCAUUAUAUACAUGCAAGUACAAAAUGAUUGAAGCAUGCUGCACUAAACAUUUAUCUUGUGGCUUAAAUUGAUCUAAGAUCUCAAAUAUUUGCUCUUGAAACUUUGUGUCUAAAAAGGCUGAUUAAACUUUGGGAGAUUGCUGUCCAACAUUGUGCAUUCAGUUCUUGAGUUCCGAGUGUUUCUAUGUCUCCCAAUUUGCUCAUAGGAUCGCUAGGGAUCAUACUUAAAAAGCUAGUCUAGAUUGACAAGAGAGCAGCCAUUUUUUUGGGUUAAACACCUGCUGUCUCUCUCCACUUAUUACUUGAGAUUUACACAAAGAUCGGUUCUGUUAGUGUUAUACAGCAAGAAAUUUAUUUGAUACAGGAUAAGCAUGAGUAUACAUAAGAAUUCGGAUUUACUAUAAUAGAAUGUAAAAUGAAGUUAUCACAACUUCACAAAAAUUCUAUUCUAACGGAAAAGAUUUACGUGGUAGAAUAAGACCAUUUAAAUUACAGACUUUGUAAAAAUAUUAUAUUUAAUAAUUGAAUUUUGUUAUAUUUUUGUGCUAUCUUAUGAAAGUGAUGCAAGCCUAGGGGAGGCUUUUUCAAACAAUAGGAUCGGGAGAGUGACUCGCGCACAAGAAACGGGACGAACAGUAAUUUCAGCACUGCGCAAGCUCAGGAGAAUAGUCGUAUCUUUGUCGAUACAAAUCGGAUCAACCUGAUUCCAAAGCCAAAUGAACAAAAACUUCUGGAUCUACAAUUUCUGUGUUUUGGGUUUUUUGAAAUAAGCACUGUAGGAUAGUCGAAAUUGGGUUGGAAGUAACGAACAGAACAGGAAAAGAUAGGAACUUCGUUGGUUGCUCUUCUAGGCCUCCAAGGAAGUUGAAAGGGACACCGAUUCUUCUAGAUCGAUGACUGCAACUCUUCAAGGAUGCAGAUUUCAAAAGCUCCGACUCUUCAAGGACGGAGUGAAAAAUCUUCUAGGUUUUCAAGGGGAUGAACUCUACAAGGUUCACGAUACUUGCUUCAAAGCAAAGUUUUUCAUUCAUCAAAAGCUAUCUGUCUUCUACAAGAAAUUGGGCUUAUAUCAUCAAAGAAAUAAAGAUAGAGCAUUGAAAACUAGGAGAAAUAAAGGAGCAUUGAAAUUAGGAGAUAUAGUAAAGGGCAUGGAAACUAUAAACUAGUAAAAGCGUCACGCGAGCUUCCAAGGUGUCUUUCAAGCUUCCGGGAUGGACUCAAGAUGUCAUUAUGGCUUCUCGGUUUCGUCGAGCUUUAAUGCGGGCCGAUCUUCUUGGUCGAGAGAGCCGGUCUUCAAUGUGGGCUGCAUCAGAAAGUUAAUAUGAAUAUUAUACUUAUUCUUGUGGAUGUGAUACUAUAUAAUCACCUAUUAACAUUGGCAUGUUAUAUCCUUAAUAGACUAAUAAUAAGAUGCAAAAUAAGUUCCAAGUUCAGCAAACACCCAGGAGAGGGAAGUAAAACUGAAAAUCAUGUACAUAUGUGCAUUUUACCUGAAAGUACCAGUAAUUUACUAUUAGAGGAUAUUGAACACCAGUUUCUGGCCAGUUGAGCUAUAAGAAGUGGGAUUUUCUGCAGAUCAUCAUCAAGUGCCGGUACAGGGUCCAUCAUCAAGUGCCGGUACAGGGUCCAGCUAAACUUGAUCCAAAAACGGACCUUCUCAGUGGAGAGGACUACAGCUUUCCUAAGGCAGAGACUUCACUAGCACUAGUGCCUGUUGGACACCCACAGUCAACUGCAUCUCAGUCACGGCAGAAUGGACUUGUUCUUUUCGAUGUGUUUUCGGACAGUAACAACAAGCCCAAUACUAUCAAUACCCAGAGUGGCUAUCCAACUACACAAAGCAAUUCUUCUACUCCUCAAUUCCAACAGCAGCAGAAUCUGCAAGCUCCACAACUUGGGGUUUAUGCUAAUGGCAACAUGCCAAACAUGGGAUCGAACGAGCAUGAUCAAUCACCUUAUUCUCAAAGCUCUGUUCCUGUUUGGAAUGGCCAUAUUGCGCAGCAGCAACGGCCUCCCUCUCCUGUCUAUGGUGCACUUCUGCUUCUUCAUCAGUACUUGACAUUACUUUCUUAGUGAUGCGUAUUUUGUCGGUUGGCUUGUACUGUACAACCUUAUUUGGCAUGUACUAGGGGCAUGCUUGGUAUUCUUUUCCAGAUUACUGAGUUGCUAUGAGACUUAAGUCCUUUUGGCGAGCGUUGACCUCUUCUUUGUGGACAUAGCUGAACUCCUAACAAACAAUCUUACAAUCUGUUGAGCCUACGGUUUUGUGGUGUUUCGCAGGUGCUCAAACUAGUGAUUCGCUACCACCACCCCCUUGGGAAGCUCAGUCAGUGGAAAACAGUCGGGUGAUGGGCAGUCAGUACCCCCAACCAAUGCAAGGUUCAGAGGUGGUCGUCCUGCAUGCACAACCUGCACUGAGUGGAUUGCAUCUCCAGGCACCUUGUCCAAGGGAAUGAGCAAGCGAUGGACAUGUACUUGCAACCAGUUGCGGGUGGCCACAUGCCAUUGCUGAAUAGCCAGGUUGUUCCAAUAAACCAAAUGGUAGGACUUACCACCUCAGCCCAUCCAAGGAGGUCCUUAUAUGGGGAUGGUUCCUCUGCCAAUGCAAGUAGAUCAGAUGGCUUAUUUAUAUCCCCAGCAAAUGUAUGGCAGCCAGGUGGCAGCCUACGGCUAUGGCCAACAAGGUGCUCAGUACCUUGAUCAGCGGAUGUAUGGGCUGUUGGUUAGAGAUGACAGUAGCCUCAGGAACUCUUCAUACCAGGUGUCCACUUCAUCGUACAUGCCACCCAUGAAGCCUUUGAAGCCAGAGGACAAGCUAUUCGGAGAUCUCGUUGAUAUGGCUAAAGUGAAAUCGUCUGCAAAAUCUACUCCAGGCAGAGCUGGUAGAAUGUAGCAGUAGUAUUUGCGAACCAUGUUUUGCUUGUUAAGUUGAUUUCUUUUGAUUUUCUUAUUUCAAAUUUUUCUAUUAUACAUAUUUGGCAGUUUCUUCUGUUUGUGGCCGUGUAUUGGCACUGCUUGUUUGAGAUCAUGUACAUUCUUUGUAAAGGGAAAGAAAAGGAAAUCUCCUCAACCUUUUAUCUCUUAUCAGGGCAGAACGGUUAAUAAGUGCACGUCAUUAAGUUGAUCUAAUUCUUAUAGAAUUUCGUAGUUAGAGUUGGUGCUAUAGAAGAUUUUUAUGAGAAUUAGAGUGCUGAGAGAAGAAUUUGUCAGAAUGAUACCAGGAUUUUCAAUCUAGCAUGAUUAUUGGCUUUUGAUUUUGAGCAUACCGUCAUCGCAAUGGUCUCUCUUAUCUCCAGAAGAUGUACUUGUCAAUGAAGGUUGGAUGAGUGAGUUUGUAUAGGUGUGUGUACGUUAGAGGAACUCUUCUUCAGCAGGGGAAACUAUGUCUUGCUGUUCUGAUCUCAUUUUCGUGAAAUGUAAAUUGCUUGGCUUUUGGUGGUGUUCAUAUUAUGCUAUACUUAGUAUCAUCGCUAUAUUUGUGGAAUGUUUUGGCCGAAAGUUAAUCUCCGUCGUUUUUCUUAGAUUUUAUGUAAUCUUGGAUUUAGCAAAUUCUCGGCAAAGUUUACGGUACAAGAGCUUUCCUGGGGUGACUGUCUAUUUUGUUUUUUUAAUUGCCCUAAAAAGGAACAGUGUUGUUUUCCAUCAAUGAUGCUUCAAACUUUCAUGAUUGUGGCUAGAUAGACCUCCUAGAUUGACCCCAGGACAUUCACUUCAAGAUGAGGGGUGAUUCUCCCAUGAUCAGAUCCGGGACUGACUUCAUUGCAGAGGUGACCCUUUCUUCUCGUUUUUGCUUUCACGACCAGGUACGAGGAGAAUGACUUCAUAGCGAUUCACGGGUACCAAGAUCCUGAGAGCGUUUGGAUGAGACCAUUGCGUAAAACGGAGUGAAGACGUUAAAGUACCUAAAGAUGCUCCGGCAACGGUGAUGCUUCCAGGGAAAUUCUCGCAUGCGCCCGAUAACGCAAAGCAUCGGAUUCGAUGAGUCUCGCAUGAGGCUCGCAUGCUCUAUGGUUCAUACGUGCAUCGGGUGUAUGAUGCAAAAAUGGCCCGUGAUGCGAAGACGAGAAACGAAAUACUUUACCCGUGAAGGAGAUAUAUUUUUUGGUCAGACCGACGUUUUUUUAAUCCAACGGGUUAGCCAAAUUUUAAGUAGGCAGGUGCCCAAAGAUGCAUGGUGACGACCAAUCAUUUAAUGAAAAUGACGUUAAAUAAAGAUCUAUUAUCAGGCUCAAUUACAAGUUUCACCAAUUGAGUCACAUGUAUAACAUAUUCAUACCUAAUGAUUUUCCGCAAAGUGGUGAUGAAAGGUUGUGUUUGAUUAAGAAACAUUUUAAAUUAAAAAUAAGUUGAAUGAUUUUCUUGUUUAUAAUUGAAAAACAAUAAUAAACAUAUUCAAAGGGCAUAUAGAGUGCUGCUAGGAUUCAAGUAUUUUUACCUUCGUUUAUUAUUUUUAUAUUUUUUCUAUGCCACAUUAUCCAUAUUUAUUUAACACCAUUUCUGGGGAGCAACAUUUUCAAUGUUUAAAUGCUCCUUAAACCUUUAUAUAUUUUAUUGUUCCAUGAUAACUUUCACUCAUAACUUAUACAUUUAAAAUAGAUUUCAAUUAGCUAGAGCUAACAAAAGUAGCAUAUUGAUAACACUGCCAAAUUACUCAAUUUUUAAUAAAAAAAAUAAUAACUUUACUUUUUAAUAGACGUAAGCAAAUACCAAUUACUAACAGACAAUUUUCAAAAACUCACCUUUUAUCAUAUGAUAUGAAUGGGAUCAUCAUGGAUAUAAUGAGAUGCAAUUGCCAUUGAAAUUGCACAAAAGUUUCAAAGGCUCUGAAACCUAAUUAUCAGUUUUGUGGCUAAGAAAGAAACUGUAAGAACAAUCAACAUCAUUUUUCUGAUUAUGCAAAGCAAAAGAAUAAAUAUAUAUCUCCCCUUUUAGAUUUGUGAGGAAUUCCCUUAUGAGGUUUUGCAAAAUGAUAAAUCGAUCAUAGGCUACUAAUAUGCUUAUUGUGGAAUCAACUUGUCAACUCACAAAUUAAUAUGUAGAUGGAGUAUGGAACAGGUACCUCUAGAGGUUGGUAGUGCUCUGCUUCCAUAGAAGGUGAAUAAGAUAGAAGACGUGAAGAGUAUCUAAGGCUAGAUGGGUGAACAAGCUGUAGAGGUUCCUUAAAGCUUGGAUGGACAAGUAGAAGUUAUUAGUUUUGUGGAACUAGAAGCCUGACAACAUGCUUGGAGGGACUUGUAUGUAGAAGGUGAACAGUCAAUUCAACGUGGAGGGUGAAAAGACUUCUUUUUUUUGGGGAUUAUGCAUCAAAUAGUGAAGCAUGUAGCUUUUCUAAUCUUAGUACUUAUACUUUUUUUUUUUGAAGCAAUUGACACUGAAUUUUUUAACAUUUAACAAUAGAAAUACUAAGGGAUCGAAUAAUAAUCAUUUUAUUUCUUUAUUAUUUUGUUCUUGAGGAUAUGUUUGGAAAAAAAUUCGUUUGGUAAUUUUUUUUUUAUUUCUACGACAAAUUUUUCACUCUGAAAGUCACAAAAAUGAGAAUUAAAAAUUUUCUAUUUGUCUAUUUUUGAAAUAAAAAUAAAAAUAAAAACUCUUAUUAUCGCUCGCCUUAGUUGUUGCUCGCUGGCCACUACCUAGAAAUUUUGAGGCUUAUUGAAUGAAUUUCUAUUUCGAAAACCGAAACUAUGUUGCUAUCAAAUAUCAAAUGCGUAUCUCUACUAAAAAACUCAUCUAAGGAAUAUAAAUUGAAAAAUCUAUUUCCACAUAGAAAUUGUUUUCAAGAAGAGAAGAAUUAGCAUUCGCGCCCUUAGUUCGAAAUCAUCGAUUAUUUUUAAUGUCCAUUAGAUGAAUUACCAAAUUACUUUAGAACCAAAAGCCAUCAUUAUUUUGAUUUUUGUAAGCCUUGUUUACCGGAGAAUAAACAUCAAAGUAAUCAAGUCCUCCUUUUUUACGAUACUUUUUAGCCACCAAUCCUGUCUUAUGUAUAGUUCUAUUGUUAGGAGGAAGAUUAGUUGAUGACCCUGUAUUAUUUCGCUUGAUAGAUUUUAUCUUAUCAUCCGUUGCCAUUUUCCACAUAUGCGCGUCCGGUCUAGAAUUUGUUUGGAAAAAGAUUCUUUAGAAAGAGAAAGAUAUUGUUCAAUUAUAACUUGUUUUCCUUCAUCUAAAGAAACAAUUUCUUUUCCUAAUAUUCGUCUAUAUCGAGACUAUUAAACAGGGCGGGCUUAAACUAAGAUUUCAAGUAAGCUUUUACAUGAUUUUCUUAUGUUUGGAAAAAAAGAAGUACUCAUCGACAUAAUGAGAUCCAUAUGUUCAAAAAAUCCUCCACUUCUUCCUAAAUUCAGAAGAACAGAAAAAACGAAUAAAAAAAUCCUCAAGUAAAGAAAGCCAUGACCUUAAAAAAUAAAAAGGCAUGUACAAGAAAUCGUCCACUUCAAAACCUAAAGAGCUUGAGUAAUGUCAUCUACCCCGACUACGAUGAUACCAAAAUAAGUUCAGAUCUUUUCACAAGCUGAAGUUCAUUAGUCUUACAGGGUAGGAUGGGUUCCAAUCUAAAGCUGAAACUAGUAUUGGCAAAGGCAUAAUGUACUCCAAAAUCCUAGACGUUACAUCAUUUACUUGAGGAGACUCACGAGCAGGGCCGGAGCCAAUUCCUUAUGACACCUUGGUUGGUCUCAUUUCUCAAUAAAAUUGCCAAUUCAAAGGCCGAAAUCGAGAAUCAAGCUAGUGUUGAUCAAUCUGGAAAUUUUUGAGAUCGUGAACUAAAUCAAUUCUCCUUGAAAUCGGCUUGGAAUAGAGCUGAUUGAGCCAGUUCCAAUUUUACCUGAACCUUUGCUCACCCCUAGUGUGGAAGGCACUUUAGCAAAUUAGCAUUAUAAAAUAAGCUUCUUGCUUCAUAAUGACUAUAUUUGAGAACACACCUCAAGGAUGAAAAUUAUAAAAAAAGCUUCUUACCUCUGAAAAAAAAAAAAACAUUUGAAAUGAUAUUUUCCAGAGACAUGGAGAAUAGAUGCAUAUUUUUUUCAAAUGCAUUAUGUUUGUUAUUUAUACAUCACAAAUAUAUGAUCACUCAUUCUACUCUUAUGGUUUUUGCUUUGUCAGGGUUCGUACUUUUGUCACUCUUUCGGUUGGUCUUUUUGCUUGAUCUCAGUGGUUCCGAAAUUAGAAUUCUAGAAAUUGUAGGGAUGUUGAGCUAGUGGCAGUUUGGUAAUGUGGAGGGAGAGUCAUUGAUCGAGAGUUUAAAUGAGCUGGAGGUUGAUUUUAAGUGCGAUUUGGGUUCGCUGUUCGGACUCGAGCGGCAUCAUCAGAAAAUCAAAGUGAGGGGACCAGUCAGCAGAUGAUACCUGAUAUCGGCAUUUUAUUUACUUUGAAACAAUCGACCAGCUUGAAAUUUAAUUUGAUUAUUUAAAGAAGCUGCAUUUAUUCUCCUGUUUCAAUUGCUCGACUCAUUCCCAAAUCAACUACUGAAUUAGCUUUCCUCGCUCGAAGUCGGCCUAACCAAUAACCAUCCAUUCGUCAUCAAUGUCAGAUACCCUGUAGCCUUUCUUCCCUUCACAAGCCAAGGGCAAGAUUAAACUAUUUACUCCCCUCCGUCCAUAAGACCGAUGAUCUUUUGCUCCCUAGAGGCAAAAGUAAGAGUUAUAUUAAACCGAUCCAUCUAAUCAAAGAUAGAUUACACUUCAUAAAGUCUUUGAGAGCUAGAAGGUAAUUUAUGCAAAUCGUUAGGUGUUCUCGGCAAAGUGCCGAUUGGACAUUAUCCAUGGGGAGGGUGGAUGCAUUUGGUGAAUUUGAGGUAUAUUGAGAUCCGACAGGAUUGAGAUUUGCAAGCUGUUUCUCAAAUUGGACGGCGAUUGAAAUGAAUUUAGAUGUUGGUUUGGCAUCGGAAGCUCAAAAUUAAUGGCCAUUAGAUGAUUGGGCAUGUAAAUCAUUUUACUUUCGGUUAACAUACCCGUGGAUAGAGGUGUUAAAAUGGGUCAUAAACCCACUUAUGACCCAUUUAAAUCUUAAAUGGGUCAUAAAUGGGUCACUUGUUUAAUACAAAAGAUAGUUAAAUGGGUUUCACAAUUAAAUGUUUAAGAUAGGUGGGUCUUAAGUAGGUUUUUAAAUGGGUUGGGUUGAAAACUCAUCUUUAACAAAAACAUUAUAAUUCCUCCCUUCUUUCUUUAACUUUAUAAAAAUCUAAAUUAUAAUUUUUUUAUUUUUAUUUUCUCUUUUCUUUUUCUUCCUUUUUUUUUUCUUUCUCCUUCCUCCUUCUAGUCGCCGGCACGGCGACGGCUGGCGACCGGCCAGGCGAGCCUCGAGCUCGCCGGCGUUGGGCGAGGUUUGAGCCUCGCCAGUUCUGGCGAGGGGCGAGCUCGAGCUCGCCGGAUCUGGCGAGACGAAGGGCGGCAUCGGGCGAGGCUCGAGCCUCGCCGAUCUAGCGAGCCUCGAGCUCGCCUGUGGCCGGUCGCCGGCUGUCGUCGUGGCCGGCGGCCGGCCAAAGAAGAAGAAGAGGGAAAAGAAAAAAGAGAAAAAGAAAAAGAAAAUUAUAUUUUAAAAAUAAAAUAAAAAUAAUUAAAAUUUUAAUUUAAAAAAAAUAAUUAAAUUUCGAUUUUUUAAAUAGUUAUUUUAAAAUUUAUAAAAAUUUUCCAUUAAAUUUAUAUUGUAUAAAACUAUUUUAGCAAUACAAUUUAAAAAAAAAUAAUAUAUAUAUAUAAAAGCUUAGAAGUAUUUUAAUAAUAUAAUCUUUAAAAAAAAACAUAGGAAUAAGUUUUUCUAAAUUUUUUAAAUAUGAAAAUAUUUUAUUAAUAUGAGUUGGGUCGGGUCGGGUAUGGGUUGGGUAUGGGUCAGGUCGGGUUUGGGUCGAAAAAUUUACAUUAAACAUAAAUGGGUCAUAAAUGGGUUAAUGGGUUAAUUUGGAUUGGACCAUUAAUGACCCGACCCAAACCCGACUCGACCCACCCGUUUAAUGGCUCUACUCGUGGAUUGUGCUAGAGUUGUUUCAGUAUCGUCUCUACCUUCUUUUAUUUUAUUAAAUUUGUAUACCACAAUGCCUUAAUAUGUCCCUAAUACAUAGCCACAUUCUCUCGCCUGAUAAUUUAAUUUUUUCGGUAAUUAAGAUUUAAUGUGGCAAUGAAGCCCAAGCAAGUGAAAACUUCAUUCGACCGAUAUCUCAGUAAAAUGGAAAAAUUAUCUAGAAAGUCCUAAAUUUAUCGUGCUUUUACCCAUUCAGUUAUAAAUAAUUUUGUAAAUUUAGUUAUAAACCUUUUCAUUUUUUAUCAAUUGAGUUCAUCCGAUUAAUUUUGACUGGAAGUCACUAAUGUGAAACUGGUAAUACCACAUAUGACGGUUGGCUCUAUCAUGGACAAUAUAUAUCAUAUUUUCAUUUUUUUUGAUUUUUUUUCUUUCUUUUUCUUUUCAUUGGAGGUUAGGUUGGUUGGCCUUGUCAUAUUUGGCUUGGGUGAAGUUGACUCUCGCCUAGGUGAGGACUAGCCCUAUGAGGGUCGACUCUUGCCUAGGUGAGGACAAGCCCUAUGAGGGUCAACCUCACUUGGCUGUGCCUCACCUGUGGUGGGCAAGGCCAACUUGCUUAGCCAUGGUCAAUGCUGGCCAUAGCCACUGCCAAAACAAAGUAAAAUGGAAAAAAAGAAGAAGAAAUAAAUCAAAAAUAAAUUGCAAAGUAUUAUUAAAAAUUGUCUAUAUCAGCACUGGUUAUUUGGCCAGCAUUGCAACAACGUCAACGAAUUCUAAUCAAAAUUGGUUGGAUGGACUUAAUUGACAAAUUGUGAAAAUGUUUAGGAUUGAAUUUGCAAAAGUGGAACAAGGUUAGAAUUUUUUGGACAAUUUUAGUAAAAACUAGGAAUAUCCCGAAUAAGGGCCUAAAAUGCUUCUAUUUUCUCCAAUAAGGGCUUAAAAUAAAUUUUGUUUCAAAUAAAAAUCUGAAGUGGCCGGAUGCCUCUUAAAGAGUAACAAAAGUGUGUGAAGGGAGGCUCAAGCUAAGAUUUUGCUCGUGAGCACAAUGGUAUAAGCCUGCCUAAUUAUGAGACUAAUUGGUCGAAUAGAGACGAAAGUUGACCAUAGUGAUAUGGGAGUCCCAUGUGGAAGGGCUCUCACUUAACAGAUCAAAGGUAUGUUGAUGAUAACAGACUGAUGACUCCCAAGAGCUCUUAUUGAUGGAGUUGUUUGGCACCUUGAUGUUGACUCAUCACAUCUUGGAGGUGGAAAGGUUCCCAAGAGUUUGGUUGUUCACCGAUCAAAGUAGAAGAAAAUAAACUGCCAUUUGCCUAGGUAAGAGUCUUAGUAAGAGAUAGAAAAGGAAUAGUUGCCUUUUGCAAAGGAGAAGCUGCUUGAUCAAGAGGCAGAAGAGCCGCAUAACUUGAUUCACAUUUUCUUCUUGAUUAGAGGGGUGUAGUAGCACUGGAAGAGAGGUACAUCAGUUUCAAAAAAAUGCCUAAUCUCUCAGACUGAAGGACAUUUUCAUCUUUUAUUUUUAAUUUUUUUUCAAAGAAAAAUUUCAAAUAAGAAUUCGAAGUGGAGCCAUAUUCUCAAAAGAGGGUUAAAGUGGAUACUGUCUUAAAUAAGGACUUCAAGUGGCCAAUUUAGUUUCAAAUUGAGCCUGACUUCAUUUACUGGCCAAAUCUUGUUGUUGACACCUAAAUUUUGGCUACCCAUUUAGUUAUUUAUCGCGUUAAACAUUAGGGGUUAAUUUUAUCCUUGAAAAAAAAUAGUUAAUUGCGUGACAUAUAGAUUUAGGUGCAUUUGCAUUUAUUUAUUGGGCUGGUGACAGAUGGGUUCAAGUUGAUGGUGCAGAACUUUAAUUUGAUGAAUUGGCCUAAGCCCGUUGUUCUCUAAUGACCGACAAUUGAUUUAUUUGAUAUUUUUAGAAAAGAUUCGUAAUAUCCUUCCAAUAUUCGAUAAACAUUUCAUAUAUUUAUGCGAUAUAUACAUUAAGUGAAAUAUUUCGCAGGAGAUUGGAAGAUUUCAGAGGAAAUAUCAAAAUAAUCAAACUAGGAUAUAUGGAACGAUAUUUUUUUUUGCCUCAAAAUGAGAGAAAUUGCAUGGUCAUUAAAGAUUUCGUGCGGAAAUUUUCUUUCCCUAAUAAGAUCAUACUAUAAAAUGCCGCUUGAUCGAGUAAAAAGGGGGGCCACGCAAAAUUGAAAACACGGCCACAUUGAGGGGGAUCUCACAAUACACAGACACACGUGAGGUAAGAGAGAAGGGUCGCGCCUUGCCAUCAUCACGCCCACACCGGUGACGCCGCCGCUGCCCCUUGACGACAACCCCAUUGCAAACGUGCCUUGACACGUCUCAGCAUCGGACGCUAGAGUUGCAGCCCUCUUUGCCGCUGUCUAUGUUGACGUGUCGGUUACUCGGCGAGCAUUCCACGACGUUCCAAGUUUCAUCAAGUCAAAGGGAGAGAAUUUGUAAAGAGAAUCCAAGCAGAAAAGACACCAACACAAGCAGCACACUCCGAAUGCCUACACGAUUCCCUUGAAAAUUCUGGGCUAAAUUUAAGACCAUAUUCUGUCCACACAACAGCAGGAGGACGUGCAUAGACUUGUGGAGAAUUUCACUAAAGCAUCUCAAUCCAAUUGGUGGCAAAAUUGGAGAAAAUUUGGGGAGUGAUGUGCUGAAGCGGUGGAUAUCGUCUUCUCUUGCAUGGUCUUUGUGGAAAGUCCCUUGGCGAAGAAGCCAACGCUCGCACAAAAAGAAAGGACGCCACAGUUGAGAUACACGACUAAAACUGAGAAACGCGCUUGAGAAAUCGAGAAAAAAGGUGGAUCGUGAGAGACUCCAUCGACGACAGUGAUCUUUUUUCGGUGUUGGGAUCGUGUUCGUGAAGGCCACCCAACAUCAAUUAAUUUGCUGUUCUUGUUGCUUUGCCACGCCAAUUCCCUGACACCUCCACCGUCCACGAAUCAAGGCAGUCCACGGCAGGGGGAAUUCCUGUUGACUUGUUCGGUCAAUUGCCAAGGAUCCCAGCGGCACCGCAGCUGCUUGACGACUCGGCCACUCACGGUCACCUCCAGAGAUUUCCCAGAGAAAUUGUCCGCAUCGGAAGCCUUGACAAAGUGGUCAUUGAUCAGCCCCCUCGUCGUGCUUAGUUCACCGACCCAUUAGCCACGAAUUGCUAUCCAUGAGUCCCGCCAGCACCACCGAGCUCAGAGCCAUCACCACCGCAAUUUGUGUGAUUUGUUGUCCAUCUAAGUUUGGAAACAGUAUCCGAGCGAUAUUGCAAUUUAGGUAAUAAUUUUCAUCAAAUUGAUCUUCAUAUAUUUUUAUUGUCUAAUUUACAAAAUCGCUAUCUCGUACAAAUCUUUAAAUGAUGAUAUCGUAUCCACAAAUAUCAAGCAUAUUUUCAAAUUAGGGAUUGAUCCCUAAUUUCACAACGUGCAUAUAAUUGAUAGUUCGAUUUUCGUGCCCGAAAUCUAAUUCACAAUCACACGGAAAAAUUGCCAAUUCGAUAUUACGCUUGAGAUACGAUUCGUGAUUUUAUUUAAAAAAUUGGCAAAUUCGAUCUCAUGCGCGAGAUAUGAUUCAUCAAUUUUGUUCUCAAAAUUAAAUGGACAUGGAUGAUAUUUUGCUGGAUUUGUUGCCGUGCUGUUCUUGAUGCCUUUAUUUGUUUGCUCCCAUAAAAGGAAAAAAAAAACAUUUGAGUUAGAUUAGAUGCAUGUUAGGAUGUUACUUAUUUUAGGGUUAUUUUGCAUGUCUAGAAUAGGAAAUUUAUAUAUUUCGAAUUUCUUAAAUAAAAAAUACCAAAAACAUAAAUUUAGGAUGUUAGACUUUCGUUUAUUAAUUAAAAUUGCGUGUUAAUUAUUUGCCAACUUUAAAUUUCGAAUUUUAUAUAAAAAAACACAAAAAUAAUUUUAGAAUAGAAUCGCAUGUCUCAUUUUAAGUUUAGGUCAAUUUUUAGAUGGAUGCGUCUUAGAUUAGAGAUUGCUAGGUUAAGAUAAUGUCAUAUUUUAAAUUAGGAUUUAGUCUAACAUAAUCCUUAAUUUGAGUUGGAUAGAGCCUUAAUCUAGUUAGGUCAUUUUUGCAUUUUUCUUAAUUUCAAAUUUCAUGAAAAAUAGAAAAAUAAAAAUUGUCUUAGAGUAGAUUCAUUUCAUUCUCUAGGAUAGAUUACAUUUUUUUAGGAAUUGAAAUAUCGAUUGCACGUCGUAUAGAAUUAGAAUAAUUUAAAUUAGAAAUUACAUGUCAUUAAAAUUAGAUUAUUUAGAUCGCAUUUAAUCAUUGCAUUUCUUUAUGAAUUACUUUAGUCAUGACGUAUAGUUAGGUCAUGUUGCCAUGUCGCAUGCAUCACAUGAUUUUUAUUAAAUAAAGUGAAAACAAAAAAGAAAUUACAUGUUAAUUAGAAAUCAUAUCUAGGAUUCUUGAUGUGAAUUCUGGUCUAACAACGCAGAUGCUUUCGUUGUUAUGAGGUGAGUCCUGCAAUUUAUUUACUGCUUGGGUGUUAAAUUGGUGGUUUGCGCACCAUGAUCGCCUCACAUGUUAGGGAAAUAGAUUUAAAAUCAAUUUAAGAUGCUUGUCAAACAUUUUUUAAAAAUAAAAGAGAAAGACACCAAAAGAGGCGUUAGAUUUCUCUAACGUAAUCAAGUCCCUGUAACUUACCUCGUAACCAAAAUCUCUGGUUCGUAGGAAUAAAGUAAAACGUCAAAAAUAGAUUAGUGGCGACUCUUAAUUUAAAAAUCAUCUGCAUGUUAAGAAUUUGAACGCGAAUUAGUAUGGGUUUGGGAGAGUCCGAGUUAAGUCUAGGCUUAAUAAUCCAUUAGCCAAACCUUAGGUGGUUUAUUCGAAAAUUUGGUCGCGACACUUGUCCAUGUCCGAGGGCAUUCUCAUCCAAGUACAUUUGUUUCUUUAUUUUUCUUUUCUUUCUCUCUCUGUUUUAUGUUUUCAUUUCAUUUUUUUUCCUUUCUCUACGCCAUCAUCUUCUGUGAUUUCAAGUAUAAACACGCUGGCAAAAAAUUUUCUAGCUGUCUCUCGCCCAGCUCCAAAACCCCGCUUCCUGUUUCCUCGCUACGCAGCCAAAACUUCCUAACACUCUCAAAAGAUUAAUCGGCGAUAUUCAACAACCGUAUACAAAAAAUUUCACAACCCUAUACAACUUAUGACCCGACACAAAACUGUUUGUCGCCCCCUAAAAACUUUUCCACAGGAAUCAUAUGUUGAUUCAACUACUCUCUGUUUUAGGGAACACGGGAACUGUGUUGUGCAGCACAGUCGUCCCUGGAAAGACCAUCACCCGGUGAUUUCUUCUUAAUUGUUUCAACUGCAAAAGAAAUGAAUGCAUGAGACCGAGCGUUUUAAAUCUGCCGCUCAAGAGGGGAUAGAUGAAUGCACGUUCACAAACCUCCUCUGGGGUCAUCUUGCCAAAACCAAAUCGGUUCGUCCAUAUCGAUUCUGCUUCCUCUGCAGCAGGAAGCACGAGAUUCUUGACAUUGAGAGAUGAAGAAGCUUCCUCUGGGUUGAACUAAGAGACGCCUUGCUAAUGGUUUGCGUAGGGGUGUCAAAAAAACCCAACCUGACUCGACCCCGACCUUGACCCGAACACGAAACAAGUUGAGUACAUGUUUCAGGUAACAGACAUAAAGGGGUGCAUGACAACCCAAAAUUUAUGUUCCAAAAAUAGUUUUUCUGUUCCAGACCUGUUUCUGGAAGAAAAAUUCGUUUGAUAAACCUAUUCGGUUUUUCUAUUUCUGGAAUAGAUUUAUAUUCAAGAAAUAAGUUUUGAAGAGAAAUCAGAAGCUAAAAUUUUCUACUUCUGAUUUCUGGAAGAGAAAUUAUAAUUUCUUUCACUAAACCAUAAUUUUGGUGAGUCCUCCCUCAUCUCCUCUACGUCUUUGCCUCCUCCUCUUCCUCCGCCUCUCCUCAUUUUAUUAAAAAUAAAAAUAAAAAUAUUCAUUUUAUUCAUUUAAAAAUAAAAAUAAAUUUAUUAAAAUAAAUAAAUUAUUUUUAUUUAUCAUUUUAUUUUUAUUUAAUUAAAAAAUUAUUAAUUUUAUUGAAAAUAAUUUAUUUAUGAUAAAUAAAAAUAAAUCAUUUUUAUUUGCCUUGAGUGUUUUGCCAAAUAAAAUUAUUUUUAUUUUUUAUUUUCAUUCAUUUUAAAAUAAAUUUAUUCGUAAAAUAAAAUAAAAUAGAAUAAAUAAAAUGAUAUUUUUAUUUUAUUUUUUAUGAUUUAUUUUAUUUUAUUUUAUUCAUUAUUUUUUUUGUUACUAAAUCAUUUUUAUUUUUAUUUUUUAUAUUAAAGGUCGUCGAUCGUCGCCGCUACCGUCCAAAAGGAAGAAAUUUUGAGUUGUUAUCAAACGAAUUUUUAUUUUUAGAAGUAGAAAUUUUGUAUCAUUAUCAAAUGGUUAUUUUUGCUUAGAAACUCUUCUAAAAAUAAAAAUAUAAAAAUCCAUUUCUGUUCUAAGAACUAUUCCUGAAACAUGGUUGUCAUGCGUGUCCAAAACAAGCGGAACACAUGUUUCGGGUCGGGUUCGGGUGUGGAACAGUGUUCGACCCGGAACACGUUAACAAGGAACAAACACAAACGGACGUAGCCGUGUUUUCGAAAACCCCUCCCCUUCGGCUUCUUCUCCGAGGACUGCGCUUAUCGUGGAUUCCGCCGCCCUCCGAUCGAGACGCCUCCGCCUCGCCGUUGCCGUCCAGGUCUCCAUCUCUCGUCUCAACGCCGGAACCCUAGCUGCCGGUACCAAUCCCUUCCCGCGGCAGGAUCGCCCGGUUCCUCAAGGCCGGCAAGUACGCCGAGCGCGUCGGCGCCGGGCCCCGGUCUACCUCUCCGCCGUCCUCGAGUAUCUCGCCGCCGAGGUACCUUUCCCGAUCCGUCUCUCGUUCCGGCUUUUUCGUUUCUUUUUGCCGAUCGGCUGUUAGAAGAAAAAAGAGAAAGGGGAAAUCACACUUUCCCUUCCAUCCGAAGCCUCCCGGUACGGCUGUUUGCACUUUCCUCUCCCACUUCGCUCGCUGCUUCGAACCUACUCAAGAUUCUCUCCGUCUCUGCGAUCCACCAAAAAUCCCCGACCCUCUUCGCAAUCAUCAAUGGUGGGUUGGUUUAUGUGCUUUUCCUUCCUUUUCAUCAUUCCAUUUUCCGCGCGUCCAUUCUUAUAUCAAUAGCUCGCGUUCUGGUUGUUGCUGGGUCUUCUUGAAUCUCGAUUCUUUUUGUGAUUCUUCUCGAGCUUUUGGGUCCGGGUCAGAUGCUGUUUCCUUUGGGGGUUCUGGAGCUGAGCGAUCUGGCUACGUGAUCGCAAAAUUUGGAUUUUUUCGAUCUCAUUUGGUUUGUUGUUUUAAUUGUUGUUGUUUCCCUUGCGUGUCUCUUUCAGGCUUUGCCGAAUCGUUGGCGAUAAGGGCACGGGUGGCCCUGGCCUUCCCAUUGCGAAAUGCUGCAUACCCAGAUGGACAAUUUCGACAAGCAGCCUACCCAGAUGGACAAUUUCGACAAGCUGGCCUUCGCAGUUCAUUCCCAGUAAGCCAAUUUGACUUUUUUCUAUAAAGAGGAAAAAGAGGAGAGAAAUUUCCAGGCUCUGCUAUUUUUUUUUUUUGGGGUUAAUUCUCGUUUCCCUUUUCUGGUCGUUGUUAUGUUUCUUGCGGUUGAAUUCUGUGUUUUCAAUUCAAUUUCGGAACUUGAUUUGAGAGCUGGGAUUUGUGGAUGUGAUUUCAUAGUUUUGGAGCUCUGAACGUGUUUCUGUGACUUCUCUAGGAUGAUGACUGUGUACUUUGGUAGUUUUUUUCUUGGGUGAUAACUUUUGAGGUUGUGACUUUGACUGGUUUUUUGCUGAACCUUUUGGUAUAUUUGUCUUCUCUGAUAUUGAAGUAGUUGGUUAUGUUCUCUCUAGGUUAGGUGUGAACUGAUAUUCUCGUUCUUUCUAUUGGUCACUAAUUUGCUAGCUUGGUGUUGCUUGUCCUAGCUUUUAGGUUUCAUAGCCUAAUUCAUGAAAAUUGAACCAUUUCGUCGUUUGGAGGACCUUUUAUUGUCUCUGCUCAUCCUUCUCUCAAUUCAAGAGGCUGUAUUUGAGUUAGGGCGAAAUUAUAUCCACGUGCUAAGUUUCCUACUUGUGGUCUUUGUUGUUGGCAUCAGUUGCUUCACAGGAAGUACAGUGGAAAUUUCAUUGUGAACCUUUUGGGUAAAUGGAAAGAAUCUGAGUACUCAGGUGGCCAAUCUGUCCCUGUUGGUGGUAUCGCCUACUAUAUCACCACUCCAUCAAGGUGAUUAUCUGUUCCUUUUAGAAAAAUGAUGUUCAGUCUGGCUUUGUUGAUUUGAAAACUCACCAGUUGACAUUUUGCUCUAUCCUCCUGCAGCUUGGCUGAUAUGGCAGCCAAUCCCUUCCAUGCGCUCUUCUAUCUUGUGUUUAUGUUGUCAGCUUGUGCACUGUUCUCCAAAACAUGGAUUGAAGUUUCUGGAUCCUCUGCUAAAGAUGUUGCCAGACAGCUCACGGUAUGAAGUGUGUGAAACUUUAUUUCUCUUGACAGAGUCUGCUAAUAAUUGAAUGAGAAACAACCUUAUGUUUCAAAUAAUGGGGUAUCAAGAGUUGCGUGCUUGCAUUUUGAGGCCACAAUUGUUUGGCUUUUAUGUACGUUUAGCUCGAGUGACCCUGGAUUUAUCAAGUUCAUUGGGAGCUUUACCUUUUCGACAAUCAUCUUUUACUAUCCCUAUUGUUUGUUGAGCUUUUAAAUCUCUGAUAAGCUGAUUUGCAUCUUCCACGUGUUUCUGUGUUUUGCUGGAGCCACCUACUUAUGACUUGUUCUUUGUCGUUUCUUUUGGUAAAUUCUAAUUGCUUUCAAAAUUGUCUGCCGGUCCUAAUCUGCACCUUUUGUCAUGCAGAUUUGCACAGUUCCAUCUUUUCCCUAACAUCUCUCUUUCCUUGUCAAUUUUAGGAACAACAAAUGGUGAUGCCAGGCCAUCGUGAGUCAAACUUACAGAAAGAGCUCAAUUGCUACAUUCCCACUGCUGCAGCAUUUGGAGGCAUGUGCAUCGGCGCACUGACUGUUUUGGCAAAUUUCAUGGGGGCAAUAGGCUCAGGGACCGGGAUUCUUCUCGCCGUCACCAUCAUUUAUCAGUACUUUGAUACCUUUGAGAAAGAAAAAGCAAGUGAACAAUGUGGAUUAGCAUGAAGCAGCUUCAUCACUGCAGUAUUAGGUUGGUAUGUUUCUUUGGAGUAUCUAGAGUGGAGCACGAUGUAGCUGGUCUUUCAUGAACUUAAGUUGAAUUCUGCAAUUCAGCACUUCAUUAAUGUGGCUAGUCGGGUAGGUGUUACUGGAAUAUACUGGUGUUACUGGAAUGAUACUUACUAUUGCAAAAUGUAAUUGUCUCUUCAUAAAUCAUGAGAAUCGAAAAGGAAUUUGCGGUGGUCUUAUGGAUGAGUUUGAUAAAAAAACUCAGUUUUCUUUUGGAUAUGGAACCUGCCCAACAGGUUGAAGUGCCAAAGCUUUAGGUUUCUUGGAAUUUUUUCUUCACUGCUCUUUGUUCUUCUACUUGGUGCUCUGCUAUUGAGUUUUUAUCAGUUAAAAAUACUUAGAUUGAUCACUCGCAAGAAUGGAUGUUAAAAUCAGGUUCUUAUAAUAACCUGUUCCCAUUAAAAAAAAAAAAAGCAAGAAACCCAUCAACCCGACCCAACCCGGAACACAUUAGAUGGUCUAAUGAGUUUCGGGUCGGUUCUAAUGUGUUCCGUGUCGGUUUGGGUUGGGUCACAAUGUGUGAUCCUUUGUGUUUCGGGUCGGGUCGGGUAACAACAAAAUCCCGACCCGACCCGACCCAUUGACACCCCUAGGUUUGCGUGCCAAUGGAUAGUGGGGUCGACUUAGUUGAGGAAGAAGAGUACUUUUACGAGGCAUUGCUUGAUAGUGACUAUUCUAUUAUGUAUGACUCUGAAAUGGUGGCAAAGGACCUCUCCACUUGGAAUAUAAGAACAGAGCUCUUUGGUUUCAUUUCUUUGAAUUGGAUGAGGUAGAGCGAAGAUUGGUGAAGGAUAAAUUGGGCAACUAAGCACUGUUUUUGAGUCAAAAUUAUCCCGCAUCCUUAUUGACUUCUAAAAUCCCAGGUUGUAGGAGAAACGACAUUUGAUAUCUUGAUGGUUUCACAGUGAAAGGGGGCACCAACAUGAAGAAGGGUUACGAAUUGUGCGGAUUCAACUUGAAAAGUAGAGCUACUCAACAUGUUAUUACACUUGUCUUACAUGUAGCUGAUCGCCGUUGCCCCUUUGGACGGGGCACUGGUUUAUUUCUUUAUCUGCAGGAGUUCACCGUUCUACUAAUCAUGUUGUUUAUGAUUGAUUGUUAGCAAAAAUAUAUUCAAAUAUCACUAUUGCAUGGUAAAGAAAACAAAUACAUGAAACAAAGAGAAAAAGAAAAAUAAACAAAAAAAAAAAAAAUAGUACGUGGACGAGAAUGCCCCUAAACGUGAAGAAGAUAUGGUUAAUUGGUGAAGCCAGGGCCUUAUUUGAGACUAAAUUGCCAACUUGAGGCCCUAAAAAACAAUGUCCACUUUAAACCUUCUUUUGAGAAUAUGGCUACAAUUCGAAUCCUUAUUUAAAAUUUUCUCCUUUUUUUUUUUCUCUAUUUAGUUAUUUUUCUUUCCUUUUUUCUAUUUUUUUUCUUUUUCUUUGACCCUUCCCGCCACCAUCCAUGGUGGAGGUCGCUGGAUUUGGGUGAGGGCCACCUCACCAAUGUUGGGUGAUGGCCGCCAUCGCCUAGGCUAACGCCAACAAGGGCUACCCUCACUAGGUUCGGCGAGGGUUGUCGAGGGUUGCAUUUGCCAAUGUUGGGCAAGGGUUAUUGUCGCUGGAUCUAGUAAGGAAUGCCCUCGCUGCCCUCGCCUGAGGUAGGCAACCUCCCUUGGCCAUCAAAAAGAAAAGAAAAAGAAAAGAAAAUAGAAAAAGAAAAAAAUAUAUAGUUACAAAAUUUUUGACCAAAGUACCACUUCUUCAUUGGCCGGAAUAGUCACCGGCUAGCCAAAGGAUCUCAUUUAAGACGAUUUGGGCCUUUAUUUGAGAUGAUUUGAUCAUUUCGGGCCUUAUUUAAGAAAACGAUAGUACUUCAAAUCCUUAUUUAGAAUUUAGAAUUUUCCUUGCAUCUUAAUUUCAUUACAACUCAUUUUUACUCCACCCUCGAGGGAUCCUCUACCCACGCCCAAGAAUUUAUGGUGUAAUGUCACCGGUGGUAUCUGUUAUUGACAGCUAACUGUUUUGCCCCAACAUCUCCUUCUCAUUUUAAAUUCGCCGGUAAAUCGGAAUCUAACCCCUAAGCAAACACUUCUAUAAUGUAUGCCUAGACUUCUCAUUUCUUUAGUUUUCAGAGACUAGGGUCACUUUUUACUUAAAAUAGGACGUCCGCAUGGAAUAUUAAAUUAGGCAAGAUCGCGAAUUUUUGUGAACCAGCCCAUUGUGUUGCUCCAGGUCACACCCACAAGCCCGUCUCACCCACCUUACGGGAAAUGGCAGUAUGUAUGCCAUACAAGGACCGCUCCAAGCAACGAGCGAAUGAAGACAUUCAUGGAAGGUCAGCACGACCAAGAUCAGUCGAGGUUAGGAAAUGUUUCAAUGAAUUGCAUAAUCCUCUCCGCAAUGAUGAAAAUAUGAUUCUUUAGGAUUAGAUCAGUAUCAAGCACACAUACAUACAUUAUGCAUAUAUCCGGCCUAGAUACAUCAUACAAUCAAGGGGAGGAGUGAACCUAGCAUGCUUCUAUGCAACUUUGGGUCUACAGGUUUACUCUUUUGAUAUUUGUUCAACUUCGUAGAAUGAGGCAAGGAUGUGUCCAUCCUCUUCUAAUUCUCUAUACCGAAUUUAUUUACAAGUUCCUAUGCAUAUUCUUGGCGAAUGAAGGUGCCAGCCUUGGUUUAAAUUCAUUUUGCGUAACCUCUGCAAAAUCCUUACCCAGAAUCUCAAUAACCUAGGUAUUCCUUAGUUCGAAAUAUUUUCAAAAUUCUUUAAAUCUUGAUUUGAUAAUUGUGAAAGUCAUGAUUUGGAUUAUAUUCAAAAUGUCUGCGAUACUUGUGAGUGCAUUUAUGCGAACCCCGAGCUAGCCUUGACAAUUGAAUGUUUUCCAUAGGCGAGACAUCACUCUGUCUCAAAAAUUUUGUGGAUGAUUUCAAGAAAAUGUCUUUGAAAUAUCACAUGUACCCUCAUGUAUAUAAUCACGUCAUUCAUUAGAAACGCCCGUGUUCGUGAUUGGCAAAUGCCCUUAGUAAUAAGUGACCUAUCCACGGUUCACUUUCUUGUUUGAUUAGUUGAGAAAUAAGGUUCAAAAGACCUGUAUGCAUAUUUUAUUCAAAUUCAUGCAUGUGACUUCUAGAUGUAUGUUAGGGCCGAUACAUGAUACCAAGGGUAGAUCUUGGGAAUGAUAUAGAACGUUUUGUUAGGGACUUAUAAGUAUUAUUGGCCAUACGAGAACACAAGUGAUCAAUAAUGGUUGUAAGUCAUAAAAUGAAUCGAGUAAGUGUUUUAGAGGGACUUACGCAUGAACUAUAAAGGCCUACCCGAGGAUCAAAUCGAAUUUGUGAAUUAAACUUCCUUUGAUUGAUUGACUUUGGCAUGAUGCUAUGCUUAUGGUUGUUUUGACAUGUAUACUUAUUUUUUUCUAUUGUAUGUGCCUAGUUACAAUCCUUAGACUAGAUAUUAGAUUAGGAUCUUGAAGAUGGAGGUGACAUGAAGAUGGUGAAAAAGUUGAUGUCUAAUCUGACUAUGCUUUUGUACUAUUUAUUCCCGACAUUUGUCUCAGAUUCUUGUUUUUGUAUAAAAGCCCGACGAGUUUUGAGAUUUUUCUUUAUUGUCCUUUAGUUUCGUUUCUCUUUCUUAGGACUGCAUUAUAGAUUUACUGCUUUCUUGGGUUAUUUACUUACUGUCUCGCAAUUUCAAUUCAAUUGAUUCAUUUAUUUUCCCAUUUUCUACAAUAAAGUAGCAUGUAAAUGCCCAACCACACAUGAUCGCCUAGUUUAGGAUAAACAAUCCUGAAAAAAUAAAGAAGAAAUGCAUGGACACCUUAGGUAAACAUAACAUGCUAUACGCGCCAACAUCCCUUCAUGGUCAUGCAAUUGCAACAUUUCCAAGUAGUGUCGCCAAGCCCAUUCAUUUUAAAAUGUGCAUGCGGAACGUAUUAUAAACCCUGGACACUGGACAAAAGCUCACGGGAUAGGAAAGCAGAAAACAAACCCAUUCAUAAUCAAACAUGCUAUAUUAACACUAGAGUUUACGUACACAAAAAAUGGUCAGAGUUUAUGUACACCAAAAAGGGUCAGCCUACAAAAAGAUCGGUUCACCAAAAAGAAGGAACAAUCCUAUAACCCUUAGCCGGACUUAUUCACUGAUCUCACUUCCGACUCGUUAACCUCUGGAGACGACGGGUCCUCCACUCUACCAUCAAGAGGGUCAGCUACGUCCUCCCCUAGGAUGGCCUCAAUCAUAACAUGUGGAAUAUCAAAACCACUAAGAGGACCGAUCCUGAAACCAUUGGCUCCAAAGCGGAACCAUGCCCUGUAUCGAUGAGGCACCCUGACAAACAAUGCCUCUUUGAUCCAGACAGUGGUCCUAAUAAGCCCGUAGAUCCAAUGACUCCCAAAAUCAGGAAAACUUUGCACCUGCUUGGUAAUCUGCACGGGAAGACCAUAACGCUCCGGGGCUAUCGCCAUCUACGGUCUUGAAAUAUUUGGCUCACAAUGGGGUGAGACAUUGUCUCAGCAAGUGCAUCCCCUAAACUCCUAUUAGAAAGGAAAUACGUCUAAGGGUGGCUUAGCCAUAUCACUUAUGAGACUUACCUUGCUUCAAGACUUUCCUGCAAAUUAGUACAAUUCAUAACACUUAAUCACAUGUAGUAAUAAGAACUUAACAACUGGAGCACAAUCACUUUCACAUAAUCAACAACACUCAACAUGCAUUCCAAUUGCUAUUCACUACCACACAUGAGCAUAGCCUACUCGCAAUUCAGCUAUCUACUGGCGUUUAGCCAUGCAUAAUCUUCCCACCUUAGAGCAUGACUUCGUCAUUACAUUGACAGCGUUCCUGAAGGAGCAUGCGCCUAGAAUCGACUGCGACCCGCAUCCGUUGAAUGGGGCAUCUCAUAUAGGGGCAAGUCUGACUCAACUACUCAGGACAAAUUCCUCUUAAUCAUCACACAAUAAAUUCAUAUUCGGCUUAGGAUACUUUGCAUUUUACUCAAGGCUUCUAAUUAAAUAGUGAUCCUGACCUAUUUUAUUCAUAUUAAAAACGCCCAAGAAAUUAUUCACGUGUGUGGGGGCAUGUUUCGAACUGGAAAACUAAUAUUUUAAGUUUUCAAACCCCACUAUUUAAUAUAAUAUUUAAAAUCCAAUUUCGGUGUCAAAACCCGACACGUGGGAUUUUAUGAAUAAAAUCCGCAUUUUUUCAAAUCAACACUCAAUUUGCAAUAUCCAACUAUCAAUUGCAUAAUCUGAAUACAUCACAGCGAUCAGCACGAAAUUUUGAUAAUUUUGAGGUGUCAGAAUAAUUUCUGGAAAAUAUUAAAUAAUUAAAUUUAUUCCGAAAAUUAAUUAAAUAAUAAUAUUUUGUUAAUUUAUAUAAUAUAUUUUAUUAUUAAUUAAAUAAAUUCGAAAUAUUUAAUUUAUAUAAAAUAAUCAAUUAAGGUCUAAAUAGAAUUAUACUAAUCUAAACAUCUACUUAGCCUUAAUUAAUUAUAUCAUAAACUAAUCACACCCCUUAAUCUAAUCCACACUUAACUAAACUAAUUAAUCCACCUACUCUUACUUAGCUUAGCCUAAACACCCAACUAAGCAGCAUUAAGCUUCUAAUCAAGGUUUAGAGGCUAAACUCACCGGAAUCGCUUUCCGAUGAGCUCACGGCGAAGACAAUGGCAAGGCGGUUGACAAACCUCCACGUGGCGGUACCAAGCGAGGACCGUAAGACACCUAAAACAGGCCUUGAAGAUCCGGCACUUGCUGGAACUCCAGCUGCUGCUCAAGAUUGAACUGAAGAGGAAGAUGGGUAGAACGGCGAGGAGGAAGACAGCUAGGGGCGACGGUGGCUCAGGCGGGUUGAGGAGGUGGCUCCGGCGGCCUUGGUGAUGGCGAGCAGCAACUGGCAACGUUGGACGAUGGCUUGGACGCACGGCUGUAGAGGAUGACGGCCAGGAAGCUCGGACGGAGGUGGAGCAGUGAGCUGGCAGGCGGAGCAACAUGCGCAGAAGGGCGGCGAUGGCGAGACCUCCAGUGGACGUGCGGGCGAGCGUCGAGCGAAGGGGGGAAGUUGCCGGUCAGUUGCUGCUCACCUUUUUCCUUGCCCCAACUGGUUCUCAAGGUUGAAGAUGAAGAUUGAUGGGAGAGCCCCACUUUUUGAGAGCCAAUGAGCUACUUCCACUUGUCAACACCCCCUCCAAAUUGGUCCCAUCAUGACCUCACAUGAUAUCACCGUCCACUCACCCCUAAUCUUCCUUAACAAGCUUUCAAUGGGUCCAAUUUGUCUCAUCCAUGAUGGCAUACGAAUUUAAAAAAAUUUGUACAUCAAAUUCCUUCCAUUCCAUUCAAUUCCCUUCCAAUUGAGCCAAAUUGAUGUCCAUAAAUUUAUCUAAUGUAACCACUCUUAAAUUCACAAUUUCCCUUGACCAUAGAACCAUCUUAGAUCCCAAAAGUGCGACAAAAAAUGGGCUUACCAAUUUUUCGAGCCAAAAUAACCAUACUUUGAUUUUUCGCCGAAAAACUAAAUUUACAGAAAAAUCCUCUGAAGAUGAGUCGACGUUCCCAACAUGAUUUGCGACAUGAUAGGACUUUGGUUUCAAAUUCAUGAUUAAUUUCAUUCUGGUGUGAUCCUAGCGUGUCCUAAUCUAUCGGGUAGCUUUUAGGAAUUUUUCAAGCAUUUGACCCGUGGUUGAUCAUUUUCAAGCCACAAAGUACAUCUUCGACACAUUGGCGACUCUCGGUUGUCGUGAAAAUCUCGAAGAUUCAAAUACAGACAUAUGGUACCAAAAUGACAGAAAAAUCGGUCUAGUGCCGAUCAACAAGUGUUGUGCGAUCUAGUGGCAUCACCCACACUUGAUCACAUGCCUUUGUUAAGUUGACUUAUCUCCGGUCUCUAAUUGAUUUUUAACUGUGCCGUAAUGGCUUUUACAGAUUAACUCGGUUGAGAAGUCGUUGCUUGGUCGAAUUCUCAAGUCUGAUGUGUUAAAAUCCCUUAACGGAUUUACUUGAUAGACUAGUUUCCUCGUGAGUGGCCAACUCAAAGAAAAGAACUAUAUGCGCAUAUAUGAAAUGCCCGACUCAUUCUAUUAAAAACGGAAUUGGAAAAUAAGGAUGUCACAACUCGGUACCGAAAGGGUGCUAAUAAAAAUAUUAGCGUAACCUAAGUCUCCGAACCUAGAAAUCUGGUUGCAAAAGAGUCAAAGGAACACUCCCGACCCUCGAUUGGGAAGUCCGACUCCCAAAAAUGAGGCUAGUGAUGACUCCCAACUUAUUUCUGGGUUGUCUUAUACAAUUAGACCAUAUAAAUCAAUUCGUCGUGAGAGGUAUAAACUAUAAGAAAAGGUUCACAAUUAUGAUUUAGCAUACUUGAGAUGGUGAAGCCGAUAAAGAUAAAGUGAUGCCAUCUUUGGUGGAGGAACAUCUUGAGAGGGCUAUCACAGUUGUUAAAAAUAGCCUUAAACUCACCUUUACAUCUAGAUUCCUUUCGACCUUAAAAUCGUCGGUUAGGACAUACCAGAUGUCAAGGUAGGAUUGUGACACUCCAUUAUCAUGCAAGAUACGAGCUUGGGAGAACUCACGAUGAAGAUUAAGUGAACUCAUACAAGGUUCGUUCAGGGGGUGAGGUAAUGACAUUCAUGUGAUUGAGAAUCGUGAAGGAACUUUCGUGGUCAAGUAUCCCUAAACUCGACAUUUCCCCUUUCUCUCCUUGUGGGAGGAUUGACGGUGAGAUCGGGUCGCGAUAGGCUUCGCAACUCCACUGGAGACCGGUUACUAGAUUAAGAGGACUUGAAACCGUUUAAAAAUGAUUGUUGUGUCUAACUAAUGUGUCUUAUGUAGGAUCGCUUGCGUGUUAAAGUCGCAUGGAAAAUGAGGUAAGUCGCUAACCACGUGUUAAAUGAUCUUGUAUGUGGGAGUUACAAAGGGUGGAGUAAGUGUAAACCAUUUGUCUUGCAGGUGGUGAAAGGAUGUAUGCGUGUAUGUUGGGUUAUAUUGAAGUGCUGGAUGAUUAAAAUUUAAACGUAUGUUUACGAGUUUUAGCACAACACCACACACAACCGCGGUCUAAAUCCCUAUCAUCCCAUUUAGGACUUUAGGAGGGUUUAUGGGUGGAACCCAUGAGUGAAUACUCAUGGUAAUCCAUUACUUACAUACACCUGUGUUGACACCUAAAUUUUGGCGACUUGUUUAGUCAUUUAUUGCAUUAAAAAAUUAGGGGUUAAUUUUAUCCCUGAAAAAAAAAAUUAAUUGCAUAAAAAUUUAGGUGCAUUUAUUUUGCAUUCUUUGCAUUUAUUUAUUGGACUGGCGACAAAUGGGUUUGAAUUAGUGGUUCUGAACUUUAAAUUGAUGAGUCGGGCUAAGGCCACGAAGAGAGCAAAUCGGCUUAAGCUCGUAUCAUCGGUGAGAUUUUACGAAUUUAACUUUGUGAGAUUUCAAUUAAAAAAUAAAUAUUAUGUUUGGAAAAACAAAUAUUGCAUUUUGAAAAAAAAUCUUUGUGGAUAUAGUUUUGAAAAAUUAAAAAAAUCCUAAUUCGUGGCCUAUAAAUAGGUUAAUUCGCUAGGGUUUAAGGGGGCACACAUUGAACAUACGGCCAAGAAAACACGCGUGAGAAAUCAAGAGGAAAGGGGGCGGAUCGUGAGAGCCAUGGGACUCCUUCGACGUCAGGGAUCUCCAUGCACGCCCACAGCUCUUUCUCGGUGAUGCUAUCGAGUUCGUUGAAGGACGCCUAACAUCAAUUGCCCGCUAUUUUCGUUGAUCUACCACGCCAGGUGUUCUGCUGUCGUCCUAUUGCAGUCCUCAGCUUCUCCAGCAAGCAUUCAGACCUUCAAACGUCAACCCAAUCUGCUGUCCCCGCUGCUCUGCCACACCGGGUGUUUCGUCGCCAUCCCACCGCUGUCCCGCUUGCCACUACGCUUUCCUCGUUCGAGCUGCAACGCCGCACCCCGCACUGGACUGAGAUGACGAGCCACUGUCCUAAUCUUCACCACCAUGACGUGGGUAGUUCCGACGAUGUGAACCUGUUGCUCCCUGCCGCGACGCCCUCGUUGCUUGACGUUAUGUGUAACUCGUGAUCUCCUGCCGUGAAAGCCUAGCAGUCCCUUAGGCAUUCCUACAGCGUUCUUCAAUCUAGAGUCCACAAAUUACAGCCGCUACAUUUGUUCUUUUCUUCUGCAGGUCUUCUCGGGGUACCCAAUAGAGACGUCCACGGGAUAAACCCGUAGAGAGAGAGAGAGCCGCGUGCUUUCACUUCUCUACUGCACCCAUUCACAAAGACCACACAUGAAGACAGAAGAGAGAAAUCAUGGGCAAAGAUUUUCCUAGUAAAAGAGGGUAGUCAACUUUUCAAUAGAAUUCGCGGGUCUAAUUUGAAUCACCUGCAGGUUUCUUUGGUCUUGCUGUGAAGUAAAAUAAUUCCUCACGCAUGAGUCCAUUGUCGGUGAACAUCCAUUGCCGCUUGCUUGUACAAACACCCCAUCGCGGCAAUCCUUCACCCAGAAGCACCAUUGCGCCGAAUCUCGCUCACCAUCCUUGAGUCGAUCCCAUUGAGUUCAAGUUUGGCAAUAUUACUUGCGAAAUUAAGUAAUUAUCUUAUCUAAAUUUGAUUUGGAUAUUUUGUUGCCUAAUAUAUGUCUAUUAGUAUCUAAAAUGCAUAUUUAUAAGUGAUAGACAUAUCUCCUAAUUAAAAUUGAUUGCCUAAUUCGCAACCGCACAUGGAUUUUUUAUUCCAUCUAUGAGGCUUUAGAUGGAAAAUUAAUCACGCGGGAAUAAAAUUGAUAUCUUGAUCUUUAAGGUUUAAGAUCAAUUUAUCGAUUUUAUUAGCGAAAUAAUCAAGUUGAUUUGAUAUCAUUUUUAGAUUUGAACGAUGGAUAAUAUAUUUGAUGACUAUGAAUGAUUUGGUGCUUAUUUUUUAAUUACUUUAUUUAUCCCAAAAAUACAAAAAAUUGCAUUUGCAUAUCAUGUAAGUUAGAAUGGAUUGCAUAGUUAGGUUUUUUAAUGCAUGUUUAGAUAGCAUCUAGAUUAGAUAAUAUUCCUUUGAAUAAAAUUGCAUGUUUCAUUUUAAGUUUAUGUUGAUUUUUUGUAGAUAGAUUGCAUUCUUUUUUAAUAAAAAAUAAAACAUGUCAUAUGCAUGUCAUAUAGAAUUAGGUUCAUGAAAUGCACAUCAUUUAGUGAUUAUUGCUAGGUUCAUUUAAUUAGAAAUUGCCCGUCAUUUUAGGUCAUUAAGUUAAUUUAGAUCGCACAUUUAAUUAUUGCAUUUCUUUAAUUUCGAAAAGGAGAAAAAAAACCAAAAAUGUCUUAGAAUAAAUUAAUUUUAUUCUCUAGGACAGAUUGUAUGCUUAUUAAGAAAACACAAAAAUAUCGCAUUUGCAUCAUAUAGUUUGGGUCAUAUUGCCAUGUCAUAUCAUUUUAUGUUAGAUUAGUAGCAUACAUACAUAAAGCAUGAUUCUCAUUAAUUAAUUGAAAACAAAAAGAAAUUGCGUAUUAAUUAGAAAUCAUAUCUAAAACCGUUAAUGUGAAUUCUGAUCUAAUAUUAUAGAUGUUUUCGUUGUUACAAGGCAAGUCCCGCAAUUUAUUCAUUGCUUUAUUGGUGUUAAAUUGGUGGUUUGCGUACCUGCAUGAUCAUUUCACAUGUUAGGAAAAAAAAUUUAAAAUCAAUCCAAGUUGUAUUAAAAACAUUUUUGAAAAUAAAAAAAAUGGUACCGAAAUGGCAUUAGAGAAAUCUAGUGUAUUCAAAUCCUCGUACCCAAAGUCUCUAGUUCAUAGGAGUAAAAUAAUCCUCAAAUUAUCUUACUUAGGUGUCUAAUCGACUUACCAUAAACUGAUUAGUGGUGACUUAUAUAUAAAAUCUAUUCGCAUGUUAAGAAAUUUGAACCUAAGUCGCGAAUUGGUAUGCGCUUGGGAGAGCCUGAGUUAAGUUCAGGCUUAAUAAUCCAUUAGCCUAAUUUUAGGUGGUACACCCAAAAAAUUUGGUCGCGACAACUCGCUCAUCCCAACCAAUAAAAAUAGCACUGAUUGAUGAUAGUAGUAGUGGAUAAAUUAUUUUAUUCAUCCCUUGAACCUUUAGUACCCUCACUUUAGGCAAACCUCACAGUUCAUGCGACAUGUGAUUUGUGAUUGCCAUGUGUCUAGUGAAUAAGACAUUGUUCCUUUCUUAUCAUUGUUAUAUUAUCUAUUUUUCCGUACUUUAAUCACACGCUUUAUAUUUCAAAGAUGAUAUGUUUUAAUCAUGAAUGCCCUUUUAGGUUUAGGUUUAGAUGGGUAAGCCUGAAUUGGACAUCAUCCCUGUGUUGAGCAAUCUCAAGACUAUAUGGGAGAAUCUCGAACCAAGAUAGGAAAAGCGUAUAGGUUUCCUCCCAACCUUGCUAAAGGUCGAACCUCAUAUUGCGAUGGUGAAGGCAUUGGCUCAUUUUCGUAAUCCCAUGGCCUCCACCUUCAUGUUUAAUCGAUAUGAAGUAACCCCCACAACUGAGGAGUUUUGGAAAGCCAUUGGGUUAGGCAAAGCUUUCUUAGGUUUCAUUACUUCUCCUAUUAGUCAAGAUCCAAUCUCUCUCCUAAGUCAAUUUAUCAAUAUCUUUACCAACAAAAUAAAGGCCAUUCUUAAAGGAAAUUCGAAUUCCAUGCCCUAUACAUUCCUUGAACAACACCUUAUUAGCCUAAAGCCUAAAUCUGGACACCAAAUUCCUCGCAUUUUCCUUCUCAUAUUCUUCGACUUUGUGGUGUUCCCAUGACCCGAAAAAUAAUGGAUCCUUUAAUCACUCAAAUUAUCAAUCGGGUUUGCGCUUUUAGGUGCUUUACAUACAUGAUGCUUGACUAAACUUUCGUGUCUCUUAAUUGUUUCAAAGCAAAUGACUGAGGAACUCUUAGAGCCCCAUUAGGACUUUUCCAAAUUUGGCUCUUUUCCAAAAAUUAAUUUGGAUCUUCUUAAAGGAAAUUCGAAUUUCAUGCCCUAUACAUGCCCUAUAAAUUCCUUGAACAACACCUUAUUUACCAAUUUAAUUUUUUUGAUCAAAUUUGAUUGGAAAUUGCUAGCAUAUAUAAUUUUUAUAAUUUUCGGUAGAAGAAUAAGUGAAGGCGGUUCGUUUCCUUGGCAAUUUUUCUUGUAUGAUGAUAUGUCUCGUUCGGAGUUUUUUGCCUACAAACUUUGGGUGCAUCAUUGAUAGAGAGUACAAAUGAGACACGGUCCUUAUUCUCCCAAGAUUUGAAAAGUCAAGUAAGUACUAAGUGUAUGCAAUGAGAGAUCACAUAGAAGUGAUUAGUUCUCGGGUGAUUCGGUUCCCAUCUUGAAAUCAAGAAUCAGAUCAAAAGGAUCGAUUCCUUGUUUCUAAAAUCAAGAACCAAACCAAUGCCCCUGGAAUUGGAUCGACUAAUCUAGUUCAGCUCCCGGGUGGGUCAUGGAACUAGUGGCAUGUUCAGAUUUUUUUUUUUUUUUGUCAUUAAUGUUCAAGAUGAAAUUGAAGAUGUUCUUGAUAACCAAGAUGUUUCUGCGAUUAGUGAAUGAGGUGUAACAUUGUAGGUUUCACAUAAUUUUUUUUCCAAUUAGUGGCAAAAUUUGGUUAGAAUGAGCAAUUGAUGUUGUGUUUUGAUUUAUUCUUGUCAACUUACUCACAUGCGUGAGUGAAAUGGGAGUCAUGCAACUCAUGUGUGUUUGCGUGCGUGAAGUCUGAAAUUUGAGAUAGAUUAGGGGGUUUUUUUUUUUUUUAUACAGAUUAUAAGGAAAUACAAAAUUUAAAAAAAUCAGUCCGGCCCGAGUGGGUGGUUCCACACUUGAAACUAGAAUUGGACCAAAUUCAUUGGUUCCAAUUUUAUAGAAUUGAGAACCAGACUAGUGUCCCCAGGAACUGCCAAAAACCGGCCGAUCCGGUCCUGUCCAAGCGGUUCCUUUUGCUCACCCAUGAUCACAACUCUAAAGUAGAAGAAUGCCAAAGAAGAAAAAUCAUUAAGAGCAGACUGCUUUGAGCUGGUGAUUGGUGAUGGGGUUUAUACUCCUAGGUAAGAAAUUUCUGUUGCAUUCUGGAAAAGAAUAAUGCGUAUCUUCAGAGUGAUUAAUCAACUAGUUUCAAAGAGGUAAAAAAUAAACAUUUUCCAUUGUCAUGCUACGAAAAAUAAGAUUUUUAGAUAAGAUUUCAUUAUAUACUUUUACAUUAAGACAAGAUACGUCAAACAUAGGUUUGUUUUUUUUAUUUUGUAUCUUGGUUGUUGGCCUAGGAUUUCUAAUUAAAAAUAUGGAUUGUGGUCGAUACGUAUUUAUGGAGAAAUGUCAUUCCAAGGAAUUUAUUUUUCCUUCCACAAUUUUGAGGAAAACACCAUCUUGCUACCUCGUGUUAACAAAGAAAAACGCAAUCAUUAUUACCAAAAGUCAUUUUGGAGAAACCGGGCAAAUCGAAUUAGGAGCAAAAUAGUGUCUCAUAUUGGACCUUAGCGUAAAUGUGACUUACAACACGUGUGUCAUACACCUUAAUUUACUUUAUUUAAUGCUUCAUUCGUUUCACAGAAAACAUUUCUCAAGAAAAUAUUUUCUUCAUUUCCUGACAUUCGAUUCACUUAGAUAAAUGAAGCAACAGGAGUUGUCCACAUAAGACUUGUCUUAGUGAGCUUCAUAUUGUGGAAUUUUUUGCUUCGGAAGACUUCGUUGAUUGGCUCGACAUAAGAAUAUUGCGGAGAAUCGAAAGGUGAAGCUUGUGUCCAAGAUGUAUGAAAUGCAUGCUUCGAUUUGGUGGGAAAAUCUAACUUGUCGAAGAACUCCUGAAGGAAGGUGAAUCGUAACAUUGGAUAAAAUGAAGGUGCUCAAAAAGAAGCAUUUCCCAGAAACUUAUCAGCAAGAUGCCUUCGAUAAAUUCCACAAUACGAAGCAAGAGGAGUUGUCCGGAGAAGAAACCACCAAAUUUGAGCAUUUCAUGUUACGAUGCGAUGUGGUGGAGGCAGAGGAGCAAACUAUAGCUGGUAUUUUAGGGGUCUUCGUUUGAAAAUUGCCGAUGUUGUCCGAUUACAACCUUAUUGGACUUUUAAUUAGGGCUUCAAAUUAUCAAUGAAGGUGCAAAAGCAACUUAAGGAGAAAAGAGAGUUUGAAUCAGGAGCCUUUGUCGGGAUCGAAGGAAGCUGUUGAACAAAGGAGGAGCAUCUAAAACCAAUUAGCCAAAUGAAGAUAACAAUAAAUCAAGACUGCUUGAAAUAUCAUGGAUUUGGUCGCAUCGCCUCGAGUGUCCUAAUAGAAAGAUCAUUUCUCUUGUGCAAGGUGAGCAACAGGGAGAGUCGCAACACAACCCUUUGCUCCAAGAAGAUUCAACACAACCCUUCGCAGCACAACCCUUUGCUCCGAGAAAAUUCAAGGAGCCGCGAAGAAAUCGUUUACAGAGAUCAAGGAGAAGCUCUUGUCAUUCAAAGGAGCUUGCAUGCUGCUCAUCUCGAGGAUGAUGAUUGGCUUUGCAAAAAGAUACUCCAUACAAGACUGCACUUCUCAUUUUAAAGUACGUGAUGUCAUACUUGAUAGUGGAUGUUGUGAGAACGUUGCGUCGACCACUAUGGGAGACAAGUUGCAUCUCAAGGCGGAGGAUCAUCCACAUCUUUACAAGCAUUUGUGGCUCAAGAAAGGGAGUGAGAUAAAAGUAAAUAACCGGCGUUUUAUUUCAUUCUCUAUUGGCAAAAGAUAUAAAGAUGAGAUUAUGUGUGAUGUAUAACACCUAUCCCUUUGUCAAAGACCGCGUCAAGAUUACAUUGGGCCCUUGCAAGACGGAGAGAGUUCCCAAGCCUCAUGGGAAAGGAACAAAUCUUCUUUCCAAGUCUUAAGUUUUCGUAAGCAUCGGAGGAUGCUUGUGAGGCUUACGCUUUUGUUAUAGUGGAAGAAAAUAAGCAAAAGAGGAGAUCCCAACCAUUUUACAGCCGUGGCUUGAGGAUUUCUGUGAAGUCAUGCCAAUGAAAUUCCAUCCAACCUUCCUCCUUUGAGAGAGAUUCAACAUCAUAUCGAUUUUGUGCUUGGUGCUUCUGUUCGAUCGAUUGAGCUCUGAGAAGCAUAAAGAACUUCAAAGGCAAGUUGAUAAACUCUUGGCCAAGGGAGCAAUACAAGAAAGCUCGAGUCCUUUUGCUGUCCCGGCACUUCCAGUUCCAAAGAAAAAUGGUUCUUGGCAAGUGUGCAUUGAUAAUAGAUCGGUGAACAACAUAACCAUCAAGUUUUUUAUUUUUUAUUUUUCCUUGCCUUGGUAUUUGCUUGAUCAACUUCAAAGAGCUUGUGUGUUUUUCCAAGAUCAAUCUUCAAUGAAGUAGGAGAUUAAAGGAUGACAGCUUUCAAAACUAAGAAUGGUCUUCUUAAAUGCAUGGUGAUGCCCUUUUGACGUUUCUAAUACUUUUAGUACUUUUAUGCAUCUUAUGAAUCAUGGUUUUAAACCUUUCAUUGGCUAGUUUGUCGUGUAUACUUUGAUGACAUCGUGAUUUAUAGCAUAGCAAGGCGCAAGUGGAGCUUUUGGAGUAUCAAAUUCUUCAAGUGCUACGGGAACAACGUUUGUAUGCCAACCUGAAGAAGUGUCACUUUUGCACAAGGAGCCCGGUGCUAUGUUGUCUCCAACGAUGGUGUUAGAGUAGAUCUUAGAAAGAUGGAGGCAAUAAAAAGUUGGCCAAUUCCUAGCUCGCUGAAUGAGAGAAAAGCUCAAGAAUGUUUUUGGCCUUUUUUAUUUUUCAAAUAUCGUCCGAAUGUUAUGUUACACAAAUAAGGCCAGUCACUCCAUUUGGACGUUGCAUCUGAACGUUAAUCACAUAGACCAAGCAACUAAACAGACAAAAAAAAGACGAGGAAAUACACACCCAAAAAAAAAAGGAAUAAUAGUACAAGGACCACCAUUGCCAUGACGUCUCAUCUUCCACUUUCAGUUUCGAAGGAUAUUUGGUUACUUACAUCUCUUGAUGCAUUGCUUCUGAGGAUGCCAUAACAUUCGUUUGAUCUCUCACCAAGCAAAUGCUCAGCUUCUUCAAGGUCACCGCUCCGAUUCGACCAUGGAUGCCUAUCCAUCAUCCUCAUCAGUCCGUCCAAUUCCAUUGCCACUUCCUUCAUGGUUGGCCGAUCUUCGCCUUUCACUCUCAGGCAUUGGUUUGCCAGCAUCGCAACUUCCUUAAUCUCUUCUGGGUUCCCAUUGUUCAGCACCAUCGGGUCGAUGAUUUCAAACAGCCUCUCGCUCUUUAUCGCAGAAGCAAAAUACAAGGACAAGUUCAUCUCUUUCUCAGCCCGCUCAAAGGAGAAGGCCCUCAGUCCAGUCAGCAACUCAGCCAACACGACCCCGAAGCUAUAGACAUCGCUCUUCUCAGUCAACUGGCUCGAGUGGAGGUACUCGGGGUCCAAGUACCCACGCGUGCCUUGAACCAGCGUGUUCAGCUGUGUGCCGUUGAGGGGGACUAGCCUGGAUGCUCCAAAAUCAGCGACCUUUGCGGUGUAGUUUUCAUCCAACAAUAUGUUUGUGCUCUUUAUGUCUCCGUGCAAAAUCUGAGUGGAUGCAUCGGAGUGCAAGUACGAGAGCGCACCUGCGGUCUCCCCUGCAAUGCGCAGACGAGCCCUCCGGGAUAAUGUGGACUCGUGGCCGCACUUGUGUAUGUGGUCAGAAAGGGUGCCAUUGGUCACAAACUCGUAGACUAAUAACGGGACCUCCGUCUCGAAGCAACAACCGAUUAGCUUAACCACAUUGCGGUGAUUAAUUUGGGAGAGGAUGAUCAGCUCGUUGAUGAAUUCUUUAACCUGACUUCGGGCCAAAAUCUUGGCCUUCUUGAUGGCGACAACCCUGUUGUCUACUAAGAUCCCUCGGUAUACAGUUCCCUGGCCUCCCUGGCCUAGGAUUCGGCUUUCAUGGUAGUGGUCCGUGGCCUUCUUGAGAUCUCGGUCGGUGAAUAUUCUCACAGAUUCAAUGGAGCCUUUGUGCUCAGAACGAAGUCUCUGCAACAGUUCGUGGCCCCCAUUUUCUUGGAAGAACUUCUCUCUCUGUCUCCUGAUUUUUCUUUCUCUAAGCCCCCAAUAUAACCAGGAAACGGCCAAAAGAACCAGCAGGAAGCUUGUGCUCACGCCUAGUAAAAGACAUUAUAUUCGGUGAACAAACACAUUAGUUGUCCAUCACACUACAUAUGUUCUCAUAACCAAGAAAAGAAAAGAAAAAAACAGAAUCGAAAUUUGCUUGACUCUUUCAUUUUCAUUACUCAAACAAUCUUGUGUUAAUUUACUUCUUUGUCCUAUUUUCUUAUUCUUCUCCAUCAACUUGAAGCUUUCAUUAAGAAAAACCUUGAUAAUAGCAAAAUAAACCUAAAUAUUUAAUUAUGCUGAGAGUAACUUAUGAUAACAGGAACGAUUCAAUGCAUCAAGUGGAUAAAACGUGCUUGAUUCUUUUUCAACAACAGAAGAGCAAGUGGUUGAUUUUGUUAAUAUCGAAUUGAAUAACUUGAGAUGACGACACAGGUAUAUAAUAUCAAUUUAAUCCAUGGACACAAUUAAUUCAAAGAGAAAGAUUUACAUCCGAAAAAUCUCAAUAACUAAUAGCAAAAGAUGGAACAAUGGCAUAAUAACAACAUUUAAAGAAGGUGAAUAAAUUACAAGAUAAAAGAAGCUUUUAUAUGAUGAAAAAGUUUGAGCAAUGUGUACGACUUACUGACCUAGCACGAUGUCCAUUGAGCGAAACCUCUUUGUAGGAGUACAACCGUUGCCAUCUUUUUUUCCAUCUCCUCGGGAUCCCUUCGGACAUGAACAAUUAUACGUUCCCGGCAAGUUUGUACAUAUUCCAACGCAGGGUUGUGAAAUCACGCAUUCAUUGAUAUCUGGAGGAAUAUAUUCCAAAUGGAAGAAGCAAUCCAACACCAUUUCAAUUGGAAGAAACUUGAAAAAGUAAAUAGAAUUCCAUGAUUUGGCAACACUUUCAAUUUUGAGAGGACACGUCAAGUUAAUUUGCUUUUUCUGAGAUUGUGAUACCUCACCACACUUUUUAAGUGAUAGGUCAUUAUCUCAAGAGCCUAAGCGUAACCGAGCAUUUGAUCUUUGUUUAGAAUAGAAGAUUUAAGAAUUAUCCAACAAAAUUGUGCCAUUACUAAUUAGAAUAAUACAUUACAUAGAAAAAAAUUCAAAAAUAAUUGUCUAUAAAUACAGAAUAAUGCUGGAUGUAUUAACAUCGGUAGGUGAAACUGAUUUACAAGCUAACUUUACCGAUUCAUAUUGAGGGUUCAGUAUGGACCGUUUAUAAACUCAAUUUCACUCGACUGAUUCAGUUUAUAAAACAAUUGUACGGACUAAACUUAAGAGAGAAGAAUGUCUAGCUAUAUCUGGAAUGAUAGCUGUGAAAGUUAACAGAUUAUUACUAAGCGCUUCAUAGGUCAUAUUAAAUUUCAAGCAAUGAAAAUUCGUGCAUCUGAAAGGAAAAAAAAAGGUAUGAUUGUGUUUAACGGCCUAGAUUGUUAUGAUUUUUAAGAUUAUAAAUGUUACGUGACUAAUAGGAGAAUCGUUUGAAACAUGUACCAUUCAUCAAGUCAAAAUUUGGUCCUCUGACUUGAAGUUUCUAAGAAUUUCUUUCUCUGGGUUUUUUAUGCAAUUGGAUCCAUUUAACAUGGUCGCCCUUAUGGAAAUAAUGAUCCACGAUUCUAUACAGGAGCACUCGUUCGGAUGUGAGGUGGGUCUAAUGAAAAGAAGGGAAAAGGUACCUUGACAACCGUUUUGGAGAUAGGGGUUCCCUUGAAAACCCUUCAAGCAGUGGCACUGGUAGCCAUUUCCAUUCUCAGCAUCUGUACAAUUGGAGUUCUCUCGGCACAUGUAGGUCGUUGUAUUCUUCUGUGCAUCAUCGCAUGUUUGAUUUGGAAUUAACCAAUCGACAACUAGAGGGACCAUAUCAAAUGGCGGCUCGCGCAGAUUGUCCGUAGAGAAGCUAAAGAAGCCGUCUUGGGCAACGAAAGCGUAUCCGCACGGAUUGAAAUCAGAGAUGCCGAGAUGAUUGUUGUAGCUAGCGACAGAGAUGUUGUAUCGGUAGGCGUCUCGAGGAAUGCUAGUCUCGCAGCAACCGAUGCCCGAGCACGACCCAUUAAUCACGUCCAAGUCGCUGUGGCAUGAGGACAAGCACCCCGUCACAUACGUGCUUCCGCUGAAGGUCGCGUACGUGUCGCAUCCCACGGCGAUAAAUUUGUUCUUGGCAGAAGAUAUGGGGAAUAUGGGAAGAGAGAAGUAAGGAUCAUUAUUGUUCAAGGAUGUUCCGGACGAAUCAUAACAAUCUUUGGCUACAAACAUCGUUACACUAAUCUCGUGACUCUCCAUAGAUAUAUCGAGUACUCGGAAAUAAGAAUCUUUACUGUACAUAUGAGGAGUGGGAGGAUCAGUCGAGUCGUUGCAAAACAUGAUGAAAGACUCUGAUUCUUCUUUGAAGUAGCAGUCGUUGCCGGCAUCAUUCAUCCCGAAUGGGUACGCGAAGGUGAGGUUGCCACAUCUGUUCGCGCAUCCGGGCUUUGUUGUUUGGACUACAUCCGCAGUAACUACUGAGAAUAGAGCCACCAAUGAGCACAACAGCAGCACAACUCUCAAGGGAAGUCUAUGGAGCAGCAUGGAUCCACCCAUAUUCUUCCCGAAAUGAGAUGAUAUUUUGCAACGAGAUGAUGAGCUUCAUAGCCCGAUGACAACCUUUAUA